UCCCAAGCUCCUUUGCAAUGACAAAGCAAGCUGAAACAAGGUCACCAUGAUGGCAGUUGGGACAUUCGGAAGACCUUUAAAGUUCCAUGGCAAUGCGAACCCUUGCAAUACCAUAGCACCGGUGCAGCCGUGCAGGGCGGCAGAAACAAAUAGGUACUAGAAACCAUGAAAUAGAUCAGAAAGCAACUAAUUCUCUAACGAGAAAACCAGCAUCUCCUCCUUUCAGCAAAAACAGCAGCGUGUCAGUUUGCAUUCGCAUGCUUUUAUUUCCCGUAAGAGGGGCUCAUCUGUGUAUGAAUAAAACUUCCUGUAACUACCUGAGAGGCUGAGAAGACCACCUUUUCUCAGCUCGCAACCUGAACGGCCUCGACUUCUCCAUCACUGUAAUCAGCCCAGGACUUUGGCUUUUCAGUCACGCUUGAAUCAUCUGGAGCAUAUUUUGGGGCUGAAGCAUCAUAUUGAGCAUCUAUUGGGGCUGUUGCAUCAACUUCAGCACCUCCAGAAACUAUAGUUUCAUCAGGCUUCACUUCACUGUCCUCACAUUCCACAUGGUUGUUCUUCUCCUCUGUGUUCUUGCUCUCAGCCUCAGCUUCAACAUCAAUUCCACUAGAUGUAUCAUUUCCUUCAGGACUAGUCUCACUAGUUUCAGACACUUGUGGGGAAGCAGUCUUGGGUGACUCGACAGUACUAUCUGGAGAUGAUGGAAGCCCAUCCUGUGAUGCUUGAAUACCAGCUGGCGAUGCCAGAGGUUCAUUAGGAGAUGAUGGAUGGCCAUCAGGACUACGAGAUUGACCCGGCACAAACUCCGCUGCAUGAGGAUUCAUCACUUUAGGGGAUGUGGCUGCCUCUGGAAGAACUUCACCACUCGGCAACACAGGCUUGUUACGAGGCACUCGGUGCCCUGAUCUGUUGAACCCUCCGGCUAGACGUGGACCACAAGGGACCCUUGCAGUUGCAGACUGGUGAGGGUGCUUACGGAGAGGGAUGGCCAGCAUUGGGGGCACAUUGGCUGGCGAUGGCAAUAGUCCCGCGUGUUCUCUGAAACCUGGUACGACCAUUGAACCAAAAGCUGGCACGGUGGCUGGACUGAAUGGAGCAGCGGCAGCAUUAAGUUUACUGGCUGUCUCUUUCGCACCUUCUACUGGUGAAUCAUUCUUUUCACUUCCAGAUGGUGAAGAUUUCUCAUUUUCGGCCCCACUAGACAGCUGUUCUUGAUUAUCCUCUCCUGGACCUCUUUCAUCAUCAUUGGAGGAAGAAUCAUUUGCCUCAGUCAAAGUUGCUGCUUCUUCAUUUGGGAGGUCCGCUAGUGCUGCUGGUGAUUGGUUCUUCUCUGUAGAUGUCUCUGCUGAAUCUGAGGCCUUCUCAGCUUGAUUUGAUCCUACCGAACCAUUGGCUUGUUCAGUAUCAGAACUGGGAGAUUUGUGCUCAUCAGUUGCUUUUGAUACUUGCAAAUUAUUAUCCUUUGGUGACACUUGUAUUGCCCCAUUUUUCUCUUCAGAAGGGCGAACAUUGCUUUCUUUGGGAGCCUUGGCACUUUCAAGAUUUACAGCUGGAUCAGUUGCAUCCUUUUGCUUUGUAUGCACAUCAUUCAACGCUUUGGCAAGAGUUCCUGGUGCAGCUAUUGCCACUUCCUUGUAUGACAGUGACUUCCUUACUGUUUGACUGACAAUUGGUGCUGCAGAUGGCAUCACCUUGGCAGCUGCAGGGGUGGUGGCUAAGCUUGCUGCCAUGGAUUUAGGUUUGGGUGAAUCCUCCCCACUGUUUGAUGAGAUAGCAGGAUUACCUGCUUUGGAAUUGAAGCUCGAACUCUUUGCCAACUUCUUUGCAAGAGGGCUGGAAGCAACAGGAGCUGCAGUCUCAUUAGGUGAAACUCGAGGGGAGGAGUUGGAUGGAACUCUGCCUUUGUAGCUUGGAGGGGGAGAAGAAGUAAGGAAGAAAAGAUGAGCAAAUCCAAUAUACAGUGGACAAUUAUUGGCGUACGUACCAGUGGCGGGCAGGAAUCUGAGCCCAUCAUUGUUAACUUAAUUACCUGUGAUGGGCAGGAAUCUAAGCCCAUCAUUGUUUAAUUUAAGUACCAGUGACGGGCAGGAAUCUGAGCCCAUCAUUUUGUUAACUUAAGUACUAGUGGUGGGCAAACUCAAACAAAUAAAUCUGCUACUAGUAUUUUUUCAACCAUUUUAGCCAUGGGCCAACCAUACCUAUGGCGGCUGCACAUACAUGCCCGCCACACUAGUAACUCAAUUACGAGUGGUGGGCGGGGAGGCACACCCAUCACUUGUAUGUUUGGCCCAAGCUAGAUGACGUGAGCGCUGGUGGCCUCCCUGGCUGCGGCUCCCACGCGGGUGGCUUCUGCCGGCCUAGAUGGGAUCUGGGACCUUGCCCGGCUGGAUGUGGCGCUCUCCGUUCGGCCACCGCGGCGGCCGCCGUGCCUUCUCCGCUGCGUCCACCCCCUCCCAUCGACCCCCACCACCCUCACCCCCUGCUCGGCUCCGGGUCUGCCUCUCGCUAUGGCGGUCGUGGAGGCGUGGGUUUGUGCCCGGCGGCGGCUGCUUCCCACAGUGCGCGGGCCGGGAGGUUUGGUUGCGCGUUAACUUCACCACCCACCCACCCCCGGUAGGGGCGGCUUCGGCACGCCGACUAUGAACUUGUGCCCCUUCCUACGUCCAUGGCCGGCCGACGCGGCUUCGGAUCCAGCACACCAUGGAAGCUGCGCUCUUUCCGGCUUCCUUGGCUCGUUGGCUCCUCGGCAUCACCGCACCAUCACCCUGCCGGUGCCCUUUGUUGGUCGUCCAUCCGGGCGCAUCUCCGUUUCUGGCUCGCUCCGGGAGCUGCGUCCCCUUCCAGCUCCUAGGCUUGCCGGUGCUCUGCUGCUCCGGUCCCGGUGGCCUUGAUCUACACUUUCCAAAUCCUGGUUUGUCCGGGGCUCCGCCCACCGUCACAUCUCGUUGCCUUCCAUUUCGCUCAGCCACACAACCCCGCCCUCUAACGGAGCUCGCAAGUCCGGCGACGCUCGGUGCCUCCUUCGGCGUCGGGCGUGGCUCCCCUUCCUCCUGUAGCAAUUUCGCCCUAUACUCGACUUCCUCUUCUCCGAUUUGUUCUCCGACGGCUUGGGAUUGUUCGGAAUUUGGCCAGGGAGCAAUCCCCGCAUUCUAUGCUGGCACUGGCGACACUUGCGGGUGUCGUUCCCUUCUUGAAGGCACUGCCAUGGCCACUUUCUGGGGCCCUCUUCAAGCAACAGGGGAAACUCUAGGUCCGGCUUCCCAGAUCGGACGCCGGUAACGUCUCGUGUCGUUCUCCUUCCUGAAGGCGUUGUCUUGUUUGCUCGCGGCGUCCUCGGUGCUGACUUCGGUGAUGUCGGUCGUCUAGUUAUUGGUCGGAUUGUGUCUCUGGUUGGCGAGUUCAGCCGUGUUUUUCUUUGGGUCGAGUGUCUCAUGUCUCUCCAGUUUGGGGCACCAUGUUCACGCCUUUUGCAUCCGUGCCAUGUGUUGUAUCACCUCCUGUACUCAUUCAACCUCUCAUAUCAAUGCAAUGAUAAGCAAGCUUUGCGUAUUCCCGAAUUAAUCUGGGCCCUUAUUACAAGUAUUGGGAAGGAAAUGUUUCACAUAUAAGCAGUUCUGCAGUAGUGAGAGUUGAAGCAGUCAGAUAAUAAAUGCCUUGCACAUUUCUAUCUUUUGUGAUAUAGUAAGUUUUUGUUCAAUUUAUGAACUAAUUAAUGAGUGAGGUGUUUUGGCUCCAAGGCCCAGAUGAGCCCAGGACUAAUUAAAAAUCAUUUAGAAAAUUCCAACUUUUUGGUGGAGAAAGAUGACCAAGUGCGUGAUGUCCGUGCCAAAUUUCACAGCAUUUGGAUGUCUGAUUAGUUCUCAGCAAAAAAGACAAAUUCAGAGUAUAUGAAAAAGUUUACUGUUUGUGCAUUGUUUGGACCCGAUUUUUUUGCUGAAAGCUACUUAGAUGUCCAGAUGCUUUAAAAUUUGGCACGCAUCUCACGCACUCAGUCAUUUUUGUCCACAAAAAAAUUCAGAAUUUUUUGAACUUUUCUAGUAUUAUUUACGAAUUUACUGUUCAUUGAGUGUAGAUGAGCUGGGCUCAGAAUUGGAUAUUAGCUAAUUAAUGGCCAACAUAAAGUAAAUACAUUUUUAUUUUUAUUUUUAUUAUCCCCUUAUGCUUAUCUUCUUGGUGUGUGUUAAUUAAUACGUCUGCCAAGAAGAAAUGUGUGUUAUCCUUCUGUAGCAAGUUUUAAUUAGACAUUAAUCGAUUGCUUUAAAUAGCUUGUUAUCUAUUCAUAGGAUUUGCCUUUAUAUAACAUAAUGUUAUUUGCAAGUAAGUAUGCAAUUAAUGUAUUUGGCCUAUAAAAAGCGUAAGGUGUUAACUCGAGCAUACUAUUGUGCUCGUCAGUCAAACAGAACCGCCUCACUGAUCAAACAUGGAUGUCAAAUUAGCAACGAUUAUGUUCUUUGUGCUCCUCGGAUGCCAUGUGUUUUCCGUGCACUGUAAGUAUACAUAUACAUCUAUCCUAGUAGUAUGUCACAUAGACCAAUAUCUUGAGUUCUUGACAAUCUCAUCAAACACAUGAGUUAUGAUGAUGAUUCAUUUAACUAAAUGCCCAUUAUUGUGUUUCUCGAUAUAUCAGGUGGUCGCCAGAUAGAUGGCGGGAUUGGAGCUAAGGCUUACCAUGGUCCUCCGAUAGUGUUGUGUGUGAAGAAUACAUGUGCCCAUCACACAUGUUGGUGUUGUGCAACACAGUGGCCCGGUGAACUCUGCUAUGACAAUCUACUCCCUCCGUUCCCAAAUAUAAGUCUUUUUAGAGAUUGCAACAAGUGACUACAUACGAAGUAAAAUGAAUGAAUCUAUACUCUAAAAUAUGUCUACAUACAUUCGUAUGUUGUAAUUUAUUUAAAAUGUCUAAAAAGACUUAUAUUUAGGAACGGAGGGAGUAGAUGAUUGCGACAAAGUAUGCCCGCAUGCGCGUACACCAUCAUUACCGAUGAAUGAACAUGCCAAGUUUUAGUUCAGCCUGGCGUCUAAUGACGAGAUGAUUAAAAUAUCAAUAUUGAAAAUCAUUCAACAGGUGGGAACUAAGAAAUCACAUAUUUGAUCUUAUGUAUUUAGAGUUUGAAUAAAUUGCACCUUCUUCAUGAUGUAUGGGUCUAUCAUUUUAUUGACCGGGACACACAUUUUCACUAAUUUUCUAACAAAAAAGAGGAAUCCGUAAACACAAGGAUUUCAUAAAUUCCUCUAUUGAUGGUCAUGUGCAUCGAUUAAUUGUGACCCCAUGGGUAAGCCCUCCUUUUCGAGAAAAAAUGAAUUCCUCGAUCAAACAGUUUCUUUGUGUUAAUCUUGACCAAUACUUACAUCAAUAAUAUAGGGACCCCCGCAAAAAAAAAAUCAAUACUAUAGGGAGUGUGAUACCGAAAAUACAAAGGUGAGCAUGGGUGCGCGCGCACCCAUGUGAAUAGUAAAUUCAUAAAAAAUAUUAGAAAAAAUUAAAAAUUUCUGAAAUUUCGAUCAUUCUACUCACGUGUGAAGUUUCAUGAUGUAUUAACACCCAUGAUAUUCUUAGUGAAGAAAAUAUUAAUGCGAUCAUACUAUUCAUUAAUCAAUGUUUUUUAAUAUAGCUUCGAUUAGCUUCGAUUUUGUCAUUUUUGCCCAGAUUACCACGGAUGUGAUUUCUUCGUGAAACUUCAUAUGCAAGUAUACCGGUUGACUAUGUAUAUUUAAAAAAUAAAUUCAGAUUUUUUAAAUUUUUUCUAGCAUUUUUUUCAAAUUUACUAUUCAUAAAGGAUGCGCGCGCAUCCAUGUUCACCAAAUCCGUGUCCGUGUGAUACUGAAAUUAUACUAUGAGAAGGUGCUUCUUACUACCUGUUUUUUCUAGUUUGUAAUCAACACUUAUAUAUAGUUUCAUAUUUGGCUCGUAUGAUUAGACUAACAAUUCACCUGCAAAAAAAAAAGACUAAGAGCAUCUCCAGCCGCGCCCCCAACAAGCCCCCCCCCGCGAUUUUUCGGCCGUCGGCGUUGAAAAAUCGGCCCAGUCGCGCCCCCAAGGGCCUAGUUUUCACCGGCUCGGGCCGAAAUUGGCGCCGGCGGACCCAGGCCGAACCCGGCGCGCUGGGGGCGCUUAGGGGCGCCGGCCGAAUCGUUUUUGGCGCGAAAAUCGGCGGGCCCUCCUUGGCAGCGAUUCGGCUCUUCUUGCCGCUUCUUCGUCCUCAUCGCCUCGGUUCCCGCGGCGGAAUCAAUGCCAAAGCUGCCGCGCGCUGCCGCGCCGGUCAGCCUCCUCCAUUGAUGCCUCACGGGCGGCGCAGUGAAGACGGGACGCCGCGCGUCCCUCGCCCGCCAUGCGUACACACGGCGGGCACGCGUACGCGCGGCGCCUCCGCCUAUAUAAGCCGUCCCCCAGCGCGCCGGUAAAGCACAGACUCUCCAUCGCCGACGUCCCGUUCCACCGCCGUUCCUCCCCUCUCCUCUCGCCUUCUCCAGUUCAACCAUGGCCGAGCGCUUCCCAGGCGAUGGCGCGGCGGCGAACGGCUUCGGCCGCCGACACAUUGACGAGGACGAAGCUCGGCUCCUCUACGAGGCCGAGUACCCGGUCCCGCCGGACAUGCGGGUGCCCGGGGCGUGGAGGAGCAGCGCCGGCGGGGUCCCGGUGCCACCACCGCCCACCGGGGCGGCGCGGCGUGCGGAGAUCGCGCGUAUCCGCGCCUCUCCGCCGCGGGCGGCGAGGGAAGGUCCACGGUACGUCCCCGACAGCCCGCUGUGGGAACCCUACUUCCGUCGCCGGCACGCCGAGCAGCUCGAGGCCACGACGACGACGACGGCGGCGACUACACGCAGUUCUACAGCCUCCUCGGCAUGUAGAGCUUCAAGGGCGGCGGGCGGCGAGGGAGACGGCGGGCCUAGUAGCUUUUUUUUUGUAAAAAUAUUUUAAAUAUGUAUGAACUCGCCGAAGUUUGAUUCAAUUUGCGCCGUGUUUGUGCCGGAUUUUAGUUUAAAAAAGUGGGCGCCGCGACUGGCGGACAUCACGCCCCCAGCACGCGGUUUGCGCCGGUGCGCUUUCAGGGGGCGAUUUUUAGCGCCUCCUGAAGGGCCAAUAGCCGGAGAUGCUUAAAAAAGACAUGCGCUCAUCCAAAUAACAGCCGCCUCCUGCGAGCGUCGCGUCAACAACGUGCCGUGCAGUGUAUGUUAGAAAAGAAAAAGGAAAAACGCGCCGCCCAGAUCUCUGUUGUUCAUGUCACGCCAUUCCCAAUUGCAUCCUGUGAGGUGAUUUUUAACCCGAGGAGGCUAGAUCUCUGUUGUUCAUGUCACGCCAUUCUCAAUUGCAGUCUCAAUUGCGUGUUCUUCUGCUCUCUACCUGCAACGUCGUGCUCCUCUUGACUUGGCCAGCAACAACCUGGCCAUCACAAACGGGUGCCUUUGUUCCUGCCACGUGUUCUUCAAUCCGCCACCGUAUAUUUGACUAUCCCCACUCCUACACAUCCAGUCAUCACUUAUCGUGCCCUUAUGCUCCACAUGGUACCGCUCGUUGUCACACAUGCUCCUCUACUUCUCUGCCUCCCAUCCAGAAACAAGAACCUAGGGGAGAACCGUGCUCUCACAACAAUUAGUGACAUCCGGCCAUCCGUUUCUUUUCCUUGAUGGAAUCUGGGCCGUCGGAUCGAGCCACCGAAUGACCUCGGCCGUACGAUUGAGGACCCGAAACUGUGGCAAUGAAUAGUGCAGCCUCGUUCGUGCCACCGCGCGUAAUUACAGUGCCCCGCCGAGGGCACUUUCGUCAUUUCACGUGGUUGGAAAAUAUCCAAUAACGACAUGGGUGUGACAGAGCGGUCGCUACUCCCGCACUCGUGCCGCCUCCUCUCCUCUUCCUCCCGCACCACCUCUCUUUCUCCUCUGCAAACCCUACACCCGCGCCCACUUCCCUCCCCAUCGCCCCCCGUCCCCCUGUCGCCAAGCCUCUUGCAUCUUCGGAAGGGGGGCCGCCAACGGUAGUGCCGCUGCUCCCCUGUCGAGCUCGAGCGUCCCCAUCGCCGGGAGGAGCGCAGGUUGCCGCUCCUGCAGUUGCCCGGUCCUCUCUCCCUCGGCGUCGAGCAGCUCAUGGCGGUGACGGACCCGGUGUUGAGGUCGAGGGGCACUCAGGAUCCGGGCGCAGCGGCGGCCAUGGACGAGCUCAAGCCCGGGCGUGUGGGCGCGUUGGUGAGCGCGGCGGCAGCCGUCGCCGAGCUUGAGCUCGGGCGUAGCGACAAGGGCACUAGGGGGAUUUCACCUGGUAGCCCAGUGCAUGGCGUCAUGUGGGUGGCUGAGGGGUAGAUAGGACGGGUGGAAGGGUGUGUGCUUCUCUCCUCGUAGGACUCACUUCCUCCUUUCUCUUAUUUCAUUCUUGGAUCUGGCCACCGCCGUCGCCGUGUUCUCCUCUUCGUCGUCGGUUAGGUGAUGGUUUUCGCGAUCUCGUCUUGCCUCCUUCGAGGCGUUCUUCUUGCCGGUCCUCACUUCCCCUCUUUUCCUUUUUCAUUAGUCGUCUUGUAGGUAGUUCGAGGGUGUGACUUAUUGGCCCUGCGCUUCGCUUGCCGUCACCUUGGCCGUCGGCGUGCCGUUGAAGAAGGUAUUGUUCUGGUCCCUUCCCUGCCCGAUUCUGAUGAUUACCUAGGUCCAUUUUCACCUGUUCCGCAGAGAUGUCGUUACGGUUUGUUUUGCUGGUUGGUGGCCGGUAGUGUUCUUCCUCUUGCAGCAAAUAAGUUGUGGCUCUUCGAGGAUAGGUCACAUUGCUUCGUUGCGCAGAUGACUUGGAUCCUACUGUUUUGGCAUUCUGUAGAUUUAUUUUGGCAUUACAUCCUAUCCCGCUUCUACUGUUUUGGCAUCGUGUGUGUUUACUUUGGCAUUACAUGCUCAUAGUAUUUGUAUAAGGAUAGGUUUGUUUUGUCAUCACAUGCUCAUACAGUUUGUUUAAGAAUUGGCUUCUCAACCAUCUGUCUGUAUAUGUUUCGGUAUCAGAUGGUCUAUUUUAGCAUUGCUGGUUCAUAUUGUUUAAGGACGUGUCUAUUUUGUUAGUACUGAUAUAUCCUUAAGCAUCCUAUCCGAUUAAGGAUGUGUUUCUCUUGGUACUUGUUGGGGAUAUGACUAUUGGAUAUGACCCGCCCAGGAGGGGCCGGGUUAUCCCAAUGGCGGUUCAUCUUAAUGAAGGCCAAGAGUAUAUUGAAGAUAGUGGUUUAUGAGACAUCCUGUUAAGGGGCCCAAACCUAAAGGCGGCUUAAGGCCCGUAAGUGUAAACCGCCAUGUAUAUGUAAACUUGUAUUGUAAGGCAUGUAAGAUAAGUCACCGAGCCGGACACGUUUGUAUGAGCCGGCCGGGACUCUGUAGACCGCAGGGUGUUAACCCAUGUAUAUAAGGGGAUGACCCGGCACCGGCUUAGGGCAAGAAACAACAGAUCGAAAGCGAGGCAAAGCGUAUUCGCUCCCUAGUAAUCGAAACCCUAGCAAUACCACCUCAAACUGGAUUAGACCUUUACCUUCACCGCAAGGGGCCGAACCAGUAUAAACUCCUCGUGUCCUUUGUCCCGUUUAACCGCUUUAAGCUAACCUCGUCGCCAUGGUUCCACAACUAAGUCCUUUCACUAGGACAUCUGCCGUGACAAUUCCACGACAGUUGCGCCCACCGUGGGGCCUGCGCACGGUGGUUUGAGUUCUUGAAGGGCAGCUUCGAAGGGCUCAAGGGAUACGCUGUGGGCCGGAUGACCAAGAGUCAUCGCGUCAAGCUCUACAUCGACGACGCAGGCUGGGGCCCCGAGGCCGGCUCAAUCGAGUAUGGAUACCGGGUCCCCUUCGGCGGAAUCCACGUCUUCAUCGGCAUGAUCGGCGAACCGGGCCCUGAGCCGGACACCUGCACUGACAUCAUCGAGACGGCUCAGUGUGCACGACCCGCCCGGGUUCAGCCCGCCGUAAAGCGUGCUUUCGUUGGAUGGAUCCACGGGGCUGAAUUGGAAGGCUCCGUGUCUGGUGGUGAGACGACCAUCUACUAUGAUGGUGAGUCAUCCACGGGCGAGACCAACUCAAUGUAUCAGCUACAAGACAAACGGCUUAGUGUUCCGAUGGCGACAGUAUUCCGGACCCCCAUGAGCUGCCGAACAGGGUGGCGAUUUUCAUGGCUGGCACCCAGCCGGUUCUUGGUUUGACAGCCGUCACGGCCAUGACUUCCAGUGCGGCGGCGGUGACGGCAGCAGGCGUCAGCGGCUCAGUUCGCCCGCCGGCUCAAGCUUUAACAGAUCUAUUGAAUGAUCUAGCAACUCUGAUGGGGGUAGAGGUAACUCCGGACAACGCGAAACCGCAUAAGGCGGAUAUUGCUAAGCUGCGUCAGGAGAUAGCACAGGCUAAGGAAGGCCUGGCGGCUGAGAACGCUAGGAUGAAUGUAGAGCGGUGCUACCUCUUGAGCAUGCGUUGGUUUUCCCUUGAAGAGGAAAGAGUGAUGCAGCAAAGUAGCGUAAGUAUUUCCCUCAGUUUUUGAGAACCAAGGUAUCAAUCCAGUAGGAGGUUACACGCAAGUCGCCUAGUACCUGCACAAACAAAUAAGAACCUUGCAACCAACGCGAUAAAGGGGUUGUCAAUCCCUUCACGGCCACUUGCAAAAGUGAGAUCUGAUAGAGAUAAUAAGAUAAAUAUUUUUGGUAUUUUUGUUGUAUAGAUUGAAAAGUAAAGAUUGCAAAGUAGUAAACGAGAUGUGAUAUAAAUAAAAGAGAUAUAAUAUGAUAGAAAAGAGACCCGGGGCCAUAGGUUUCACUAGUGGCUUCUCUCAAGAUAGCAUAUCUUACAGUGGGUGAACAAAUUACUGUCCAGCAAUUGAUAGAAAAGCGCAUAGUUAUGGGGAAUAUCUAGGCAUGAUCAUGUAUAUAGGCAUCACGUCCGUUACAAGUAGAUCGAAACGAUUCUGCAUCUACUACUAUUACUCCACACAUCGACCGCUAUCCAGCAUGCAUCUAGAGUAUUAAGUUCAUAAGAACAGAGUAACGCAUGAAGCAAGAUGACAUGAUGUAGAGGGAUAAACUCAAGCAAUAUGAUAUAAACCCCAUGUUUUUAUCCUCGAUGGCAACAAUACAAUACGUGCGUUGCUGCCCCUGCUGUCACUAGGAAAGGACACCGCAAGAUUGAACCCAAAGCUAAGCACUUCUCCCAUUGCAAGAAAGAUCAAUCUAGUAGGCCAAACCAAACUGAUAAUUCGAGGAGACUUGCAAAGAUAUCAAAUCAUACAUAUAAGAAUUCAGAGAAGAAUCAAAUAUUGUUCAUAGAUAAUCUUGAUCAUAAACCCACAAUUCAUCGGAUCUCGACAAACACACUGCAAAAAGAAUUACAUCGAAUAGAUCUCCAAGAGGAUCGAGGAGAACUUGGUAUUGAGAAUCAAAGAGAGAGAAGAAGCCAUCUAGCUAAUAACUAUGGACCCGAAGGUCGGUGGUAAACUACUCACACAUCAUUGGAGAAGCUAUGGUGUUGAUAUAGAAGCCCUCCGUGAUCGAUUCCCCCUCCGGAGGAGUGCCGGAAAAGGCCCCAAGAUGGGAUCUCACAGGUACAGAAGGUUACAGCAGUGGAAAUAGGGUUUCGUGGUGCUCUCGGAUGUUUUCGGGGUAUAUGAGUAUAUACAGGUGAAAGAAGUAGGUCGGUGGAGUCACGAGGGGCCCACGAGGGUGGGGGGCGCGCCUACCCCCCUGGGCACACCCUCCUACCUCAUGGCCACCUCGUUGCUUCCUUGACGUCCACUCCAAGUAUCCUGGAUUGUGUUUGUUCCAAAAACGAUUCUCCCGAAGGUUUCUUCUGUGUGGACUCCAUUUGAUAUUCCUUUUCUGCGAAACACUGAAAUAGGCAAAAAACAACAAUUUGCACUGGGCCUCCGGUUAAUAGGUUAGUCCCAAAAAUAAUUUAAAAGUGCAUAAUUAAGCCCAUCAAACAUCCAAAACAGAUAAUAUAAUAGCAUGGAACAAUAAAAAAUUAUAGAUACGUUGGAGACGUAUCAAGCAUCCCCAAGCUUAAUUCCUGUUCGUCCUCAAGUAGGUAAAUGAUAAAAACAGAAUUUUUGAUGUGGAAUGCUACCAAACAUAAUUUUCUAAGUAAUUCUCUUUAUUGUGGCAUGAAUGUUCAGAUUCGAAAGAUUCAAGACAAAAGUUUAAUAUUGACAUAAGAGUAAUAAUACUUCAAGCAUACUAACAAAGUAAUCAUGUCUUCUCAAAAUAACAUGGCCAAAGAAAGUUCAUUCCUACAAAAUCAUAUAGUUUGGCUAUGCUCCAUCUUCGUCACACAAAAUACUCAAAUCAUGCACAACCCCGGUUUCAGCCAAGCAAUUGUUUCACACUUUAAUUUUUUCAAACUUUUUCAACUUUCACGCAAUACAUGAGCGUGAGCCAUGGACAUAGCACUAUGGGUGGAAUAGAAUAUAAUGAUGGGGGUUGUGUGGAGAAGACAAAAAAGGAGAAAGUCUCACAUUGACGCGGCUAAUCAACAGGCUAGGGAGAUGCCCAUCAAUUGAUGCCAAUGCAAGGAGUAGGGAUUGCCAUGCAACGGAUGCACUAGAGCUAUAAAUGUAUGAAAGCUCAACAAAAGAAACUAAGUGGGUGUGCAUCCAACUUGCUUGCUCACUAAGACCUAGGGCAUUUGAGCAAGCCCAUUGUUGGAAUAUACAAGCCAAGUUCUAUAAUGAAAAAUUCCCACUAGUAUAUGAAAGUGACAAAACAAGAGACUCUCUAUCAUAAAGAUCAUGAUCCUACUUAGAAGCACAAGUGUGGAAAAAAGGAUAGUAGCAUUGUCCCUUUUAUUUUGGGCCUUUCUUUUUUUUCUCUUUGGCCUUUCUUUUUUUCUCUUUUUUUAUUUGGGACAAUGCUCUAUUAAUGAUGAUCAUCAAACUUCUAUUUAUUUACAACUCAAUGAUUACAACUCAAUACUAGAACAAAAUAUGACUCUAUAUGAGUGCCUCCGGCAGUGUACCGGGAUGGGCAAUGAAUCAAGAGUGACAUGUAUGAAAAAUUAUGCAUGGUGGCUUUGCCACAAAUACGAUGUCAACUACAUGAUCAUGCAAGGCAAUAUGACAAUGGUAAAGCGUGUCAUAAUAAAUGAAAUGGUGGAAAGUUGCAUGGCAAUAUAUCUUGGAAUGGAUAUGGAAAUGCCAUAAUAGGUAGGUAUGGUGGCUGUUUUGAGGAAGAUAUAAGGAGGUUUAUGUGUGAUAGAGCGUAUCAUAUCACGGGGUUUGGAUGCACCGGUGAAGUUUGCACCAACUCUGAAGGUGAGAAAGGGCAAUGCACGGUACCGAAGAGGCUAGCAAUGAUGGAAGGGUGAGAGUGCGUAUAAUCCAUGGACUCAACAUUAGUCAUAAUGAACUCACAUACUUAUUGCAGAAAUCUACAAGUCAGCAAAACAAAGUACUACAUGCAUGCCCCUAGGGGAAGGGUUGGUAGGAGUUAACCAUCGCGCGAUCCCGACCUCCACACAAAGGAUGACAAUCAAAGAAAUACCUCAUGCUUCAAAUUUAUCACACAACGGUUACCAUACGUGCAUGCUACGGGACUUGCAAACCUCAACACAAGUAUUUCUCAAAUUCACAACUACUCUACUAGCAUGACUCUAAUAUCACCAUCCUCAUAUCUCAAAACGAUCAUCAAGCAUCAAACUUCUCAUAGUAUUCAAUGCACUUUUUAUGAAAGUUUUUAUUAUACCCAUCUUGGAUGCCUAUCAUAUUAGGAAUAAUUUUAUAGCCAAAGCAAACUACCAUGCUAUUCUAAAGGACUCUCAAAAUAAUAUAAGUGAAGCAUGAGAGAUCAAUAAUUUCUACAAAAUAAAACCACCACCAUGCUCUAAAAGAUAUAAGUGAAGUACUAGAGCAAAAUUAUCUAGCUCAAAAGAUAUAAGUGAAGCACAUAGAGUAUUCUAAUAAAUUCGGAUUCAUGUGUGUCUCUCUCAAAAGGUGUGUACAGCAAGGAUGAUUGUGGUAAACUAAAAAGCAAAGACUCAAAUCAUACAAGACGCUCUAAGCAAAACACAAAUCAUGUGGUGAAUAAAAAUAUAGCCUCAAGUAAAGUUACUGAUAGAUGAAGACAAAAGAGGGGAUGCCUUCUGGGGCAUCCCCAAGCUUAGGCUUUUGGUUGUCCUUGAAUUUUACCUUGGGGUGCCUUGGGCAUCCCCAAGCUUAGGCUCUUGCCACUCCUUGUUCCAAAAUCCAUCAAAUCAUUACCGAAAAACUUGAAAACUUCACAACACAAAACUCAACAGAAAAUCUCGUGAGAUCCGUUAGUAUAAGAAAACAAACCACCACUUUAAGGUACUGUAAUGAACUCAUUCUUUAUUUAUAUUGGUGUUAAACCUACUGUAUUCCAACUUCUCUAUGGUUCAUACCCCCCGAUACUAGCCCUAGAUUCAUCAAAAUAAGCAAACAACACACGAAAAACAGAAUCUUUCAAAAACAGAACAGUCUGUAUAAAUCUGUAACUUUCGAAUACUUCUGGAACCCCAAAAAUUCUACCAAAUUAGGAAGUCCUGGGUAAUUUGUUUAUUAAUCUUCUGAAAAAAGAAUCAACUGAAAAGCACGUUUCUGUGAUUUAUGAAAACUAAUCUCGUGCGUGCAAAAGUUUCUGUUUUUCAGCAAGAUCAAAUUAACUAACACCGUAGGUUAUCCUAAAGGUUUUACUUGGCACAAACACUAAUUAAAACACAAAACCACAUCUAACCAGAGGCUAGAUGAAUUAUUUAUUACUAAACAGUAACAAAAAGCAAGGAACAAAAAUAAAAUUGGGUUGCCUCUCAACAAGCGCUAUCAUUUAACGCCCCUAGCUAGGCAUUGAUAAUUUCGAUGAUGCUCAAAUGAGAGAUAGCAAUUGAAACACGAAGAGAGCAUCAUGAAACACGUGACAAACACAUCUAAGUAUAACAUACUUCCUAUGCAUAGGCAUCUUAUAGGCAAACAAAUUAUCAUAGCAAGCGAAAACUAGCAUAUGCAAGGAAGCGGAAAGAAACAAUAGCAAUCUCAACAUAACGAGAGGUAAUUUAUUAUCAUGAAAAUUCCUACAACCAUAUUUUCCUCUCUCAUAAUAAUUACAUGUGGGAUCAUAAGCAAAUUCAAUAAAAUCGCUAUCACAUAACAUAUUCUCAACAUGAUCCACAUGCAUGCAAAGUUGACACUCUUCCAAAAUAGUGGGAUUAACAUUAACUAAAGUCAUGACCUCUCCAAACCCACUUUAUCAAAAAUUUCAUAAGAUUGAACAUUCUCCAAAUAUGUGGGAUCUAAAGUUGACACUCUUCCAAACCCACUUUCAAUAUUAUUGCAAAAAUUAUUAUCAAUCUCUUAUUCAUCAUGGGGCUUAAAUAAAUUUUCAAGAUCAUAAGAAGAAUGACCCAAUCAUGAUCAUUGCAACAAGUAGUAGACAUAGCAAAACUAGCAUCCCCAAGCUUAGGGUUUUGCAUAUUAUUAGCACAAUUGACAUCAAGAGAAUUUAUAGUAAAAUCAUUGCAAUCAUGCUUUUUAUUCAAAGAUCUAUCGUGAAUCACUUCAUAAAGCACUUCCUUACAAUUUUCAGAUUCACGAAUUUCAAGCAAAACCUCAUAAAGAUAGGCCAGUACACUCAACUCACUAGCAAUAGGUUCAUCGUAAUUGGAUCUUUUAAAAAGAUUAGCAAGUGGAUGAGGAUCCAUAAACUUUUAGCAAGCAAAGAUGCAAGCAAAAAGGAGGCACACGGUAACACAAGAUCGAACGGAAGGAGAGCGAAGAAAAGGCAAAGGUGAAGUGGGGGAGAGGAAAACGAGAGGCAAAUGGAAAAUAAUGUAAUGCGAGGGAUAAGAGUUUCUGAUGGGUACUUGGUAUGUCUUGAAUUGUGCGUAGAUCUCCCCGGCAACGGCACCAGAAAUCGGCGAGUUGUUCGGAGAUCAAAUCUUGACUUGACUUGGCGUAAGCCUCCCCGGCAACGGCGCCAGAAAUCCUUCUUGCUAGCUCUUGAGCAUGCGUUGGUUUUCCCUUGAAGAGGAAAGGGUGAUGCAGCAAAGUAGCGUAAGUAUUUCCCUUAGUUUUUGAGAACCAAGGUAUCAAUCCAGUAGGAGGUUACACGCAAGUCGCCUAGUACCUGCACAAACAAAUAAUAACCUUGCAACCAACGCGAUAAAGGGGUUGUCAAUCCCUUCACGGUCACUUGCAAAAGUGAGAUCUGAUAGGGAUAAUAAGAUAAAUAUUUUUGGUAUUUUUGUUGUAUAGAUUGAAAAGUAAAGAUUGCAAAAUAGUAAACGAGAUGCAAUAUAAAUAAAAGAGAUAUAAUAUGAUAGAAAAGAAACCCUGGGCCAUAGGUUCACUAGUGGCUUCUCUCAACAUAGCAUAUCUUACGGUGGGUGAACAAAUUACUGUCGAGCAAUUGAUAGAAAAGCGCAUAGUUAUGAGAAUAUCUAGGCAUGAUCAUGUAUAUAGGCAUCACGUCCGUGACAAGUAGAUCAAAACGAUUCUGCAUCUACUACUAUUACUCCACACAUCGACCGCUAUCCAUCAUGCAUUUAGAGUAUUAAGUUCAUAAGAACAGAGUAACGCAUUAAGCAAGAUGACAUGAUGUAGAGGGAUAAACUCAAGCAAUAUGAUAUAAACCCCAUCUUUUUAUCCUCGAUGCCAACAAUACAAUACGUGCCUUGCUGCCCCUGCUGUCACUGGGAAAGAACACCGCAAGAUUGAACCCAAAGCUAAGCACUUCUCCCAUUGCAAGAAAGAUCAAUCUAGUAGGCCAAACCAAACUGAUAAUUCGAAGAGACUUGCAAAGAUAUCAAAUCAUACAUAUAAGAAUUCAAAGAAGAAUCAAAUAUUGUUCAUAGAUAAUCUUGAUCAUAAACCCACAAUUCAUCGGAUCUCGACAAACACACCGCAAAAAGAAUUACAUCGAAUAGAUCUCCAAGAGGAUCGAGGAGAACUUGGUAUUGAGAAUCAAAGAGAGAGAAAAGAAGCCAUCUAGCUAUUAACUAUGGACCCGAAGGUCUGUGGUAAACUACUCACACAUCAUCGGAGAAGCUAUGGUGUUGAUGUAGAAGCCCUCUGUGAUCGAUUCCUGAUACAUCCAUUUUGCAUCAUGCUUUUAUAUCAAUAUUUAUUGCAUUAUGGGCUGUUAUUACACAUUAUGUCACCAUACUUAUGCCUAUUCUCUCUUAUUUUACAAGGUUUACAUAAGGAGGGAGAAUGCCGGCAGCUGGAAUUCUGGGCUGGAAAAGGAGCAAAUAUUAGAGACCUAUUCUGCGCAACUCCAAAAGUCCUGAAACUCCACGAAAGUUAUUUUUGGAAAUAAUAAAAAAUAUUGAGCGGAAGAAGUACGUCAGAGGGGGCCCCACCUGGCCAUGAGGGUGGGGGGCGCGCCCCCUGCCUCGUGGGCCCCCUGUUGGCCCUCCGGUGGCCAUCUUCUGCUAUAUGAUGUCUUUCGUCCAAAAAAAAUCAGAAGCAAGCUUUCGGGACGAGACUCCGCCGCCACGAGGCGGAACCUUGGCGGAACCAAUCUAGGGCUCCGGCAGAGCUGUUCUGCCGGGGACACUUCCCUCCGGGAGGGGGAAAUCAUCGCCAUCGUCAUCACCAACGCUCCUGUCAUCGGGAGAGGGAAAUCUCCAUCAACAUCUUCACGAGCACCAUCUCCUCUCAAAGCCCUAGUUCAUCUCUUGUAUCCAAUUCUUGUCUCUAAGUCCGGGAUUGGUACCUGUAGGUUGCUAGUAGUGUUGAUUACUCCUUGUAGUUGAUGCUAGUUGGUUUAUUUGGUGGAAGAUCAUAUGCUCUGAUCCUUUAUGCACAUUAAUACCCCUCUGAUUAUGAACAUGACUAUGCUUUGUGAGUAGUUACGUUUGUUCCUGAGGACAUGGGAGAAGUCUUGCUAUUAGUAGUCAUGUGAAUUUGGUAUUCGUUCGAUAUUUUGAUGAGAUGUAUGUUGUCUAUCCUCUAGUGGUGUUAUGUGAACGUCGACUACAUAACACUUCACCAUUGUUUGGGCCUAGAGGAAGGCAUUGGGAAGUAAUAAGUAGAUGAUGGGUUGCUAGAGUGACAGAAGCUUAAACCCUAGUUUAUGCGUUGCUUCGUAAGGGGUUGAUUUGGAUCCAUAUGUUUCAUGCUAUGGUUAGGUUUACCUUAAUACUUUUGUUGUAGUUGUGGAUGCUUGCAAUAGAGGUUAAUCAUAAGUGGGAUGCUUGUUCAAGUAAGAACAGCACCCAAGCACCGGUCCACCCACAUAUCAAAUUAUCAAAGUACCGAACGCGAAUCAUAUGAACGUGAUGAAAGCUAGCUUGACGAUAAUUCCCAUGUGUCCUCGGGAGCGCUUUUCUCUAUAUAAGAGUUUGUCCAGGCUUGUCCUUUGCUACAAAAAAGAUUGGGCCACCUUGCUGCACUUUAUUUACUUUUGUUAGUUGUUGCUCGUUACAAAUUAUCCUAACACAAAACUACCUGUUACCUAUUAUUUCAGUGCUUGCAGAGAAUACCUUGCUGAAAAUCGCUUAUCAUUUCCUUCUGCUCCUCGUUGGGUUCGACACUCUUACUUAUCGGAAGGACUACGAUAGAUCCCCUAUACUUGUGGGUCAUCAAUUCCCCCUCCAGCGGAGCGUCGGAAAAGGCCCCAAGAUGGGAUCUCACGGUUACAGAAGGUUGUGGCGGUGGAAAUAGGGUUUUGUGGUGCUCUCGGAUGUUUUCGGGGUAUAUGAGUAUAUAUAGGCGAAAGAAGUAGGUCGGCGGAGUCACGAGGGGCCCACGAGGGUGGGGGGCACGCCUACCCCCUUGGGCGCGCCCUCCUACCUCGUGGCCACCUCGUUGCUUCCUUGACGUCCACUCCAAGUCUCCUGGAUUGUGUUUGUUCGAAAAAUGAUUCUGCCGAAGGUUUCAUUCCGUUUGGACUCCGUUUGAUAUUCCUUUUCUGCGAAACACUGAAAUAGGCAAAAAAUAGCAAUUUGCACUGGGCCUCCGGUUAAUAGGUUAGUCCCAAAAAUAAUUUAAAAGUGCAUAAUAAAGCCCAUUAAACAUCCAAAACAGAUAAUAUAAUAGCAUGUAACAAUAAAAAAUUAUAGAUACGUUGGAGACGUAUCAAGCGGGCCAUCUUAAACGCCCAAGCACAGCGGAUUCAAGCGGACUCAUACCGGCUCUCAGUGGAUCAGAACGCCACAAAUGAAGUCCCGAGGAGAAAGCACCAGAGCCGUCUGCCCUUCGUCUAUGAUUCAAGGAACCUCUUCAAUACGCCUGGGGUAGGGGCCAGUAACCCACCAGGUUUAAAUCAGAUGACUGGAGCGCCAGGAGGUGGAACGCCGGUUCAGCCGCACGUGAUAGGUUCGCCGCAUAUGAAUAACAACCCGCCUCAGCAUGUGGUGACACCGCCGGGUCAUUACGCUACCCCUUUGGACAAUAUGAUUGCUGUAGCUAUGCGAUUGGCGGCUCCGCCAGUCGAGGGUGAGACUCCAACGGUGGUUGAAACCCGCAGGGCCAGGGAGCUUCUUCAAACAGCUUUGGUACAGUAGCAGGCCUACUCAUAUAGUCAUGACCGAAUUCAUUCGACCCCUCGUCCAAGCCGGAGCUACAGUAGGCACAUUGAUUCACCAGCAGUUUCGAGUACUGAGCGGCGUCGUAACCAACCUCAUGGUCACGACCCGGCGCGCAAUGGUGCCAAUGCAUAGGAUUUGGUGGAUCAGGGAAGAGCGCGCCGGGAGGCCGAGCUGGCGGCUCAUCAGCACGCGCCAGUUUACCCGACGGCUUCGGUUGAGGCAUGUGUAACUUCUAGAGCUUUCGGCGUGCCGUGUCUAACGACGGCUCUACGGAACGAGCGUUUGCCCAAGGACUUCAAAGGCCCUCGCAAGGUGCCCAAUUACACAGCAGAUCAGCCCCCUGAGGCUUGGGUGGAGAGUUAUGAGAUGGCUAUGGAGAUGCUGGAUGUUAGCGAGGCUACGUACGCUAAGUAUUUCACCAUGAUGCUGGAAGGGACGGCUCGUACCUGGUUGAAGGGGCUACCAGCUAACUCCAUCGGAUCAUGGGCAGAGCUGAAAGCCCGGUUUAUCCAGAAUUUCAAAGAUACAUGCAAGCAGCCCAUGUCGAUUGUGGAUUUGGUUUCUUGUGUUCAAGCUGAGGGCGAGUCAACAACCAGCUGGGUGCGCCGGGUCUCGACUAUCAUACAUUCUUCAGAUAACAUCAUUGUCGGUUCAGCGGUUCUAAUGUUGGAGAAAAAUUGCCGUUUCAUUCCACUCAAAUAGAAGCUUGGGCGGCUUAAGCGUCAUUGCAAUGACAUGGGGGAGCUUAUGGCGGCUCUUGUUAAGUAUGCCGACUCUGAUGGUACCAAGGACACCGACUCUGAAGAUGAAAGAUCGGGAAAGGGAAAGAAGAGUAGCGGCUUGAAGGGACAGCAGUACAACCCUGCCAGUCAGGGUGGCAAUGGUAAGCGCAAGGCUGAUGAUUUUGUGGCUAACACCGGUGCACGCAAUUAUAACCAGCGUCGUAAGGGACCACCGGUUCAAAGGACAGGGUUUGACCUUGAUGCAAUGUUAAGUCAGCCGUGUUAGGGACUCCAUCCAGCGCCACCAUGGCCCGAACGACGGAUCAGGGUCCGGUUCUCAUGGUCCGGGUCAAGGAGGCGGCGGUUCAAAUUCCGGGUUUCAAGGCCACGGUAACCAGGGUGGCUACAACCAGCAGAAUAAUCAGGGAAAUCAGCAGCAGCAGCAGUCUGGUUAUCAGAGCAACCCGAAGCAGUUGAAUAGUGGACAGUACCACGUCUUCACCACUAGCUUAUGUAAGCGGGAUCAGAAGCUUCAUAAGAGGCCAGUCAAUGCUGUUGAACCGGCAGUACCACGUUACUUGUGGUGGUCUGAGCAGCCUAUUGUGUGGAGUCGUGAGGAUCACCCGCCCCGGGUUGAUAAUCCGGGUCACCUGGCUCUGGUGGUGGCGCCUCAGGUUGGGGGCUAUAAGUUUACUAAGGUACUCAUGGAUGGAGGCAGCAACAUCAACAUACUUUACUAUGAGACCUUCCGUCGCAUGGGAUUGACUGACAAAAAUCUUAAUACAUCAAACACUGUUUUCCAUGGUGUGGUGCCGGGUAAGUCAGCCUACCCAGUGGGUAAGAUAUCUUUGGAGGUUGCCUUUGGAGAUGAGCAUGAUUCCAGAUCUGAGACUCUAACCUUUGAAGUGGUCAAGAUCAAGAGCCCUUAUCAUGCUCUGUUUGGGCGGCCGGCUUAUGCUAAGUUCAUGGCGAGGCCUUGUUAUGUUUACUUGCAGCUUAAGAUGCCAGGUUACAAGGGCACCAUCACCGUGCAUGGGAGUCGAAAGGUGGCCUUGGAAUAUGAAGAAGGUGAUGUUGCUUAUGCUGAAUCUGUUUGUGCAACGGAGGAGCUGAAAUUUUAUAAGGAUAACGUUGACCCGGCAGACAUGACAUCCUUGAAAAAGCCAACCACAGAGCAUGAUCCUUCGUUAAAGUUUAAGUCGGCAGAUGAGACUAAAUUGGUUGACUUUGUUCCUGGCAACUCAUCUAAGCAGUUCAACAUCAGUGCUAAUUUGGAUCUGAAAUAGGAAAGCGCGCUCAUUGGGUUCAUCCUUGAGAACUGGGACAUCUUCGCAUGGAAGACUUCAGACAUGCCAGGUGUACCGAGGGAACUCGCUGAGCACACUCUUAAUAUUGAUCCGAAAUUUAAGCCGGUCAGGCAAUUCCUUCAUCGUUUUAACGAUGAGAGGCAGAAGGCCAUUGGUGAAGAAGUGGCCCAGCUCUUGGCGGCUGGGUUCAUUGUUGAAGUUUUUCAUCCUGAGUGGUUGGCUAACCCAGUGUUGGUACUCAAGAAGAACGGCACUUGGCGAAUGUGUGUGGAUUACACAGACUUAAAUAAGGCUUGUCCGUCUAAUCCGUCUGCUCUCCCCCGUAUUGAUCAAAUCAUUGAUGCUACGACGGGUUGUGAGCGUCUGGGUUUUUGGGAUGCUUAUUCUGGUUAUCAUCAGAUCAAAAUGGCAGUUAAGGACCAGGAGAAGACGGCUUUCAUUACUCUGUUUGGAGCCUUCUGUUAUGUGUCUAUGCCUUUUGGGCUCAAGAGUGCCCAGGCGACUUACCAGCGGUGUGUGAAAUAUUGCCUUCAUAAUCAGAUUGGGCGUAAUGUUCAUGCUUAUGUAGAUGACAUCGUGGUGAAGUCCAGAAUGAAAGAGACCUUGAUUAAUGAUUUAAAGGAGACGUUUGACAAUCUCCGGGUCUACAAAAUGAUGCUUAACCCGGCCAAGUGUGUUUUUGGUGUACCAGCAGGCAAGCUCUUAGGUUUUCUGGUUUCUAACAGAGGCAUUGAAGCUAACCCGGAGAAGAUUAAGGCUAUUACCUCUCUGGCGAAGCCGAAGUGUGUCAAUGACGUCCAACGCUUGGCGGGUCGAAUUGCAGCUUUGAGCCGGUUCAUAAGCCGCCUCGGAGAAAAGGCCAUCCCUCUGUAUCAGAUGAUGAAGAAAACAGAUGACUUCGUUUGGAGUGAUGCUGCUAAUGAGGCGUUCGAGGCACUUACGAAGCAGCUGGCUGAGCCGCCGGUUCUUGCUGCUCCUAUUGAUAAAGAGCCUCUGUUGUUAUAUGUGGCUGCCAAUGGCCGGGUUGCCAGUGUAGCUAUUGUGGUGGAAAGGAAAGAGGCAGGCAAGGAGUACCCGGUUCAAUGGCCGGUUUACUACAUCAGUGAGGUACUUAUUGAGUCCAAGCAGAGGUAUCCGCACUGGCAGAAGCUUGUGUAUGGGGUCUUCAUGGCAAGUCGGAAGCUUAAGCAAUAUUUUCAGGGUCACCCCAUUACUGUGGUUAGCUCUGUUCCUUUGGGAGAUAUCAUCCAAAAUAGAGAAGCCACAGGAUGAGUCGCCAAGUGGGCCAUUGAGCUUGGACCCCAUGAUCUGAAAUAUGUGCCUCGCACGGCCAUCAAGUCACAGGCAGUCGUGGAUUUUAUCAAUGACUGGACAGAAUUGCAGGCGCCUGAAGAAAAACCGAAUAACACAUACUGGACUAUUCACUUUGAUGGAUCCAGGCAGUUGGAGCGCUCGGGGGCUGGAGUUGUAUUGACAUCCCCACGAGGUGAUAAAUUUUCUUAUGUUCUCCGGUUAAUGUUCCCUUGUACUAACAAUGCAGCUGAGUAUGAGGCCUUGCUCCAUGGUCUUCGGAUGGCUAAAGAGAUGAAUUUAAGCCGGGUGAGGUGCUUUGGCGAUUCAGAUCUGGUGGCUCAGCAAGUUUCUGGUACAUGGGAUUCUAAGGAUCCACUCAUGGCGGCUUAUCGCCGUGAGGUUGAUGCUAUUGCAGGUCAUUUCAAGGGUUAUCAAGUUGAGCAUAUUGAUCGCAGGAAGAACGAGGUGGCUGAUACUUUAAGCCGGCUAGGGUCUCAGCGAAAGCCGGUGCCACCUAACACGUUUCUGGAUAUUUUGCUUAACCCUUCUGUCAAAUUACCUUCAGAAGAAGAUCUUGCUGUCCCUGACCCAGAAGCACAAUUGGUGGCGGCUCUUCAUGCUAUUCCUGAUUGGACAGUUCCGUAUUUGGCUUACAUGACCCGAGGUGAGUUGCCAGAGGAUGAGAUUUUGGCCAGACUGAUAACCCGGCGGUCUAAGACAAUGUCAAUUGUCAAUGGGGAGUUGCACCAUCGCAGUGUCACAGGGGCGUUUCAGCGCUGCGUCUCUCCUGAAGAAGGCUGUGAGAUUCUACGGGAGAUUCAUGAAGGAGAUUGUGGUCAUCAUGAUGGCUCUAAAUCUCUUGUAGCCAAGGCUUUUCGUCAUAGUUUUUAUUGGUUGAUGGCUCAUGCUGAUGCAGAGGAUUUGGUCAGCAAGUGUGACGGUUGUCAGAAGUUUUCACGACGAGCUCAUGUUCCGGCUCAAGAAUUGAGGAUGAUUAAAAUUACUUGGCCGCGACUUGGGGGCUUGAUAUGGUUGGGCCUUUCAAGAGGUCCAAGGAUAAGAAAACCCACCUUUUGGUGGCAGUUGAUAAGUUUACCAAGUGGGUUGAAGCAGAGCCGGUUAGUAAGUGUGAUGCAACAACGACGGUUCAAUUCAUCAAGAAGGUGAUCUUUCGUUUUGGCUUUUGAUACAUCUCCAUCGUAUCUACUUUUCCAAACACUUUUGCCCUUGUUUUGGACUCUAACUUGUAUGAUUUGAAUGGAACUAACCCGGACUGACGUUGUUUUCAGCAGAAUUGCCAUGGUGCUAUUUUUGUGCAGAAAUAAAAGUUCUCGAAAUGACCUGAAACUUCACGGGGAAUAUUUUUGGAAUUUAUAAAAAAUACUGGCGAAAGAAUCAAGACUAGGGGGCCCACACCUUGUCCACGAGGGUGGGGGCGCGCCUGCCCCCCUGGGCGCGCCCCCUGUCUCGUGGGCCCCCUCCACCGACCUCAACUCUAAUUCUAUAUAUUCACGUUCGGGGAGAAAAAAAAUCAGAGAGAAAGAUUCAUCGCGUUUUACGAUACGGAGCUGCCGCCAAGCCCUAAUCUCUCUCGGGAGGGCUGAUUUGGAGUCCGUUCGGGGCUCCGGAGAGGGGAAUCCGUCGCCGUCGUCAUCAUCAACCAUCCUCCACCACCAAUUUCAUGAUGAUCACCGCCGUGCUUGAGUAAUUCUAUCGUAGGCUUGCUGGACGGUGAUGGGUUGGAUGAGAUUUAUCAUGUAAUCGAGUUAGUUUUGUUAGGGUUUGAUCCCUAGUAUCCACUAUGUUCUGAGAUUGAUGUUGCUAUGACUUUGCUAUGCUUAAUGCUUGUCACUAGGGCCCGAGUGCCAUGAUUUCAGAUCUGAACCUAUUAUUUUUUCAUGAAUAAAUGUGAGUUCUCGAUCCUAUCUUGCAAGUCAAUAGUUACCUACUAUGUGUUAUGAUCCGGCAACCCCGAAGUGACAAUAAUCGGGACCACUCCCGGUGAUGACCGUAGUUUGAGGAGUUCAUGUAUUCACUAAGUGUUGAUGCUUUGGUCCGGUACUCUAUUAAAAAAGGCAUUAAUAUCCCUUAGUUUCCAAUAGGACCCCGCUGCCACGGGAGGGUAGGACAAAAGAUGUCAUGCAAGUUCUUUUCCAUAAGCACGUAUGACUAUAUUCGGAAUACAUGCCUACAUUAUAUUAAUGAAUUGGAGCUAGUUCUGUGUCACCCUAUGUUAUAACUGUUGCAUGAAGAAUCGCAUCCGACAUAAUUAUCCAUCAUUGAUCCAAUGCCUAUGAGCUUUUCACAUAUUGAUCUUUGCUUAGUUACUUUACCGUUGUCACUGUUACAAUUACUACCAAACUGCUACUGUUACCUUUGCCACUGUUACCGUUACUUCCAUACUACUUUGCUACUAAAUACUUUGCUGCAGAUAAUAAGUUAUCCAGGUGUGGUUGAAUUGACAACUCAACUGCUUAUACUUGAGAAUAUUAUUUGGCUCCCCUUGUGUAGAAUCAAUAAAUUUGGGUUGACUCUACCCUCGAAAACUGUUGCGAUCCCCUAUACUUGUGGGUUAUCAAGACUAUUUUCUAGCACCGUUGCCGCGGAGCAUAGCUCUAUUCUUUGAGUCACUUGGGAUUUAUAUCUGCUGGUCACUAUGAGGAACUUGAAAGAUGAGAAAACCAAGAUUUAUCCCUCAACUACGAGGGGAAGUAAGGAACUGCCAUCUAGCUCUGCACUUGAUUCACCUUCUGUUUUGAGUAAACUUGCGACACCUAAACCUGCUUCUGCUAUUAAUUCUGAUAUGUCGCAUGUUAUUGAUGAUGCCACUUCUGCUUUGCAUGAUAUUUAUGAUGAAACUACUUCUAUGCUUGAUAAUACUGUGCCACUAGGUGAAUUUCUUGAUGAACAACUUGCUAGGGCUAGAGAGAAUGAAAUUAUUGAAACUAAUAAUAUUGAUGAAAGUGAUGAUGAAGAUUCUCCCCCCUAGAUAUGAAUUGCAUGUUGUGCCUGAGGGUUAUGUUAUGGAUGAAGAAACUGCUAGAGACUUUCUUGCUUGCAAUGAUAGAUAUGAUCUUAAGAAAUUAUUAGCUAAGCUGAAAGAAAAGUCUUUGAAUGCUAGAAUGAAAUAUGACCCUGCUUUUGCUACUUCACCUAUCUGUAUCACUGAUAAGGAUUAUGAUUUCUCUGCUAAACAAGAAAACUUCAAUGCUUAUGUUGGUAGACAAUUGAAACGUAAUGCUUAUAUGAUUGAGCACUUGAGUGAUUAUAUGUCCAGAGUUAAAGGUGAACUUAAAGUUAUUAGUAAACAUGCUUCUAUGGUUACCACUCAAGUAGAGUGCUUAAAGCUCAAAAUGAUUUGCUCAAUGAAUUAAAUAAUAAGAAAAAUGAUAAUGCUGUUAGAGUUAUGACUAGAGGGGGUAAAAUGACUCAGGAACCUUUGUAUCCCGAGGGCCACCCUAAGAGAAUUGAGCAAGAUUCUCAGAGAACUAAUGUUGAUGCACCUAGUCCUUUUAAGAGGAAGAAAAAGAAAAAUGAUAGGACUUUGCAUGCUGCUAGUGAACCUGUUGUUGAUACACUUGAGAAUCCCAAUGAUAUUUCUAUUUCUGAUGCUGAAACACAAUCUGGUGAUGAACAUGAACCCAGUGAUAAUGUUAAUGAUGAUGUUCAUGUUGAUGCUCAACCUAGCAAUUACAAUGACGUAGAGAUUGAACCUACAGUUGAUCUUGAUAACCCACAAUCAAAGAAUCAAUGUUAUGAUAAGAGAGACUUUCUCGCUAGGAAGCAUGGUAAGGAAAGAGAACCAUGGGUUUAGAAACCCAUGCCUUUUCCUCCUAAACCAUCCAAGAAAAAGGAUGAUGAGUAUUUUGAGCGCUUUGCUGAAAUGAUUAGACCUAUCUUUUUGCGUAUGCGUUUGACUGAUAUGCUUAAAAUGAAUCCUUAUGCUAAGUAUAUGAAGGAAAUUGUUACAAAUAAAAGAAAGAUACUGGAAGCUGAAAUUUCCACCAUGCUUGCUAAUUAUAGUUUUAAGGGUGGAAUACCUAAGAAACUAGGAGAUCGAGGAGUACCAACUAUACCAUGCUCCAUUAAAAGAAACUAUGUUAAAACUACGUUAUGUGAUCUUGGAGUCGGUGUUAGUGUUAUGCCUCUCUCUUUAUAUCGUAGACUUGAUUUGAAUAAGUUGACACCUACUAAAAUAUCCUUCCAAAUGGCCGAUAAAUCAAUCGCUAUACCUGUCGGUAUUUGUGAGGAUGUGCCUGUUGUGGUUCCAAACGUUACUAUCUUAACAAACUUUGUUAUACUUGAUAUUCCCGAGGACGAUAGUAUGUCGAUUAUCCUGUUGGAGAUCGUUGCAGAAUUUUAAAAUUUUCUACGCAUCACCAAGAUCCAUCUAUGGAGUUUACUAGCAACGAGAGGGAAGGAGUGCAUCUACAUACCCUUGUAGAUCGCGAGCGGAAGCGUUCAAGUGAACGGGGUUGAUGGAGUCGUACUCGUCGUGAUCCAAAUCACCGAUGACCGAGCGCCGAACGGACGGCACCUCCGCGUUCAACACACGUACGGAGCAGCGACGUCUCCUCCUUCUUGAUCCAGCAAGGGGAAAGGAGAGGUUGAUGGAGAUCCAGCAGCACGACGGCGUGGUGGUGGAAGUAGCGGGGAUCCCGGCAGGGCUUCGCCAAGCGCAAGCGGGAGGGAGAGGUGUCACGGGAGGGAGAGGGAGGCGCCAGGGGCUGUGGUGCGGCUGCCCUCCCUCCCCCNNNNNNNNNNNNNNNNNNNNNNNNNNNNNNNNNNNNNNNNNNNNNNNNNNNNNNNNNNNNNNNNNNNNNNNNNNNNNNNNNNNNNNNNNNNNNNNNNNNNNNNNNNNNNNNNNNNNNNNNNNNNNNNNNNNNNNNNNNNNNNNNNNNNNNNNNNNNNNNNNNNNNNNNNNNNNNNNNNNNNNNNNNNNNNNNNNUGGAGAUCCCAUCUGAGGGGGGGGGGGGGUGGCGGCCAAGGGGGUGGCUUGCCCCCCAAGCCAAGUGGGGCGCCCCCACCCCUAGAGUUUCCAACCCUAGGCGCAGGGGAGGCCCAAGGGGGGCGCACCAGACCACCAGUGGCUGGUUCCCCUCCCCACUUCAGCCCAUGGGGCCCUCCGGGAUAGGUGGCCCCACCCGGUGGACCCCCGAGACCCUUCCGGUGGUCCCGGUACAAUACCGAUAACCCCCGAAACAUUCCCGGUGGCCGAAACUAGACUUCCUAUAUAUAAUUCUUCACCUCCGGACCAUUUCGGAACUCCUCGUGACGUCCGCGAUCUCAUACGGGACUCCAAACAACUUUCGGGUUACCGCAUACUAAUAUCUCUACAACCCUAGCGUCACCGAACCUUAAGUGUGUAGACCCUACGGGUUCGGGAGACAUGCAGACAUGACCGAGACGCCUCUUCGGUCAAUAACCAACAGCGGGAUCUGGAUACCCAUGUUGGCUCCCACAUGUUCCACGAUGAUCUCAUCGGAUGAACCACGAUGUCGAGGAUUCAAUCAAUCCCGUAUACAAUUCCCUUUGUCAAUCGGUACGUUACUUGCCCGAGAUUCGAUCGUCGGUAUCCCAAUACCUUGUUCAAUCUCGUUACCGGCAAGUCACUUUACUCGUACCGUAAUGCAUGAUCCCGUGACCAGACACUUGGUCACAUUGAGCUCAUCACGAUGAUGCAUUACCGAGUGGGCCCAGAGAUACCUCUCCGUCAUACGGAGUGACAAAUCCCAGUCUCGAUCCGUGCCAACCCAAGAGACACUUUCGGAGAUACCCGUAGUGCACCUUUAUAGUCACCCAGUUACGUUGUGACGUUUGGUACACCCAAAGCACUCCUACGGCAUCCGGGAGUUGCACAAUCUCAUGGUCUAAGGAAAUGAUACUUGACAUUGGAAAAGCUCUAGCAAACAAACUACACGAUCUUUUGUGCUAUGCUUAGGAUUGGGUCUUGUCCAUCACAUCAUUCUCCUAAUGAUGUGAUCCCGUUAUCAAUGACAUCCAAUGUCCAUAGUCAGGAAACCAUGACUAUCUGUUGAUCAAUGAGCCAGUCAACUAGAGGCUCACUAGGGACAUGUUGUGGUCUAUGUGUUCACACAUGUAUUACGAUUUCCGGAUAACACAAUUAUAGCAUGAACAAUAGACAAUUAUCAUGAACAAGGAAAUAUAAUAAUAACCAUUUUAUUAUUGCCUCUAGGGCAUAUUUCCAACAGUCUCCCACUUGCACUAGAGUCAAUAAUAUAGUUACAUUGUGAUGAAUCGAACACCCAUAGAGUUCUAGUGUUGAUCAUGUUUUGCUCUAGGGAGAGGUUUAGUCAAUGGAUCUGCUACAUUCAGGUCCGUAUGUACUUUACAAAUAUCUAUGUCUCCAUUCUGAACACUUUCACGAAUGGAGUUGAAGCGACGCUUGAUAUGCCUGGUCUUCCUGUGAAACCUGGGCUCCUUGGCAAGGGCAAUGGCUCCAGUGUUGUCACAGAAGAGAGUCAUCGGGCCCGACGCAUUGGGAAUCACCCCUAGGUCGGUAAUGAACUCCUUUAUCCAGACUCCUUCCUGUGCUGCCUCUGAGGCCGCCAUGUACUCCGCUUCACAAGUAGAUCCCGCCACGACGCUUUGCUUGCAACUGCACCAGCUUACUGCCCCUCCAUUCAAAAUAUACACGUAUCCGGUUUGUGACUUAUAGUCAUCCAGAUCUGUGUCGAAGCUAGCGUCGACGUAACCCUUUACGACGAGCUCUUCGUCACCUCCAUAAACGAGAAACAUAUCCUUAGUCCUUUUCAGGUACUUCAGGAUAUUCUUGACCGCUGUCCAGUGUUCCAUGCCGGGAUUACUUUGGUACCUUCCUACCAAACUUACGGCAAGGUUUACAUCAGGUCUGGUACACAGCAUGGCAUACAUAAUAGACCCUAUGGCCGAGGCAUAGGGGAUGACACUCAUCUUUUCUCUAUCUUCUGCCGUGGUCGGGCAUUGAGCCGUGCUCAAUUGCACGCCUUGCAAUACAGGCAAGAACCCCUUCUUGGACUGAUCCAUAUUGAACUUCUUCAAUAUCUUGUCAAGGUACGUACUCUGUGAAAGACCAAUGAGGCGUCUUGAUCUAUCUCUAUAGAUCCCGAUGCCUAAUAUGUAAGCAGCUUCUCCAAGGUCCUUCAUUGAAAAACACUUAUUCAAAUAGGCCUUUAUACUUUCCAAGAAUUAUAUAUCAUUUCCCAUCAAUAGUAUGUCAUCCACAUAUAAUAAGAGAAAUGCUACAGAGCUCCCACUCACUUUCUUGUAAACACAGGCUUCUCCAUAAGUCUGUGUAAACCCAUACGCUUUGAUCAUCUCAUCAAAUCGAAUGUUCCAACUCCGAGAUGCUUGCACCAGCCCAUAGAUGGAGCGCUGGAGCUUGCAUACCUUGUUAGCAUUCUUAGGAUCGACAAAACCUUCCGGCUGCAUCAUAUACAAUUCUUCCUUAAGAAAGCCGUUAGGGAAUGCCGUUUUGACGUCCAUCUGCCAUAUCUCAUAAUCAUAGUAUGCGGCAAUUGCUAACAUGAUUCGGACGGACUUCAGCUUCGCUACGGGUGAGAAAGUCUCAUCGUAGUCAACCCCUUGAACUUGUCGAUAACCCUUAGCGACAAGUCGAGCCUUAUAGAUGGUCACAUUACCAUCCGCGUCUGUCUUCUUCUUAAAGAUCCAUUUAUUUUCUAUGGCUCGCGGAUCAUCGGGCAAGUCAGUCAAAGUCCAUACUUCAUUUUCAUACAUGGAUCCUAUCUCGGAUUGCAUGGCUUCAAGCCAUUUGUUGGAAUCCGGGCCCGCCAUUGCUUCUUCAUAGUUCGAAGGUUCACCGUUGUCUAACAACAUGAUUUCCAGGACAGGGUUGCCGUACCACUAUGGUGCAGAACAUGUCCUUGUGGACCUAUGAAGUUCAGCAGUAACUUGAUCCGAAGCUUCAUGAUCAUCAUCAUUAACUUCCUCCCCAGGCGGUGUAGGCACCACAGGAACAUCUUCCCGCGCUAUGCUACUUUCCGGUUCGGAAGGGCUGACUAUCACCUCAUCAAGUUCCACUUUCCUCCCACUCAAUUCUUUCGAGCGAAACUCUUUCUCCAGAAAGGACCCGUUCUUGGCAACAAAGAUCAUGCCUUCGGAUCUGAGGUAGAAGGUAUACCCAAUAGUUUCCUUGGGGUAUCCUAUGAAGACGCAUUUCUCCGACUUGGGUUCGAGCUUUUCAGGUUGAAGGUUCUUGACAUACGCAUCGCAUCCCCAAACUUUUAGAAACGAUAGCUUAGGUUUCUUCCCAAACCAUAAUUCAUAUGGUGUCGUCUCAACGGAUUUCGACGGAGCCCUAUUUAAAGUGAGUGCGGCAGUCUCUAAAGCAUAGCCCCAAAAUGAGAGCGGUAGAUCCGUAAGAGACAUCAUAGAUCGCACCAUAUCCAAUAGAGUGCGAUUACGACGUUCGGACACACCAUUUCGCUGAGGUGUUCCAGGCGGCGUGAGUUGUGAAACGAUUCCACAUUUCCUUAAGUGUGUGCCAAAUUCGUGACUCAAAUAUUCUCCUCCACGAUCUGAUCGUAAGAACUUUAUUUUCCUGUCACGUUGAUUCUCAACCUCACUCUGAAAUUCCUUGAACUUUUCAAAGUUCUCAGACUUGUGUUUCAUUAGGUAGACAUACCCAUAUCUACUUAAGUCAUCAGUGAGAGUGAGAACAUAACGAUAGCCACCGCGAGCCUCAACACUCAUUGGACCGCACACAUCGGUUUGUAUGAUUUCCAAUAAGUUGGUUGCUCGCUCUAUUGUUCCGGAGAACAGAGUCUUGGUCAUCUUACCCAUGAGGCAUGGUUCGCACGUGUCAAAUGAUUCGUAAUCAAGAGACUCCAAAAGUCCAUCUGCAUGGAGCUUCUUCAUGCGCUUGACACCAAUGUGACCAAGGCGGCAGUGCCACAAGUAUGUGGGACUAUCAUGAUCAACUUUACAUCUUUUGGUAUUCACACUAUGAAUAUGUGUAACAUCACGUUCGAGAUUCAUUAAGAAUAAACCAUUGACCAGCGGGGCAUGACCAUAAAACAUAUCUCUCAUAUAAAUAGAACAACCAUUAUUCUCGGAUUUAAAUGAGUAGCCAUCUCGCAUUAAACGAGAUCUAGAUACAAUGUUCAUGCUCAAAGCUGGCACUAAAUAACAAUUAUUGAGGUUUAAAACUAAUCCCGUAGGUAAAUGCAGAGGUAGUGUGCCGACGGCGAUCACAUCGACCUUGGAACCAUUCCCGACGCGCAUCGUCACCUCGUCCUUCGCCAGUCUCCGCUUAUUCCGCAGCUCCUGUUUUGAGUUACAAAUAUGAGCAACCGCAUCGGUAUCAAAUACCCAGGAGCUACUACGAGUACUGGUAAGGUACACAUCAAUUACAUGUAUAUCACAUAUACCUUUGGUGUUGCCGGCCUUCUUGUCCGCUAAGUAUUUGGGGCAGUUCCGCUUCCAGUGACCACUUCCCUUGCAAUAAAAGCACUCAGUCUCAGGCUUGGGCCCAUUCUUUGACUUCUUCCCGGCAACUGGCUUACCGGGCGCGGCAACUCCCUUGCCGUCCUUCUUGAAGUUCUUCUUACCCUUGCCUUUCUUGAACUUAGUGGUUUUAUUCACCAUCAACACUUGAUGUUCCUUUUUGAUCUCCACCUCCGCUGAUUUCAGCAUUGAAUAUACCUCAGGAAUGGUCUUUUCCAUCCCCUGCAUAUUGAAGUUCAUCACAAAGCUCUUGUAGCUUGGUGGAAGCAACUGAAGGAUUCUGUCAAUGACCGCGUCAUCUGGGAGAUUAACUCCCAGCUGAGACAAGCGGUUGUGUAACCCAGACAUUUUGAGUAUGUGCUCACUGACAGAACUAUUUUCCUCCAUUUUACAACUGAAGAACUUGUCGGAGACUUCAUAUCUCUCGACUCGGGCAUGAGCUUGGAAAACCAUUUUCAGCUCUUCGAACAUCUCAUAUGCUCCAUGUUUCUCAAAACGCUUUUGGAGCCCCGGUUCUAAGUUGUAAAGCAUGCCGCACUGAACGAGGGAGUAAUCAUCAGCACGUGAUUGCCAAGCGUUCAUAACGUCUUGGUUCUCUGGGAUGGGUGCUUCACCUAGCGGUGCUUCUAGGACAUAAUCUUUCUUGGCAGCUAUGAGGAUGAUCCUCAGGUUCCGGACCCAGUCCAUAUAGUUGCUGCCAUCAUCUUUCAGCUUGGUUUUCUCUAGGAAGGCGUUCAAGUUGAGGGCAACGUGGGCCAUUUGAUCUACAAGACAUAUUGUAAAGAUUUUAGACUAAGUUCAUGAUAAUUAAGUUCAUCUAAUCAAAUUAUUCAAUGAACUCCCACUCAGAUAGACAUCCCUCUAGUCAUCUAAGUGAAACAUGAUCCGAGUUAACUAGGACGUGUCCGAUCAUCACGUGAGACGGACUAGUCAAGAUAGGUGAACAUCUUCAUGUUGAUCGUAUCUUCUAUACGACUCAUGCUCGACCUUUCGGUCUUCCAUGUUCCGAGGCCAUGUCUGUACAUGCUAGGCUCGUCAAGUCAACCUAAGUGUAUUGCGUGUGUUCCGAGGCCAUGUCAGUACAUGCUAGGCUCGUCAACACCCGUUGUAUGCGAACAUUAGAAUCUAUCACACCCGAUCAUCACGUGGUGCUUCGAAACAACGAACCUUCGCAACGGUGCACAGUUAGGGGGAACACUCUCUUGAAAUUAUUAUAAGGGAUCAUCUUACUUACUACCGUCGUACUAAGCAAAUAAGAUGUAAAACAUGAUAAACAUCACAUGCAAUCAAAUAGUGACAUGAUAUGGCCAAUAUCAUUUUGCUCCUUUGAUCUCCAUCUUCGGGGCGCCAUGAUCAUCUUCGUCACCGGCAUGACACCAUGAUCUCCAUCAUCAUGAUCUCCAUCAUCGUGUCUUCAUUAAGUUGUCACGCCAACGAUUACUUCUACUUCUAUGGCUAACGUGUUUAGCAAUAAAGUAAAGUAAUUUACAUGGCGUUAUUCAAUGACACGCAGGUCAUACAAAAAAUAAAAACAACUCCUAUGGCUCCUGCCGUUUGUCAUACUCAUCGACAUGCAAGUUGUGAUUCCUAUUACAAGAACAUGAUCAAUCUCAUACAUCACAUAUAUCUCAUUCAUCACAUCCUUUUGGCCAUAUCACAUCACAAGGCACAUGCUGCAAAAACAAGUUAGACGGCCUCUAAUUGUUGUUGCAAGUUUUUACGUGGCUUCUAUAGGUUUCUAGCAAGAACGUUUCUUACCUACGUAAAACCACAACGUGAUAUGCCAAUUUCUAUUUACCCUUCAUAAGGACCCUUUUCAUCGAAUCCGUUCCGACUAAAGUGGGAGAGACAGACACCCCCUAGCCACCUUAUGCAACUAGUGCAUGUCAGUCGGUGGAACCUGUCUCACGUAAGCGUACGUGUAAGGUCGGUCCGGGCCGCUUCAUCGCACAAUACCGCCAAAACAAGAUAAGACUAGUAGUGGCAAGAAAAAUUGACAACAUCUACGCCCACAACUGCUUUGUGUUCUACUCGUGCAUAGUAACGACGCAUAGGCCUGGCUCAUGAUGCCACUGUUGGAGAUCAUUGCAGAAUUUUAAAAUUUUCUACGCAUCACCAAGAUCCAUCUAUGGUGUUUACUAGCAACGAGAGGGAAGGAGUGCAUCUACAUACCCUUGUAGAUCGCGAGCGGAAGCGUUCAAGUGAACGGGGUUGAUGGAGUCGUACUCGUCGUGAUCCAAAUCACCGAUGACCGAGCGCCGAACGGACGGCACCUCCGCGUUCAACACACGUACGGAGCAGCGACGUCUCCUCCUUCUUGAUCCAGCAAGGGGAAAGGAGAGGUUGAUGGAGAUCCAGCAGCACGACAGCGUGGUGGUGGAAGUAGCGGGGAUCCCGGCAGGGCUUCGCCAAGCGCAAGCGGGAGGGAGAGGUGUCACGGGAGGGAGAGGGAGGCGCCAGGGGCUAGGGUACUGCUUCCCUCCCUCCCCCACUAUAUAUAGGGGUCCUGGGGGGGGGGGCGCCGGCCCCCUGGAGAUCCCAUCUGAGGGGGGGCGGCGGCCAAGGGGGUGGCUUGCCCCCCAAGCCAAGUGGGGCGCCCCCCACCCCCAGGGUUUCCAACCCUAGGCACAGGGGAGGCCCAAGGGGGGCGCACCAGCCCACCAGUGGCUGGUUCCCCUCCCCACUUCAGCCCAUGGGGCCCUCCGGGAUACGUGGCCCCACCCGAUGGACCCCCGGGACCCUUCCGGUGGUCCCGGUACAAUACCGAUAACCCCCGAUACUUUCCCGGUGGCCGAAACUAGACUUCCUAUAUAUAAUUCUUCACCUCCGGACCAUUCCGGAACUCCUCGUGACGUCCGGGAUCUCAUCCGGGACUCCGAACAACUUUCGGGUUACCGCAUACUAAUAUCUCUACAACCCUAGCGUCACCGAACCUUAAGUGUGUAGACCCUACGGGUUCGGGAGACAUGCAGACAUGACCGAGACGCCUCUCCGGUCAAUAACCAACAGCGGGAUCUGGAUACCCAUGUUGGCUCCCACAUGUUCCACGAUGAUCUCAUCGGAUGAACCACGAUGUCGAGGAUUCAAUCAAUCCCGUAUACAAUUCCCUUUGUCAAUCGGUACGUUACUUGCCCGAGAUUCGAUCGUCGGUAUCCCAAUACCUUGUUCAAUCUCGUUACCGGCAAGUCACUUUACUCGUACCGUAAUGCAUGAUCCCGUGACCAGGCACUUGGUCACAUUGAGCUCAUUAUGAUGAUGCAUUACCGAGUGGGCCCAGAGAUACCUCUCUGUCAUACGGAGUGACAAAUCCCAGUCUCGAUCCGUGCCAACCGAACAGACACUUUCGGAGAUACCCGUAGUGCACCUUUAUAGUCACCCAGUUACGUUGUGACGUUUGGUACACCCAAAGCACUCCUACGGCAUCCGGGAGUUGCACUAUCUCAUGGUCUAAGGAAAUGAUACUUGACAUUGGAAAUGCUCUAGCAAACGAACUACACGAUCUUUUGUGCUAUGCUUAGGAUUGGGUCUUGUCCAUCACAUCAUUCUCCUAAUGAUGUGAUCCCGCUAUCAAUGACAUCCAAUGUCCAUAGUCAGGAAACCAUGACUAUCUGUUGAUCAACGAGCCAGUCAACUAGAGGCUCACUAGGGACAUGUUGUGGUCUAUGUGUUCACACAUGUAUUACGAUUUCCGAAUAACCCAAUUAUAGCAUGAACAAUAGACAAUUAUCAUGAACAAGGAAAUAUAAUAAUAACCAUUUUAUUAUUGCCUCUAGGGCAUAUUUCCAACAUAUCCUUGGUAGACCCUUUUAGAAUACUGCAGGGGCUGUUAUUGAUUGCAACAAAGGCAAUGUCACUUUUCAUCUUAAUGGUAAUGAGCAUACGGUACACUUUCCGAGAAAACAACCUCAAGUCCACAGUAUCAAUUCUAUUGGAAAAAUUCCAUCGAUAAUUAUUGGAGGCUUUAAAUUUCCUCUUCCUACUGUCAAAAAGAAAUAUGAUAUUCUUAUUGUUGGGGAUGUGCAUAUCCCUGUUGAGGUAACCUAGUGCUAUUCGAAAAUUCUCCGGUUUCAUGCUACUCGGAAUGAGUUUGUUAACAAGACUUGAUCAACCUUGUUAGUGGAUUCCUUUUGAUGAGCAUGAGAUGGAUGAAGUUAGAAAGCACAACUCUCUGUACCCUCCUUUUACUUUCUGUUAUUUAGAUAAAUGAAGCAAAAAUAGUGUUUUCUGUCUGUUUUCUGAAUUAUCCGUGCAAUAAAAAAAUACCCCGAAAAUAAAAGUUCUCCAAAUGCCCUGAAAUUGAAAUAUGAUUUUUUCUAGAAUAUUUAAGAAUAUCUGGCACUGAGAAAACCAGGGGGAGCCACCACCUGGCCACGAGGGUCCAGGGCGCGCCCUCCCCCUGGGCGCGCCCCCUGCCUCAUGGGCCCCACAUGGCCCCCUCCACUUAUUCCAGCACCCACACACUUCGUCUUCCUCCAGAAAAAAAUCACUAUACAGCUCAAACUCGUGUUCCAGCUCGUUUUGCUGCAAUUUUCGAUCUCCUUGCUCAAAGCUCCGUUCACAAAACUGCUUUGGGGGAUUGUUCUUCGGUAUGUGACUCCUCCAAUGGUCCAAUUAGGUUUUGUUCUAGUGAUUUAUUCAUUGCAAAUUUUUGCUGCUUAGGUGACCCUGUUCUUGAGCUUGCAUGUCAAAUUUAUUUGGUCCUAGUUAGUUCUAAUGCAUGAUAUAGUCUCUAGGCACUUGUGGGAGUAGUUGCUAUCAAUUUUGUUGAGUUUGGUUCACUUUUAUUUUGAGUCAUUAAAAAUUUCAGAAAAUUUUCAGAGGAAGAAAUAUGUUUAGGAAAAUGUACCAAGGUGGUUCUUCAAGGAAGCAAGGGCCCAGGCCUGCAAUACGUGAGCCGGACCAUGAACCACCAAGAGAAGCUCAAGUGCGGCCUUGUGAAUGGCCGUCAGAAAAUUUCAUGGUACGAGCAGGAAUUAAGGAUGAAUUUGACGCGUAUGUGCGUAAUGCUGAACUCGAGGGCUUCGUGUCAGAUAAGUGCCCCCAACAUUACUACCUAACUGAUUCCUUUGUGAGAAGGUUUAAAUUUACAUCAUCACGCAACUCUCACAUGGUCUUGUUUGAUCUUUAUGAUAAAUCUUAUACCAUGGAUUUAGAGGAUUUUAAUACUGCUUGUAAACUCCCGCAGUGGGGUAGUGCUAGUGAACCUCGCAAAUAUGAAUAUAAAGACUUUCUUGCUCGUAUAACUGUGGGGGAAUCUAGGGAAAUCACGCAAGCUACCAUAGGGAGUAUUCAUUUUCCUGCCAUACAUUAUUUUGCUCUCUUUAUAGAUAGAUGCAUCAACGGAAAGGACGAGGCAUGUCACAUGUGCGUCCCCGAUCUUAGUGUUCUCAGGAGCGCUGUAUUAGGAGAUAAACAAUAUAACUUGGGAGCUAUUGUUGCACGAAGGUUGCAUCAUAACAGUAUUAGCGGAGAUUUGUUUGGUGGAAUUUAUGCAACCCGUUUAGCUAAUUUUCUUGAGGUACCCAUUCAUGAAAAUGAUAUGGAGUUGCCUCUUGCUUAUCUACAUUGUAAUGCUAUGGUUCGUCAUCAGUUUGUUGAGAGGAAUGACCAAUUCCUCCAAUACCGACUAAUCUUUGACAGACGUCGCACUGUCCACAUUGUUCUCCCUGCUCCUGCUUUCUUUGACUUUCAGGCAAAAGGGAGAUAUGUUAUAACCAGGGAGGAGGCGAACGAGUAUGAGAGUAGGACGGAGGCAGCUCGCCUCCAAGCUGUAGCACAUCAGGAAAUAGCCCCUGCACCUCAGUACGACCCCAGUUACAACUUCGGAUAUCCGCCAGGCCAGUCGUGGCCAUAGACCAACUUAGGCCAAAAGCCUAAGCUUGGGGGAGUACGUAUUUCUCACCAACAAUACAUUCAUGUUCACACAUUCAUUCUAGUUGUCGGUGCUCAUACUUUUUCAUUGUACUAUCCAUGCUAGUUUAUUUUCCUUUUUCCUGCUUUCUUCUUGUGUGUUUGAAAAACCUUAAGGAAAAAAAAAUUAGUUGUGGCUUUUAGCUAGUUUAAUUUUCAUGCUUGUAGUAGUAAUUAAAAGAAAACCCAAAAAGAUUUCUCGUUCUUCUUUUGCUUGUUGGGAGCUUUCCCGUGUAAAUAGUUUUAUUUCUUUUCCUUUCUUUGGGGGUCGAGAGGAGAAGACCAAGAUGAAAAUGUUGAAGUGGCUCUUAUAUGCAUUAUUGUUGAUUUAACCAGGAGCCCAUAUUACCUUGUCUUCUCCCUUGAAUUAAAUGCUUGCAGAUUCCAGCUUAGUCCAAUGCACGUGCACUAUUAUUAUUAUUAUCCACACCGUUCGGUAGUGUGGACUGAUUGAGAUAAGGGAAGUUGGUAUGAACUCGACCUCUCUUGUUUUUGUAAAUAUGAUUAGUUCAUCGUUCCUGAUUCAGCCUAUUAUGAAUGAACAUGUUUGCAAUGACAAUUAGAGAUUAUAGUUGCUUAUGCCAUGCUUAAUUAGCUAGGAGUUUAUAAUGCUUUAAUUUGCGUGCCAACAUGCUGUUAAAAUGGUUGUGAUGUGGUAUGAUAGGGUGGUAUCCUCCUUUGAAUGAUUCGAGUGGCUUGACUUGGCACAUGUUCACACAUGUAGUUGAAACAAAUAAACAUGAACAUUCAUGCCACAAUAAAGAAAAUUACAUUGAUAAUUAUGUUAGGUAGCAUUCCACAUCAAAAAUUUUGUUUUUAUCAUUUACCUACUCGAGGACGAGCAGGAAUUAAGCUUGGGGAUGCUUGAUACGUCUCCAACGUAUCUAUAAUUUUUUAUUGUUCCAUGCUAUUAUAUUAUCUGUUUUGGAUAUUUAAUGGGCUUUAAUAUGAUCUUUUAUAUUAUUUUUGGGACUAACCUAUUAACCAAAGGCCCAGUGCCAGUUUCCUUUUUUUUGCCUAUUUCAGUGUUUUGCAGAAAAGAAAUACCAAACGGAAUCAAACCUUCGCGAUGAUCUUUCUGGGAACAAACGCAAUCCAGAAGACUUGGAGUUGAAGUCUGGAACGCCGCGAGGCAGCCAUGAGGAAGGAGGGCGCGCCCAGGGGGUAGGCACGCCCCCACCCUCGUGGGCCCCACGAAGCUCCACCGACGUACUUCUUUCGCCUAUAUAUACUCUUAUACCCUAAAAACAUCAGGGGGAGACACCAAACCACUUUUCUACCGCCGCAACCUUCUGUACCCGUGAGAUCCCAUCUUGGGUCCUUUUCCGGUGAUCUGCCGGAGGGGGAAUCGAUCACGGAGGGCUUCUACAUCAACACCAUUGCCUCUCCGAUGAAGCGUGAGUAGUUUACCACAGACCUUCGGGUCCAUAGUUAUUAGCCAGAUGGCUUCUUCUCUCUCUUUGAUUCUCAAUACAAAGUUCUCCUCGAUGUUCUUGGAGAUCUAUUAGAUGUAAUACUCUUUUGCGGUGUGUUUGCCGAGAUCCGAUGAAUUGUGGAUUUAUGAUUACGUUUAUCUAUGAAUAAUAUUUGGUUCUUCUCUGAAUUCUUAUAUGCAUGAUUUGAUAUCGUUGCAAGUCUCUUCGAAUUAUUGGUUUAGUUUGGCCUACCAGAUUGAUCUUUCUUGCAAUGGGAGAAGUGCUUAGCUUUGCGUUCAAUCUUGCGGUGUCCUUUCCCAGUGACAGUAGGGGCAGCAAGGCACGUAUUGUAUUGUUGCCAUCGAGGAUAAAAAGAUGGGGUUUAUAUCAUAUUACUUGAGUUUAUCACUCUACAUCAUGUCAUCUUGCUUAAUGUGUUACUCUGUUCUUAUGAACUUAAUACUCUAGAUGCAUGCUGGAUAGCGGUCGAUGUGUGGAGUAAUAGUAGUAGAUGCAGAAUCGUUUCGAUCUACUUGACACGGAUGUGAUGCCUAUAUUCAUGAUCAUUGCCUAGAUGUCGGGGUAUUCUCACGGGGGGCUUGCGAGUCGACAGAUGCCACAAGGGCUUAGUGUGAGGGUAAGACUGCUGCUGAUAGGCCCGGGAGCGGGUAUGCGAGUAGCACGCGCUAGUUUACCCAGGUUCGGGGCUCUCCGGAGAGAUAAUACCCCUACUCCUGCAUGUCUGAAUAUCUGUGGUAUAUCUGGUACAGAGUGCUCCUAGAGCUGUAUCUGAGAUCAGUGCCAAGUGCAUCUGAUCUGGUAUCUGUGUAAAUAUGUGUGCACAAGAGUGUGUGGCAUGGUGCACUUGGCACUAGUGGCCGUGGGUGGAGCUUGUGGCCGUAUGGGUGUGUGUCCAUACGUGAGCAUGUAUGCAUGUGUGUGUGAGUCCAUCCCCCAUGGAUGGAUGGAUGUGUGCCUUUAUAUAGGCAUGGGGGUAGUGGCUUUGGCUGUAAGCUACCAUGGGUAGCUUACAAACCAAGCUAUGUAGGCAUGGUGCAUGUCAUGCUUGUUCCCUGGGCCCUUUAUAGAAUAGUGCCAAGGGGACAGGUACACUGUAGAUGAUGGCGUCGUGGUACAGCCGUCUCGUCCGCGGUAUGGCCGUCACGUCGGUGUCUUGUCGGUGUCGGGUCGGGCUGAAGUGGGCAGCCGGCUGGUUCGCGCAGUCGGCAGCCGGCUGUGUUGAGCAGUCGGACGGGGAGCCGGCAGGAGCGGCCGGGCAGUCGGACUGAGGGGCUUUGCUAGCCCCGAUGUCUUGAAUUAUUGUCUCGCCGUCUUCGGGGUACCCUUGGUCAAUUACUCCGUCAGUAGCCUCCAAGCCUCUGGGCAGCUUGGCAAAGUUGGGCGGAGGUUUUUUGGCGGGUGUUGAUGUAGAAAAUGACGAUGACAGCCGGCUUCGGGCGGGGGCGCGCCAGCGCACUUGCUGGGUGUAGCCUCCGAGCCUCCGGGCAACUUGGAAAAGAUGGGCGGAGGCUUUUCGCGUUUGUUGGUGCAGACGAUGGCGUCGAGGGUGCCGGGCGCGGACACGAAAUCCGCUGGCCGGUGCUGUCGGGCGCGGAUGCGGGGUCCGCCGACUGAUGGUGUCGGGCGCGGUCGCGAGGUCCGCCGACUGGUGCUGUUGCUGACAGCCGGCUGCAGGCUGCAGCCGGCGCGGUUUGCUUCCAGUGGGGGCGCGCCAGCUUACCCACUGGGCGUAGCCUCCGAGCCUCCGAGUGAGGAGGCGGGUUUCCCACGGAAAUGCUCAUGCAAAAAACAAAGUUAGUCCGCGCAGAUAUAUCAAAUGUUUGCUUUUAGCAUUGAAAAUUUUAUGCGGAGGGUGCCGACUCGGUUUCGUCCGAGCCCCCUUCAAUCUUUUUCAUGUUCCCUCCACUCUUUGGCUUGUGCUCUCGCUUGCCGGACAGCCGCUCUGCGGUCUGUGGCUGAGAGUGGGCCACGGAGUGGAGUGUACAGUACUCAGACUCUGGAAGCAGAUUUGAUCGAGCAGAUACUCGUAAAAGAAACGACCGGGUCGCCCGAACCAUUUUUUCUUCCCGGACGUUUUUCGCGUGGGUGGCCUCCAGCGUUCACUCUUGCUAGCCGGACAGCCGCUCCGCGGUCUGUGACUAAGAGUGGGCCUUUGGUACCGCGCACGCUACUAAGCCGUCUGCGGGAACUAACGUCUCAGGCCAAGCGGCCAGCCUCCGGGCCAACUCUGGCUGGCGCCAGGGCGAACAGUGGCGCAACUGUAAUAAAAACGGAGGUGCUCCCCGAGCGUCGCUCGGGGUUAUCCGUGUUUGCGUGGUGCAAAAAUAAGCGGGUGAGGAGCUUACAUUGCUUUUUGGCGCAGACGAGGCGGAGGUUGAUCUCCGGCAGGUGGUCCGAGCCUCCGGGUGCUCGAGGGACGCCACAGUCGAUCAGGCCCGACUGCCAGGUGGCGGGGCCCGACUGGAGCCUCCAGUUGGCAAGGCGUCGAAGCGAACAGCCGGUCAGCCGACUGAGUGACGACGCGGGGAGUCGUCCAGAGCAGCCGGCUGGACUGCUGGCCAUGCAGCCGGCCACGCAGCGGAUGUGCAGCCGGCCACGCACACGCGGCCGUGCUCCUGGACGUGCAACCCGCCAUGCAUGCCCGUAUACAAGUUUUGCUUUCUCUUUUUUUUUCUUUUUUUCUAACACCCGGCUGUGUGCAGUCGGACACACUCCAGCCGACCUCUUCUUUUCUUCUCUCUAUUCUUUUUAUGCUCUGCCUGACGAGCCGGUAGGAGCGGGACGCGGCGGAAGCGAACGGCCGGGUCGCGCCAAAAGUCGGCGUCCGGGUUGCGGGGGAGCCGGCAGGCUGGGUCGUCGGGGAAGCCGGCAGGCCNNNNNNNNNNNNNNNNNNNNNNNNNNNNNNNNNNNNNNNNNNNNNNNNNNNNNNNNNNNNNNNNNNNNNNNNNNNNNNNNNNNNNNNNNNNNNNNNNNNNNNNNNNNNNNNNNNNNNNNNNNNNNNNNNNNNNNNNNNNNNNNNNNNNNNNNNNNNNNNNNNNNNNNNNNNNNNNNNNNNNNNNNNNNNNNNNNNNNNNNNNNNNNNNNNNNNNNNNNNNNNNNNNNNNNNNNNNNNNNNNNNNNNNNNNNNNNNNNNNNNNNNNNNNNNNNNNNNNNNNNNNNNNNNNNNNNNNNNNNNNNNNNNNNNNNNNNNNNNNNNNNNNNNNNNNNNNNNNNNNNNNNNNNNNNNNNNNNNNNNNNNNNNNNNNNNNNNNNNNNNNNNNNNNNNNNNNNNNNNNNNNNNNNNNNNNNNNNNNNNNNNNNNNNNNNNNNNNNNNNNNNNNNNNNNNNNNNNNNNNNNNNNNNNNNNNNNNNNNNNNNNNNNNNNNNNNNNNNNNNNNNNNNNNNNNNNNNNNNNNNNNNNNNNNNNNNNNNNNNNNNNNNNNNNNNNNNNNNNNNNNNNNNNNNNNNNNNNNNNNNNNNNNNNNNNNNNNNNNNNNNNNNNCCGGGCGAGACCGGCGGGCGCGGGGCGUCCAGCCGUGGGCAGAGGAGACGCGGGGGGUCGAUGCAGCGCGCGGGGGCCGGCGACGGGGAGCCUCGGGCACGGGGUAGUGGACGGACGGGCACAACCUCGAAGGAGUCGACGACGGGGCCGUUGGUGGAGAGCGAGUGGAAGCAGGCAUAGGGGGCCUCUGGUGGCCGCGACUGCAGCGGAGCAGCGACAGCAGGGAGCCAUGGCUGGGUGGCGUGGGAGCGAGUUGCCGCGGUGGCGGGGCGCGUCUGUGGAAACGUUGCUGGGGCGAGGCGGAGCUCGGGCUUCAGCGUCGAUGUGCGAGGGCCAGCAGAAAGCAGCGGUAGCAGGGAGCUCUUCUACGAGCAGAGGCGGCACGGCUGAGAGGUCAUGCACUGCUGCUCCUUGCGACUUAGCAUGGGGAGGAGGCCCACGGAGAUGCAACAGAAGAUAGGCACGACAGUGAGCGCCGCAGCUGGCCGGAACGAGCCAGUGCACGGGCAGUAUUCGGGCAGCGUCCGAAUCAUAUCUGGGAAGUUUAUAGGGAAUUAUCUGGCUGUUGUAUGGGCAAUAUCCGACUUGUGUCUGACUAAUGUCUGGGUAGUGUAUGGGGCAUAUCUGGUUUCCUUCUGGGAAGUGUAUGACCAAGGUUUUGGCGAUGCAUGGCCAUUGUACAGGAAGCAUCUAACCAUUAUCUGGCCAUUGCCUCGGAGGAGCAAACGGAGGAGCAAGGGAGGCGCAGCAUAGAGGAGAGCGGACGCGAGCGGCAUGCGGAUGGAUGCGGCCGACCGAAGCGAGGCGGCGCGGCGCGCACGGGCGGACGGCCGGCGUCGCAGUGGUGGUGACGAAGAGGCCGAGGACCGAUGGCGAGGACGUGCCGCCCCUCGCGGCCAUUCCGGGGGCAUAUGCCGAUGUCGAGCCCCCGACCGCUAUCGGAGAGACGGCGCGACGCCGCAGCGGUGAAGACGAAAAUGGUCCCGCCUGGACUGCGAAACCAGCAGCAGCGUGGUAGCAUAGUAGUAGUACCACACCACGGUGGGCGCCAACUGUUGGGGUAUUCUCACGGGGGGCUUGCGAGUCGACAGAUGCCACAAGGGCUUAGUGUGAGGGUAAGACUGCUGCUGAUAGGCCCGAGAGCGGGUAUGCGAGUAGCACGCGCUAGUUUACCCAGGUUCGGGCUCUCCGGAGAGAUAAUACCCCUACUCCUGCAUGUUUGAAUAUCUGUGGUAUAUCUGGUACAGAGUGCUCCUAGAGCUGUAUCUGAGAUCAGUGCCAAGUGCAUCUGAUCUGGUAUCUGUGUAAAUAUGUGUGCACAAGAGUGUGUGGCGUGGUGCACUUGGCACUAGUGGCCGUGGGUGGAGCUUGUGGCCGUAUGGGUGUGUGUCCAUACGUGAGCAUGUAUGCAUGUGUGUGUGAGUCCAUCCCCCAUGGAUGGAUGGAUGUGUGCCUUUAUAUAGGCAUGGGGGUAGUGGCUUUGGUUGUAAGCUACCAUGGGUAGCUUACAAGCCAAGCUAUGUAGGCAUGGUGCAUGUCAUGCUUGUUCCCUGGGCACUUUAUAGAAUAGUGUCAAGGGGACAGGUACACUGUAGAUGAUGGCGUCGCGGUACAGCCGUCUCGUCCGCGGUAUGGCCAUCACGUCGGUGUCUUGUCGGUGUCGGGCCGGGCUGCAGUGGGCAGCCGGCUGGUUCGCGCAGUUGGCAGCCGGCUGUGUUGAGCAGUCGGACGGGGAGCCGGCAGGAGCGGCCGGGCAGUCGGACUGACUGGCUUUGCUAGCCCUGAUGUCUUGAAUUAUUGUCUCGCCGUCUUCGGGGUACCCGUGGUCAAUUACUCCAUCACUUGAUAUUCUCAUAAUUAUGCGCUUUUCUAUCAAUUGCUCGGCAGUAAUUUGUUCACCCACCGUAAUACAUGCUAUCUAGACAGAAGCCACUAGUGAAACCUAUGGCCCCCGGGUCUAUUUUCCAUCAUAUAAUCUUCUAUUUUACAUCAUGUUAGUUUCCUGUCAACUUUCAAAUUUCUGUUGCCGUUCUUUUAUUUUGCAAUCUUUACUUUCCAAUCUAUACAACAAAAAUACCAAAAAUAUUUAUUUUAUUAUCUUUAUUAGAUCUCACUUUUGCGAGUGACCGUGAAGGGAUUGACAACCCCUUUAUCGCGUUGGUUGCAAGGUUCUUGAUUGUUUGUGCAGGUACUAGGUGACUUGCGUGUUAUCUCCUACUGGAUUGAUACCUUGGUUGUCAAAAACUGAGGGAAAUACUUACGCUACUUUGCUGCAUCACCCUUUCCUCUUCAAGGGAAAACCAACGCAUGCUCAAGAGGUAGCACUCCCCUUGUGUCGAAUCUAUAAAUUUGGGUUGAAUACUCUACCCUUGAAAACUGUUGCGAUCCCCUAUACUAGUGGGUUAUCAAGACCUUUUUCUGGCGCCGUUGCCGGGGAGCAUAUCUAUAUUUGCUAAGUCACUUGGGAUUAUUAUCAAUUUAUCAUUAUGAAGAAUCUGAAGGAUACCAAGACUAAUAUUUUUCCCUCUAAGACGAGGGGAGGUAAGGAACUGCCAUCUAGCUCUGCACUUGAUUCACCUUCUAUUAUGAGUAAACUUGCGACACCACCACAUGCUAUUAAUCCUGAUAUGUUGCAAGUUAUUGAUGAUGGUACUUCUAUGAAUGCUACUCAUGAUGGUGCUAGUACCUUGCUUGACGAUGGUGUGCCACUAGGUGAUUUUGUUGAUGAACAAAUUGCUAGAGUUAGAGAGAGUGAAAUUACCGAAACUAAUGAGAUUACUGAAACUGAUGAAGUACUUGAAACUGAAAAUCUUGAAACACCUUUUAGACCUAGCUCUCCUAGAUAUGAAUUGCCUAAGGUACGUGAAGGUUAUGUUAUGGAUGAGGAGACAGCUAGAGACUUUUUUGCUUCCAAUGAUAGAGAUGAUCUUAAGAAAUUAUUAUGCAAACUGAAAGAAAAAUCUUUGAAUGCUAGAAUGAAAUGUGAUCCUUAGUUUGCUACUUCUCCUAUCUUUGUUGAUGAUAAGGAUUAUGAAUUCUCUAUUGACCCAGAGUUAAUUACUUUUUUGAAUCUGAUCCUUUCCAUGGUUAUGAAACUGAAACUGUUGUGGCACACCUUACUAAGUUGAAUGACAUAGCCACCCUUUUUUCUCAUGAUGAGAAAAUUUGCUAUUAUUAUAUCCUCAAGUUAUUUCCGUUCUCAUUAAAGGGUGAUGCUAAGACUUGGUACAAUACUCUUGCUCCUGGUUGUGUGCGUAUUCCCCAGGAUAUGAUUUAUUACUUCACUGAAAAAUAUUUUCCUGCCCAUAAGAAACAAGCAGCCUUACAGGAAAUAUUUAACUUUGUGCAAAUUGAAGAACAGAGUCUCCCACAAGCUUGGGGGAGGCUUCUCCAAUUGCUAAAUGCUUUGCCUGAUCAUCCUCUCAAAAAAAUGUAAUACUUGAUAUCUUCUAUAAUGGACUAACCGAUGCUUCUAGGGACUUCCUAGAUAGUUGCGCUGGUUGUGUUUUCAGGGAAAGAACUGUUGAGCAAGCUGAGGAAUUAUUGAAUAACAGAUUGAAAAAUUGUGAUGAUUGGACUCUUCCCGAACCACCGCCUAAACCCACUCUGAAGAAGAGGGGUAUCUUAUAUCUCAGUCCUGAAGAUAUGCAGGAGGCAAAGAAAUGUAUGAAGGAAAAAGGUAUUAAAGCCGAGGAUGUGAAAAAAUUACCUCCUAUCGCAUCACCACCAUCAUGAGUGGUAGGGGUAAAUUCUUAUUGAAGUUUGAUGAAGGUGAUAUUCCUUAUAAUAAACAUCCUAGUCAAUGCCUUUAUGAGUUUGACAACUAUAUUAGAAAACAAGAUCACUUCAAUGCCAAUGUUAUGAAACAAUUGAAAUAUAAUUCUGAUAUGAUUGCUCGCUUGAGUGACUUGUUAUUUAGAAUCUCCAAUGAUGUUAGAGGUGUAGGAAAACAUGCCUCUAUGGUUCAAACUCAAUUAGAACAAGUUGCUAAAUCUCAAAGAGAAUUGCUUGAUGAAAUGAAUAGUAACAUACAUGAUAAUUUUCAUGAAGAUACUCAACCAGACAAUGAUAAACAACCAGAUAACAAUGUUGAGAUAAAACCAGCUGUUGAUCUUGAUAACCCACAAUCUAAAAAUAAAAUAUAUGACAAAAAAGACUUUGUUGGUAGAAAACAUGGAAGAGAAAGAGAACCAUGUCCAAAAACCCAUGCCCUUUCCACCUAAAUCCACUAAGAAAAAGGAUGAUGAAGAAUUUGAACGCUUUGCUAAAAUGCGUAGGCCAGUCUUUUUGCACACUCGUUUGACUGGUAUUUUAAUGAUGGCCCCUUAUGCGAAAUACAUGAAAGACAUCAUCUCUAAUAAAAGAAAAAUACCGGAAGCUGAAAUCUCCACUAUGCUUGAUAAUUAUUCUUUUAAGGAUGGAGUACCUAAAAACUUGGAGAUUCGGGAAUACCAACUAUACCUUGCUACAUUAAAAGAAAUUAUGUUAAAACUGCUUCGUGUGAUUUCGGAGCUGGUGUUAGUGUCAUGCCUUUCUCCUCAUAUAAAUGACUUGAUUUGAAUAAACUCACACCUACUGAAAUAUCUUUGCAAAUGGCUGACAAAUCAACUGCCAUACCUAUCGGUAUUUGUGAGGAUGUGCCUGUUGUUGUUGCAAAUGUUACUAUCUUGACUGACUUUGUUAUACUUGAGAUGCCCGAGGAUGACAACAUGUCGAUUAUCCUUGGUAGACCCUUCUUGAAUACUGCAGGGGCUGUUAUCGAUUGCAAUAAAAGCAAGGUCACUUUUCAUAUCAAUGGUAAUGAGCAUACGGUGCACUUUCCGAAGAAACAAUUCCAAGUGAAUGGUAUUAGUGCUAUUCAAAAAUCUCCGACACGCACUAUUGGAAGUUUUCAACUACCUCUACUACUGCCAAAAAGAAACAUGAAAUGCUUAUUGUUGGGGACAUACAUAUCCCCGUUGAGGUAACUUAGUGUUUUUACGCAAGUUCUUCAAUUUCAUGCUAAUCGAAGAUGGUUGUUAAUAAUACUUGAUCAACCUUAUUAAUGGAUCGUUUUUGAAAGGUAUAAAGUUGAUGAACCUAGUAGGCACAACCUUCUAUUUCCCACUCUUGUUUUCUGUUUUUCUUAGUUAAAUAAAAUAAAAUGCCAUGUUUUGUCUGCUUUCUGAAUUUUCCGUGAAAUAAAAAAUGAGCCAAAAAUAGAAGUUCUCAGAAUGCCACGAAAAUAUAAUACAAUUUUUUUCUGAAUAUUUCUGAAUUUUUAGUGCAAAUAACACCAGAGCGGGGUGCUCUAGGUGGGUGAUACGUCUCCAACGUAUCUAUAAUUUUUGAUUGUUCCAUGCUAUUAUAUUAUCCAUCUAGGAUGUUUCAUAUGCAUUUAUAUGCUAUUUUAUAUGAUUUUGGGACUAACCUAUUAACCUAGAGCCUAGUGCCAGUUUAUGUUUUUUCCUAGUUUUUGAGUAUUGCAGAAAAGGAAAACCAAACGGAGUCCAAUUGACCUGAAAUUUCACGGAGAUUAUUUUUGGACCAGAAGAAGCCCACGGAGUAUCGGAGAUGGACCAGAAGAGUCCCGAGGCACCCACGAGGGUGGGAGGCGCGCCCUACCCCCCUGGGGGCGCCCCCCUACCUCGUGGCCGCCUCGGAGACCCCCCUGACUUGUUCCCGAUGCCAACACCUCUUAUAUAUACCCAAACUUCCAGAACAUAACCUAGAUCGGGAGUUCCGCCGCCGCAAGCCUCGGUAGCCACCAAAAACCAAUCGGGACCCUAUUCCGGCACCCUGCCGGAGGGGGGAUCCAUCACCGGUGGCCAUCUUCAUCAUCCCGGCGCUCUCCAUGACGAGGAGGGAGUAGUACACCCUCGGGGCUGAGGGUAUCUACUAGAAUCUAUGUGUUUGAUCUCUCUCUCUCUCUCUCGUGUUCUUGAUAUGGCACGAUCUUGAUGUAUCGCUAGCUUUGCUAUUAUAGUUGGAUCUUAUGAUGUUUCUCCCCCUUAUCUUCUUGUAAUGGAUUGAGUUUUCCCUUUGAAGUUAUCUUAUCGGAUUGAGUCUUUAAGCAUUUGAGAACACUUUAUGUAUGUCUUGCAUGUGCUUAUCUGUGGUGACAAUGGGAUAUUCACGUGAUCUACUUGAUGUAUGUUUUGGUGAUCAACUUGCGGGUUCAGUGACCUUGUGAACUUAUGCAUAGGGGUUGGCACACGUUUUCGUCUUGACUCUCCGGUAGAAACUUUGGGGCACUCUUUGAAGUUCUAUGUGUUGGUUGAAUAGAUGAAUCUGAGAUUGUGUGAUGCAUAUCGUAUAAUUAUACCCACGGAUACUUGAGGUGACAUUGGAGUAUCUGGUGACAUUAGGGUUUUGGUUGAUUUGUGUCUUAAGGUGUUAUUCUAGUACGAAAUCUAGGAUAGAUCAAACAGAAAGAAUAGCUUCGUGUUAUUAUACUACGGACUCUUGAAUAGAUCGAUCAGAAAGGAUAACUUUGAGGUGGUUUCGUACCCUACAAUAAUCUCUUUGUUUGUUCUCCGCUAUUAGUUACUUUGGAGUGACUCUUUGUUGCAUGUUGAGGGAUAGUUAUAUGAUCCAGUUAUGUUAUUAUUGUUGAGAGAACUAGCACUAGUGAAAGUAUGAACCCUAGGCCUUGUUUCCUAGCAUUGCAAUACCAUUUAUGCUCCCUUUUACCACUUUCUACCUUGCUGUUUUUAUAUUUUCAUAUUACAAAAACCUAUAUCUACCAUCCAUAUUGCACUUGUAUCACCAUCUCUUCGCCGAACUAGUGCACCUAUACAAUUUACCAUUGUAUUUGGUGUGUUGGGGACACAAGAGACUCUUUGUUAUUUGAUUGCAGGUUUGCUUGAGAGAGACCAUCUUCAUCCUAUGCCUUCGACGGAUUGAUAAACCUUAGGUCAUCCACUUGAGGGAAAUUUGCUACUGUCCUACAAACCUCUGCACUUGGAGGCCCAACAACGUCUACAAGAAGAAGGUUGUGUAGUAGACAUCAAGCUCUUUUCUGGCGCCAUUGCCGGGGAGGUUAGUGCUUGAAGGUAUAUCUUUAGAUCUUGCAAUCGAAUCUUUUAGUUUCUUGUUUUAUCACUAGUUUAGUCUAUACAAGAAAACUACAAAAAAUGGAAUUAAGGGUGCCCCAUAUGCUUCAUCUUUUUAAUAUCUUUGGUGAAAAUGAUGGGAAGGAAAUUUGUGCUCAAGUACUAGAAGAAGAAUUACAUAGAAUGCUUGGCACUAAAUCUUCGAAUGACGAGCAUGAUUGCAAUGUUGUUAGUAUGAAUUCUUUUAAUACCCAUGAUGCUAAUGAUAUGCAAAGCUACAAGCUUGGGGAUGCUAUGUUUGAUGAAGAUGAUAUUUUUUGUCCCCCAAGUUUAUUAUGAUGAAAGCAUGCCUCCUAUUUAUGAUGAUUAUUGCGAUGACACAUAUGCUAUAAAGAAUAAAGAUAACCAUGAAACUUGUCAUCAUGAUUUUAAUUUUCAAUUGGAUUAUGCUUCACAUCAUAGUUAUUUUGUUGAGUUUUCUCCCACUACUAUUCAUGAGAACAAAUUUGCUUUUGUGGAGAGUAAUAAAAUUUCUAUGCUUGUAGAUCAUGAAAAGAAUGCUUUAUGUGAUGGUUAUAUUGUUGAAUUCAUUCAUGAUGCUACUGAAAAUUAUUAUGAGGGAGGAACAUAUGCUUGUAGGAAUUGCAAUAAUAUCAAGUUUCCUCUCUAUGUGUUGAAAAUCUUGAAGCUAUGCUUGUUUUACCUUCCUAUGCUAGUUGAUUCUUGUUCCCAUAAGUUGUUUGCUCACAAAAUCCCUAUGCAUAGGAAGUGGUUUAGGCUUAAAUGUGCUAGUCAUAUGCUUCAUGAUGCUCCCGUUAUUUUUCAAUUCUUAUCUUUUAUGUGAGCAUCAUUGUCAUCAUCAUGCCUAGCUAAAAAGGCAAUAAAGAAAAGCGCUUGUUGGGAGACAACCCAAUAUUUACCUUUACUGUUUUUGCGUGUUCACAUGAUUAUGCUACUGUAGUAAUCAUGUUUUAUAGCUUUUGUUUCAAUAAAGUGCCAAGUAAGACCUUUAGGAUAGCUUACGGUGAUAGUUAAUUUGAUCUUGCUGAAAAACAGAAACUUUUGCGCGCACGAGAUUAGUUUUCAUAAAUCACAGGAUCGUGCUUUUCAGUUGAUUCUUUUUGCAGAAGAUUAAUAAACAAAUUGCUUAGGACUUCCUAAUUUCUCAGGAUUUUUGGAGUUACAUAAGUAUUCGAAUGAUACAGAUUACUACAGACUGUUCUGUUUUUGACAGAUUCUGUUUUAUUAUGUUGUUUGCUUAUUUUGAUGAAUCUAUGAGUAGUAUCGGAGGGUAUGAACCAUAGAGAAGUUUUAAUACAGUAGAUAUUACACCAAUAUGAAUUUAGAAUGAGUUCACAACAGUACCAAAAGUGGCGAUUUAUUUUCUUAUACUAACAGAGCUCAUAAGAUUUUCUGUUGAGUUUUGUGUUGUGAAGUUUUCAUGUUUUGGGUAAAGAUUCGAUGGACUAUGGAAUAAGGAGUGGCAAGAGCCUAAGCUUGGGGAUUCCCAAGGCACCCCAAGGUAAUAUUCAAGGAAAACCAAGAGCCUAAGCUUGGGGAUGCCCCGGAUGGCAUCCCCUCUUUCGUCUUCGUUCAUCGGUAACUUUACUUGGAGCUAUAUUUUUAUUCACCACAUGGUAUGCGUUUUGCUUGGAGAGUCAUUUUAUUUUGUUAGUAUUUGCUUACUGUUAUUUAGAAUAAUGUUUUGCAUCUUUAUUUUCAAUAAAAGUGUCAAGGAUAGCCCUUACAAUGCUUAUUUUGCGAGUAUACAUGUUGCUGUUUAAAAACAGAAAGUUUGUCGUUGUUGCAAAAAUUCCCUAGAAAAGUCAGAAUAUGAUAAAAUGUUGAAACUUUUUGCAUAAUAAGCUCUGAUAAAUUUUCUACAGUGUCGUAGAAUUUCAUAAUGUUUGGAGUUAGGGAAGUAUUGAUACUCUUGCAUUCUUUACAUACUGUACUGUUUUGGCAGAUUGCUGUUAUGUUUGCAUUGUUUGCAUAUGUUUGCUUGUUUAAUGAUUCUAUUUGAGGAUAGGAGUAUUAAAUAUGCAGAGACAUUUAGUAUGCAAUGUUUAAUAAUAAUUUUUGUGAUUUUCUACAGUAGAGAAUGAUAAGGUUUUUGCAUUGAUUUAUACUAACUUAUCUCACGAGUUCUUGUUGAGUUUUGUGUGGAUGAAGUUUUUUGAGAUUUAGGGAAACCGUGAUAUGAGAGGAAUUAAGGAGGCACAAAAUCUCAAGCUUGGGGAUGCCCAAGGCACCCCAAGAUAAUAUUUCAAGAAGUCUCAAGCAUCUAAGCUUGGGGAUGCCCCGGUUGGCAUCCCACCUUUCUUCUUCAACAAUUAUCGGUUAGUAUCGGUUGAUCCUAAGUUUUUGCUUCUUCACAUGAGUUGUCCUAUCCUUGCAAUGUCAUUUUAUUUUGUUUUGCUUGCUGUUUGAAUAAAAUACGAAGAUCUGAAAUUCUUAAUUGUUAGAGAGUCUUCACAUAGUUGCAUAAUUAUUCGACUACUCAUUGAUCUUCACUUAUAUCUUUCGGAGUAGUUUGUCAUUUGCUCUAGUGCUUCACUUAUAUCUUUUUAGAGCACGGCGGUGGUUUUAUUUUGAAGAAAUAGAUGAACUCUCAUGCUUCACUUAUAUUAUUUUGAGAAUCUUUUAGAACAACAUGGUAAUUUGCUUUGGUUAUGAAUUUAGUCCUAAUAUGAUAGCCAUCCAAGAGGGAUAUAAUAAAAACUUUCAUAUAAAGUGCAUUGAAUACUAUGAGAAGUUUGAUGCUUGAUGAUCGUUUUGAGAUAUGAGGAUGGUGAUAUUAGAGUCAUGCUAGUAGAGUAGUUGUGAAUUUGAGAAAUACCUGUGUUGAGGUUUGCAAGUCCCGUAGCAUGCACAUAUGGUAACCGUUGUGUGACAAAUUUGAAGCAUGAGGUAUUUCUUUGAUUCUCAUCCUUUGUGUGGAGGUCGGGAUCGCGCGAUGGUUAACUCCUAGCAACCCUUCCCCUAGGGGCAUGCAUGUAGUACUUUGUUUUGAUGACUUGUAUAUUUUUGCAAUAAGUAUGUGAGUUCAUUAUGACUAAUGUUGAGUCCAUGGAUUAUACGCACUCUCACCCUUCCAUCAUUGCUAGCCUCUUCGGUGUCGUGCAUUGCCCUUUCUCACCUUGAGAGUUGGUGCAAACUUCGCCGGUGCAUCCAAACCCCGUGAUAUGAUACGCUCUAUCACACAUAAACCUCGUUAUAUCUUCCUCAAAACAGCCACCAUACCUACCUAUUAUGGCAUUUCCAUAGCCAUUCCGAGAUAUAUUGCCAUGCAACUUUCCACCAUUUCAUUUAUUAUGACACGCUUCAUCAUUGUCAUAUUUCCUUGCAUGAUCAUGUAGUUGACAUCGUAUUUGUGGCAAGGCCACCAUGCAUAAUUCAUACAUGUCACUCUUGAUUCAUUGCCCAUCCCGGUACACCGCCGGAGGCACUCAUAUAGAAUCAUAUUUUGUUCUAGUAUCGAGUUGUAAAUAAAUAGAAGUGUGAUGAUCAUCAUUAAUAGAGCAUUGUCCCAAAUAAACAAAAAAAAUAAAGGCCAAAGAAAAAAAGAAAGGCCCCAAAAAAGGGGCAAUGCUACUAUCCUUUUUUUCCACACUUGUGCUUCAAAGUAGUACCAUGUUCUUUAUGAUAGAGAGUCUCUUGUUUUGUCACUUUCAUAUACUAGUGGGAAUUUUUCAUUAUAGAACUUGGCUUGUAUAUUCCAAUAAUGGGCUUCCUCAAAUGCCCUAGGUCUUCGUGAGCAAGCAAGUUGGAUGCUUGCCCACUUAGAGUCUUUUGUUGAGCUUUCGUACAUUUAUAGCUCUAGUGCAUCCGUUGCAUGACAAUCCCUACUCCUUGCAUUGACAUCAAUUGAUGGGCAUCUCCCUAGCCCGUUGAUUAGCCGCGUCAAUGUGAGACUUUCUCCUUUUUUGUCUUCUCCACAACCACCAUUCUAUUCCACCCAUAGUGCUUUGUCCAUGGCUCAUGCUCAUGUAUUGCGUGAAAGUUGAAAAAGUUUGAAAAUACUAAAGUAUGAAACAAUUGCUUGGCUGAAACCGGGGUUGUGCAUGAUUUGAGUAUUUUGUGUGACGAAGAUGGAGCAUAGCCAAACUAUAUGAUUUUGUAGGGAUGAACUUUCUUUGGCCAUGUUAUUUUGAGAAGACAUAAUUGCUUUGUUAGUAUGCUUGAAGUAUUAUUAUUUUUAUGUCAAUAUUAAACUUUUGUCUUGAAUCUUAUGGAUCUGAAUAUUCUUGCCACAAUAAAGAAGAUUACAUUGAUAAAUAUGUUAGGUAGCAUUCCACAUCAAAAAUUCUAUUUUUAUCAUUUACCUACUCGAGGACGAGCAGGAAUUAAGCUUGGGGAUGCUUGAUACGUCUCCAACGUAUCUAUAAUUUUUGAUUAUUCCAUGCUAUUAUAUUAUCCAUGUAGGAUGUUUUAUAUGCAUUUAAAUGCUAUUUUAUAUGAUUUUGGGACUAAGCUAUUAACCUAGAGCCCAGUGCUAGUUUUUGUUUUUUCCUUGUUUUUGAGUAUCGCAGAAAAGGAAAACCAAACGGAGUUCAAUUAACCUGAAAUUUCAUGGAGAUUAUUUUUGGACCAGAAGAAGCCCACGGAGUAUCAGAGAUGGACCAGAAGAGUCCCAAGGCACCCGCUAGGGUGGGGGAGCGCCCUACCCCCUGGGCGCGCCCCCUACCUCGUGGCCGCCUCGGAGACCCCCCUGACUUGUUCCCGACGCCAACACCUCUUAUAUGUACCCAAACUUCUAGAACAUAACCUAGAUCGGGAGUUCCGCCGCCACUAGCCUCUGUAGCCACCAAAAACCAAUUGGGACCCUGUUCCGGCACCCUGCCGGAGGGAGGAUCCAUCACCGGUGGCCAUCUUCAUUGUAGCGAUUUGACCUCAGACGGUCAAAUCUCUGUGUUCAGUGUCAUCCCUGGAUCGGUAAUGCUGACACACACAGUACUUGAAGGAUUUAUAACAGAGUAGCAAUCACACACUUAUUACAUCGGUAGUCUCAAAAGAGAACUUAUUACAAUAAAUAUGGCUUAAGGCCAUAUAACUAAGAUAACAGCGGAAGGCUUGGAAGAUAAAGUGAGUCCAUCAACUCCAACGACAUAGCUCAGUGCAUGACAACGACCUAGCGCACCUUACUCUUCGUAUGGAAAGUCUGCAACAUGAUAUGUUGCAGCCCGAAAACGGGUCAGCACAUGGAAUAUGCUGGAAAUAUAACACAAUAGAGCAAAGAACAGAUAAAUGCUAUCACUACAUGCAUAUAUGGCUGGUGGAGGCUCUAUGAUUAUAAUGUUUUGCGAAAAGCCAAUUUUUUUCCUACAACAAAGGAAUAUGUUUUAUUUAACUAUCAUGGUGGUUGAAACAUCAUUGAGAAGGUUCCUCCAACUCAAUCCCAAUUAAAAUAAUCAUUAACAUCCGAACAAAUUAAUUUAGAGUGAUGAGAUCAAAUCAAUAGUUCAAGUACCAGAUACUCAAGAUGUCCAUAACCGGGGACACGGCUAACCAUGUUUAGUUUGUACACUCUACAGGGGUUUGCGCACUUUUCCCCAUAAGACUUGAUCUCCUCCGUUGGAUUUCUUGCACUACAUGGUGUUUGAGAAACGGAUGACCGAGACACAGUCUUUCAGAAACAUUAACUCUUUACUCUGGGUGGACAGUUACACCUACUUUCCCCUACAUCUGCUAGCCCACCACUGAAAGAGGUCAUACAACAUACUCAACUAUGCUAGAGUCCAUAAUAGCUUGUGGCUGCACACGGAAGUUUCUAGCAUGAAUAGUCUUAUGAUCCCUUCGAGCCUGGGUGGCGAACCAGAGGAUGAUCACACGGGUACUCCGGGAUAUCCUAGGACAACACUGGAUUCUCCAGGUGCCCAAACCAACAAUCCACCCAGAUGUGUAUUAAAGUAACGACCUUAAUACAACCAUUAAUUAAACACUCACAUCUAUCAUGGAUCUCUCAAACCAAACCACGUCUACGAGCAUAGCAUAGCAACAUAAGCAUAACAUAGAAGUAACUCCCAGGGUUUGAAUAUAAACAAGGCAAUAGGUUCUACCUCAUCAUCUACUUCCCAAUACCCACAUGUUAUCAAUUCCUAACCAUGCAAUGUUUGAGGGUUGAAACUAAUGCAUAAAAAUUGGGUAUGAAAAGAAUAUGAUCAAUGUGUUACUUGCCUUGCUGACGAUCCACAAAACCUAGUGACUCGUAGUAGCACGCUUCGCACUCCGGGAAUUCUAUCGCAAACAAACAAUAACAUACAUAAGCACUCAAGCAAAUAUGCACAGGUAAAACUCAAAUAAGAAGAUCGAAUCUGAAAACUCAACUGAAGAGAUUCGAUCUGCAAAAAGAAUCAAUCGAAUUGGAGCUACGGAACUGAAACUACGGUCAAAAGAACUUCGAAUUCAAAUCUGCUUGAAACCAAAAUUUUAAAUUGUAGAAACCAUGUUCAAGUUGAUUAAACAGAAAGAGAGGUUUGAGAUGAAGAUUUUGGCGUUGGUUUCACUGGAUUUGGACAAACGGUUAAGAAACGGCGAGGGUUUGAAGAUCAGGGGCUAAUCUACGAUAAAAGUAAUCACAGAUAGGUCCCUGGCCGAAAAAUAAAAUAAAGAGAAAAAGACUAACGAAUGAACAUUCGCUGUCUGAACCUAACCGGCGAACAACGUUCGUUAAAACGAACGAACGGACGAACGUCCACUAAAUAAAUAAACCGGCGAAAAGCCGAACCGAUCUAAAAAAAUAAACCGAUUUAGGGUUUUUAAGAAAACCGGGGUUUUUACCUAAAAAAAGCAAAAAAACCAGCGGCAGCUCGAGGUCAACGGCGGCGGCGGGGCAGCAAGAUCCGGCGGGCGGGGCGGCAUGCGGCGGCGUGCGGCGCGCGGGCGGUGGCGGGAGGCGCGGCGCAGGCGGCGGCGAGCGGNNNNNNNNNNNNNNNNNNNNNNNNNNNNNNNNNNNNNNNNNNNNNNNNNNNNNNNNNNNNNNNNNNNNNNNNNNNNNNNNNNNNNNNNNNNNNNNNNNNNNNNNNNNNNNNNNNNNNNNNNNNNNNNNNNNNNNNNNNNNNNNNNNNNNNNNNNNNNNNNNNNNNNNNNNNNNNNNNNNNNNNNNNNNNNNNNNNNNNNNNNNNNNNNNNNNNNNNNNNNNNNNNNNNNNNNNNNNNNNNNNNNNNNNNNNNNNNNNNNNNNNNNNNNNNNNNNNNNNNNNNNNNNNNNNNNNNNNNNNNNNNNNNNNNNNNNNNNNNNNNNNNNNNNNNNNNNNNNNNNNNNNNNNNNNNNNNNNNNNNNNNNNNNNNNNNNNNNNNNNNNNNNNNNNNNNNNNNNNNNNNNNNNNNNNNNNNNNNNNNNNNNNNNNNNNNNNNNNNNNNNNNNNNNNNAGAGGCGGCGGGGGGGGGGCGCUAUAUGUAGGAGAGGUGGGGCUCGGCGGCUUGGGGAGGGGGUCGAAGAGGAGGAGUCCUCCUCGGACGCGGCGGUGGCGGCGUGCGCCGGCCGGACUCCUGGUCGGAGUCGGUCGGGGCGAGGCGGUGGGCUGCGGCGGCCUGGCUCGGAUGGGCCGUUGGCCCAGUCGGGCGCGUGAUUUUUUUUAAAUAAUAAAUUCCACCGAGAAAAAUCCUAAAUAAAUAAAAAUAAAAAUCUAAGAAUGCCAAAACCAAUUUUCACCGUCUAAAUAGAAUAUUCAUAACUUAGUGAACAUUUUCUUGGCCUAAAAAUGCAAUUUUGAAAAAUGCAUAUUUUUUCUAAUUCAAAUAAAAUAGCAAUAAAAUCCAAAUAAAAUUAUUUAUUUGAUUUUAACAUUUUUCCUCUAAUAUUUCAUUUAUUUUGGAGAAGUCAUAUUAUCUCCUCUCAUAUAUUUUAAUUAGAAAUAUUUUUGGAGAGAAAAAUAAUUAAAACCAAAGUGAUCCUUGUUUCGAUAUUUGAGAAAAUUCAAAUAUGAAAAUCGUGAAAUCCCCAACUCUCUCCGUGGGUCCUUGAGUUGCUUAGGAUUUUCUAGGAUUGCAAAACAAAAUGCAAUAAAAUAUGAUAUGCAUAGAUGACCUAUGUAUAACAUUCCAAAUUGAAAAUUUGGGAUGUUACAAACCUACCCCCCUUAAGAUGAAUCUCGUCCUCGAGAUUCGGGAUGGCUAGAAAAUAGGUGUGGGUGGUCUUUCCGUAGAUCAUCCUCUCGUUCCCAGGUGGCUUCAUCCUCGAUAUGGUGGCUCCACUGAACUUUGCAAAAUUUGAUAACCUUGCUGCGUGUAACUCGGCUGGCAAACUCGAGAAUCUUGACUGGUUUCUCCUGUUAGGUCAGAUCACUAUCCAACUGAAUUGCUUCCAGGGGCACUGUAUCUCUCAGAGGGAUAUCGGCCAUCUCUGCAUGGUAUUUCUUCAACUGGGAAACGUGAAACACAUCAUGAACUCCUAAAGUCCUUCGGGUAACUCCAACUUGGAGGCUACUUCUCCCAUACGUUCCAAAACUCGGUAUGGUCCUACAAAUCUCGGGGCGAACUUCCCUUUGACUCCAAAACGUUUAACUCCUCGUAGAGAUGACACACGAAGAUAUGCUCUGUCUCCGACUUCAUAGACUACCUCCUUGCAUUUCGAAUCUGCAUAACUCUUCUACCUGGACUGAUACUGCAACUUCAUAUCAUAACCCUUUAUGAGCUCCAACCAUCUCCUCUGCCUGAGGUUCAGCUCCUUCUGUGUGAAAAUGUACUUCAAACUCUUAUGAUCCGUGUACACAUCACAACGGUUCCCAAUAAGAAAAUGUCUCCAGGUCUUGAGCGCAUGCACUGCGGCUGCUAACUCCAAAUCAUGCAUGGCAUAAUUCAACUCAUGCGGUCAAGCUGACGUGAGGCAUAAGAAACAACUCUUCCGUCUUGCAUAAGUACUCCUCCAAGUCCUAAGCGAGAAGUGUCGCAAUACACUUGGAAAUCCUUGUGUAUAUCUGGCAGAAUCAGCAUUGGGGUUGUAGUCAAACGUUUCUUCAAUUCCUGAAAAAUGGCCUCACAUUCUUCCGUCCAUUUGAACUUAGUGUCCUUCUUUAACAGCUCCGUCAUGGGCUUCGCAAUCUUAGAGAAAUUCUCGAUAAAUCUCCGAUAAUAUCCCACGAGUCCAAGAAAACGGCGGAUCUCUCCAACUGAGGUGGGUGCCUACCACUCAGUGACUGACUUAACCUUGGUGGGGUCUACUGCUAUACCUUCUCCUGAUAUAACAUGUCCAAGGAAUCCAACUUCCUUCAACCAAAACUCACACUUGCUGAACUUGGCAUACAACUGAUGUUCCCUGAGCUUCUCGAGAGCUAAACGCAAAUGCUCCUUGUGUUCCUCUUCAUUCUUCGAGUAUACCAAAAUAUCGUCAAUGAACACCACAACAAACUUAUCCAAGAACUCCAUAAACACCUUAUUCAUCAUACUCAUGAAAUAGGUAGGGGCGUUAGUCAAUCCAAAUGACAUAACUGUAUACUCAUAUAGCCCGUACCUUGUGGUGAAGGCUGUCUUAGGUAUAUCUUGUUCUCGGAUCUUCAGUUGGUGGUAUCCUGAUCGCAGAUCGAUCUUUGAAAACGCUUUAGCUCCUUGCAGCUGGUCAAACAAAUCAUUGAUCAUCGGCAGUGGGUAUUUGUUCUUGAUCGUCACUUCAUUCAGCACACGUUAAUCAACAACCAUUCUUAACGAUCCAUCCUUCUUCUCAACCAAGAGCACUGGGGCUCCCCACGGCGAUAAACUUCGUCGAAUGUAACCUUUCUCCAGUAACUCCUUAAUCUGUUUCUUGAUCUCCUCCAGAUCAUUCGCGGGCAUUCGGUAUGGUCUUUUCAAUAUCGGUCCGGUGCCUGGCAAAAGCUCUAUCAAAAACUCAAUGUCUCGAUCUGGUGGCAUGCCUGGUAAUUCCUCUGGAAACACAUCCGGGUAAUCCUUCACUACCGGCACUUCCUCCUGAACAACUCCUGAGAGGGAAUUUACUUGGGUCCUCCUUGGCGCAUGCCUAGAUGCAUACUUGAUCCUUUUUCCCUCCGGGGUGGUGAGCAAAAUUGACUUACUGGCGCAAUCGAUGUUUCCUCCAUACAUCGACAGCCAAUCCAUGCCUAGAAUCACAUCCAAUCCUUGGGACUCUAGAAUUAUCAGGUCUGAGGGGAAAACAUGCCUACCUAUGGUUAAUGGCAUCUGAAAACAUCCACUGCUUGCCAUAUACUCAGCUCCGGGUGAGCUUGCUAACAUAGGUGUUCUAAGAACAUUGGUGGGCAACUUAUACUUAUCCACGAAUCCCCUUGAAAUGUAUGAAUGCGAUGCACCAGUAUCAAAAAGAACGAUUGCAGUAAAUGACUUAACCAAAAACUUACCGAUAACUGCAUCUGGCUGCUCUUCAACCUCCUCCACGUUAACGUGGUUUACUUGUCCCCUGUUGAAAGGGUUGGGCUUCUCCCCAGAGCUUCCAUUGCCAUUUCUGUUCUUCGCUUCAGGGCACUCAGUGGCAUAGUGUCCAGUCUUCCUGCACCUGAAACAAGUAAUGUGACUUAGGUCCUUCUUGGCGGGUGUGGCUGAAUUGGAGCGGUUCUGAUUGCUGCCUGCUCCAUUCCCAUUCCCAUUCUUGGGGCCAUUGUGGUUAUGGUAACUUCCUCCAUUGUGAGUGUGGCCUCCAUGGUUAUGGGUAUAUCCUCCCAAGUUUGGGGUAAAACGAGGCUUCUGCUGUGCUCCUGAAUUGUACUUCCCUUGUCCAUACUUCCUUUUGCGGCUCUCUAUCUGCUGAUGCUUCCCUUCAAUCAUGAGGUCCUUGUCUACCAACUCCUGGUAGUUGUUAAAUGUUGCCACCAUCAACUGCAUGCUCAUCUCAUCAUUUAGCCCUUCCAUAAACUUCUCCUGCUUCGCGGCAUCUGUGGCCACAUCAUCAGGGGCAUAGCGAGAUAACUUACUAAACUCAUCUACAUACUGAGCCACAGUACGGUUUCCUUGGUGCAAGUUAUGAAACUCACGCUUCUUCAUGCUCAUAGCUCCAGUUGAGACAUGGGCUGUGCGGAAUGCUUGCUGAAACUGAUCCCAAGUGAUAUUGGCUAUAGGGAAAGUGGUUGUAUAAUUCUCCCACCAUGAAGCUGCGGGUCCAUCCAAUUGAUGUGCGGCAAAACGCACCUUCUCAGCAUCUGUGCAACCUGCGGUGGUCAACUCCCUUCCAAUCUUGCGUAGCCAGUCAUCAGCAACUAUUGGCUCGGUGCUACUGGAAAACACUGGCGGCUGCAACCUCAGAAAAUGGGCUAAGUUGUCAACGGGUGGUGGUGGUGGUGGCGGGUUGUUGUUGUUGUUGUUGUUGUUGUUGCCUUGGUUCUGGACUAAUAUCUGCAUCAAGGCAUUCUGCUGCUGGAUCAACUAGGUGAUCUCAGGUGGGAAGACAAAUCCGGUGUCACGUCUCGGAGGCAUCUAAUGGGUUUAGAGGGGAGAGAUUAGAAUAGAAUGAGGUCUAGUGAGAAAGCACUGCCCAUAUGCACAUGAGACAAACACAAUCAUAUCACACCAAAUCAAUUCAAGCAAGGGCAUACAAUCGGUCUAGAACUAUCGUUAUAGUGCUCGGACUACUACUAUGUACAUGGGGAAGUACUACUAAUCAUAUGGUGGUCUACUAGAAAUUUUGAUCAGUGGAAGACUCCAUGAUAUCCACUCCAGCUUCGUCUUCGUAAUCAUCAUCACUACCAUCAGGGUCAGAUCGGUGUCGUCGAUGAUGAUGUAGUCUUCAGAACGAAUCUCCUUGGGUUCAUCGUCUUCUCCUCCUGGCGCGGGGUCUCCCAUGAAUACUCCUAGCUUCCUUGUCAGGUCGUCAUUCUUCUCCACGAGUAUUGCGAUUUCCUCCUCAUAUCCGUCGCGUGUAGACUUGAGUUCCUCUUCUAGCUCUGUGUUCCUGGUCAUCACCUUCUUCAGAUCUAUCAUGCUUGCACACAUCUGGUUCUCCUGUCGACGAAUGUGUUGGUUUAACUCCUGGAUGAAAGCUGCAAUGGACCUGUCCCUCCUGGUGCUGAUGAUCUCCCAUAGCUCAUCUCGGCGCCCACAUAUCUGGUAGAUAGUAUCCUUCAGAUCCUUGUGGUAAACUUCUCCGAUGCAUCCCAUAGCAAUGUGGGUUGCCAUGCUCUUGCCUAGACUCCAGGUUCUUGCAUCAAAGGAAAACUCUAUGGGAUCAGUGACUGGCGUGAAUGUCCUUCCGGGAACUUGAACUCGAAUCAUCCAUCGCUCCUCUUCUGGUAAAGUGGCGGUGUAGGUCCCGGUGAAACUUGGUAUUCCGAUAUUCAGGUACCUAGUGACUUCCUUCAAGUGUCGUCCAAAAGCGGUGUCUUCAUCCGGUUGUGCAAACUUGUUCCUUGAGUUCGCCAUCCUAAAGAGUAGAAAAUGGAGAGGGGCCAGAAAUGAGUAGAGAAGAGUGACCUAUGGCUCAUCUUAGUGGUCGUGUCCUACAUUCAGCGUGUGCUCUGAUACCAUCUUGUAGCGAUCCGACCUCAGACGGUCACAUCUCUGUGUUCAGUGUCAUCCCUGGAUCGGUAAUGCUGGCACACACAGUACUUGAAGGAUUUAUAACAGAGUAGCAAUCACACACUUAUUACAUCGGUAGUCUCAAAAGAGAACUUAUUACAAUAAAUAUGGCUUAAGGCCAUAUAACUAAGAUAACAGCGGAAGGCUUGGAAGAUAAAGUGAGUCCAUCAACUCCAACGACAUAGCUCAGUGCAUGACAACGACCUAGCGCACCUUACUCUUCGUAUGGAAAGUCUGCAACACGAUAUGUUGCAGCCCGAAAAUGGGUCAGCACAUGGAAUAUGCUGGCAAUAUAACACAAUAGAGCAAAGAACAGAUAAAUGCUAUCACUACAUGCAUAUAUGGCUGGUGGAGGCUCUAUGAUUAUAAUGUUUUGCGAAAAACCAAUUUUUUCCUACAACAAAGGAAUAUGUUUUAUUUAACUAUCAUGGUGGUUGAAACAUCAUUGAGAAGGUUCCUCCAACUCAAUCCCAAUUAAAAUAGUCAUUAACAUCCCAACAAAUUAAUUUAGAGUGAUGAGAUCAAAUCAAUAGUUCAAGUACCAGAUACUCAAGAUGUCCAUAACCGGGGACACGGCUAACCAUGUUUAGUUUGUACACUCUAUAGGGGUUUGCGCACUUUUCCCCACAAGACUCGAUCUCCUCCGUUGGAUUUCUUGCACUACAUGGUGUUUGAGAAACGGAUGACCGAGACACAGUCUUUCAGAAACAUUAACUCUUUACUCUGGGUGGACAGUUACACCUACUUUUGCCUACAUCUGCUAGCCCACCACUGAAAGAGUUCAUGCAACAUACUCAACUAUGCUAGAGCCCAUAAUAGCUUGUGGCUGCACACGGAAGUUUCUAGCAUGAAUAAUCUUAUGAUCCCUUCGAGCCUGGGUGGCGAACCAUAGGAUGAUCACACGGGUACUCCGGGAUAUCCUAGGACAACACUGGAUUCUCCAGGUGCCCAAACCAACAAUCCACCCAGAUGUGUAUUAAAGUAGCCACCUUAAGUUAACCAUUAAUUAAACACUCACAUCUGUCAUGGAUCUCUCAAACCAAACCACGUCUACGAGCAUAGCAUAGCAACAUAAGCAUAACGUAGAAGUAACUCCCAAGGUUUGAAUAUAAACAGGGCAAUAGGUUCUACCUCAUCAUCUACUUCCCAAUACCCACAUGUUAGCAAUUCCUAACCAUGCAAUGUUUGAGGGUUGAAACUAAUGCAUAAAAACUGGGUAUGAAAAGAGUAUGAUCAAUGUGUUACUUGCCUUGCUGACGAUCCGCAAAACCUAGUGACUCGUAGUAGCACGCUUCGCACUCCGGGAAUUCUAUCGCAAACAAACAAUAACAUACAUAAGCACUCAAGCAAAGAUGCACGGGUAAAACUCAAAUAAGAAGACCGAAUCUGAAAACUCAACUGAAGAGAUUCGAUCUGCAAAAAGAAUCAAUCGAAUCGGAGCUACGAAACUAAAACUACGGUCAAAAGAACUUCGAAUUCAAAUCUGUCUGAAACCAAAAUUUUAAAUUGUCAAAACCAUGUUCAAGUUGAUUAAACAGAACGAGGGGUUCUAGACGAAGAUUUUGGCGUUGGUUUCACUGGAUUUGGACAAACGGUAAAGAAACAGCGAGGGUUUGAAGAUCAGGGGCUAAUCUGCGAUAAAAGUAAUCGCAGAUAGGUCCCUGGCCAAAAAAUAAAAUAAAAAGAAAAAGACUAAUGAACGUUCGCUGUCUGAACCUAACCGGCGAACAGUGUUCGUUAAAACGAACGAACGGACGAACGUCCGCUAAAUAAAUAAACCAGCGAAAAACCGAACCGAUCUAAAAAAAUAAACCGAUCUAGGGUUUUUAAGAAAACCGGGAUUUAUGCCCAAAAAAACCAAAAAAACCAGCGGCGGCUUGAGGUCAACGGCAGCGGCGGGGCGGCGUCCGGCGGCGUGCGCACGGCGNNNNNNNNNNNNNNNNNNNNNNNNNNNNNNNNNNNNNNNNNNNNNNNNNNNNNNNNNNNNNNNNNNNNNNNNNNNNNNNNNNNNNNNNNNNNNNNNNNNNNNNNNNNNNNNNNNNNNNNNNNNNNNNNNNNNNNNNNNNNNNNNNNNNNNNNNNNNNNNNNNNNNNNNNNNNNNNNNNNNNNNNNNNNNNNNNNNNNNNNNNNNNNNNNNNNNNNNNNNNNNNNNNNNNNNNNNNNNNNNNNNNNNNNNNNNNNNNNNNNNNNNNNNNNNNNNNNNNNNNNNNNNNNNNNNNNNNNNNNNNNNNNNNNNNNNNNNCGAUGGUGAGAGGUGGCGGGGGGCGCUAUAUAGGAGAGGGGGGCUCGGCGGCUUAGGGAGGGGGUUGAGGAGGAGUCCUCGGACGCGGCGGCGGCGACGUGCGCCGGCCGGACUCCCGGUAGGAGUCGGUCGGGGCGAGGCGGUGGGCUGCGGCUGCCUGGCUCGGCUCGGCCGUUGGCCUAGUCGGGACCGUGACUUCUUUUAAAAAAAAAUUCCACCGAGAAAAAUCCUAAAUAAAUAAAAAUAAAAAUCUAAAAAUGCCAAAAACAAUUUCACCGUCUAAAUAGAAUAUUUAGAACUUAGUGAACAUUUUCUUGGCCUAAAAAUGCAAUUUUGAAAAAUGCAUAUUUUUUUCUAAUUCAAAUAAAAUAGCAAUGAAAUCCAAAUAAAAUUAUUUAUUUGAUUUUAACAUUUUUCCUCUAAUAUUUCCUUUAUUUUGGAGAAGUCAUAUUAUCUCCUCUCAUAUAUUUUAAUUAGAAAUAUUUUCGGAGAGAAAAAUAAUUAAAACCAAAGUGAUCCUUGUUUCGAUAUUUGAGAAAAUUCAAAUAUAAAAUUCGUGAAAUCCCCAACUCUCUCCGUGGGUCCUUGAGUUGCUUAGGAUUUUCUAGGAUCGCAAAACAAAAUGCAAUGAAAUAUGAUAUGCAUAGAUGACCUAUGUAUAACAUUCCAAAUUGAAAAUUUGGGAUGUUACAUUCAUCAUCCCAGCGCUCUCCAUGACGAGGAAGGAGUAGUUCACCCUCGGGGCUGUGGGUAUGUACCAGUAGCUAUGUGUUUGAUCUCUCUCUCUCUCUCUCUCUCUCUCUCUCUUUCUCUCUCGCUCUCUCUCUCUCUCAUGUUCUUGAUAUGGCGCGAUCUUGAUGUAUCGAGCUUUGCUAUUAUAGUUGGAUCGUAUGAUGGUUCUCCCCCUCUAUCUUCUUGUAAUGGAUUGAGUUUUCCCUUUGAGGUUAUCUUAUCGGAUUGAGUCUUUAAGGAUUUGAGAACACUUUAUGUAUGUCUUGCAUGUGCUUAUAUGUGGUGACAAUGGGAUAUUCACGUGAUCUACUUGAUGUAUGUUUUGGUGAUCAACUUGCGGGUUCAGUGACCUUGUGAACUUAUGCAUAGGGGUUGGCACACGUUUUCGUCUUGACUCUCCGGUAGAAACUUUGGGGCACUCUUUGAAGUUCUUUGUGUUGGUUGAAUAGAUGAAUCGGAGAUUGUGUGAUAUAUAUCGUAUAAUCAUACCCACAGAUACUUGAGGUGACAUUGGAGUAUCUAUGUAACAUUAUGGUUUUGGUUGAUUUGUGUCUUAAGGUGUUAUUCUAGUACGAACUCUAGGAUAGAUCGAACGGAAAGAAUAGCUCCGUGUUAUUUUACUACGAACUCUUGAAUAGAUCGAUCAGAAAGGAUAACUUUGAGGUGGUUUCGUACCCUACAAUAAUCUCUUCGUUUGUUCUCCGCUAUUAGUUACUUUGGAGUGACUCUUUGUUGCAUGCUGAGGGAUGGUUAUAUGAUCCAGUUAUGUUAUUAUUGUUGAGAGAACUUACACUAGUGAAAGUAUGAACCCUAGGCCUUGUUUCCUAGCAUUGCAAUACCGUUUACGCUCACUUUUACCACUUGCUACCUUGCUGUUUUUAUAUUUUCAGAUUACAAAAACCUAUAUCUACCAUCCAUAUUGCACUUGUAUCACCAUCUCUUCGCCGAACUAGUGCACCUAUACAAUUUACCAUUGUAUUGGGUGUGUUGGGGACACAAGAGACUCUUUCUUAUUUGGUUUCAGGGUUGCUUGAGAAUGACCAUCUUCAUCCAACGCCUCCCACGGAUUGAUAAACCUUAGGCCAUCUACUUGAGGGAAAUUUGCUACUGUCCUGCAAACCUCUGCACUUGGAGGCCCAACAACGUCUACAAGAAGAAGGUUGUGUAGUAGACAUCAGUGGGCACAACCACCUGGGCGCGCCAGCAGCCCCAGGCGCGCCCUGGUGGGUUGUGGUCCCCACGUGGGCCCCUCACUUACCUCUUUAGCCCAUGUCACCACCUACCUCCAGAAAAAAUUCACCAUUGCUCUCUCUCUCUCUCUCGUGUUCUUGCCCUCAAACCCGCGGAUUUCGAUCUCUUUUCUCAAAGCUCCAUUUCCGAAACUGUUGUGGGGCAUUGCUUCUUGGUAUGUGACUCCUCCAUUAGUCCAAUUAGUUAUUCUUUUAGUGGUUUAUAUUUUGAAUAAUUAGCUACUCUUGGUGCUGCUGUAGAUGAGCUUGCAUGUUGAAUUCUUAGAGUUCUAAGUGGUUUGAAUGCUUAAUAUGGUGUCGGAGUAAAUGGCCACGGGUAGCUUAACUGACUACCCCUGGUUCUUCAGAAAAAUUAUCAGGCCUUUGGGCCUUCAAGCACUCCAAGCAUUUGGGCCGCCUUCCCUGGCCGGGUACCUCUGAAGCCGACUCCCGGAAGGCGACCCAGCCUCAAGCAACCCCUCCCCAGGACGACUACGGGGUGGCCGACUCCAAGAAGCCGGCCAAGAAGGACGCCGACUCCUAGCAGCCGGCCGAGACCACAACCACCAAAGCUGUUCCCACAUAACGGCGACAAGACGGGGUGUGGCCACAGUGCGGCCCACUACCCCUGAAGCCCGAGGCGGGCAUGGCUACAGGAGGCCGUACGGGACGGCCGUCUCCCAUACGGCUCGGCACUGUAGCCAUGUUAGCCUCGACGUCAUCCAUGACUGACUCCCGUACGGCCCACGGGCGGCGGGCCCCUUUAGCCAGAGAGAGACGUGGAGGCGGCCCGGCCUUUCCCAGUCGGCCAAGGGCGUAGCCGGCCCCCCGAAGCCGGCUACUCCCUUCCUCGAAGCAGGAGCCCCAUUAAGGAGACAAGACGAGGUAAGGCUACAGUGAGAGCCCCCGAGGCGGCCCACUGUAGCCACGCUUACCUCGACAAAGCCCUCGUCAUCAGAGGCGAGGCUACAGUAAGCAGCCGCCGACAAGACCCUAGGCGGUGGGGCCGGCCUGUCGACCAAGAAGCCGGCAGCCGGCGGGACCCAACAGCCGGCGGAGAAGCCGGCGAGCGUAGACACUGACGGCUGGGACCAGAGCCCAGCCGGAUUACCGUUGAACCCCCGGGGGGUAGGCCUAUAUAAACCCCCCGGAGCACCCAUGCAAAGGGUUGGCCUCUGAGCAUAGAGUUGGCUUCUAAGCACAGCACACACACCAUAGAUAGAGAGAAGUAAGAGCUAGCCUUGUUCUUCUUCUCCCUCGAACCCAAACAGCUCUAGGAGCGAUUGUAGCUACUUUCACCGAUCUAGUGAUCAUGCGGAGACCCCGCAGAGCAGGACUUGGGGUGUUAUCUCCUCGGAGAGCCCCAAACCUGGGUAAGAUCCGCCGGCGUGCAUGUCUUCGCCUCAUCCCGUUUCCAGGCACCGGCGACGUUUUAUUGGCACCCACAAUGAUAAGCCAUCCCUUGGCAUAUGUCUCACCAACCACCCGACAUUUGGCGCCCACCGUGGGGCCAGGUGCACCGUCGUCCGGAGACCUGUUCUGGACGGGAACCCUCUUCCUCCCCCGCGAGCGCAGCCAGCCUGCUGCGCCCGAUGGUGUUUGCCUCGACGUGCUGCAAGGCGUCGACGAUGCCUGCGCAGCGAGCUACCUCGCCGAUCUGCUCGGCGAGACCCGCAUCUCCGACGAGCCUGCGUCCGACGCAGGCACCGACUACCCCGAGAGCCGCCUCGUCAGCCUCCUCGACCAGCUUCACAUCUCCAGCGAGCCCGCUGCAGAUGUGGAGUCGGUCGGCUCCACCGACCCGAUGCUCGUCGACUCCGACACCGCAUCGCUUGACGCCUACCCCUCCGACGUGGUGGUCUUCGAUGACCCCCUCCCUCGAGCUGACAGCGGUAGCAGCGCUGUCACCAAAGUGCUGGUCAUCAGCCACGUCGCCAACUCGAGCGAGAAUGCCCACGACGCUCUGCAAGCGGCGAUGCACGACCUCUCCGUCCCCAUCCCGUCCGAUGCCGACGCCGAGACCCUGGAGGCACGCCGCCUCGCCCUCAUCGCGGAGGGCCAGAAGAUAGCCUCCAUGAGACGCCUCACCGAGGCCCACCAGCGGGAAGUCGACCGCGCCGCCUUCGGAACGCCGCCGCCUAGCGUCCCGAGCCGAGCUGGCUUCGUCCAGAAGAGCGGCGCGGCCGUUGCCAGCAUGCUGGGCGCAGAUCGCCCCGUCUACGCCACCCCGCUCGAGAAUCUGCGAGCCGCUCAGGCGGCUGCAGAGGAGCUCAAUGGGCUGGGAGCCGAUGAGCUCCCCUACAUGACGAGACGGAUCCAGCAGCUGCUCGACGCGGCUGCAGAACGGCACGAAGCCGGCGCCCGUGCUGAUAGUCAUCCCCCGCGCCGGGAGCACGCCGUGAUGUCUCGCUCGCCGACUGCGAGCGGCGCGCGCCAGAAGAAAGACAAGGAGCCGGCUGCCAGCCGCAGCUGGACUCGCAUCACCAUCGAGCGCGACGCGGAGGGCCGCCCUCGAGCAGUAGAACACCAAGGAAAUCUGCCUCCUCCCCCGCCUCGAAGAGAAAGACGCCUCACUCCGCCGCCCAUCACACAUUCGACUCUUGGCGACCGACUCGGCCGCCGAGAAGGAGUCGGCGAGAAUGACGCCCGCCACAGGAUCGACCGCCUUGCUCGAUCCUUGGCGUUAGAAGAAGAAGACGAUGUCGGCCCGCCAUGCUUUGGCCCCCGCAUCCGCGACGAGCCCUUCCCCAAAGGGUUCUCGCUCCCCAGAGACACGCCCAAGUACAACGGCUCGGUGAAGCCGGAAGAUUGGCUCAUCAACUACUCCACGGCCGUUAGCAUAGCCAACGGAAAUCGGCGCGUCGCCGUGAAGUAUGUCCCCCUCAUACUGCAAGGCACGCCACGCACAUGGCUCAACAGCCUCAAGCCCUACAGCAUCAACAGUUGGCUGGACUUCACCGAAGUCUUCGUCCGCAACUUCACCAGCACCUACAAGCGGCCUCCCAAGCCUCGCCAGCUCUCCCUCUGCGUCCAAGGGCCAAACGAGUCGACCCGCGACUACCUCACGCGAUGGGCCGAGCUCCGCAACUCCUGCGAGGGAGUGCACGAGGUCCAGGCCAUCGAGUACUUCACCACCGGGUGCCGAGAGGGCACCCUCCUCAAGCACCGACUCCUCUGCGACAAGCCGGCUACCCUCGACGAGUUACUAGUCAUCGCCGAUAAGUACGCCACUGCUGACUCCUCGAUGAAAACCGAGCUCCGAGUAGACGCCUCGGGGAAGGUGAUUGCUCCGGCUCCCAAGACGCCGGCUGGCGACCCUAAUCGGCGCCCCUACCAGAACGACCACAAGCGUGAGGGCCCCAUGCCGACUUCCUCCAGUCGGCAGGUGGCCACCGUUGAAGACGAGCAGCCCGAAGAGCGGCCUGCUCCCAAGAAGAAGGGUGGAAGGCCGCCUUGGCAGCCGUCUUUCUCCUACGAGCAGGCUCUCGAUGCCCCCUGCAAAUUCCACAGCGGCGCGAAGCCGUCCAACCACACAACCCGGAAAUGCCACUGGCUCACCCGCAUCACCAAGGGCGAAGGGAUGUUGCCGCCUCCGCCUCCCGGCCCGCCGCCUCCGGCCCCCCAGCAGCCGGCGGCUCGGCCGGCAGUCGGCGCCAUCCAAGACAAAUUUCCCGAAGAGCACGCCGCCUACGUCGUCUUCACCAGUCAAGCCGACGACAAGCGUAGCCGACGCCGCCAGCACCAAGAAGUGAAUGCAGUCGCCACCAGCGCCCCCGAGUUCAUGCACUGGUCAGAAAAGCCAAUUAGCUGGAGCCAGGCCGACCACCCAGAGGUGAUGCCUUCGCCCGGCUCCUAUGCAAUGGUCUUGGACGUCACCCUCGCGACGGAGAGGCAAGCUGCCAGAUUUUCCCGCGUCCUGAUAGACGGCGGAAGCAGUAUCAACAUACUGUACCGCGAUACCAUGGAGAAGCUGAACAUCAAAGCGAAGCAGCUCAUGCCGAGCCGCACUGUCUUCCAUGGUAUCGUCCCUGGCCUGUCUUGCUCCCCAAUCGGCAAGAUCAAAAUGGAUGUUCUCUUCGGAGACAAAGAUCAUUUUCGCCGAGAAGCAAUAUGGUUCGAGGUAGUGGAUUUGGAGAGCCCCUAUCAUGCACUGCUUGGCCGACCUGCUUUGGCCAAGUUCAUGGCUGUGCCUCACUACGCCUACCUGAAGAUGAAGAUGCCGAGCUCGAAGGGGAUCAUCACGGUAGCCAGCGACUACAAGAAGUCCAUCGAGUGCGCCAUGGCCAGUAGCCGGCUGGCCGAGUCCCUCGUGGUGGCAGAAGAGAAGAAGAUGUUGGAACGGGUUGUGGCCAUGGCCGGCAAGCAGCCGGCCUUGUCCCCCAACCCCAAGGAUUGUGAUGCGCAGGGCUCCUUCCAGCCUGCCAAAAAGACGAAGAAGAUACCUCUGGACCCGGAGAAUCCGGAGAGGUUCGCUGUGAUUGGGGCGAACUUGGACAGUAAAUAGGAAGGCGAGCUCGUCGACUUCCUCCGUGAGAAUCGAGACAUCUUUGCAUGGUCCCCAAAGGACAUGCCGGGUGUCCCGAAGGAUUUCGCCGAGCACAAAUUACAUGUCCGAGCUGAUGUGAAGCCGGUCAAGCAACCCCUCCGCCGACUAUCAGAAGAGAAGCGAUGAAUUGUGGGAGAAGAGAUAGCCCGGCUCCUUGCCGCCGGCUUUAUCAUGGAAGUGUUCUUUCCAGAGUGGCUUGCCAACCCAGUUCUGGUUCUGAAGAAGAAUAACAAGUGGCGUAUGUGUAUAGACUACACGAGUUUGAACAAGGCCUGCCCAAAGGAUCCGUUUGCUCUGCCACGGAUUGACCAAGUGAUAGACUCCACAGCCGGAUGUGAGCUGUUAAGUUUUUUGGAUGCAUACUCAGGGUAUCAUCAGAUCAAGUUGGACCCGGCUGACCGCCUGACUGCCUUCAUCACACCCUUUGGAGCUUUCUGCUACCUGACAAUGACAUUCGGCUUGAGAAAUGCCGGUGCCACUUUUCAGCGUUGCAUGCAGAAAUGUCUCUUGAAACAACUCGGCAGAAAUGCCCACGUCUACGUAGACGACAUUGUGGUGAAGACAGAGAAGCGCGGUACCUUGCUGGAAGACCUGAAAGAAACAUUCGCCAACUUGCGCCGAUUCGAGAUCAAGCUCAACCCCGAGAAGUGCGUGUUCGGAGUGCCAGCCGGCCAGCUGCUAGGCUUCCUGGUGUCCGAACGCGGCAUUGAGUGCAACCCUGUCAAGAUCAAGGCCAUCGAGAGGAUGGAGAUUCCCACCAAACUACGAGAUGUGCAGAAGUUCACUGGUUGCUUAGCCUCUCUGAAUCGUUUUAUCAGCCGACUAGGCGAGAAGGCCCUCCCCCUGUACCGACUCAUGAAGAAGUCCACUCACUUCGAGUGGAAUGAUCAAGCCGACCAAGCCUUCCAUGAGUUGAAGAAAAUGCUGACCACUCCGCCUGUCCUGGCUGCGCCGACUGAGAAGGAGCCCAUGCUCCUCUACAUCGCCGCGACUAGCCGAGUCGUCAGCACUGUUGUUGUGGUCCAGCGCCCGGAGGAAGGCCGAGCCCAGCUAGUCCAGAGGCCGGUGUACUAUCUCAGCGAAGUGCUAUCCAGCUCGAAGCAAAACUACCCGCACUACCAGAAGAUGUGCUAUGGGGUGUACUUCGCUGCCAAGAAACUGAAGCCCUACUUCCAAGAGCACCCCAUCACGGUCGUGUGCACCGCCCCGCUUGCCGAGAUCAUAGGCAGCCGGGAUGCAUCCGGCCGGGUGGCCAAAUGGGCCAUUGCAUUGGCGCCCUACACGAUCUUCUAUCAACCCCGCACCGCCAUCAAGUCACAAGCAUUGGCCGAGUUCCUCGUCGACUGGGCCGAGACCCAGUACCUACCGCCGGUUCCCGACUCUACCCAUUGGCGGAUGCACUUUGACGGGUCCAAGAUGCGCACCGGCUUGGGAGCCGGCAUCGUCCUCACCUCUCCCAAAGGCGACAAGCUCAAGUACACGCUGCAGAUCCACUUCGCCGCCUCCAACAACGUGGCCGAGUAUGAGGCGCUCGUACACGGGCUCCGGCUAGCCAAAGAGCUUGGCAUACGCCGGAUCCUGUGCUACGGCGACUCAGACUUGGUGGUCCAGCAAUCGUCUGGCGACUGGGACGCCAAGGACGCGAACAUGGCGAGCUAUCGUUUCCUCGUCCAACAGAUAAGCGGAUACUUCGAAGGGUGCGAGUUCCUUCACGUGCCAAGGGCCGACAACGACCAAGCAGAUGCCCUAGCACGGAUCGGCUCCACCCGACAAGCCAUACCGACUGGCGUCUCCCUCCAGCGCCUCCUCAAGCCAUCCAUCAAGCCGUCUCCAAAGUCGGAUUCCAUCUUCGUACGGCCUGCGCUAGAUAUAGCCGGAUCCGACUGGAGAAAUCCCGCAGGCGGCACGGGGACUUCGACAACUGGCCCGGGGACUGCCGUAGUCGCACCCGGCCCGGGGACUUCAGAACCCGGCCCGGGGACUGCAGCAGUCGGCCCGGGGACUGCAACGACACAAGAAGCGGUGGCCGACUCCAAUUCAACGCCACCCAACCCACCCACCCGAGUCAUGGUGGCCACAUUAACAGAAGAAGAAGUCACAGCUCCCUCAUGGGCCCAGCCCAUCCUCAAGUUCCUAGUCAGCAGAGAGCUGCCGGCUGAUGAAAUCUCAGCAAGACUAGUGCAACGACGAGCCGCAGCAUAUACAAUAAUCAACAGAGAGCUUGUGAAGCGCAGCGUCACUGGAGUUUUCCAGCGUUGUGUCGAGCCAGAAAAAGGAGUGGCAAUCCUUCCCCCGAAGCCGGCUACUCCCUUCCUCGAAGAAGGAGCCCCAUUAAGGAGACAAGACAAGGUAAGGCUACAGUGAGAGCCCCCGAGGCGGCCCACUGUAGCCACGCUUACCUCGACAAAGCCCUCGUCAUCAGAGGCGAGGCUACAGUAAGCAGCCGCCGACAAGACCCUAGGCGGUGGGGCCGGCCUGUCGACCAAGAAUCCGGCAGCCGGCGGGACCCACCAGCCGGCGGGACCCAACAGCCGGCGGAGAAGCCGGCGAGCGUAGACACUGACGGCUGGGACCAGAGCCUAGCCGGAUUACCGUUGUACCCCCGGGGGGUAGGCCUAUAUAAACCCCCCGGAGCACCCAUGCAAAGGGUUGGCCUCUGAGCAUAGAGUUGGCUUCUAAGCACAGCACACACACCAUAGAUAGAGAGAAGUAAGAGCUAGCCUUGUUCUUCUUCUCCCUCGAACCCAAACAGCUCUAGGAGCGAUUGUAGCUACUUUCACCGAUCUAGUGAUCAUGCGGAGACCCCGCAGAGCAGGACUAGGGGUGUUAUCUCCUCGGAGAGCCCCGAACCUGGGUAAGAUCCGCCGGCGUGCAUGUCUUCGCCUCAUCCCGUUUCCAGGCACCGGCGACGUUUUAUUGGCACCCACAAUGAUAAGCCAUCCCUUGGCAUAUGUCGCACCAAUCACCCGACAUAUGGCCUCUAUGCAUCCUUAUGAGUAGUUGCUAUCGAUCUUGUAAAGUUUUAUUGAAAAGAAAAUUAUACGCAAAUAAUAUGAACUUCUUUGGAAGGAGUUCUUCGAGGCGGAGGUCCUUGGAGGCAUCUUCUAGUAGUGGCUUAACCCGUCGGUCUUAUGUUGAACCAUGUGCAAGUUCAAUACAGGAUGCCGCUACCAAAUCAUGCUUAUGGCUGUGCGACAAUUUCAUGUUGAGUGCAGGUAUUAAAGAAGAAUUUGAGCAAUAUGUUCACAACGCUGAGCUCGGUCCCUACAUCCAAGAUAAGUGCAACCAGUACCUCAGUCUAUCAGAAUCGUUUACUAAAGAGUUUAAAUUUCAUCCUCGUGAGUCUAGAGUCUCGUUUAAACUUUAUGACCGUUCGCUUACCAUGCCUCUAGACGCGUUUAGUGGUGUGUGCAAAAUUCCAUUUUGGGGUUUGUUAGAUGAACCACCAAGAUCUGAGUAUGAAACAUUUUUGACUAGCCUUUGCGAUGGUGAAACUAGAGGAGUGACACAUGGUAGAAUAAGAAGCAUUCAUUUCCCAUCAAUUCAAUACUUUGCACUGUUUAAUGGAAAAUGCAUCGUAGGCAAACAAGACUGUAGUACACUUUGUGCUCCUGAUUUGAGUUUCAUACAUACUGCUCUCACCGGUGUUAAAUGCUAUAACCUUGGAGCGACUGUUGCACGUAGAUUGCAGCACAAUGUUGGUAGUGCAUAUUUUUAUGGUGGGAUUUAUACUUCACGUUUAGCAGAGGAGUUCCGUGUAUCACCUUGGCCUAAUGAUACCAUCCUUCCUACCUAGUACCUAGACUUUGAGGCCAUGAAGUGUCAUAAGUACCUUAGUGGUGGAAUUAAUCGUUAUACAUAUAACUUACUAUUUAAUUAAAAGUCCGUCGUGGACACCUUUUUGCCUGCGCUUGCUCUCUUUGGUUAUGACAACAAGGGAAGAUAUUAUGUACUUGAGACCGAGGCCCACGCACACAACACACAGGUUGUGGCUGCUCGGCAGGCUGAGGAGGCUGCACCAAGAGCCUCCGUGAGCUAUCACUCUGAUUAUUAUGCAGGCUACAGACGGUGAUUACCAAGCUAGGCCAAAAGCCUAAGCUUGGGGGAGUACGUAUUUCCACCGACAUUACAUUCAUGUUCACACAUUUCAUUUCAGUUGUCGGUUGUCGGUGGAAAACGACACCUAUGGGAUCACAAGAAUCCCUACUACAGUUGCCGGGGCGCGGGGUCGUGAGAAGAGCAGGAUUAACAGUCAACACAAGGAUCGUUUACCUAGGUUCGGGCCGCGAGGAUGCGUAAAACCCUAGUCAUGCUUUGGUGGAUGUAUUGAGUGUUCUUGAGCUUUCGAACUAGCUACGGUGGCUCUGUAGUUCAAAAGAGCCGAAUCCCUCUCCCGUACGCCAUGGGCCUCCUUUUAUAGUCGAAAGGGGCUGCCACAGUGGCACACAGGAGGUGGAAAGGCCUACAGUACUGCGAGCUUAUCACCCGUAUUACAGGACAAGACGCAUUUAAUGCAUCGCUUAGGUGUCCCUUAGCUUUAUCGGGGACGGGAACGAGGCCCGUCCCGUCCAUCGCCACUCCUCCUCGCUUGGACACGCACCCUGGCCAGCGAUGCAUGCGGUGCCAUGUAGGCAGGCAGGCAGCUGAGGUGGCGCGGUGGUAGGGUCUUCAUGAAGAUAUGCAUGCCGCCACGCACGCGCUUGUUGAGUUGGCCUGGGAGGCGCAUGUCGCCACGCAUACAUGCUAAUGGUGGUGGAAACUUGGCUGGCGCGGGCCUGGCAGUGGCCCCGCUGAUGUCCUUGGCAAGGGCCUUGCUGGGGGCCCGCCAAGGGUCUUGCCACGGUGUUGCAGUCAUCCCCGGCAAGGAUCUUGCCGGGGGUCUUCUGGCUUCCCUCGGCAAGGAUCUUGCCGAGGACUGUUGUCUUCUGAUCCUCAUCUGAUCUUGGGUGUUUACGAUCUUGACAAAGAUCUGGCCACCACGGAGGUGCCUCCUGAGCCCCAGUCCCAACGUGGUUGAUGGUGUUGGAAACUGUGGGCUCAAGGGUGGCGCGCUCCGCUGGUGUUGGGCGAGCUGCCCCGGCAAGGGUCUUGCCGGGGCCGCUGAGACUGCCCCGGCAAGGGUCUUGCCGGGGGAACCUGCUUCGUCCCUCUGCUCUUCGUGUUCUCGGCCUUGGCGCUGCCUCGGUUGCCUUGUGCUUCGGCUUCUCUCCGGCUCCCCUCCCUUGCCCUGCUACGUGUGGCUGUGGCGCGCGGUUCUGACUGCCCGUGCACAAGUAUAGGGGUCAAAAGGAGCGCCCCUACUUUUGUACACGAUAGGAGCCCCCAGGCCUGGGCCACACAUGAGCGCGACACAUUGUUGGGCCAGGCCCAAAACGGUGCGUGGGCAGUUGGGGCAGGAUUUUAUCGCAGUAACUAUUCGUCCGCUGCGCUUCUCCAUGACCUGCGCGACGUGGAGUGUCGUGCGUGACGUGGGGGUCAUGCGUGGGGCGGUUUCUGCAUGCAUGCGUCACAUUGUGGUAAAGAGGCGGCUCGCGCCUUCCCCAUAAAAAGAGGGAGGGGUGGAGGACUCGAGUCGCAGUCUUCAAGGCGUCCACGCCCCAUGAUCAUGGGGCGGGGAACGGUCGCCUCACCCGUCCCUUGGAUCCUGUUCGCUCGCCACGCGUCCUCCAUGCAAGUGGCAGGCGGGAAACCGGGCCGUCGCUGAUUGGGGCAGCGGGUUGGUCCUGAUUCCCUGCGCUUCAGAUGGCUGGAUUGGCUGAGUGGGGCAGCCGAGCCUCGACCCCGCCCCUUUAUAAGGAGGGGGAGAGGGGGCGUCAUCCCGCAUUCCUUCCGUAUCCAUCCUCCUUCACCUUUGCUUCUUCCUUCCACCUGCCAUAACGAGAGGAGGUGCUGGGCCUUCGACGGUGGCGGCGAGGGUUGCUGCUCGUCAGCGCGUCCCUCCUUCCCGCGAGCCCGCGGCGGCGGAGCCAGCCAUGAGAGGAAGGGGGAGGGGGCGUGGCCGAGGUCGCCGUGGCAGUCGGGGGAGAGGGGGACGAGGCGGUGCGAUGGCCGUGCCUCCGCCAGCGGUGCCUCCCGCGAUGGAGGGUCAUGUCGGCGACCAGCCCCGCGAGUUCUUCAUCAGGCUGCGCCAGCCACCGCGUCGUCGUCUCCGUCUCCCCACCCGCUUCACUCAAGAGAUGGAGCUUGAUCCACCCCAGACCCUCAGAUUGCACAUGAGGGGCUGCGGGACCGGCAGCACGCGGGUCGACGUUGACUUCCCCGCUCCUCAUGUUAUGUAUCUCCGUCGCGGAUGGAAGACAUUUGCCCGCAUCCAUAGCCUGACGGUGGGGCUCGUCCUCUACUACAAGUUAAUGGAGGGCGGCCUGCUCUCCGUCAAGGUCUUUGGAGAUCUUGGCACUCGCCUGAAGUGCUGCGUGGAGAGCUCCUCUGACGAUGAAGAUUCCUCCUCAAGCGGGAGUGACGAGGAGGACAGCGACAACGGCAACGAGGGAGUCGAGCGGCAGGAUGGCGACUACGACUUCGACUAACCGCGCCGCCCCUCCGUCGGCCACGCGCCCUGCCGAGGGCCAUCCUCGCCAAGCUCUCCAUCGGGGUGCUCCCCGUCGUCUCCUUGGGCGGCUGGCGUAGGAGGACCGGAGAAGGUGAAGAAGGCGGGUGGCGGCCGUCAACUCGGAGUACAAGGGCACUGACGCCUUCGUCGCGUAUUGCCGGCCCGCUGCCCCGUCUUCCAGCUCCUUUCCCGACACCAAGAUGUUCUCUUGGUGCCUUCUGCUCCUCGCACCUCGCCUAGGCGCCCCUUUUGCCCUCUCUCUGUCUUGCUCCACCUUCUGAGGACAGGGACAAGAAAGGGAUUACGGGCACCUUAUCUCUUUUUAAUUUGUAAGCCUGCGGGUACUUGUUAAUUUUAAGACUUGUAACUCCCCUUGCUCAUGUUUUUAAUUCCGUAUGAAAUGUACCUGUAUGGGAUGUUUUUAAUGAAAAAUGGUGUUUGUCGGGUUCUUUGUGCGUGAGCGAGGCCCAUGCCAAGGACGAAUCCUUGUUAUUUUUAAUGUAAACAUUGUCGCCCGGCAACAGGCCUUGCCGUUUCCCCACUUUAGUCGACCAUUCUCGCGCUCUUGGCGGAGGCAGGGUGAAGUAGAGUUAGGCCCCCCGUUCAUCUCCUCGCCACCGCGACUACUACCAAAUCCUGACCCAGGAGGUAGCUCUCAGGUACAUGAAAGGGGGAGCACGGUGGUUUUAGUAAUAUAAACGAGGUUUCACAUAUCCUAGUUCUAUACGGAAACACAUAACAGGGGAUGUAAGACUUAUCUGAAUCCGCAGCCCCCGGCAACCUUGGCUUGCCGUGGUUGGAUCCUUGUAUCUUCAGCCCCCGGCAGCCUUGCCCUGCCGGGGCUGGAGCGCCGGGUCGUUCUCCUUUUCCCAAGCGGCUCAGCAGAAGUGCCCUGCGAACCAAAGAGAACAGAAAGACGCAUACUCGACCUCUAGGCUAGGGGUUAGUCGCUGCUAAGCACUACCAACCCUAACUGAUGGAGAGACUUAACCUAGCAUGCAUGCUAUAACUUAGGGCGCCAGUGCUUCAUUUAUUUAUGCUCAGGGUAUGCACCUGUCUUUGUACAGAGGGUUACAUGCCUUGCCGGCAAAAAGCUUGUCCAAAAGGUGGCUUGACAGGAAGCCCGACAAGCCGCGCCUUAUGGGUAAAACUUGCAAAGAUGCUCGAUGUUCCAGGAGUUGCUCACUGGGACAGCAUCUUCGGUCUCCAGGUGGACUGCGCCGGGCCUGGUGACUCGUAUUACCCGAUAAGGGCCUUCCCACUUUUGGCGUCAACUUGUUGGAAUUCUUGGCCGACUGAACAUGCCGAAGAACAAGGUCGCCUUCCUCAGAGCUUCGGGCAUGAACCUUGUGGCUACGAUAGCGGCGCAAGGCUUGCUGGUAGCGUGCUGCUCUCACAGCCACCCGAAGACGAUCUUCCUCAAGGAGCGUUGCGACAUCUUGCCACAAUAGCUCUUGCUCAAGCUCGUCGUAAGUGAGCACUCUAGGUGACCCGUAUGUGAGUUCCGUGGGGAGAACUGCUUCUGCCCCGUAUACCAGGGCAAAGGGUGUCUGGCCGGUGGCUCGAUUUGGCGUCGUCCUGAUCGACCAAAGAACCGCCGGCAACUCAUCAAUCCAGCGCCUUCCGCUCUUAUGCAGCUUGUCAAAAGUCUUUGUCCUCAGGCCUCGCAACACUUCAGCAUUUGCCCUCUCCGCCUGGCCGUUGCUCCGUGGGUGUGCCACGGAAGCAAAAUAGACCUUGCUGCCGAGGUCUUGGAUGUACCGCAUGAAGGUGUGGCUUGUGAACUGUGUGCCGUUGUCGGUGAUGACUCUGUUUGGUACACCAAAACGGCAGACUAGCCCCUUGAAGAACUUGACGGCUGACUGUGCUGUCACCUUCCUCACUGCUUCCACCUCCGGCCACUUUGUGAACUUGUUGAUCGCAACGUACAAGUACUCAAAGCCCCCGACAGCACGGGGGAAGGGGCCCAGUAUGUCGAGCCCCCAGACCGAAAAUGGCGAGGAGAGAGGGAUUGUCUGAAGGGCUUGAGUUGGUUGAUGAAGCUUCUUUGAAUGGAACUGACAUGCUUCACACUUGGUUACUAGUGUCGUUGCAUCUUGGAGGGCGGUGGGCCAGAAGAAACCCUACCGGAACGCCUUGCCGGCAAGGGCCCUCGACCCUAUGUGGGAGCCACAUAUGCCUCCAUGUAUCUCUGCCAACAGCUCCAAUUCUUCCUCCCGGGCGAUGCACUUUAAUUUCACACCGUUCGGUCUCUUUCUGUACAGGACGUCAUCGAUGAACUGGUACAAGGCAGACCGACGGGCUACUUUUUCCGCUUCUUCCUGCUCCUCAGGAAGUUCCCCUGCCUGGAGGAAACGGACGGUAUGUUGUGCCCACGCCGUAGCCUGGGGCUCGACGGCAAGCACCAAAGGCAUCUCUUCUGCCAUGGGAACGUCCGUCUCUAUGGCCAGGGCUUGACGGCCUGCCAGAGUCGGUCGCUCCUCGGCAGGCUCAGGGCCUACGGCAACACCCUUGCCGGUGGCCCCUGGGGGCUUGGUGGGAAAGUACUUGCCGGGGCCUGAUUUCCUCUGAUUGUUCUGCUCCAUUGAUGGUUCGACGGAUGGUUGAGUUAACCGAAGCAAAAAGGUACCUGGUUCCACAGGUAACAUGAAUGCAGCGCGCUUUGACAGGUAAUCGGCAAUGUCGUUCUCCGCUCGGGGAAUGUGCUCUGCUUGUAUACCAUCAAAGCGCUCCUCCAGCUUCCUCACCUCAUCUACGUAGGCCUCCAUCAACGGGCUCUGAUAAUCUUUGUUGACUUGUCUGAUGACAAUCUACGAAUCACCCCUGACGAUGAGCUUUUUAACUCCGAGGUCUACCGCGAUCCUGAGACCGGCAAGCAAUCCCUCGUACUCAGCAGUGUUGUUGGUGGACAUCUCCCUGGGAAAGUGCAUAUGGAUUACAUACUUGAGGUGCUCUCCGGUGGGUGCGACGAGCAGCACACCAGCACCGGCGCCUUGCAGCGAGAAAGCUCCGUCAAAGUACAUAAUCCAGUCACGAGCUGUUUCCUUGCCGGCGAGAUUGGUCUCCUGGAUCUCUUCAUCAGGCGUCGAGGUCCAUUCUACAAUGAACUCCGCCAGGACUCUACUCUGGAUUGUCGAAGUACUUUCAAACCUCAACCCAAAGCUAGACAACUCCAAGGCCCACUCCACAAUCCUUCCGGUUGCAUCUGGGUUGUGCAGUAUCCGUUGCAACGGGAGGCGGGUGACGACAGUUAUCUCGUGGGCUUGGAAGUAAUGAUGCAGCUUCCUCGAGGCCAUAAGGAGGCCGAAGAGCAAUUUCUGCACACCGGGAAUAUCUUGACCUAGCCCCCUACAAGAGGGAGCUGACGAAGUAAACCGGGUGCUGCAUCACCUUCUUCUUCUGCACCACUCCACUUGACGGCGCGGGCUCUGACCCGAUGGCGUCAGACUCUGCCGGGAGCCUUGCCUUGCCGGCACCUGGCCCUGCCGGGGGAGUCUGUAACUUGCCGUCUGCCGGUCCUGCCAUUGCCACCGCCUCCUCGUCGACCUCCCUCUCUGCCACCAGUGCGGCGUUGACCACUUGAUUCGUCGCUGCCAGAAAUAGCAGCAACGGCUCUUGUGGUUUAGGCGCAACCAGUAUCGGCAUAGAGGAAAGGUAUUUCUUCAGAUCCUGCAAUGCUGCCUCGGCCUCUGGGGUCCACUCCAUAGGGCCCGCCUUCUUCGAGAUCUUGAAAAAGGGAAGGGCGCGCUCAGCAGACUUGGAGAUGAAUCGGCUCAUGGCGGCAACAUAGCCAGUGAGCCGACGCACAUCCUUGAUCCGCUUGGGCGCCUCAAUCUACUCGAUAGCCUUGAUCUUGUCUGGGUUUGCCUCGAUCCCACGCUGCGACACAAAGAACCCGAGAAGUUUGCCGGACGGAACGCCAAAGACACACUUCUCAGGGUUCAGCUUGAGGUUGAUCUUGCGUAGGUUGGCAAACGUUUCUUCUAAGUCUUGUACAAGAGUUGUCCUGUCCUUGCUUUUGACUACUAUGUCAUCCAUAUAGGCUUCCAUAUUUCUAUGUAGCUGGGGUUCAAAACCAAUUUGGACUGCUCUUGCAAAUGUUGAACCAGCACUCUUCAACCCGAAAGGCAUCCGUAAAAAGCAAUACGUACCACAUGGGGUGAUAAAUUUUGUCUUCUCUCAUCUUCUCUUGUCAUGAUGAUCUGGUGGUAGCCCAAGUAGGCGUCAAGGAAUGACAACAAAUCACACCCGGCCGUGGAGUCAACAAUCUGGUCGAUGCGCGGCAACGGGAAGGGGUCCUUAGGACAAGCCUUAUUGAUAUCUGUGUAAUCAAUACACAGCCUCCACUUCCCAUUUGCCUUGCCCACCACCACCGGAUUGGCCAACCACGUCGGAUGGAGCACUCCUCUCACCAAACCUGUCGCUUCCAAUUUCCUGAUCUCUUCUGUGAUGAACUCCUGCCAUUCCAAAGCUUCCUUCCUGACCUUCUGCUUGACGGGUCGCGCAUGGGGACAAACAACAAGGUGGUGCUCAAUCACUUCCCUGGCAACGCCGGGGAUGCCGGAUGCUUGCCACGCAAACACAUCGACAUUCGCCUGCAGGGAAACGAUGAGCGCGCCUUCCUAUUUGCUAUCGAGGGUGGAGCUUAUGGUGAAAGCCCCUCCCGUGCCAUCCUCCUUGACGGACACCCUCUUGGUCUCUGGUGGUGCAACUCUGGAUUUCUUGCUCUUACCGGUGGAGCUCUCUGGCACGUCCUCGAUGGUAGCACAACACUCCGAAGAGGUGCGCUUGCCGGAGUGGGUGCAAGAGGUCUUGCCGGUCUUCUUCUUCCCUCCCGGGGCUUCAGCGGCAGGAGCAAGUGCCUUGGCGGCAGCUGCUGCAACUGCCUCCCGGUAGAGUAGGUCGGCGCAGAUAAUUGCGUCCUUCUUGUCGGAGGGGACGGUGAUGAUGUUCAUCGGCCCAGGCAUCUUCAGCGUGUUGUAAGCAUAGUGUGACGCCGCCAUGAACUUGGCCAGUGCCGGGCGGCCGAGGAUCCUGUUGUAGGGCAAGGGGAUCUCGGCUACAUCGAAGACAAUCCUCUCCGUCGUGUAGUUCAAAUCGCCUCCGAACGUCACAGGCAACGUGACCUUCCCCUUCGGCUGGCUCCUUCCUGGGUUGACCCCUUGAAAAGUGCCCAUUUCCUUAAGGUCUCCAUCAGGAAUUUGCAGCCUUUUGAUCACAACAAGCGAGAUCAAGUUCAGACCGGCCCCGCCGUCAACCAACAUCUUGUUCACCUUGAGGUUGCGUAUCGUUGGUGAAACCAACAAUGGCAAACACCCGACCGCAGUUGUGCGGUCAGGGUGGUCCUCGGCGUCAAAGAUGAGGGGCGUGCUAGACCACUUCAGUGGCUUCUGAGCGUCGAACGAGGGCUCCGCUGCUGUAAUCUCACGCGCCCACUGCUUGAGCUGGCGGUGAGAAGUAUGCAGCGAGGCACCACCAUCGACACACAUGGCCUCCGUAGCCUUCUGAAACUCAUGCUCGCAGGACUCGCCGUCCUCGUCAUGAUCAUCGUCUUCUUGCUUCUUGUCGCGGCCCCGAGCGGGCCUCUCUUGCUGGUUAUCCUUGCCGCAGCGACCUCCCUGGCCGCCAUGCUUCUUGCCGGAUCCUUCGGCACCAUCCUGACCAUUCUCCUUGUCCCGCCUCUCAUACUCGGCCUUUUGCUUCCCAGCAAGCAGCUCGACUUGCCGGCAGUUCUGGAGGUCGCGGCCCUUGGUGCGCUGGAUCUUGCAGUACUGCUUGUCGGAGCCCCCUGGCUUGUCGGCAGCUGCUAAGGCCCGGCAAGCGGCGCACCCGGCAAUCUCCUUGCCGGGGUCAUCUGCCUUGGCCUUCUUGGCAGCGCCGGUAUCAUCAGAUCCCUCGACGGCAAGCACGGCCUUGCCCUUGCGUUUCCUGUUAUGACACCGGCCCUUCUUUGUCAGGGCGGCGGUGUCUUCAUCAGUAGAGUCGGUUUCCGCGCCGGCGUCCUCGUCGGGGUACUUCCUUCCCUCUUCAGCCCAGGCGCACCUAUCGGCCAGAACAUAAAGUCCGGCCACGUCCUUAACCUUGUUCAUCGCCAGAUCCUCACACAUCUUGCGAUUGCGCACGUUCUGAUGGAACGCGCUAAUCACGGCCGCGGGGUGAACGUCGGGGAUGUUGUACUGCACCCGGCUGAACCUCUGUAUGUUCUUGCGCAUGUUUUCUCCUUCCAUCUGGGGAAUGAUAUGCAAAUCACUCGCCUUGCCAUGAGCUUGGUGGCCUCCAGUGAAGGCACCAACGAACUCAUGGCACAGGUCUGACCAAGAAGAAAUGGAGUCUGCCGGCAAGUGCAUCAACCAAGACAUGACAUUGGGUUUUAGGGCCAACGGGAAGUAAUUGGCAAGCACCUUGUCGUCACGAGCCCCAGCGGCUUGCAUCGCAAUGGUGUAGAUGCUGAGGAACUCCGACGGAUGGGUCUUGCCAUUGUACUUCUCACCGACGUCGGGCUUGAACGUGCGGUGGGACGGCCACUGGAACUACCGCAGCUCACGGGUAAAGGCUGGGCAACCCACCUCGUAAGGUAGGCCGCCGGAGCCUCCCGGGGCCAGGUGGUCCGCAGUGGGCCCUGCCCGCUUGUCCGACUGGUGGCGUGUAUUGCGCCGGCGCUCGAUGGUGGUUUUAGCGUCUUCAUGGGAUCGCUCCCGAAGAACUUGGCGCUGGCCGCGGUGGGUCCAUGGGUCGGACGACGCUAUGGAAAUGUUAUCACAUGCGUCGUCACGACGGAUUGACACUGGGGGUAGCUGGCGUGGGGGAGGAGAGUGCACUGUGGCCGCAGCUCCCCCGGUCCUUCCCCCGCUGGCAUGUGGUGGCUCGACGGAGCGCCGGUCCGAGGGCCCCGCCGGCCGUGGCUCGUCUUUGUUGGCGACUGUCGGUGUCAAAACCGGCGGAUCUCGGGUAGGGGGUUCCGAACUAUGCGUCUAAGGCAGAUGGUAACAGGAGGCGGGGGACACGAUGUUUACCCAGGUUCGGGCCCUCUCGAUGGAGGUAAUACCCUACUUCCUGCUUGAUUGAUCUUGAUGAUAUGAGUAUUACAAGAGUUGAUCUACCACAAGAUCGUAGAGGCUAAACCCUAGAAGCUAGCCUAUGGUAUGAUUGUUGUUGUCCUACGGACUAAACCCUCCGGUUUAUAUAGACACCGGAGGGGGCUAGGGUUACACAGAGUCGGUUACAAGGGAGGAGAUCUACAUAUCCGUAUUGCCAAGCUUGCCUUCCACGCCAAGGAGAGUCGCAUCCGGACACGGGACGAGGUCUUCAAUCUUGUAUGUUCAUAGUCCAACAGUCCGGACAAAGUGUAUAGUCCGACUGUCCGAGGACCCCCUAAUCCAGGACUCCCUCAGUAGCCCCUGAACCAGGCUUCAAUGACGAUGAGUCCGGCGCGUAGAUUGUCUUCAGCAUUGCAAGGCGGGUUCCUCCUCCGAAUACUCCAUAGAAUAUUUUGAGCACAAGGAUAGUGUCCGGCUCUGCAAAACAAGUUCCACAUACUACUGUAGAGAGAAUAAUAUUUCCACAAAUCUAAUUUGCUGACGACUUUUCAUAACGUGACAUCACACCACGGCCUGAUCAUCAUUCGAACCGCUUUUCUCAAUCAGCCUGCCACUGCACGUUUUGCGAGGCAAUUUUAUUAGCACGUCUUGUCGAAGCAGAGAUCGUGUCCCCCUUAUUACGGGAUUCUCAUCAAUAUGGAUGUGGGUAACCCAAUCGUGCCCGUUGGUAUGACUCCUCGAUUUUAGGCAAGUCCCAAACGGCCACGCGGAGGACGCUUGAUAUUCGCCCUAUUUAUAAAGAGGCCAAGGCCUGUCCUUUUUCUUCUCGCACUCAAUCGAAUCCUUCCCCCACCUCGAGUUCCAACACCCAAGGCUCAGGUCGGGCGCUUCGGACCUUCAACUAUGUCAUAGAGGAAGACAUCAAGAAGCUAAGAGAGGCUAGGUAUCUGACCGCCGAAAUCUCGCACAGGCUACCUGCUCGAGGGCAGGUCAUUCCCACUCCCGAACCCGGCGAGAGCGUCGUAUUCAUCUCUCACUUCCUCCGAGGGCUAGGCCUUGUUCUAGAUCCCUUUGUUAGGGGGCUCAUGUUCUAUUACGGGCUGGAUUUCCAUGACCUGGCCCCGGACUCCAUCCUUCACAUUUCGUUGUUCAUCGUCGUGUGUGAGGCCUUCCUCCACGUCACCCCGCACUUUGGCUUGUGGCUCAAGACCUUUAAUGUAGAUCCGAAGACGAUUAAUGGGCGACACAGAAUGCGGAGGAGCCAUAAUAAGCAAAGGCGCCGAUGUUCCAUGGCCAAAUGGUUCCUUCCCGGAGGUAUCCAGCUUAUGGCAACGGGAGUGGUUUUACAUCACAGCCCCCCGCGGUACUAAGUGGGUGACCGCCCCUGCCUUUCGCUCGGGCCCCCCGCCACAACUGACGUCAUGGAUCAACAAGGGGCUGGACUAGGGGCCAGUAAAUGAUGUGUCGAUAUUGCGGAGUUGCAUCCAAGAUCUCCUCGAGAGAGAUAUCAGCCUAGUCACGGUAAUGCAAGUCAUGCUAGUUCGUCGAGUCCCGCCUUGCAAACGUCGACCCCUCCGUAUGUGGGAGUUCAACCCGGAAGGACCGCGAGCUAUUCAGCACUUCCUCGGCAUGACGCUCGAAGAGAUGUACAAAUUGUUUUUCGGACCACAAAUAAGGUGUCCGGACACCACCGAGGAUGCGGGUCUGAGCUGCAAUCGUCCAGAUACCCAAGUAAGUAGUCCUUCGGCCGAACACGUUGUCUCUAUAUUUAUCACAACAUCAUUUUGAAAAGUCGCUCUUUGACCAGGAUGGGGUAAAAAAGGCGAAGAUGAUCAGGUGUUCGCCCCCCUUCCCGAAGGCUCAGCAGAUCCAGUACUGGCCAGAAUGCUUGAGCUUGCGCCUUAUCAAGCGUCCUCAGUGGAAGAUAAAGGGGGAAUAAAGCGGCUGAAAGCGGGCCUUGCUCAUUAUUCAUCCAAACCAGGGGAAUUAGCGCCUCCGCGAAGGAGGAUAACUGGGGAGAAGAAUCUGAAAUUCCCUCUCCCCAGGGAAGGAAGAGGACCACCUCUGAAGACUUGGAAACAGUGGUUUCCAAACGAGGGAAGAAAUCUUCGCCAGAGGGUCCUGCCCCGGAGGGUACCCUUGCCGCACAGUGCCUGCAAGGGGAUCAGCCCUCCACCGAGCUGUAAGUAAACAAAAAGUACUUAAUAGUAAAAAUAUCCUGCUUUACUUCCGAGGACAAUAACCGAAGCAUAUAUCUUGUAGUUCCGAUCGUAGCCCUUCUCGACAGAGUUCUUCUUCGGGGGAUCUUCUUCCGGAGAUGAUGGAGAGCGAAACACCUACCCAUGCCUCCCCGCCUCAUGGGGCGGGCGAUCCUGAGGUGUCGUCACGGAGGAUUUCUCCUGAUCCGCCAAGGCCAGAGGGUAAUCCUUCGGCCACCCGAAGUCCGGAGUAUUCGGCUCUUAAAGAGAGCAGCAGAAAGACGCCGGGACCGUCCAGUGUGCGACGCGACGCACUGAAGGAUCUUCUGGAGCAAGCGGCUAUCUCAGAAGCGCAUCGUACGCUAAUGGGUACAGUGGUUGAGAGGAUUUCAUCCGCUGAAAGCGGGCUGCAUGAAGCUUUUAUGAGCCUGCUGAGAGGCUUUGAGGUACGCAAAGUAGUAUAUGUUUUUGAUGGUACCGCACACGCUAGGUGUGCCAUAUGCAGAUAGUAGCCCCUGAUACUCUGGUUGCCGUCAAAAACGGCGGCAAACAGAGGAUCAUAGUCCCAGGUAAUAAUCAUGCCACCUUCAUAUGCAGGUGGCGGAAGGUCCGGUGGCUAGCCGGACUGGUGAGUUUGCCGAGCUGAAGCGGCAACUUGAUGCGGCAGAUGCCGACAUCGUGCUUGUAAACAAGCGGCUUGACGAGGCACAGGGUAUGCGUUUUCUCCAGUGAUCAACACAUAUUAAGAGGAGCAUGAUGCUAGUAUCUUUAAUAUGUUGUGACUGCAGAUGGGGCUGCCGCCGUGGAGACCCUUCGGGCGGAACUUGCCCGAGCCAAGGAACAAGCCAGGAAGAGUGAUGCGGCCGCUCUAAAGGCGGUCAAAGAGCUGAGAGCCGAACAGGCUGCGCAUUGCCAAAGCAAGGAUAAAAUAGCCAAAAUGGCUGUUGAGUUGAAGGAUGCCGCCGACCGUUAUGAGCUUCUUGAAAAGGAAAAUCGAACGAAGAUGACGGACCUGGAGAAGGCCAUGGUAGCGGCCAAGGAUGCCCGCUCUAAAAUCAGAGCGGCGAAGGAAGAGCUGCGUCAAGCCGGGGAUAUCGCGGCUGGGAAGCCCUUUUUGUUGCGGACGAAGUUCGGAGAUCCUAAGUAUGGCCCUCUUGAUCAACUAUGGAGUUCUACAGACGCAUACGUGGAUUUGGCAGCAAGUGCUGCUGAUGCGGCCGAGUUUUACAAAGAUCAAAAUAAUCGUGAAGUAGAAAAGUUGUUCUGGUCAUAGUUCAAUGUUCCAGUGCGUCCGCUGCUGUUGAAUGAGCGAAUGGCCGAGUGGGCCGAGCUCCAUAGGUUGUCCGGGCUUGCCAUGAGGUCUGUUGUGGAUCAUCUGUGGCCGGAAGGGCCAAGGCCGAAUAGUUAUUUUAGUUUGGUGCAACAGUUCCUUGGUGUUGUGUCGCGCAUCGACGCUAUGAACAGGUCGGCGUGCAUAGAGGGUGCGCGGAUGGCCCUUGCCCGUGUCAAGACAUACUGGGCAGAGAUGGAGGCCACCGCUAUUGCAACCCAGAGUUCGGCCGUGGGCCGAGUAUCGGCCGAGCACUACUUUGAAGAAGUCCUUGAAGGUGCUCGUUUAAUAGAGGCUCGGUGCUCGAAAAAUAUUAUGUUCUAGUGAUAUGUAUUCCCAUUGUAAGAACAAUGUUUAUUAAAUUAUAAAGGCUGUGUUUAUACUUUUGCCUGGAAGUAUUAUGAUGCCUCCUGUGCGGCCGUUUAUGUAUAUAUGUAUAUAACCUGAAAGUUUGCAGUCGUCGGCUUCAGCCCCCACGCAUAUAAUGCGGGGGUGUUCGCAAAAAACGUGUAUACACACUUGAUCCAACGUCUUGGUCCAUUAAGGAGGUGAUAUCGCAGCGAACGAGGCAAUUGGACUAUAUUGCUUUAACACUUUCACUUAGCCAUAGGAGUUUGAUAGUGGGACUACUAUAUAGCCCAUGGUACCUCCGCGCUCGUCCGAAUACGGGGCGCGUACAUACAUGACCGGGAAACGACCCUUCAUUAAUGCGAAGGAAUCCCGAAGAUCCGCUAAGUCAUCGAGUGGUUGACCAGUCUCGCGCUUUAUCAUGACAGUCAGUUUUCGGCUUCUCUACUGAGGUGCUCAUCCGGAUGAACCAGGGCACAAUCGCAGUAGUUCUCCCGGUGCCACCUUAGCCGAUAGAGCGGAACGUAAGGUAGCAAAACACGGGAGCCGGGCAAACCCAACAUUUGACCAAAGACAUGAUUCGGAGCUGAUGCAUAUAAGGCCAAACUCGCGACGCCGAACACUCCCUAACGUAUUCGGUCUUUAUAACAUAUGCCGGGCUGAGCAGUGCCCUUGAUAAUGAACCCCCGAGUGUCCAGGUACGUGCAAUGUUCUGACGUGGCGAAAUGCCAAUAACGUCAGCAUCCUUCUCGGUUGUACUGAGUAUCCGGAGGAUGUGAACAACAAGAGACAGUAAAAAAGGUUUACACAGUGUCUUAAUCUAAAAAGAAACCUUUGAGCGGGUCCCUACUGCACGUCUGCGGCUGUGUCUCCGUUGUGCCGUAUCCUGGAAGGGUGUAGCACGAUUGUCAUCUGUAAAAGAGAAGAACUUAGGUGAAAGUUGUCGUGCGAAAAAAUUGGUUAUUCUUGAUAAACCAUGAAAAUUCAAGAUAAGUGAAGUUGAGCCGAACUAGCCCUGUUUACACGCGGGAAGCCCCUGGUACCGUCUAUGGGGGUAUAACCAUCAAACCGAUCUCGGGUUUAUCUAAGCUGUUAUAGCUAGUAAUGCGCCGGACUCGUCUAGCCGUGUCCGCGGUCUUGACGACCGGUCAUUUAUUCUGGUUGGAGGGGCCGUUUAGUGUUCGGCUGUUAAAGUCGUCGCACAUUCUUCCGCGCGUAAGGAACAUUCAAUUUUUCCGCUAAUUGUGAUGAUGCCACGUGGACCGGGCAUCUUAAGCUUGAGAGAAGCGUAAUGCAGUACUGCAUUAAAACGAGCAAAAGCUGCUCUUCCGAGUAGUGCUUGAUAGCCACUUCGGAAUGGAUCGAUGUCGAAGGUUAACUUUUCGCUUCAGAAGUUGUCGGGAGAACCGAAUACAACCUCUAGUAUUAGAGAGCCCGUGCAGCGGGCCUCUGGGCCUGGUAUUACUCCCAUGAAGGUAGUAUUACUGUGGCUGAUUUUUGUCGGGUCUAUCCACAUUUUGCAGACUGUGUCCUGAUAUAUCAGAUUAAGACUACUGCCUCCGUCCAUAAGGACUCGUGUGAGAUGGUAUCCCUUUAUUAUUGGGUCUAACAUCAAGGCAGCCAAUCCUUCAUACCGGAUGCUUGUCAGGUGAUCCAUGCGAUCAAAAGUGAUCGGGCAGCCCAACCAGGGGUUGAACUUAGGGGUGACGGGCUGUACGGCGCGUGUGUCUCGGAGCGCAUGCUUGCUUCUCCUCUUCGUCACGUGGAUCAUGUUCACUGUUUUAACCUCUGGUGGGAAUUUUUUCUGUCCCCCAGUGCUUUGCUGGCGACGCUUGUCCUCGUCUUCACUUGGUGUCUCCCUCCCCUUGUGUUCGGCGUUUAGCUUAUCGGCCUGCUUGAAGACCUAGCAUUCUCUGUGGGUGUGAUUUGCAGGUUUAUCGGGGGUGCCAUGAAUCUGACAUAGUUUGUCUAGAAUCUUGUUUAGGCUGGACGGUCCAUCUCUGCUGCCUUUGAAAGGCUUUUUCCGCUGACCCGGUCGAGAGCCCCUGAAUCUAGUGUUUACCGCCGUGUUAUCUGGGAUGCCUUCUUUAUUUCGACGCUUGCUUUUACUGCGUCGUGGUUUUCCAUUGCCAUCCCUGACUUCGGAUGUGCCUGGGUCGCUGGUGCUACUACGGGCUAGCCAGCUAUCUUCGCCUGCGCAAAAGCGGGUCAUGAGGCUUGUCAGGGCUGCCAUUGUUCUCGGCUUUUCUUGGUCGAGGUGUCUGGUGAGCCAUUCGUCCUGGACGCUGUGUUUGAAAGCUGCUAAGGCUUCUGCGUCCGGGCAGUCGAUGAUUUGGUUCUUCUUAGUGAGAAAUCUGUUCCAAAGCUUUCGGGCUGACUCUUCGGGCUGCUGAAUUAUAUGACUUAAAUCGUCUGCAUCAGGAGGUCGGACAUAGGUCCCUUGAAAAUUAGCCCAAAAAGAAUCCUCGAGCUCCUCCCAACUUCGAAUUGAGUUUUCGGGGAGGCUUUUCAGCCAGUGCCAAGCUGGUCCUUUCAGCUUGAGGGGCAAGUACUUGAUGGCGUGGAGAUCGUCUCCGCGAGCCAUAUGGAUAUGGAGGAUAAAGUCCUCAAUCCAGACCCUAGGGUCUGUGGUUCCGUCGUACGCCUCUAUGUUCACUGGUUUGAAUCCUUCUGGAAGUUCGUGGUCCAGUACCUCAUCGGUGAAACAUAGGGGGUGUGCGGCACCCCUGUAUUUGGAUGUGUCGUGGCGUUCUGACGGUUGUAGUGUUCGGUUUUGGUUGUGCACUGGAGCGCGUUUCCUUGAUCCGUAGAUGGAUCUGGUCGCGCCGGUCUUCUGAUGCAAGUCCUCACGUGAAGCGUGUGCUGACUUAUGUGCGGCCUUGUUAGCCGCUCUAUCGCGGCCACAAGGUGGUUGAUCCGACCGGUCGGCCGUUUUAUUUUUCGGCUGUGCGGGCUCUAAGGCCUCAUCAUCAAAUUCAGGCAACAGCUUGCGCUUUGGAUAGCUCUUUGUGUGGUAACUACCACCAUACUUUUCUUCAUUGUCGAGCACUUUGUUCCAUCUACUGUUGAGCGUAUUCUGCACGGCCUUAAGCCUUUGCUUCUGCUUCUUUAGACUCCUCGCGGUGGCAAUAAGCCUUCUGCGGAGGUUCUCUUGUUCCAAGUGCCUUUCUGGGAUUGUGUGUGCAUCUUCGUCCGGACUGUUUUCCUCUCUGGAGGGAGGUUGAUGAGCUUUAUCCUCAGCGUCGCCGUGUUUGGACAGCGGAUCCGUACUAUGUUCACCGUUUGCUGGUUCAUCCUGUUCUGCCGCUGGGUCAAUGUGGUCGUCGUUUCCUCUGGAGUCGACUGGGGUGUUAUUUUCUCUUGCGCUGUUAUCGCUGUUUUUGCCGAGGCAGGAUUUGGAGCGGCGCCUACGCCGACGCUUUGUUUGCUUCUCGAGGGAGCUAUCCUUCGCUGCAUCCUUCCGUUCCUCGUCAUUGUUUUCUUUGGGUGUAUCCACCAUGUAUAUGUCAUGUGAUGAAGUGGCUGUCCAGCGCUCUGUGGGCGAUGGUUCCUGUUCCUCUCCUGCAUCGUCGUCCAUGCCGUCGAUGUCUUCGGAGUCGAAAUCGAGCAUGUCGUUUAAAUCGUCGACAGUGGCUACUAAGUGGGUGGUGGGUGGGGAGCAAAUUUCUUCGUCGUCCGCAUCCCAUUCUAGCCGAACAUAGUUCGGCAGAGGUUCUCCUGACAAGGAGAGGGACCUUAAUGAAUUUAGCACGUCGCCGAAAGGCGAGUGCUGAAAGAUAUCCGCGGAGGUAAAAUCCAUGAUCGGCGCCUAAUCAGAUUCGAUGGGCACGGACACAAGCGGCUCGGUGUCUGUGGCCGGGGACGAAUCCAAUGAUUCGGCAAUACGGGUCUCGUGGGAGGUGAAGUCAGUAUUCGGCUCUAUCGCCACUGAGAGUGCGGCUUUCGUGGCGGGGUCUAUCCACCCGUCCUCCGAUGGCGCAAUUUGUUCCGGAUUAAGGGCCGGAGUAAUUGCAGGCGCGAUCUCCCAAACAUAGUCCGACGGCAGAGCUAAAUCAUGCUCGUCAUGAUCGUGCGGCGCACUUGACAUGGGCUCGAAUCCGCCGAAGACCAAGGCUCCGUGGAUGUCGGCAGUGUAGUUCAAGUUUCCAAAUCUGACCUGAUGGCCAGGGGCGUAGCUUUCGAUCUGCUCCAGAUGGCCAAGCGGAUUGGCCCGCAGUACGAAGCCGACGAAUAUGAAGAUCUGUCCGGGGAGGAAAACCUCACCCUGGAUCACAUCGUUGCCGAUGAACGAAGGAGCCAUCAAGCCUUACGGUGACGGCACAGUGGAACUCUCAAUGAAAGCACCAAUGUCGGUGUCAAAACCGGCGGAUCUCGGGUAGGGGGUCCCGAACUAUGCGUCUAAGGCGGAUGGUAACAGGAGGCGGGGGACAUGAUGUUUACCCAGGUUCGGACCCUCUCGAUGGAGGUAAUACCCUACUUCCUGCUUGAUUGAUCUUGAUGAUAUGAGUAUUACAAGAGUUGAUCUACCACGAGAUCGUAGAGGCUAAACCCUAGAAGCUAGCCUAUGGUAUGAUUGUUGUUGUCCUACGGACUAAACCCUCCGGUUUAUAUAGACACCGGAGGGGGCUAGGGUUACACAGAGUCGGUUACAAGGGAGGAGAUCUACAUAUCCAUAUUGCCAAGCUUGCCUUCCACGCCAAGGAGAGUCCCAUCCGGACACGGGACAAGGUCUUCAAUCCUGUACCUUCAUAGUCCAACAGUCCGGACAAAGGAUAUAGUCCGGCUGUCCGAGGACCCCCUAAUCCAGGACUCCCUCAGCGACGGCGACGAGGCUCCGGAUGGUGGGCCUCCACUCGUCAAGCUUCUCUGCAACAGGAGGGAAGUCGAGGAGCAGCUGCACACGCACCAAAGCUUCUGCUGGCGUGGGUGGUGGCGAGAGCUGCGUGGACCGUGGCGCGCUUGGACUUCCAACCAUGUUAGAAGGAGCUCUACCACGGCCCAGCGGCUACGUGCCACUAUCGCCAGCACUUCGGCGGGCAUGCUGGCCUCCUUCGUCUCGCAGAUGAUGCACAUGGCUCUUCCCACGGCGGUGCUCAGGGUGACUGGCAUGGUGACGCUGCUCGUCGCGCACACCAUGGGAAGAGCGCACUGUGGGUGCCAGAGUGGGCAUCCUGGAGGUCGUCGCGCCGCUCGUGGGCGGCGCGGCGGCGACCCCGGAGGGCCCCGCGCCGCCUGUGGGGGGCUCCGUUUCUGGAUUUUGUGGCGUGCGGCCCGCCGUCUUGCGUACGAAUGACGCCGCUCGCCAGGCUCUGACUGCCAGAGCGAUGUUGGUGCUCGCGGGCCGCGCCUUGGGUCCUGUCCGCGACCGGCCCGCUACUCGCCCUCACCGGUACGGGCCGUCUGGCCCCCGAUGAACCGACCGUCGUGGCCGCCUUCUUCUUGGGAGCCAUGGUGACGAAGAACUGCUAGGCUAACAGCUAGACCAGAUUCUCACAACAGCGAGCCCCUACCUGGCGCGCCAAAGAUGUCGGUGGAAAACGACACCUAUGGGAUCACAAGAAUCCCUACUACGGUUGUCGGGGCGCGGGGUCGUGAGAAGAGCAGGAUUAAUAGUCAAUACAAGGAUCGUUUACCCAGGUUCGGGCCGCGAGGAUGCGUAAAACCCGAGUCCUGCUUUGGUGGAUGUAUUGAGUGUUCUUAAGCUUUCGAACUAGCUACGGUGGCUGUGUACUUCAAAAGAGCCGAAUCCCUCUCCAGUACGACAUGGGCCUCCUUUUAUAGUCGAAAGGGGCUGCCACAGUGGCACACAGGAGGUGUAAAGGCCUACAGUACUGCGAGCUUAUCGCCCGUAUUACAGGACAAGACGCAUUUAAUGCAUCGCUUAGGUGUCCCUUAGCUUUAUCGGGGACGGGAACGAGGCCCGUCCCGUCCAUCGCCGCUCCUCCUCGCUUCGACAUGCGCCCUAGCCAGCGAUGCAUGCGGUGCCAUGUAUGAGGGAGUCCUCGAUAAGGGGGUCCUCGGACAGCCGGACUAUAUCCUUUGGCCGGACUGUUGGACUAUGAAGAUACAAGAUUGAAGACUUCGUCCCGUGUCCGGAUGGGACUCUCCUUGGCAUGGAAGGAAAGCUUGGCAAUACGGAUAUGUAGAUCUCCUCCCUUGUAACCGACUCUGUGUAACCCUGGCCCGCUCCGGUGUCUAUAUAAACCGGAGGGUUUAGUGCGUAGGACAACAACAAUCAUACCACAGGCUAGCUUCUAGGGUUUAGCCUCUACGAUCUCGUGGUAGAUCAACUCUUGUAAUACUCAUAUCAUCAAGAUCAAUCAAGCAGGAAGUAGGGUAUUACCUCCAUCGAGAGGGCCCGAACCUGGGUAAACAUUGUGUCCCCGGCCUCCGUUACCAUCCGCCUUAGACGUAGAGUUCGGGACCCCCUACCCGAGAUCCGCCGGUUUUGACACCGACAUUGGUGCUUUCAUUGAGAGUUCCACUGUGCCGUCACCGUAAGGCUUGAUGGCUCCUUCGAUCAUCGGACAACUCGAUGGCAAUGAUGCGAUCCAGGGUGAGGUUUUCCUCCCCGGACAGAUCUUCGUAUUCGGCGGCUUCGUACUACGGGCUAACUCACUUGGCCAUCUGGAGUAGAUCGAUAGCUACGCCCCUGGCCAUCAGGUCAGGUUUGGAAACUUGAACUAUACUACCGACAUCCGCGGAGACUUGAUCUUCGACGGAUUCGAGCCCAUGUCAGGUGCGCCGCACAAUCACGACGAGCAUGAUUUAGCUCUGCCGUCGGACAGUGUUCGGGAGAUCACACCUGCAACUACUCCGGCCCUCAAUCCGGAGCAAAUUGCACCAUCCGAAGAUAGGUGGAUAGACCCCGCCAUGGAGGCCGCACUCUCAGUGCCGAUAGAGCCGAAUACUGACUUCACCCCUUAUGAGCCGCGUGUUGCCGAACCAUUGGAUUCGUCCCCGGACACGGGCUCCGAGCCGCCUGCGUCCGUGCCUAUCGAAUCCGAUUAGGCACCAAUCAUGGAGUUUACCUCCGCGGGUAUCUUUCAGCACUCGCCUUUUGGCGAUGUGCUAAAUUCAUUAAGGUCUCUCUCCUUGUCAGGAGAACCUUGGCCGAACUAUGUCCGGUUAGAAUGGGAUGCGGACGACGAAGAAAUUCGCUCCCCACCCACCACCCACUUAGUAGCCACUGUCGACGAUUUAACCGACAUGCUUGACUUUGACUCCGAAGACAUCGACGGUAUGGAGGACGAUGCAGGAGACGAACAGGAACCACCGCCCACAGGGCGCUGGACCGCCACCUCAUCAUACGAUAUAUACAUGGUGGAUACCUCCAAAGAAGGCAAUGGCGAUAAGACAGCGGAGGAUGACCCCUCCAAGAAGCAACCCAAGCAUCGACGUCAGCGGCGCCUCUCUAAGUCCCGCCAUAGCAAAAGUAGCGAUACCGGCACAAGAGACAAUAACGCUCCGGAUAGUGCCGAAGAAGACGAUAAUCCCCUCCAGCCAGACCUCGAGUGGGAGGAUGAGCAAGCUAGCCCUCCGGAACAGGCAGCAAAUGGAGAAUCAGAGGAUGACAAUUACAUGCCUCUCUCCGAAGACGAAGUGAGCCUCAGCGACGAAGAAUUUGUCGUGCCUGAGGAUCCCGUCGAGCAGGAGCGCUUCAAGCGCCGGCUUAUAGCCACAGCAAACAGCCUGAAGAAGAAGCAACAACAGCUUCGAGCUGAUCAAGAUCUGCUAGCGGAUAGAUGGACCGAAGUCCUGGCAGCCAAGGAAUACGAACUUGAGCGCCCAACCAAGAGUUAUCCAAAGCGCAGGUUGCUACCUCAACUCGAGGAGGAAGCAUUGAAACCUACAUCACCAGCGUAUGAUGCGGCUGAUCGGCCACCUCGUGGCCGAGACAGAGAGGCAUUUCAGCCCGAAGUCCAGCCCGCACCCCGCCGCCAAUCAAACAAAAAUACCAAGGCCCAGGGCAACACGCGGGACCUGCGAGACGUAUUGGAAAACAAGACAAAACAUGCAAGAUUGAUCUACAGAUCACGGGGGCGCGCACCAACGCGGGACGAUGACCGUCACGCCGGAUACACUAAAAGCAAAUCCGGCUGGGCCGAAUACAGAAGACAAGACUCAUAUGAACUGCGUCGUGAUAUAGCCCGGCACAGAGGCGCCGCACACCCCCUAUGCUUCACUGAUGAAGUAAUGGAUCACGAGUUCCCAGAGGGUUUUAAACCCGUAAAUAUUGAAUCAUAUGAUGGUACAACAGACCCCGUGGUAUGGAUCUAGGAUUUGCUCCUCCACAUCCACAUGGAUCUAGGAUUUACAUGCCAUCAAGUACCUCCCACUAAAACUCAAAGGACCAGCUCGGCAUUGGCUGAAUAGCUUGCCAGCAGACUCCGUUGGCAGUUGGGAGGAUUUGGAAGAUGCAUUCCUUGACAACUUCCAGGGCACUUAUGUGCGACCACCGGAUGCUGAUGAAUUGUGUCAUAUAACUCAGCAGCCAGGGGAAUCGGCCAGGCAAUUCUGGACCCGGUUCCUAACUAAGAAAAACCAAAUUGUCGAUUGUCCGGAUGCAGAGGCCUUAGCGGCAUUUAAGCAUAACAUCCGUGAUGAGUGGCUCGCCCGGCACCUCGGCCAGGAGAAGCCGAAGUCUAUGGCAGCCCUCACGACACUCAUGACCCGCUUUUACACGGGCGAGGAUAGCUGGCUGGCUCGCAGCAACAACACAUCAAGGAAUCUUGGCACUUCAGAUACCAAAGAUACUAACGGCAGACCACAUCAUAACAGACACAAGCGCCGCAACAACGGCGAUACCGCCGAAGAUACGGCAGUCAAUGCCAGAUUCAGUGGCUCUAAAUCCGGUCAGCGGAAGAAGCCGUUCAAAAGAAGCAAUCCGGGCCCGUCCAGUUUGUACCGCAUACUCGAUCGCUCGUGUAAAAUUCACGGCACCCCCAAUAAGCCAGCCAAUCACACCAACAGAGAAUGCUGGGUGUUCAAGCAGGCCGGCAAGUUGAAUGCCGAAAACAGGGACAAGGGGCUGCAUAGCGACGACGAGGAGGAGCCCCGGCCGCCGAAAACAGGAGGACAGAAGAGGUUCCCUCCAAGAGUGAAAACGGUGAACAUGAUAUACGCAACUCACAUUCCCAAGAGGGAACGGAAACGUGCACUAAGGGACGUCUAUGCGAUGGAGCCAAUCGCCCCAAAGUUCAACCCAUGGUCCUCCUGUCCGAUCACCUUCGAUCGCAGGGACCACCCCACUAGUAUCCGUCAUGGCGGAUCUGCCGCAUUGGUCCUUAACCCCAUCAUCGAAGGAUUUCACCUCACCCGAGUCCCUAUGGAUGGCGGCAGCAGCCUAAACCUGCUCUAUCAGGAUACAGUACGCAAAAUGGGUAUAGACCCCUCGAGGAUCAAACCCACCAAAACAACCUUUAAAGGCGUCAUCCCAGGUGUAGAGGCCCAUUGCACGGGCUCAAUCACACUGGAAGUGGUCUUUGGAUCUCCGGACAACUUCCGAAGCGAGGAGUUAAUCUUCGACAUCGUCUCGUUCUGCAGUGGCUAUCACGCACUGCUCGGGCGAACCGCAUUUGCAAGAUUCAAUGCGGUACCGCAUUAUGCAUACCUCAAGCUCAAGAUGCCAGGACCUAGGGCGUUAUGACAGUCAAUGGAAACACAUAACGCUCGCUCCGCACGGAGGAGCACACCGCGGCCCUCGCAGCAGAAGCACAAAGCAGCCUUUUAAGGAAAACCGUCAAUUCGGUGAUAAAGCCCCCGGACACCUUCAAGUGAGUCCGGAGAAACCCGCAACAGGAUCGCCUGGCACGUUCAGAGCUCGCCUAGCAAUUCGUCCUCCGUCCUAGUCCCAAUCAAGCGGCGAAAUUUAUGCCGCGUGUACAUAAUUACGCACUACAAAUACCAUGGGCAUAGGCGGACGCACGGCCAGGACACGUCCCACAAUGCGGCUUAACCGCCCCAGGGGCUAUAUACCUUUAUCAUUUCCUCUCUUUCAGGACCUUACUCUCUGGAAGCCCUUUCCGGCAGCCUGAUUGCUGGACACAUUACGGGAAGGAACAACCAAGGAAGCAAGAAGCUAAGACGUACAAGGGAAUCCCAAGGUGGUCUCUGAUACAAUUGAAGUACCCGUUUUUUAAUACCCAUACGCAGCUUACCCUUGGAUAGGACAUGUCAAAUAGUCCUAUUUUUUUCUUAUCACACUACUUGUAUCAGUACGCUUCGACGUAUUAUUUAAAUAACAAUGCACAGCACUAGUCUAUUAUUGCAUUACCCUUCUUUUUUCUUCUCUGUUUAUUUACGACAACUUGCACCCGUACAUUCUGGUACGACCAAUGCGCCAGGGGCUUCAGUAUACCCCAUAAUAUGACAUGAGAAGUCCGAACACUUUCGAUAGUGCGGCACCCCGAACUUAUAGCAUUAUAUGCAUCAGCUCCGAAUCAUGUCUUGGGUCAAUAGUUGGGUUUGCCCGGCUCCCAUGUUUUGGUACCUUACGUUCCGCAAAAUUGGCUAAGGUAGCGCUAGGAGAACUACUGCGAUUGUGUCCCGGUUCUUCCGGACGAGCACCUCAGUAGAGAAAGCCAAAAACUGACUGUCAUGAUAAGGCGAGAGAUGGUCGCUGUUCGAGAGGUCUCAAGUCCUUAAAGACUUUUUCCGCUUCAGGCGAGGAGUCGGCCUUGCCCGACUUAGGCAUAUAUAGCGCCCCAAAUUCGGCCUUCCGAAUACUAGGGGCUUCGCCAAAAUUUAAAAUUGUAGACUUCUAUGGCUAAGUGAGAGUGAUAAAGCCUUAUAGUCCGAUUGCCUGGUUCGUUGUGCUGAACACCUCCCUCGAAUGACCCAAAAUUGGGAUAAAGAGUGUUCAAGUUUAUCCCGAACACCCCAGUACUAGUUACAUGGGGGCAGAAGCCGACGACUGGCCAACCCUCAGAUUUCAUAAACGGCCGCACAGAAGGUAAUAUUUUAAAUUAACAAGCGUUGCAUAGCGCAAAUGAACUCGUUUCACAUUACAGGAUCACAUGAGUACGUUCAUUCAAAUAUUACUUCUUUAGCACAUUCCUCCGCCACAAGGCGGGAACCCUUCAGGACACUGUCAUAAUACAUUUCGGGGUGGCGAUGCUCCUUGCCUUCCGGCGGCCCCUCCUUCACCAGCUUACAGCGUCCAGCUUCGCCCAGUGCACCUUCGCCCUGGGCAAAAGCCAUGCGCGCACCCUCGAUGCAGACGGACCGCUUUAUGACUUCAAGCCGUGGGCAGGCAUUCACAAGCCGCCUCACCAGACCGAAGUAGCUGUCAGGCAGGGGAUCGCCAGGCCAUAUCCGGACUAUAAGACCCUUCAUGGCCUGUUCGGCCGCCUUGUGGAGCUCGACCAGUUGUUUCAGCUGGUCGCUCAAGGGCAUUGGGUGUUCGGUCCCAGUAUACUGAGACCAGAACAACUUCUCCGUCGAGCUCCCCUCCUCAGCCCGGUAAAACUCUGCGGCAUCCAACACACCGCGGGGAAGAUCUGCGAACGCUCCUGGAGAGCUCCGAACUCGGGUAAGUAACAGGAAAGUUUCCUUCACAUGCUUGCUUUGCAUAAUGAAUGCCUUACCCGUUGCUAUCUUCUUAACCGCCUCAAUCUCCUGGAGGGCCUUGUGGGCUUCAGCCUUGGCGUUUUGUGCGCUUUCGAGGGCCUUCGCAAGCUCGGACUCUCGCGUCUUAGAGUCAAGCUCCAAGGACUCGUCUUUUUUGGCGAGAGCCUGGAGCUCUUCCUGCACCUCGCCUACCCAGGCUUCUUGCUUUUCCCACUCGAUGCGCUCCUUGGCCGCUUUGUCUUCGGCCUCGGACAGUGCCUUCUUCAGGGUCGCCACUUCGGUCGUGGCCCCUGGCAAAUUCAUGAUGAUCCUAUUAUUUUGCAACCAAAUUUCUUUUUAAUAUAUAGACAUGGUAUCGCUUACCUUUGUUCUCUUCGAGCUGCCUCUUGGUAAGGCUGAGCUCUUCCUUGGACCGCUCAAGGUCCUGCUUCAGUGCAGCAACCUCCGCUAUAUGUGCGGCAGCGGCCAGCAGUGAAGCCCGCAUAUGCACAUAGACAUAUUCUAAUUAGACUCCUGAGUCAUUAUUUGAUCCUCUAUUCGGCCUUUCUUCGCGAACGCCAAACAGAGCAUCAGGGGCUACUGUCUAUGCGGUAAUAUUUUCCUAUAAGUUGAUUACUUACCUGAAAGCCUGUUAGGAGGCUAGCACAAGCUUUAGUUAGACCGCUUUUGGCAGACUGAACCUUCUCGAUCACCGCACUCAUGAUAGUGCGGUGCUCUUCGUCGAUGGAAGCGCCGCGAAGCGCUUCCAGCAAGUUGUUCGGUGCCUCUGGAUGGACGGAGGCCACCGGCACGGGCGGCUUGCCCCUCCUAACGGGGGGUCGCCUGACAGAGUCUGGAACCACUGGAGGUUCCGGCGCAGUGUUCAGCUGGAGGCCGAAUUCGGAGCCCAUGGGAGUCUUGCUCCCUUUGCGCCCAGGGUCCGGAAUGUCACCUCGAGGCGCCUCCAGGACUACCUCCCCUCGGCUCGGUGCCCUUUGAGACAACACCUCGAUGUUGUCCGUAGGGCGAGGGGUGGAGGCGGUCGGAAGUGAAUCGCUAUUCAUAUCCGACGGGUCCAAAGAACCAUCCGACGAAGAUACGUUGAUACGGGCUCGGGACGGACUGCAUAAUCUUGUUCGGCGUGAUGAGAAGCAGUGCAAUAAAACAUACCAUGAAUUACUAUGGUAUCCGGAUACUUACGACUUCGCCAGGGGCUUGUCCCUGGGCAGCCACUCGUCGUCGCUGUAGGCGGCCGUCGUGGAGCAGUCCGGAAGGAGGGUCCUUCCCUUCUUGGACCCUUCGGCCUCCCCGGUUGGGGCGGCCUUCCUUUUCUUGUCUCCCCGGGCUGGGGGGGAGAACUUUCCUCUUCCUCCUCCUCGUUUUUGUGGGAGGAGUGCGCCUCAGAGUUUUCGGACGAUGAGUCCGAUAUAACCUUGCGCUGGAGACCCUUUCGGGUCCCCAUGGCCUUCUUCUUGGCCUUCUUCACCGGCACCUCAUAAGGCACCGGAACCAGCAUCUCCUUUAGGAGAGCAUCUGCUGGAUCCUUAGGCAGGGGGGCUGGGCAAUCGAUCUGCUCCGCUGUCUCUACCCAGUCCUAUUAAUAGCAUGGAGGCUUAGAUCCCGCACAUGAUUAAACUGGGGAAAAUAAAACAUCCUGCGAGAUAUAAAAAAACUUACCGGAUUGGCAUGGCGCUUUGCGCUGAGUCCGCGGUCCUCGGUAAGGGGAGGAGGUACCUCGGCACCCUUGAACAGCACCUUCCAGGCGUCCUUGUGCAUCGUGUCGAGGAGCUCUCGCAGCGUCUGGUGCUUGGCCGGGUUGAACUCCCACAAAUUGAAUGCCCGUCGUUGACACGGGAGGAUCCGGCGGAAGAGCAUGACCUGGACCACGUUGACAAGCUUGAUUUUCUUGCUCAUCAUGUUUCUGAUGCAUUUCUGGAGUCUGGUCAGCUCUACCGGGGAACCCCAGGACAGGCCCUUCUCUUUCCAGGAGGUGAGCCGCAUGGGGAUUCUGGAUCAAAAUUUGGGGGCCGCCACCCAGUUGGUGUCGCGCGGCUCGGUGAUAUAGAACCACCCCGAUUGCCACCCCUUUAUGGUCUCCACAUAGGAGCCUUCAAGCCAGGUGACGUUGGGCAUUUUGCCCACCAUGGUGCCUCCGCACUCCGCUUGCUGGCCGACCACCACCUUCGGUUUAACAUUGAAGGUCUUCAGCCACAGGCCGAAAUGUGGUUGGAUGCGGAGGAAGGCCUCGCACAUGACGAUAAACCCCGAGAUGUUGAGGAUGAAAUUUGUGGCCAGAUCGUGAAUUCCAGCCUGUAGUAGAACAUGAGCCCGCGGACAAAUGGGUGGAGGGGAAAUCCCAGUCCGCGGACGAAGUGGGUAAGGAAAACCACCCUCUCAUGGGGUUCUGGAGUAGGGAUGAUUUGCCCCGCAUCUGGCAACCGGCGCGCAAUAUCCGCGGCCAGGUAUCUGGCUCCCCCCAGCUUUGUGAUGUUCUCCUCCGUAACGAAGGAGACCAUCCACUUGCCUCCCGCUCCGGACAUGCUUGGAGUGGUUUGAGGAGAAAAACGCGAACUUGGGCGCUGGAGCUCGAGUGCGCAAGAAUGGAUGAGCUAGGAGGAAGAAAGCGUAGGUGAAAAGGGUGAAUCCUUGCCCUUUAUAAGGGCGGAAGAGGCUAUGCGCCUCCCCACCUACCUGGUAAAAUCGCUUAUUCCCCAAGCACCGUAAUUGAUGGCACGGCGCGGUUACCCACACCCGUAUUGAUGAGAAUCCCGUGAUAAGGGGACACGAUCUCUGCUUCGACAAGACGUGCCAAGGAAACCGCCUCGCAAUACGUGUUGUGGCUGGUUGUGAAAAAUAGUUCGAAUAAUGACCGGGCCGUGGUGUGAUGUCAUGCUGCAAAAUGUGUUAACAGAUUAGAUUUGUGGAAAUAUUAUUCUCUCUACGGUGGUAUGUGGAAUUUUUUUUGCAGAGUUGGACACUAUCCUUGUGUACAAAAUCUUCUAUGGGGUAUUCGGAGGAGGAACCCGUCUUGCAAUGCCGAAGACAAUCUGCGCGCUGGACUCAUCGUCAUUGAAGCCUGGUUCAGGGGUUACUGAGGGAGUCCUGGAUUAGGGGGUCCUCGGACAGCCGGACUAUAUCCUUUGGCCGGACUGUUGGACUAUGAAGAUACAAGAUUGAAGACUUCGUCCCGUGUCCGGAUGGGACUCUCCUUGGCGUGGAAGGCAAGCUUGGCAAUACGGAUAUGUAGAUCUCCUCCCUUGUAACCGACUCUGUCUAACCCUAGCCCCCUCCGGUGUCUAUAUAAACCGGAGGGUUUAGUCCAUAGGACAACAACAAUCAUACCACAGGCUAGCUUCUAGGGUUUAGCCUCUACGAUCUCGUGGUAGAUCAACUCUUGUAAUACUCAUAUCAUCAAGAUCAAUCAAGCAGGAAGUAGGGUAUUACCUCCAUCGAGAGGGCCUGAACCUGGGUAAACAUGGGGUCCCCCGCCUCCUGUUACCACCCGCCUUAGACGCACAGUUCGGGACCCCCUACCCGAGAUCCGCCGGUUUUGACACCGACAAUGUAGGCAGGCAGGCAGCUGAGGUGGCGCGGUGGUAGGGUCUUCACGAAGAUCUGCAUGCCGCCAUGCAGGCGCUUGCUGAGUUGGCCUGGGAGCCGCAUGUCGCCACGCAGGUGCCUGCCCAGCUGGUCGGGCUGGCAGCUGCAUGCUAAUGGUGGUGGAAACUUGGCUGGCGCGGGCCUGGCAGUGGCCCUGCUGAUGUACUUGGCAAGGGCCUUGCCGGGGGCCCGUCAAGGUCUUGCCGCGGCGUUGCAGUCGUCCCCGGCAAGGAUCUUGCCGGGGGUCUUGUGGCUUCCCUCGGCAAGGAUCUUGCCGAGGACCGUUGUCUUCUGAUCCUCAUCUGAUCUUGGGUGUUUACGAUCUUGACAAAGAUCUGCAUGCCACCACGGAGGUGCCUCCCGAGCCCCAGUCCCAACAUGGUUAAUGGUGUUGGAAACCGUGGGCUCAAGGGGGGCGCGCUCCGCUGGUGUUGGGCGAGCUGCCCCGGCAAGGGUCUUGCCAGGGGAACCUGCUUCGUCCCUCUGCUCUUCGUGUUCUCGGCCUUGGCGUUGCCUUGGUUGCCUUGUGCUUUGGCUUCUCUCUGGCUCCCCUCCCUUGCCCUGCUACGUGUGGCCGUGGUGCGCGAGUCUGACUGCCCGUGCACAAGUAUAGGGGUCAAAAGGAGCGCCCCUACUUUUGUACACCGACAUCGGUGUCCACACUUUUUCUUUGUAUUAUCCUUGCUAGAUUUAUUUUCUCGCUUUCUUCUUGUGUGUUUGAAAAACUUUGAGAAAACCCAAAAAUAUUUCUUGCUUCUUUUUGGUUUUUCUUUCUAGCUUGGUUAGUCGUAGUAUCUAAAAGAAAACCCAAAAAGAUUUCCUUGUUCUUCUUUUGCUUGUAGGGAGAUUUCCCGUGUAAAUAGUUUUUCUCGUUUAUGUUUUUUCUUUUUCUUUAAUUUGCUUUCUUCUAGAAAAAACUAAAAACUCCAAAAAUAAUCAGUGUGCUUCUUUGGAAAAAAAUCCGUUUAUUGAGUCAUACCAAGGAGAAGACCACGAUGAAAUUGUUGAGUGGCUCCCAUAUGCAUUAUUGUUGAUCUAAUAAAGAGCUCAAAUUGCUUUGUCUUCGCCUCUUGAAUAAAAUGUUUGCAGAUUCCAGCUUAGUCCACGGCACUCUUACAUUAUUAUUUUCAUAUCAUUCGGUCGUGCAAGUGAAAGGCAAUAAUGACGAUAUUUGAUGAACUGGCCGUGGCAGAGAGAAACGGGUAUGAACUCAACUUGUUCUGUUUUUGUAAAUAUGUUUAACCUAGUAUCCAUGAUUCAGCCUAUUAUGUUCAAACAUGUUUGCAAUGACAAUUAGAGAUUAUAGUUUCUCAUGUCGUGCUUAAAUAGCUAGGAGUGGAUAAUGAUUUAUCUUGGAUGUCAACAUUGCGUUAAAAUGAUUGUGAUAUAGUAUGAUGAUAUGAUAUCCUCCUCUAAAUGUUCGAGUGGCUUGACUUGGCACAUGUUCAUGCAUGUAGUUGAAUCAAAACCAACAUAGCCGCUAUGAUAUUUAUGUUCAGGGUGUUCAUAUCCUACUCAUGCUAGUAUCCAAUGUUACUUAUGCAUAAUGCACAUGUUCAUGACCGUUUUCGCUCUCUAGUUGGCCGCUUCUCAACCUAUUUGCUAGCCUUCGCCUGUACUAAGUGGGAAUACUGCUUAUGCAUCAAAAUCCUAAAACCCAAGUUAUUCCAGAUGAGUCCACCAUACCUACCUAUAUGCGGUAUUGCCCUGCCGUUCUAAGUAAAUUUGCAUGUGCCACCUCUAAAAACUUCAAUUAAACAUCCGUUUUUGUGUGCCUGGAUUGUUCAUAGAGUGACAGGAGGUAGUCAAUAUCUUCCAUGCUAUGCGGGUUAUUCUCAUGAUGAGUGUUUAUUCACUCGUCCUUACACGAGAGGGGCGGUAAUAGGGAUUCCCAGUCCCGAAUUCAAAAAUUGCAAAUAAUUAAACAAAACUCCCCCAGGACUGAUGUUGGUAUGGACGGCACCCGUGGAUUCGGUUAGCCGUGGAGUGUGUUUGUUGGUGGAUGGGGAGUAAACCUUUACUUUUAUCGCUUGGGAACCGCCACUAAUGUGUUUAGCAUGGAAGAUAUCGAUAACUAAUGGUCACGAAGUAAACAGGAAGGGUGCAUUUCUCAAGAUUUCAUUUAUCUCUGUUUUAAUAAAACCUGAGCUCUGGCACCGCUACAAAUUAAUCACUGCUUCCCUCUGCGAAGGGACCAUCUAUUUACUUUUAUGUUGUGUCAUCACCUUCUCAAAUAAGUGCCAGAUAUGAGGGCAUUAUUGCCAUCCUGAUGCAUUGUGUGUAGCUAAUGUUGGAUGCAUCAUGACUGGAUCUUUUCUACCAUGAAUUACAAUGUUUAGUCGCUGCUUGAACUUUGGAGGUGCUCUGCAUUUAUGUUUUGCGGUCUCAGAAAGGGCUAGCGAGAUACCAUUGUUGUCAUAUUAUAUCACGAUUGUUUUGACAAAGUGUUGUCAUUCGAGAUAUCUUAUUAUUGCUCGCUAGUUGCUUAUGCCAUUGAUAUGAGUUAAUAUAAUUUUUAAGAGUUAUUGUCGACAUGGUUAGUCAUAAUAUUUGCUGAAAACCUGGGUGCUACUUCAGCUUAUUUAUGUAAACAAGAUCAAAAGAGUUCGCAAAAGUUUUUCUUUUUCACUUUCAGUUUAUCAACUGAAUUGCUUGAGGACAAGCAAAUGUUUAAGCUUGGGGGAGUUGAUACAUCUCCGUCGUAUCUACUUAUCCUAAUGCUUUAACUCUUGUUUUGGACUCUAAUUUGCAUGACUUGAAUGAAACUAACCCGGACUGACGUUGUUUUCAGCAGAACUACCAUGGUGUUGUUUUUGUGUAGAAAUAAAAGUUCUCGAAUUGGAAUGAAACAUUGCGAGGAUUUUUAUAUAAUAAAAGAGAAUUACUGGAGCCAAGAACCACCAGAGGGGGGGCCUGGGUGAGCACAACCCACCAGGGCGCGCCCCCCUCCUGGCGCGCCCAGGUGGGUUAUGGCCACCUGGUGGCCCCUGAGGGAGUCCUGGAUUAGGGGGUCCUCGGACAGCCGAACUAUAUCCUUUGUCCGGACUGUUGGACUAUGAAGAUACAAGAUUGAAGACCUCGUCCCGUGUCCGGAUGGGACUCUCCUUGGUGUGGAAGGCAAGCUUGGCAAUACGGAUAUGUAGAUCUCCUCCCUUGUAACCGACUCUGUGUAACCCUAGCCCCCUCCGGUGUCUAUAUAAACCGGAGGGUUUAGUCCAUAGGACAACAACAAUCAUACCAUAGGCUAGCUUCUAGGGUUUAGCCUCUAUGAUCUCGUGGUAGAUCAACUCUUGUAAUACUCAUAUCAUCAAGAUCAAUCAAGUAGGAAGUAGGGUAUUACCUCCAUCGAGAGGGCCCGAACCUGGGUAAACAUUGUGUCCCCCGCCUCUUGUUACCAUCCGCCUUAGACGCACAGUUCGGGACCCCCUACCCGAGAUCCGCCGGUUUUGACACCGACAUUGGUGCUUUCAUUGAGAGUUCCACUGUGCCGUCACUGUAAGGCUUGAUGGCUCCUUCGAUCAUCGGCAACGAUGCGAUCCUGGGUGAGGUUUUCCUCCCCGGACAGAUCUUCAUAUUCGGCGGCUUCGUACUGCGGGCCAAUCCACUUGGCCAUCUGGAGCAGAUUGAAAGCUACGGCCCUGGCCAUCAGGUCUGAUUUGGAAACUUGAACUACACUGCCGACAUCCGCGGAGACUUGAUCUUCGGCAGAUUCGAGCCCAUGUCAGGUGUGCCGCACGAUCAUGACGAGCAUGAUUUAGCUCUGCCGUCGGACAGUUUUCGGGAGAUCCCGCCUGCAAUUACUCCGGUCCUUAAUCCGGAACAAAUUGCCCCAUCGGAGGACGGGUGGACAGACCCCGCCACGAAAGCCGCACUCUCAGUGGCGAUAGAGCCGAAUACUGACUUCACCUCCCACGAGACCCGUGUUGCCGAAUCAUUGGAUUCGUCCCCGACCACGGACUCCGAGCCGCUUGUGUCCAUGCCCAUCGAAUCUGAUUGGGCGCCGAUCAUGGAGUUUACCUCUGCGGAUAUCUUUCAGCACUCGCCUUUCGGCGACGUGCUAAAUUCAUUAAGGUCCCUCUCCUUGUCAGGAGAACCUUGGCUGAACUAUGUGCGGCUAGAAUGGGAUGCGGACGACGAAGAAAUUCGCUCCCCACCCACCACCCACUUAGUAGCCACAGUCGACGAUUUAACCGACAUGCUCGAUUUUGACUCCGAAGACAUCGACGGCAUGGACGACGAUGCAGGAGAGGAACAGGAACCAUCGCCCACAGGGCGCUGGACGGCCACUUCAUCACAUGACAUAUACAUGGUGGAUACACCCAAAGAAAACAAUGACGAGGAACGGAAGGAUGCAGUGAAGGAUAGCUCCCUCGAGAAGCAAACAAAGCGUCGGCAUAGGCGCCGCUCCAAAUCCCGCCUCGGCAAAAACAGCGAUAACAGCGCAAGAGAAAAUAACACCCCAGUCGACUCUAGAGGAAACGACGACCACAUUGACCCAGCGGCAGAACAGGAUGAACCAGCAAACGGCAAACAUAGUACGGAUCCGCUGCCCGAACACGGCGACGCCGAGGAUAAUGCUCAUCAACCUCCCUCCGGAGAGGAAAACAGUCCGGACGAAGAUGCACAAAUCAUCCCGGAAAGGCACUUGGAUCAAGAGAACCUCCGCAGAAGGCUUAUUGCCACCGCGAGGAGUCUAAAGAAGCAGAAGCAAAGGCUUAAGGCCGCGCAGAAUACGCUCAACAGUAGAUGGAACAAAGUGCUCGACAAUGAAGAAAAGUAUGGUGGUAGUUACCACACAAAGAGCUAUCCAAAGUGCAAGCUAUUGCCUGAAUUUGAUGAUGAGGCCUUAGAGCCCGCACAGCCGAAAAAUAAAACGGCCGACCGGUCGGAUCAACCACCUUGUGGCCACGAUAGAGCGGCUAACAAGGCCGCACUUAAGUCAGCACACGCUUCAUGUGAGGACUUGCAUCAGAAGACCGGCGCGACCAGAUCCAUCUACGGAUCAAGGAAACGCGCUCCAGCGCACAACCAAAACCGAACACUACACCCGUCAGAACUCCACGACACAUCCAAAUACAGGGGUGCCGCACACCCCCUAUGUUUCACCGAUGAGGUACUGGACCACGAAUUUCCAGAAGGAAUCAAACCAGUGAACAUAGAGGCGUACGACGGAACCACAGACCCUGGGGUCUGGAUUGAGGACUUUAUCCUCCAUAUCCAUAUGGCUCACGGAGACGAUCUCCACGCCAUCAAGUACUUGUCCCUCAAGCUGAAAGGACCAGCUAGGCACUGGCUGAAAAGCCUCCCCGAAAACUCAAUUGGAAGUUGGGAGGAGCUCGAGGAUGCUUUUCGGGCUAAUUUUUCAAGGGACCUAUGUCCGACCUCCGGAUGCACACAAUUUAAGUGAUAUAAUUCAGCAGCCCGGAGAGUCAGCCCGAAAGCUUUGGAAUAGAUUUCUCACUAAGAAGAACCAAAUAGUCGACUGCCCGGACGCCGAAGCCUUAGCAGCUUUCAAACACAGCAUCCGAGACGAAUGGAUUGCCAGACACCUCGGCCAAGAAAAGCCGAGAACAAUGGCAGCCCUGACAAGCCUCAUGACCCGCUUUUGCGCGGGUGAAGAUAGCUGGCUAGCCCAUAGUAGCACCAGCGACACAGGCACAUCCGAAGUCAGGGAUGGCAAUGGAAAACCACGACACAGUAAAAGCAAGCGUCGAAAUAAAUAAGACAACCCAGAUAACCCGGCGGUAAACGCUGGAUUCAGGGGCUCUCGACCGGGUCAGCGGAAAAAGCCUUUCAAGGGCAGCAGAGAUGGACCGUCCAGCCUAAACAAGAUUCUAGACAAACUAUGUCAGAUUCAUGGCACCCUCGAUAAACCUGCAAAUCACACCCAUAGAGAAUGUUGGGUCUUCAAGCAGGCUGGUAAGCUAAAUGUCGAACACAAGGGGAGGGAGACACCAAGUGAAGACGAGGACGAGCCUCGCCACCAAACCACUGGGGGAUAGAAAAAAUUCCCACCAGAGGUUAAAACAGUGAACAUGAUCCACGUGACGAAGAGGAGAAGCAAACAUGUGCUCCGAGACACACGCGCCGUAGAGCCCGUCACCCCUAAGUUCAACCCCUGGUCGGCCUGCCCGAUCACUUUUAAUCGCAGGGAUCACCUGACAAGCAUCCGGCACGAAGGAUUGGCUGCCUUGAUGUUAGACCCAAUAAUAAACGGAUACCAUCUCACACGAGUCCUUAUGGACGGCGGCAGUAGUCUUAAUCUGAUAUAUCAGGGCACAGUCCGCAAAAUGGGGAUAGACCCGACAAAAAUCAGCCACAGUAAUACUACCUUCAAGGGAGUAAUACCAGGCCCAAAGGCCCGCUGCACGGGCUCUCUAAUACUAGAGGUUGUAUUCGGUUCUCCUGACAACUUCCGAAGCAAAAAGUUAACCUUCGACAUCGCUCCAUUCCGAAGUGGCUAUCAAGCACUACUCGGAAGAGCAGCUUUUGCUUGUUUUAAUGCAGUACCGCAUUACGCUUCUCUCAAGCUUAAGAUGCCCGGUCCACGUGGCAUCAUCACAAUUAGCGGAAAUAUUGAACGUUCCUUACGCGCGGAAGAAUGUGCGACGGCUUUAACAGCUGAACACUAAAUGGCCCCUCCAACCAGAAUAAAUGAUCAGUCGUCAAGACCGCGGACACGGCUAGACGAGUCCGGCGCAUUACUAGCUAUAACAGCUUAGUUGAACCCAAGAUUGGUUUGAUGGUUAUACCCCCAUACACGGUACCAGGGGCUUCCCGCGUGUAAACAGGGCUAGUUCGGCUCAACCCUACUUAUCUUGAAUUUUCAUGGUUUAUCGAGAAUAACCAAUUUUUUCGCACGACAACUUUCACCUAAGUUCUUCUCUUUUACAGAUGACAAUCGUGCUACACCCUUCCAGGAUACGGCACAACGGAGACACAGGCGCAGUCGUGCAGCAGGGACCCCCUCAAAGGUUUCUUUUUAGAUUAAGACCCUGUGUAAACCUUUUUUACUGUCUCUUGUUGUUCACAUCCUCCGGAUACUUAGUACAAUCGAGAAGGAUGCUGACGUUAUUGGCAUUUCGCCAUGUCAGAACAUUGCACGUACCUGGACACUCGGGGGUUCAUUAUCAAGGGCAUUGCUCAGCCCGACAUAUGUUAUAAAGACCGAAUACCUUAGGGAGUGUUCGGCGUCGCGAGUUUGGCCUUAUAUGCAUCAGCUCCGAAUCAUGUCUUUGGUCAAAUGUUGGGUUUGCCCGGCUCCCAUGUUUUGCUACCUUACGUUCCGCUCUAUCGGCUAAGGUGGCACCGGGAGAACUACUGCGAUUGUGCCCUGGUUCAUCCGGAUGAGCACCUCAGUAGAGAAAGCCGAAAACUGACUGUCAUGAUAAAGCACGAGACUGGUCAACCACUCGAUGACUUAGCGGAUCUUCGGGAUUCCUUCACAUUAACGAAGGGCCGUUUCCCGGUCAUGUAUGUACGCACCCCGUAUUCGGACGAGCGCGGAGGUACCAGGGGCUAUAUAGUAGUCCCACCGUCAAACUCCUAUGGCUAAGUGAAAGUGUUAAAGCAAUAUAGUCCGAUUGCCUCGUUCGCUGUGAUAUCACCUCCUUAAUGGACCAAGACGUUGGAUCAAGUGUGAAUACGCGUUUUUUGCGAACACCCCCGCAUUAUAUGCGUGGGGGCUGAAGCCGACGGCUGCAAACUUUCAGGUUAUAUACAUAUAUAUAUAAACGGCCGCACAGGAGGCAUCAUAAUACUUUCAGGCAAAAGUAUAAACACAGACUUUAUAAUUUAAUAAACAUUGUUCUUACAAUGGGAAUACAUGUCACUAGAACAUAAUAUUCUUCGAGCACUGAGCCUCUAUUAAACGAGCACCUUCAAGGACUUCUUCAAAGUAGUGCUCGGCCGAUACUCGGCCCACGGCCGAACUCUGGGUUGCAAUAGCGGUGGCCUCCAUCUCUGCCCAGUAUGUCUUGACACGGGCAAGGGCCAUCCGCACCCUCUAUGCACGCCGACCUCUUCAUAGCGUCGAUGCGCGGCAUAGCACCAAGGAACUGUUGCACCAAACUAAAAUAACUAUUCGGCCUUGGCCCUUCCGGCCAUAGAUGAUCCACAACAGACCUCAUGGCAAGCCCGGACAACCUAUGGAGCUCGGCCCACUCGGCCAUUCGCUCAUUCAACAGCAGCGGACGCACUAGAACAUUGAACUGUGACCAGAACAGCUUUUCUACUUCACGAUCAUUUUGAUCUUUGAAAAACUCGGCCGCAUCAGCAGCACUUGCUGCCAAAUCCACGUACAUCUGCAGAACUCCAUAGUUGAUCAAGAGGGGCAUACUUAGGAUCUCCGAACUUCGUCCGCAACAAAAAGGGCUUCCCAGCCGCGAUAUCCCCGGCUUGACGCAGCUCUUCCUUCGCCACUUUGAUUUUAGAGCGGGCGUCCUUGGCCGCUACCAUGGCCUUCUCCAGGUCUGUCAUCUUUGUUCGAUUUUCCUUUUCAAGAAGCUCAUAACGGUCGGUGGCAUCCUUCAACUCAACAGCCAUCUUGGCUAUUUUAUCCUUGCUUUGGCAAUGCGCAGCCUGUUCGGCUCUCAGCUCUUCGACCGCCUUUAGAGCGGCCGCAUCACUCUUCCUGGCUUGUUCCUUGGCUCGGGCAAGUUCCGCCCAAAGGGUCUCCACGACGGCAGCCCCAUCUGCAGUCACAACAUAUUAAAGAUACUAGCAUCAUGCUCCUCUUAAUAUGUGUUGAUCACUGGAGAAAACGCAUACCCUGUGCCUCGUCAAGUCGCUUGUUUACAAGCACGAUGUCGGCAUCUGCCGCAUCAAGUUGCCGCUUCAGCUCGGCAAACUCACCAGUCCGGCUAGCCACCGGACCUUUCGCCACCUGCAUAUGAAGGCGUGAGUAUUACCUGGGACUAUGAUCCUCUGUUUGCCGCCGUUUUCGACAGCAACCAGAGUCUCAGGGGCUACUAUCUGCAUAUGGCACACCUAGCGUGUGCGGUACCAUCAAAAAACAUAUACUACUUUGCGUACCUCAAAGCCUCUCAGCAGGCUCAUAAAAGCUUCAUGCAGCCCGCUUUCGGCGAAGGAAAUCCUCUAGACCACCGUACACAUUAGCGUACGAUGCGCUUCUGAGAUAGCUGCUUGCUCCAGAAAAUCCUUCAGUGCGUCGGGUCGCACACCGGACGGUCCCGGCCUCUUUCUGUUGCUCUCUUUAAGAGCCGAAUACUCCGGACUUCGGGUGGCCGAAGGAUUACCCUCUGGCCUUGGCGGAUCAGGAGAAAUCCUCCAUGACGACACCUCAGGGUCGCCCGCCUCAUGAGGCGGGGAGGCAUGGGGAGGUGUUUCGCUCUCCGUCAUCUCCGGAAGAAGAUCCCCCGAAGACGAACUCUGUCGAGAAGGGCUACGAUUCGAACUACAAGAUAUAUGCUUCGGUUAUUGUCCUCAGAAGUAAAGCAGGAUAUUUUUACUACUAAGUACUUUUUGUUUACUUACAGCUCGGUGGAGGGCUGAUCCCCUUGCGGGGACUGUGUGGCAAGGGUACCCUCCGGGCCGAACCCUCUGGCGAAGAUUUCUUCCCUCGUUUGGAAACCACUGUUUCCAAGUCUUCAGAGGUGGUCCUCUUCCUUCCCUGGGGAGAGGGAAUUUCAGAUUCUUCUCCCCGGUUAUCCUCCUUCACGGAGGCGCUAAUUCCCCCGGUUUGGAUGAAUAAUGAGCGAGGCCCGCUUUCAGCCUCUUUAUUCCCCCCUUUAUCUUCCCCUGAGGACGCUUGAUAAGGCGCAAGCUCAAGCAUUCUGGCCAGUAUUGGAUCUGUUGAGCCUUCGAGAAGGGGGGCCGAACACCUGAUCAUCUUCUCCUUUUUUACCCCGUCCUGGUCAAAGAGUGACUUUUCAAAAUGAUGUUGUGAUAAAUAUAGAGACAACGUGUUCGGCCGAAGGACUACUUACUUGGGUAUCUGGACGAUUGCAGCUCAGACCCGCAUCCUCGGUGCUGUCCGGACACCUUAUUUGUGGUCCGAAGAACAAUUUGUACAUCUCUUCGAGCAUCAUGCCGAGGAAGUGCUGAAUAGCUCGCGGUCCUUCCGGGUUGAACUCCCACAUACGGAGGGGUCGACGUUUGCAAGGCGGGACUCGACGAACUAGCAUGACUUGCAUUACCUUGACCAGGCUGAUAUCUCUCUCGAGGAGAUCUUGGAUGCGACUCCGCAAUAUCGGCACAUCAUUUACUGGCCCCCAGUCCAGCACCUUGUUGAUCCAUGACGUCAGUUGUGGGGGGAUCCCGAGCGAAAGGCAGGGGCGGCCACCCACUUNNNNNNNNNNNNNNNNNNNNNNNNNNNNNNNNNNNNNNNNNNNNNNNNNNNNNNNNNNNNNNNNNNNNNNNNNNNNNNNNNNNNNNNNNNNNNNNNNNNNNNNNNNNNNNNNNNNNNNNNNNNNNNNNNNNNNNNNNNNNNNNNNNNNNNNNNNNNNNNNNNNNNNNNNNNNNNNNNNNNNNNNNNNNNNNNNNNNNNNNNNNNNNNNNNNNNNNNNNNNNNNNNNNNNNNNNNNNNNNNNNNNNNNNNNNNNNNNNNNNNNNNNNNNNNNNNNNNNNNNNNNNNNNNNNNNNNNNNNNNNNNNNNNNNNNNNNNNNNNNNNNNNNNNNNNNNNNNNNNNNNNNNNNNGGGCUGUGAUGUAAAACCACUCCCGUUGCCAUAAGCUGGAUACCUCCGAGAAGGAACCCUUUGGCCAUGGAACAUAGGCGCCUUUGCUUAUUACGGCUCCUCCGCAUUCUGCGUGUCGCCCAUUAAUCGUCUUCGGCUCUACAUUAAAGGUCUUGAGCCACAAGCCGAAGUGCAGGGUGACGUGGAGGAAGGCCUCACACACGACGAUGAACGAUGAAAUGUGAAGGAUGGAGUCCGGGGCCAGGUCAUGGAAAUCCAGCCCGUAAUAGAACAUGAGCCCCCUAACAAAGGGAUCUAGAACAAGGCCUAGCCCUCGGAGGAAGUGAGAGAUGAAUACGACGCUCUCGCCGGGUUCGGGAGUGGGAAUGACCUGCCCUCGAGCAGGUAGCUUGUGCGAGAUUUCGGCGGUCAGACACCUAGCCUCUCUUAGCUUCUUGAUGUCUUCCUCUGUGACAGAGGAGGGCAUCCACUGACCUUGAAGGUUGGAUCCGGACAUGGUUGAAGGUCCGAAGCGCCCGACCUGAGCCUUGGGUGUUGGAACUCGAGGUGGGGGGAGGAUUCGAUUGAGUGCGAGAAGAAAAAGGACAGGCCUUGGCCUCUUUAUAAAGAGGGCGAAUAUCAAGCGUCUUCCGCGUGGCCGUUUGGGACUUGCCUAAAAUCGAGGAGUCGUACCAACGGGCACGAUUGGAUUACCCACAUCCGUAUUGAUGAGAAUCCCGUAAUAAGGGGGACACGAUCUCUGCUUCGACAAGACGUGCCAAUAAAAUCGCCUCGCAAAACGUGCAGUGGCAGGCUGAUUGAGAAGAGCGGUUCGAAUAAUGAUCAGGCCGUGGUGUGAUGUCAUGUUAUGAAAAGUCGUCAGCAGAUUAGAUUUGUGGAAAUAUUAUUCUCUCUACGGUAGUAUGUGGAACUUGUUUUGCAGAGCCGGACACUAUCCUUGUGUUCAAAAUCUUCUAUGGAGUAUUCGGAGGAGGAACCCGCCUUGCAAUGCGGAAGACAAUCUGCGCGUCAGACUCAUCGUCAUUGAAGCCUGGUUCAGGGGCUACUGAGGGAGUCCUGGAUUAGGGGGUCCUCGGACAGCCGGACUAUACCCUUUGUCCGGACUGUUGGACUAUGAAGAUACAAGAUUGAAGACCUCGUCCCGUGUCCGGAUGGGACUCUCCUUGGCGUGGAAGGCAAGCUUGGCAAUACGGAUAUGUAGAUCUCCUCCCUUGUAACCGACUCUGUGUAACCCUAGCCCCCUCCGGUGUCUAUAUAAACCGGAGGGUUUAGUCCAUAGGACAACAACAAUCAUACCAUAGGCUAGCUUCUAGGGUUUAGCCUCUACGAUCUCGUGGUAGAUCAACUCUUGUAAUACUCAUAUCAUCAAGAUCAAUCAAGCAGGAAGUAGGGUAUUACCUCCAUCGAGAGGGCCCGAACCUGGGUAAACAUUGUGUCCCCCACCUCCUGUUACCAUCCGCCUUAGACGCACAGUUCGGGACCCCCUACCCGAGAUCCGCCGGUUUUGACACCGACAGCCCCGCAGACCCUGAAUCCAACUCCAUAAAUACCUAUUUUCAGAGAAAAAAUCAGGGAGAAAGAAUUAUUGCGUUUCAUGCGACGGAGCCGCCGCCACCUCUUGUUCUUCAUCGGGAGGCCAGAUCUGGAGUCCGUUUGGGGCUCCGGAGAGGGGGUCUUCGAUCUUCGUCAUCACCAACCCUUCUCCAUCGCCAAUUCCAUGAUGCUCCCCACCGGGAGUGAGUAAUUCCUUCGUAGGCUCGCUGGUCGGUGAGGAGUUGGAUGAGAUUCAUCAUGUAAUCGAGUUAGUUUUGUUAGGGCGUGAUCCCUAGUAUCCAUUAUGUUCUGAGAUUGAUGUUGAUAUGACUUUGCCAUGCUUAAUGCUUGUCACCUUGGGCCCGGGUGCCAUGAAUUCAGAUCUGAACUGUUUAUGUUUUCACCAUUAUAUCUAUGUUCUAGAUCCGAUCUUGCAAGUUAUAGUCACCUACUACGUGUUAUGAUCCGCAAACCCCAGAGUGACAACAGUCGGGAUACUUUCCGGUGAUGACCGUAGUUUGAGGAGAUCAUGUAUUCACUGAGUGCUAAUGCUUUGUUUUGGUUCUCUAUUAAAAGGAGGCCUUAAUAUCCCUUAGUUUCCUUAUGGACCCCACUACCACAGGAGGGAUACUUCUCCAUCGCCAAUCACCCAGUGACAUUGGUAGCGAGGCACAUAUUUUAUUGUUGCCAUCAAGGGUAAAAAGAUGGGGUUUUCAUCAUAUUGCUUGAGUUUAUCCCUCUACAUCAUGUCAUCUUACUUAAAGUGUGUUACUCUGUUCUCUUGAACUUAAUACUCUAGAUGCAGGCAGGAGUCGGUCGAUGUGUGGAGUAAUAGUAGUAGAUGCAGGCAGGAGUAGGUCUACUUGACAUGGACAUGAUGGCUAUAUUCAUAAUCAUUGCCUUGGAUAUCGUCAUAACUUUGCGCUUUUCAAUCAAUUGCUCGACAGUGAUUUGUUCACCCACCGUAUUAUUUUCUUUCAAGAGAGAAGCCUCUAGUGAAACCUAUGGCCCCCGGGUCUAUGUUCUAUCAUAUAUUUUCAGAUCUAUAAACCAAAAAACCCAAAAAUACCUCGCUGAGUUUUAUUUACUUUACGUUUUAGAAAUCUUUUAUAUCUAUCUCUAUCAGAUCUCACCUUUGCAAGUGACUGUGAAGGGAUUGGCAACCCUUUUAUCGUGUUGGGUGCAAGUGUUUGAUUGUUUGUGCAGGUGCAUAGAUUGGAGACUUGCUUGUAUCUCCUACUGGAUUGAUACCUUGGUUCUUAACUGAGGGAAAUACUUAUCUCUACUUUGCUGCAUCACCCUUUCCUAUUCAAGGGAAAAAGCAACGCAAGCGCAAGAAGUAGCAGUAUCUACUUUUCCUAACGCCUUUGCUCUUGUUCUGGACUUUAAUUUGCAUGAUUUGAAUGAAACUAACCCGGACUGACGCUGUUUUCAGCAGAACUACCAUGGUGUUGUUUUUUAUGCGGAAAUAAAAGUUCUCGGAAUGGAACAAAACUUUUUGGAGAAUUUUUAUACAAUAAAAGAAAAAUACUGGAGCCAAGAACCACCGGAGGGGGGGCCUGGGUGAGCACAACCCACCAGGGCGCCCCCCUCCAAGCGCGACCAGGUGGGUUUUGCCCACCUGGUGGCCCCCCAGACCCUGAUUCCAACUCUAUAAAAUUCUAAUUUUGGAGAGAAAAAUCAGGGAGAAAGAAUUAUCAUGUUUCACGAGACGGAGCUGCCGCCGCCUCCUGUUCUCCAUCGGGAGGCCAGAUCUGGAGUCCGUUUGGGGCUCUGGAGAGGGGGGUCUUCGACUACAUCAUCACCAACCCUUCUCCAUCGCCAAUUCCAUGAUGCUCCCCACCGGGAGUGAGUAAUUCCUUCGUAGGCUCGCUGGUCGGUGAGGGAGUUGGGUGAGAUUCAUCAUGUAAUCGAGUUAGUUUUGUUAGGGCUUGAUCCCUAGUAUCCAUUAUGUUCUGAGAUUGAUGUUGCUAUGACUUUGCCAUGCUUAAUGCUUGUCACUUUGGGCCCGGUGCCAUGAUUUCAGAUCUAAACUGUUUAUGUUUUCACCAUUAUAUCUAUUUUCUAGAUCCGAUCUUGCAAGUUAUAUGCACCUGCUACAUGUUAUGAUCCACAAACCCCGGAGUGACAGUAUUCGGGAUACUUUCCGGUGAUGACCAUAGUUUGAGGAGUUCAUGUAUUCACUAUGUGUUAAUGCUUUGUUCUGGUUCUCUAUUAAAAGGAGGCCUUAAUAUCCCUUAGUUUCCUUAUGGACCCCGGAGGGUAGGACAAAAGAUGUCAUGCAAGUUCUUUUCAUAAGCACGUAUGACUAUUUACGGAAUCCAUGCCUACAUUAUAUCUAUGAACUGGAGCUAGUUUUGUAUCGCCCUAGGUUAUGACUGUUAUAUGAUGAAUAUCAUCCAACGAAUUCACCGAUCCAAUGCCUAUGAGGUUUUCACAUAUUGUUCUUGCUAAGUUACUAUUGCUAUUUCUACUGUCACAACUGCUAUAAAAUCAUUGCUAUCACUAUUACUAUUACUAUUACUACUACUAUUACCACUGCCAUCAAAGUUAUCAUAUUCUUGUGCUACUGAUCACUUUGCUGCAGAUAAUUAAUCUCCAGGUGUGGUUGAAUUGACAACUCAGCUGCUAAUACUUGCAAAUAUUCUUUGGCUCAACCUGUGUCGAAUCUAUUGGGUUGAAUACUCUACCCUUGAAAACUGUUGUGAUCCCCUAUACUUGUGGGUUAUCACUAUCUCCCCAAGCAACGCCAACCUAUAGGCUAAAAUAACAAGGUGAGACCCCUACUCGGAAAAUAGUGUUCGUUCAAGAGGUGUUCAUCCUAUGAUUCAGUAAUUUGACAUUCUAAUCUUAUUUGUCUUCUGCUCAUGGGGCAUGGUGUCUUUAGGUUAUUGAAGGGGAUUUGUGUAUGGAUGCUGACAUCCAGAUUUUGGUCAGCUAAGAGGUUAGAAUUACUCGAUGUAGAUUUCCGCUUAUAUAUAAUAUAAUACAAUAGUAGAAUCCCAUCCAAUACCUGUUGUUAAUUUUAUUCAUCUUACUUUAUCCAUUCAUGUUGUUCUUAACUUUGUUGUUUACUAAGUACUAAAAUGAAAUAAUGCACGUGAUGACAUGAUACAUGCAAAAAUAUUAGGUUGUGGUGUUAAUCGUAAGCAAAUUAUGGCAAGACACAUACCAUUUAUAUAUCAUAAAACCUUAUUGCAAUCUCUAUGUUAUUUUAUUCGCCUCUCGUACUACAUUGUGAUUCUUACAAGGAAUUACUUCCUCAUUUUUCCCUUGGUUUUCUUUUGCAUGGAUAUACUAGCCUCACUAGGAUGGGUUAAGAAUCUCAUCUACUCCCCGUCCCUAAUAAAAUUUUCAGUUAAACUAUCAAUUUGAGUAUAUUUUUAUUUAUUAAUGUUAAUUACAUAAUGGAAUCAACCUGCAGAAACUGUAAUUGCAAAGGUGGAUUGGAGAGGAAGUUGUCGAUGCUCAAGCCAUGUUAUGAAGUGGAGCAAGAAGAGUGAAUUAGGAAAACAGAGAACAUGUGUAUUUUGUAUGUCUUAACCUUAGGUUGUAUUUGUUGUGUCAAAUUGACCAAGUUUUCUUAGCACUGUCAAUGCUGGCCAUUGAUGAAUGUUGGACCGUUUAGAGUUGAAUAUAAGGCCUACCAGUAAUAUAGGAAGGAAUUUGUGGUAUGUGUGUCAUUAAUUAGUUAUCUGAUAAACAAAUGAGACCACCAACUUAUUUUAGACAACAUAUCAUCAUUAAUUGAAUUUCUCUUAUACAGGGUUAAUUUGUCAGUCUGAUAUAUGUGCCCCUUCUACCUGGCCAUUUUAACAAUUAGUUAUGCAAUGUUAAUGCUCCUAAUAGUGCCUUUGAUCUAUCUCUUAUCGCAUGGAAUACCAAAUGCAUUCUACCUCAUUUUUUCAAUUCUACCAUUUGACCUGGUGUUUUCCUAUUGAACCAUUACCUUGGUUUAACCUGAUUGUUGUCUUAAAUAUGCUAAACCUGGAUUAUUACCGACUUAGCAUUAUCUGCUUGACCAAAACAUUGGAACCAGCACCCUCAUGCCAAGGCGCGAUCCCGAUCUAGUGGAUAUGGAAGGGUUGCAAAAGGUGCAGGUAAAGAGCGGGCCAUGGCUCUAAUAUAUGGAAGGGUGACAUCUGAUGGGGGCAUAUUUGGUGCACUAGAACUUUGAGGAGUACUAGGGGAGUAGGGGUAGUGCGCGACACGCCGCGCCAUACUGAUUGUUAUACGUGUCUUUUUUUUAGUUUUUGCAGAGUGUUUUUCUGUUUGACUGAUCACAUUGGUAUUCAUGCAUGGAUAAUGUACAUUAAGUAAGAUACACAGUGCUAGCAGUAGGAAGUGCUAAUAAGCUAGCAGUACAGCUGUGAUAAUAAAAGAGCUCUUUGUCAGUACGAGUGAAUAGCCCAACACCCCUUCAUGUUCAUAAUAUACUAGAUCGGGAUCGCGCCUUGCCGCGAGGGUGCUGGUCCCAACAUUUUGGUCAAGCAAGUAAUGCAGUAAGUAUUAAUCCAAAUUUAGCAUAUGCAUUCAUACAGGAUAACAAUAAAGUGGAAGAAGAAACAUUCAUAUCUAAUCAGCAGGACACACUUCAUAUUCCAUUAGGCAGUAUUAGACGCUCAUGACUUUACAACAGAAGUAAAGCACAAUCACAUUUCAUGAUAAGUUAUUUACAGUUCUUUUAGAUAGAUAGCUUAUGCUUUGAUGUGUCCUAGUUGGAGAUCCUUUUCUUGAGUGAUCAACCAAUGUCGUACGGCCUGUUAAAAAACUACACUUGGUUACAAAUUUUGCCUUUUUGUCUUCUUUGUCUAUUAAAUGAACAUGAUCUUGCACACAUCCACAUGUGGUUUUAAUUGGCAUUUGCUCAACGGUUCGAUUGAGAAAAUCCUAAAGAUAUGGAACAGAGAAGUACUGCAGCUCAGGAGCAAAGUGAAGUUAUAUGGUGUGGGUAAGAAAAGUACAUAUGCAUUUAUCCAAAGGAGAGUUUGAUAUUUCAUUCUUAGAAAAAGAGCAGAUGCACAUUAUCAUCUGGCGGUGAGUAUUCCCAUUGUUGAAAACUAUAAUCAGAGGCAUCUAUGUUUCUUGUAUCAAACUAAAAACAUGUGCCUUUUAAAAACCAUAGGAUUUGUCCAGGGUCAUGAGAGAGAGAGAGAGAGAGAGAGAGAGAGAGAGAGAGAGAGAGAGAGAGAUUUAUGAAAGGUAUAUACUAACCUUCGCAUGAUAUACCUUUAACCAGAACAGUAUGCGAGCCUGCGGCAAACCUCAUUUCUGGAACUCAACAGUAUACAACACUGGAAGGUAACAAUGGCAUAACUCAGAUACAAAACAACCACUUUGAACUAAAGGCAAGAAUAAAAAAUUAUGAUACACAAGGGAACAAAAGUAUUACCUGUGUUUAUAGGGCCAUAUGGAUGACCUUAUUUAAUAUCAUCCAGGUACUCGUUAGGCUUCAUGUUAUAGGCCCUAACAACAGUAUCGGCCCUGUCACAAAGUUUCUGCUCCAGUUCUAACAAUAGGGCUUCCGCGAUCUCGGGACAUUUUGGCUUGUACGUCAAAACAGUAAAGCAGAGGAUGUAGCCCUAAAACCCAUCACUCUCUUCCCGACCAACCAUAUGAGCCAUACAACCCUCAAGACACAUGAACAUAAGCAAUGAUCGAUCAAAACAAACCAGGACCAAAACAUACUAACCCAGGCAAACCAAAUCGACCAACAGAAGACAAUGAACAGGCCAUUCUUCCCAUCCUUUUUCAGAAGGCCACUGGACCAAUCCAAAUGCAGCAGACCGAUCCUAAAGGCACAUGAUGCAGCCGACAAAUCCAAAAGGCACAUGCCCGCAUCAUGGUUUGGUGCUAAUUCUAGCAUCCAGGUUUGUUUAAUUAGUGAGCCACUAAUUAUUCAAUCAAUUGAGAAGUAGAUACACACAAUCAGUGAUGUAUAUGCAACACUAAUGCAACAAUUACUUGUGUUGCUCUCAUCAUGGCACACAUCGUCUGCUUGUCAACAGGUAUCAUGUUUAAUAGCAACUAUAAAUUCAAUAGGAUCUGCUUCAUAGAUUGCGAUGAAUAACAAACUACUACAGUGAGCAAAUUGAGUGUUUGUUUCAAAGUUCAGAGAAUAAAUAUGAGACAUAGUUUCCAACAGGAGAAAGAGGAUAGCCCUAAAAAUCUUUGCACUGUCACGUCACAAACCCUUUCUGUAGUCUAAAUCUAAAAUACAUGUCGUCAAUGAUUCUAUUUCUAAAUCAAACCAAAUAAAUAAGAGGCAUACACAAUUUGCGUCAUAGAGCAUAGGUGCAAAAUUCCCACUAACUGAUAAACAUCACCAAAAGGAGGAGGUCAAGUGUGCCUUGGAGCUGCCACGCCAUGGAAAUCCUCUGCACUGGGGAGUAGUGGGAGCGGCGUUGUCAUUCUGACCUCGUACACGACAGCUGCAAGAAAGACCGUCAGCAUAUACACAACAAAUGCAAGCACACAAAGAAAAGGAGGGAGACAAACCUAUAGUAAUAGUAGGGGCAAAUCUACAUAAACCAAAAAUUGGUCAAGAAAAGCCAUACAAUUCCUGAACAGGUCACAGAAGGAGAUUGAAUCUUACGCGAUAACACCGAGAAGCCACUCGCACUGGCUCUUCGGCUCUUUCAACCCGGUUCCCCUACAUCGUCAACCAUUAAUCCCCAUCAUUGGUUCAUGUCCACCAUGGUAACCAGUCUCGAAUCUAGGAGAGUGACAUCAAGAACCAGGAAGAGGAACGUCAUGUACCUGGCCCCAAAUCUGGUACUUGAAUCCAACAAGAUUGGCACCCAUAGUCCCCAGGAAGUUCUUGCCGGAGUUGCAGAAGACACCGUCCUGGUUCUGCGCCACGAUGGACUCCGACCUUCCUCUCCUCCUCCGGUGCCGGGCCACGGCCUGCUUCUGUUCCUGCCGCCCCUGCACCUCCUGCAAUCGCACAAUAGAGAGACGGGCACGAAUCCUUAUGGCACUAAUUUCAUUAUUUAUAGGAUAUAAACAUAACAUAUGGGUAUAUAUGAGGACAUUCAACACCAUGAAAAAAUAGAAGACAGCAGGAGAGCGCGAGGCCAUAAGGCACAGAAGGCAUCUAAUAGAUAAAAGGAGCACACCAUGAUUGCAUAAUCACAAUGCAACAAAGUAUCUUAUAAGCUUGUUCUCCUUACAUAAUCCCAAGGAACAUGUCAUCUUGCAAUAUUCUCGUAACAUUAAGGACAGAACAGGGGAGGGGGCACAAAGCACGAGGUAAAUAAUCAGAAACAUCUUGAUCUCCGUCAAUUCAUGAAUUACAAAAUUUCGAAGAACAAAACGGACUACUUGACCUGUUAUCAUUUACUGGAGCUAAAUUCCAGAAAAAAGGAAGUCUGAGACACCGCUACAUAUUAUUCAUUGUCAUUGAUGUCUAUUGAGUUUUUUUGUUUGUCCCUUUCACAAUAGUUAUGGCUUGUAUCACUCAGAAUUAUGGCUUGUAUCAAUAUACAGUUAACACUCUAUAUAUUAUAUAGAAAUCAGAAUGCUACAUAUUACACAGGAUCAUAAGACGGCUUCUUAUUCUUCCUUUUGGAUCUAACAAUGAUAAAUAAAAUAUUUUCCUGGCUGACAAUCUAUAUAUCUGGAUUUAUGGUUUGGCAGGAGAUAUAAUUACAUUUGAUCGAAGCCAAUUUCCUCACGGAAGAAGUUGUCUAAAUUCAGGGAAGAGAAAGGAAAGGUAAACUCCUGCUCUGGAAAUAGAUUAUCAAUUGCCUAUAUCCAGGGAACAGAUGAUACAAUUGUCUAUAUUCAAGGAACAAAUGAUAUAAAUUGUUUGUAUUCAUGGAACAGAUGAUGCAACUAUAUUUUAAUGCAAAGGAAGCCAAGACAAUUUAUUCUCUCAACAAACAGAAAACAGUGAACAUGCAACCUCUCCAAGGUGGAAAUGUGUUAAAAAAAUCAUGUCUGUGAUCGCGGUAGUUGUCUCUUCGUUAUCCAGGAGCCCAGCAUCACCACAUUCUCUAAUGACAGUUUAUAUUUAAGACUGAGUUACUCAUUUUGCAUAAGUUUCUGAAUUUUUAGGUGCACCUAGAAACAAAAAUAUGCCAUCUCAGCUUAGUUUCAGGGGAAGAUCAUCACCCGGUUACCGCUGUUAGUCACCUCUCCUCGUUCGCACUAUCUUUAAAUGGUGGUAUAAUCCUGGUCUACGCACUUUCUCUUAUAGUUAUCGCGGUUGAGAAAGCAACCAAAUAAUCGUCUAUCCAGGUAAAAUACAAAACAAAUACACAUGAUGACACACAUGGUCAUGUUAAUAAAAGAAGCUACAUGCAUGCAGAUAUGUUAUUCUGUCUUCCAAUGUAUUAUUUGGUCAUACAGGAAUUAACCAAUCCAAUGAUAGGGAACAUCUUACCGAAAGUAACCAAAGGAACAUAACAUGGCGGAGCUUACAGCUUGGUAGACUUAACUGGGAAGUGCUCGACAGUAGUCAUCAAUCUUUGAGCCACAGAAUGGCAAGAUCGAACUGAGACUCGGACCUGCAUAACCAUAGGAACAAAGCCUAGUGAAUCAGGCAUGAAUAAUUAGCAUCUCCCCGGAAAGCAGAACGAACUAUGUCCAACAGGAUACAACACCAGCAGCUCACAAUGUAAGCCAAAAAAGUUUCAUCGGUAAAUUAGUUGAUAAUAAACUAUAAACUCUAAUCCUAGAACUAUUGUUGUUGGCCAAAACAACUAAAUUAUGAUUUACCAAUCUACAAACAUAGGCACAUGACUAUAAUUGUGCAACCCCAAUAAAAACAGAACCAUCUUCUGAUAAUUAAAUGUGAGCCUUGGCGCGCCCUAGUCAGGCCAGUGGAUGGUUGGGACGAUAAAAAUGCACAUAUGAACAAACAUUAAAUAUUGAAGAUGAUAAAAACAGGGAAAGAUAGAACAAACAGAGAAUCGAUUUCCGUCAUUUCCUAAAACAACCAAUCUAAAUGAAAUAUUAAGCAAAUCUCUGGAAUGAAAUUUCGAACCAAGAUGUCCUGAUAUAACAGAAGGUCAAACAUAGGCCUAUAUGAAAUAGUAACUACAUGCAAAUAUCAAACAGACAAUAUAUGAUUCAGAGAUGCAUCAGUUAAUAAGCACUAUUGUAGAUUUUUCCUAAAUACUUAUCUAGCAAGUGUGCAUCUAUAGUUGGCAACGUGGUUCAGAGAUGCAUCAGUUAAAACCUUUUGGGCUUCUAUAGAUGAAUUUACAAAAAUAUCUACUAUAUUCCUAUCUACAGAUAAGGUUCUAGGAUGUGAAUGCACACUUGCUAAAACUCUUUGAAUAAAUGCCAACCAUGUUGCAGUUCAUGUGUAAACCUAACUAUUCUGUAUAUGCAUGCACAGUUGCUAAACGUUGCAGGAAAUCGUAUUUUGUGAAUCAUAAAAUGAGGGUGCUGGAGCUAAUGAACUUUCAAUGAUAACUCCAACACCACAUCAACAGAAAGUUUACUGGGCUAAAUAAAUGAAAUAGUUGCAGUUUGUACCUAUUCCAAAACCAAGUCCUGUACCAACUCCACAAGACCACAACCAAUGUCUGCUUCAAGUUCCUUUAACCCUUCCUUCCUUAGCUAGAGCACAAGGAAGAACACAAAAUCAGAUCGAGAGAACUAGAAAAAUGUAAUUCAUUGAUCCUAAGCACUCACCGAAGCUAGCCAGAUCCUUCCAUGGCAACCAACAUGUCCCUCCGCAGUAGAACCUCACCUCUGGCAUCGUCCACUCCUCGUAUGUGCACCUCUUUACACCGGUGCGACGUUGGGCUAGCUGUAGCUGGUGACCUGCAAGGAAAGAGGAGCAACGGUCAGAGAGAUAGAGAGAGGUCAACCUAGAUGGAGUAGAGAAGGGGGCGAAGUUCGAGGCGGUAGAGCUCCGACCAUGGCCACCGCAUGACAUAGAGGGGCAUCAUUGAUCUCACUCACGUGUUGGACACCAUAUCCGGUGCCACCGUGAGCCGCUCGACGCCGAGGGAGAGAGGGGCCGAGCAGCUGCGGGAGUGGCAGCCUUCGCUCCUCCUGGCGAUGCGGACGCUCGAGCUCGACGAGCGAGUGGCACAAUAUGUACGUCCAUUUGAGCAUACAAAAUUAAUUCCAUGAAUGUAGAAUUCAAAAGAAAUAAAAAGAAAAAGAUAAGAAAAACAAACAUAUAACUACAAAGAUGAGCAGAGCUAGAUCAAGGAAAAGUAACAGAAGCCUAAAUCAGUAUAUUGCUAAAUUAAGUUUAACCCAAACAGCAGUACCACUAUAGCAAUAUCUUGGACCAGAUUACACUAAAGCCCACAUAGUUUAUUACCCAAAACUUCCUGGCAGCACAUCUAUAAUCCUAGACACUAAUAAUUCAAUCGGCCAUGUCAAUUCAGAGCAAAGAACAAGGGCAGCAACCAUCCAUGUGCAAAAAAAAUCCCACCCCUAGUAGGAUCUACACAAGGAACAAAAAGAAACACAUAUAAAAUCGCUGAGAGCGCCCGUAGCCCCCUUCGCUCUUGUUUUUGGAUGGAUCCCAAAAGGUGGUUGUAAUAAUAAAAAAGGCACCUCUCAAAUUAAAAAUGUCAUCCUCACAUAAAUAAAAAUGUCAAUCCUAUUAUAAAAAAUGUCAUGCUCUUAUUAAUAAAACUGCCAUCCUCUAAUAAUAAAAAUGUCAUCUUCUUAUAAUAAAAAUGCCAUCUUUUCUAUAUCUAUACCUAAUAAUAAAUGGCUAUUGCUUUUUGCGGUACGUCACCGAAAUUGCCCUCAAAGUUGUAAAAUAUUACCCACCAAUCUCACCCAGCUAUAAAUGAUAAAAAUGUUUCACACAGGGGAAUUCCCGUCUGGGCUGGCCCAUAUGCAAUAGUAACCUUCUGUACUGCGCUCUACGCACUGGGAGCUCCUACUCAGCGCUUUAAGUGCCCGUUAGCAUUGCUGGCACUCGCAGCGCGGCGUAACGAGCCGUCCCAGCCAUCUGCUGAAAAAUCCAACGCGAUGAAAAACCCGGGUGAAGUGGGACUCGAACUCCAACCGCCAAUGUCAACCGCACAGCGCUAAUAAUAAAAAUGCCAUCUUCUUAUAAUAAAAAUGCCAUCUCUUCUAUAUCUAUACCUAAUAAUAAAUGGCUAUUGCUUUUUGCGGUACGUCACCGAAAUUGCCCUCAAAGUUGCAAAAUAUUACCCAUCAAUCUCACCCAGCUAUAAAUGAUAAAAAUGUUUCACACAGGGGAAUUCCCGUCUGGGCCGGCCCAUAUGCAAUAGUAACCUUCUAUACUGCGCUCUACACACUGGGAGCUCGUACUCAGCGCUUUAAGCGCCCGUUAGCGCUGCUGGCGCUCGCAGCGCGGCGUAACGAGCCGUCCCAGCCAUCUGCUGAAAAAUCCAACGCGAUGAAAAACCCAGGUGAAGUGGGACUCGAACUCCAGCCGCCAAUGUCAACCGCACAGCGCUAACCACUAGACCAUGCUCGACUUCCCAACAAUACUGGGGAAACAGGUCUAGUUAACCCUUCCUUCAAUGCAAACAUUAGUAUAUACUAGUAUUAUUAUACCCACUAUAAAUUGAAUAAACUAAAACAUAAAUUUGAGAAAGAAUUCACAAAAACAAUGAAUUGAAAAAAACUGAAAAACGUUCAUACCAAUUGGAAAUAUUUCACGAUAAUCGAAAAAGUUCAUGAUUUCAAAAAAGGUUCAUGAUUUUGAAAAAAAGUUCGCUAAUUUAAAAAAAAAGCAUAAAAUUGUAGAAAGUUCAUGAGUUGUAAAAAACGUCAUCAAUUUAGAAAAAUAGUUCGAAAAGGUUAAUUGAUUUGAAAAAACUUUCAUCGUUUUUCAAUUAAAAUAUCUUGAAUUUGAAAAUAUUUCACGGGGGUAUGGAAAAGUUCAUCGAUUUUGAAUUAAAAAAAUCACGAAUUCGAAAAUAGUUCACAGGAUUUUGAAAAAGUUCACAUAUUUGACAAAAAUCACUGAUUUUGAUAAAAAAAAGGUUCACGAAUUUGAAAAAAAAUUCCAUUGAAUUUAGCAGAAAAGUUCAUCAAUUAGAAUAAAAUUACAAACAUUUUUUUUUAAAUUCAUCAAAUUCGAAUAAAGUUCAUCGACUUUCAAUUCAUUUCUCUAAUUUGAAAAAGGUUCAUUAGAACUGAAAAAAAGUUCAUCCAUUUUGAGAAAAAAAAUCAUCAUUUCUCAAAAAAGUUCACAAAUUUCGGAAAGAGUUCAUCGAUUCUUAAAAAAUGAAAAUUAAGAAAAGUUCGCGCAUUUGCAGAAGAAAAAGGAAACAAAAGAGAAACAGAGAAAGAAACAAGAAAAAAACACGGGCAUCGCGUUUUGGAGAAAGAAUAAGAGUACGGAAACGAAUUCAAUUGUCACGUGCAGCUUGGUGUUCGAGUGGUACUGCGUUGCUAUGCGAAGCUUUUUGUCUCAGGUUCCAAUCCGUUGCAACGCUCCCUUUUUUAUCAGCUUCCCUAGAAAGAAAGGGGACAUGGGCUGGGCCAAAUAGGAUUCGCCCUAUGCACUGGGAGAAGACACAGUGCGCCUGUUUGGGCCGGCCCAUGGCCAGGUGGUUCUUUUUAAAUUUCCUUUUUCUUUUUCUGUCUUCCUUUAUUUUCUACCUUAAAUAAUUUGGGACUUACAAAAAGUUUCGAAAAUUUAAAAAUGUAUUUUGAAAUAACGUUUUUAAUAAUUCAUAAAUUUUUUGUGGAUUUAGAAAAUAUUUCAGAUUUAUUAAAAAUGUUCGCACUUUUAAAAACAAAUAUUCGGGAAAUACGAAAAUAUUCUUCAUUUUUUUAAAAGUUCGUGUAUUAGAAAAUAUUCAUGAAUUGAAAAAUAUCCUAAAAAUUUAAAAAAAUUCGUGACCUCCUAAAUAGUUCAUUAAUUCAUAAAAUGUUCACUGAUUCAAAAAAUGAUCAUGCAUUUCGAAAAAUAUUUGUUAAAUUUAAAAAAUGUUUGUGAAUUUCAAACAUUGUUCCACCAAUUUCCAAAAAUUGUUCAUCGAUUCUAGAAAUGUUCGCCUACUCAAGAAUUUAUUUUUAAAAAUGUUCACAAAUUUAAAAACGUUACAAAUGAUAUAAAAUGUUCAUGAAUUCAAAAAUUGUCCAUGAUUAAAAAAAUGUUUAAAAAUCUGUAAAAAUGUUUACAAAUUUUGAAUUUUUCACAAUUUUAGACAUGCUCACGAGUUUAAAAAAAGUUCAUGAUUUUUUUUAAAUCGGGAUUUCACAAAAAUGAGAGUGAUGUGUACCUCGGUGAUGCAGAAAAAUGUGAUCAUGGCCAUUGAAGAUUAUGGUAUUUUUUUCUUCCGUUGCAACGCAUUGGGUGUUUUUCUAGUAUCUUAUAAUAAAAUGCCAUAUUCUUAUAAUAAAAAUGCCAUGCACACAAAUAAUAAAAAAUGCCACCCUGUUAUAAAAUAAAAAGUGCCAUGCUCUUAUUAAUAAAACUGCCAUCCUCUAAUAAGAAAUAUGCCAUCCUCUUAUAAUAAAAAUGGCAUCUCUUAUCUUAUAAUGAAAAAAUGCGAUCCUCUUAUAUUAAAAAUGCCAUCCUCACAAAUUAAAAAAAUGACAUCCUAUUGUAAAAUAAGAUAAAUGCCAUGCUCUGAUAAAUAAAACAACCAUCCUCCUAUAAACAAAACGGCCAUCCUUUAAUAAUAGAAUUGCCAUCCUGUAAUAAAAAAUGCCAUCCUCUUAUAAAUAGAAGUGCCAUCCUCACAAUAAAUAAAAAUUCCAUGCUAUAUAAAUAAGAAUGCCAUCUUUUUAUAAUUUAAAAAAUCUGUAUUUUUAGAAAAACCUUUAAAAAUGUCAAAUUUAUAUAUAAAAAUCAGUUGUACCACAAGUUUUCACAAAUCCCCAUGCAAUCGAUUGGCAAAAAUCCCAAUUCAAAACCUGCUACACCGCACGAAUUACCCAGUUUUUUGUAGAAAAUAAAAAACAAGCGUUCACCGGGAAAUGACGGACAACGAACGCCUCCAACCAUCCGAUGUGGCGUUGCCUCUGCAUUGAGUCCGUGCAACGGCGAUGGGGGUGUUCGCUCGGUCGGCCUCCCAGGGAACGUCGGCCAGAUAAGAUUACCAUAUAAUAUCAAUAAGUUAUGAUUUGAAUACUUUCCUAAGUGAGUGGACAGUUCGGAUGGAAUGAAAAUUUUGCAUUAACAUCUUGUAACAUACUAUCAAAGUAAUGCUAGGAAUACCAAAUACAGUAGUAUGUAUUUCUCCUCUCGCUCUACAUGCAAGGAGCAAAGUUUAUGUUGACACCAGAUUUUGGCACGGUCGAAGACAUAAUUAAGAAGGCCUCAAAUGGAAAAGUGCUCAAAGUGAGAAAGUUCCGUAUCGUCAAAAGGAGAAACUUUGAUAUUUGGGCCAUCGCCAUUCGAUCUCAUCUCAAAGGCCAAAGUUGUGUCCGAAGUACUGUGAUUUUGUAUCCAGAACACUAUUCGGCUGAUUACGCCCCCAAGAUGGGCCCAUAUGAGAAAAGUUUCUACACGAAUUAUCUUUGUCUCGUCGAAACGAUCGAUUUUUAUAUAAAAAUCAUCUCAAUCCAAAAUCGUGUGCAAAAGUUAGAGACAUUCGAAUGGAGCCCUGCCAGGAGGCUACAUAUGGCGCGCCCCACAAGACAUGAUGUCUGAUGGGUAGUGCCACCACUCGGCUGUCUUGCGCGAGCAAUUCGGCCCCGAAGAUGGUCUCGAAGCAAAAAACGUUCAACAUGAAAGUUGUUCGUCUUGUCGAAACAGUUAAAUUUUCUUUUGGGUGCAUUUUCAUCCAAGGUAGUUUACUAUCACAAAAAAGACCCGCAAGGUGCAGCCAGUUUAAACCGAACAUUUUUGAAAAGUUCGGACAAAAACAAUCCUAAUUUGACUAGGGUUUUGGGCGUGAAUCCAAGCCUUUUCCUUGCACAGGAAGUCAUGCCGCCUCUUAUAUAUCUAAGGGGUGACGGCCGAUUGAACAGCACACAAUCGAUCUAUCAAUAUACCACUUUUUACCUUUACUUUUAUCCUCUCCCUUGUUCUUCUUCUUCCUCGUUCUUCGUUCGUUCUUCUUCAUUGCAGGGCGGCGAAGCUCGAGGCCCUAGGGGCGGUCAGGACGACCUAGGGCAGCCCAUAGCCGUCGCGCGCCCUGACGGGGUCCCUCCCGGGCGUGUGGGGUUUCGGGUCAUCAAGAGCGCCCGCCGGAUUGCUUGUGUACUGCGCUUCCGGAUGGGUCUCCUUCGACGUGAGCUGCGGUGCAUCACCCUCGGCGUUGGAGGUACACGGUGACGUGUUCGUGUGAGAACACACUUUUUGGCGACUCCGCUGGGGAUGAAGCUUUGAACGGUUUCCAGCCCGUUCUUGCUACGAAGAGAUCGUCAUCAAGUUGCUGCAAUCUACAAAGGUAAUAUGAAUACCCAAUUCCCCUUUGUAGAUGCAAAUAAUCCAUAUGUUGUUGCUGGAUCACCUAAUGAGCAUAAUGUAUCGGCUAGCCCUAGUUUUAUCAAUCAUGCAUCUAAUUAUGCGCAAGGGCCGAUGCAAAACAGUCUUCAUGCUUCAAAUUCUUAUGAUCUUAGCAACGUACAACAUAUGUAUCCAAACUCUCAUGCACCGGCAACCCCACAAAUCCAUAUGCCGAUGAACAACAUGAUGGGUUUGGUUAAUCAAUUUGAAACACCUCAUGUUAAAAUUUCCAAUAGCAUACAAGAAAGUGUUUCACCUUUUUAUUCAUCGGCAACUAAUUUGCAAUAUGUGAAUCCAACCUUGCCGAUGGAUGGGAGAAUUGGCCAUGCUACUACUAGCUAUUCGGCCAGUUACUCUCAACCAUGCUACACCUCAUGUUAGUAAUUUUUCAGCACCGUAUGCAACUGUAGAUGUCCAUAAUUCGGCCCCGCAUCUUCAUGGUCAUAGCCGAAUAAGUGAAAAUUUUACAGGAACACAUGUGUCGUCAUCAAAUACUGUAGCAUAUAAUGCAUACUCUACGCAAUUCAAGAAUUUUGGCAACACUCAUGAAUCAUUGCCGAAAGAAUCUGAAAGUAUUGCGGAGCAAUCCCUUCCAGAAGCGGUUGUAGCUGCAUUAAAAAAGAGGUUGGCACAAAACAAGAGGAUUAGUGCUCUUUGCCUUGAACAAUAUGAAAAGGGGUUGUUUCCUGAUUAUGCUGCAAUAAAUGCUAGAGUUUUGCAAGAAGCUGAAACUUCAUCAAUUCAUAGAAUUGGCGAGAGAGCAUAUGGUUAUACAGCAGUGCAUACACCUCCACCUAGUACCGCAGCAUAUUAUACACCCCCUACAUAAUUGCAAAAUUUCCGCAACACUAAUACUUCAUUGCCGAAAGAUCCUAAAAGCAUUGGGGGCAAACUAAUCUAGAGCGGGCUGAAAUUGAGAGGGGAGUUAAAGCUUUACGCGAUAGGGUGCAAGUACUUCGCCAAGAGAGAAUUGAUAGGGAAUUAGCUCAAAGAAAAGAAGCCUUGCCAAUUGAUAUAACCGGUGAAAAGAAUGAUGAUUCGGAAACUAAAAGUGCUUCGGUUGAAAAAGCUGAAUCAAGUAGUAUAUACUUCGAAUCCAUCAAAUCCAAAGAGGCAAACAUUGUUGACAAAGGGCAUGGAAAGUAUAGCAAGACAGCCAUACUUUGAUUUUUCUAAAGUUAAUGGAACCUACUUCCUGCCCUAUGAGUUUCGUGUCAUAGAAAUUGACGAGCUUCAAGAACAAGAACAAGUAGCCGAAGAAAGUUUGGUGGACAAAGAUCUUCAAACUAAUGAUGCAAGAAAUCAAGAACAAGAUGAUGACAAGGCAUUGGGGAGCUAUCCGAAGGCGGAGCAAGAUACUCUUCAAGUCACACCACCAUCAUGCACUCCCAACAUAUUUGAAGAGGUAUGUCUAGCAAUUAAUUUACCUGUUUUCAGAUUUGGUCAUGACUUAGUUGUUGAUGCAUAUAUUAGAAAAAUCUUCAUAAGAAAUAUUGAGAGACCAAUGAAGAAGGGUAAUUUAUUUGUUAGCAAUCAAAUUGUCACAAAGCAUAUCGAUCAACAUAUUGCACCAUUCAGAAAGACCGAUAGCGAAAAAUUGUUGCAGCCAAGGCUGUCCCCAUUGCUUUAUCUAAAGCUCAUAUCUAAUUGGCACUACAAAAAAAAGACACAUCCGUGACAUUUUGGGUUGAACGAAAAUCUUUUCUGUCAUACUUAUGACACUUCUAUGACGAUAGUUGUGACAAAACCCGGUAUCAUCAUAGAUGUGGUGGGGUCCUACUUCUAUGACAAAAAAUCAUGACAGAAAAUGGGCUUUUCGUCCUAGGCGGGCCGGAGACGCAGCUGCAUGACAUUCUUUGGGCCGUCCAUGACGGAAAAAACCGUGGUAGAAGCGAGGGCGCGGAAAAUAUCGGGGAGUCCCCGGUUACGGUGGGUGGUCGGGGGCCGAGCGAUGCGCGUUUCUCUCGUACGUACGUGCGUGUGUGCGAGGCAUUGGGCUCUAACUGAACCCGAGCGAGGCGUUGGGCUCUAACUGAAUCCGAGCGAUUGCACUGCAGGCUACGCGUUACUGAACCCGAGCGACCGAUCGAUGGCUGUUAACUGAACCCGAUCGAGCCAUUCCUUCGCUACUGCUGCUAACUGAAGCCGAUCGAUGCUGCCUCUGGAUGNNNNNNNNNNNNNNNNNNNNNNNNNNNNNNNNNNNNNNNNNNNNNNNNNNNNNNNNNNNNNNNNNNNNNNNNNNNNNNNNNNNNNNNNNNNNNNNNNNNNNNNNNNNNNNNNNNNNNNNNNNNNNNNNNNNNNNNNNNNNNNNNNNNNNNNNNNNNNNNNNNNNNNNNNNNNNNNNNNNNNNNNNNNNNNNNNNNNNNNNNNNNNNNNNNNNNNNNNNNNNNNNNNNNNNNNNNNNNNNNNNNNNNNNNNNNNNNNNNNNNNNNNNNNNNNNNNNNNNNNNNNNNNNNNNNNNNNNNNNNNNNNNNNNNNNNNNNNNNNNNNNNNNNNNNNNNNNNNNNNNNNNNNNNNNNNNNNNNGUUGCCUCUGGAUGAACAGUGAGUGUUGCUGGGGGGUUUGGAUGAACAGUUCCCGGUGGGGGUGGAUGAACAGGACCCCGAUCGUUCGAGCCAGUUGGGGUAGGAUGAACAGGACCCCGUGGAGGGCAGGAUGAACAGUAGACGGUGGAGGGCUGGGUGAACAGUAGCCCGUGGAGGGGUGGUUGAACAGGAGCCCGUGGAGAGGGCUUGUUGAACAGUAGCCGGUGGAGUAACGCGUGGUGGAGGCUGGAUGAACAGGAGUCCGUGGAUGAACAGUCGCAGGUGGAGGCUGGAGGAGGUCGACGGUGGAUGAACAGUCGCCCGUGGAGGCUGGAGGGGGUCGACGGUGGAGAUGAACAGUAUCCCGUGGAGUCCCAUUUUGCGGUACGCCAUACCCCUCCCGAUGAACAGGACCCCCGUUUCGACCGUAGCGCUCCAACACAAGUCCGUUUCCUCCGUUUUGCGGUACGCUACACCCCUCCCGAUCAACAGGACCCCCGUUUCGACCGUAGGAGGUCCGUUUCCUCCGUUUUGCGGUACGCCAGACCCCUCCCGAUGAACGGGAUCCCGUUUCGAACGUGGCCGGUCGAACACAAGGCCGUUUCCUCUAUUCUGCGGUACGCCAGGCCUCGUUUCCAUCGGUUGUUCCGUCCAAGCUGGUUGGCUCCCACGCGUUCCAUUUCCUCCUGAUGAACACGACGCAUUCUGUUGCCUCCCCAUGAACACGACGACGACGUUGUUUCUCCGUUCCGACCCAGCCAUGUAUACGAGCCCUGGCAGUACGUACGCGCGAGUAGGCGUUCGAGACCGCGCCCGUAUGUACGUACGUGGCCGUAUUUACUUUCUUGCACCCUGGCCGCUGUACGUACGUGUACAUGCUACGUGCGCGCCUCUACUAUGACACAUGCGCGCCUCUACAUCGACCAGUAUGUAUGUACACGUUCGUGACCAGAAUGACAAUGCUACGUACGCUUCGACUAGGUGGGUCCCGACUAUCAGGCACUUCCUUGCCUGCGAAGAUGUAGCUGGUGGGUCCCAGCAGUCAGGGGGGCGAAUCAUUUUUUUUUGCCCAGAGACACUUCCUUGCGUGCGAAGAUGUAGCUGGUUGGUCCCAGCAGUCAGGGGGAAACGUUUUUUUACGAAAUACGAUGGCCCGUCGGGUGGGUCCCCACUAUCAGGUGGAGGAUUAAUUAUUUUGCGCGUAAUAAGGAGGCACUUCCUUGCUGCGGUCGUGGACCCAACUGUCAGCCUCUCCACGAUAGUACUCUUCUGAUGGAAGUCGUUCCUUGACCACGUUGACCACGCCGCGCCGAGAGCACCAGGGCGGUGGACGACGGCGAGGCCUAGGAAGGGGACAACGCGGAGCCAGGGAAGACGCGACAGUGGAAGCCCGCGCGGAGAGGAGUACGAGGGUUCACUGGUUUGGCUGCGGUGUGAGGCUGCCGUCGCCGCAGGGCCUGGCCAGCGGUGGGAAUAGUAGGGGCGGUGUGGCCUCCGCGGCAGCACAGCCGGCCACGGGAGGCAGGAGCAUGCGGCACGACCGGCGCUGCUUUGGGUGGCUGGAGCAACAAGACCAGAGGUUGAAGAAGCACUACGGCCGUUGGAUGGACAUCGUACGGUCACUGGAGCUAGAAUCGUUCAUAUUGACUAAGUUGACAAAGCACUCUGUCCCCGUCAACUUAGUAGGCCCACAAGUCAGCCUCCCACCAAGGUGGGUCCCAACCAGCAGGGGGGUAUUCAUUUUUUUGUGCGUAAUAAGGAGGCACUUCCGGUGGGUCCGAGCUGACAGUGGGGGAACGUUUUUUUCGCGCAAUACGGUGGCCCGUCCGGUGGGUCCCUGCUGUCAGGUGGAGGAAUCAUUAUUUUCCGCGUAAUAAGGAGGCACUUCCUUGCUGCCGUCGUGGACCCAGCUGUCAGCCUCUCCACGUACAGUCCACGUCCGAUGGAACCCGUUCCUAGACCACAUUGACCAUGCCGCGCCGAGAGCACCAGGGAGGUGGACGACGGCGAGGCCUAGGAAGGGGACGAUGCGGAGCCGGGGAAGACGCGGCAGUGGAAGCCCGCGCGGAGAGGAGUGCGAGGAUUCACUGGUUCGGCUGCGGUGUGAGCCUGCCGUCGCUGCGGAGUAACAGGGGGUGUGGGUGAGUAGAGGGAUGGCCUGGCCAGCGGUGGGAGUAGUACGGGCGGUGAGGCCUCCGCGGCAUCACAGCCGGCCACGGGAGGCAGGAGCACGUGGCACGACGGGUGCUCCUUUGGGCGGCUGGAGCAAGAAGACUAGAGGUUGAAGAAGCACUACGGCCGUUGGAUGGACAUCGUACGGUCACUGCAGCUAGAAUCGUUCAUAUUGACUAAGUUGACUUAGUAGGCCCACAGGUCCGCUUCCGAAAUGGUGCGCCCCAGAUGUCAGGGGGAGGAAUCAUUUUUUGGGCGGAUGAAACUAGAAUAUCCGAGAUUGAAGAAGAAGCACGGCAUCCGUUGGAUGGACAUCCAACGGCCACUGCUGCUAGAAGCGUGUGUUGACUAUAAUAAGUUGAUAAAGCCUUGCAUACGCGUCAACUUUUUUUAGGGGACGCGUCAACUUAGUAGGCCCACAAGUGUGUGGGAGAGAACUUAUAGCCCAUUUGCGAUUUGUAAGAAUGUACAACCCAUUUUUGAAUUCUAAUGGAAUUUACUACAGCCAAUUUACAGUUUGUUAAAAGUACAGCCCAUUUUCUAGCUAGGACAACGAUUAAUAAUUUCAACCAACCGUUCAAGACAGAAUUCAAUAAAAAUUUCCCACAUUUUGAAGGGAUCCGAAAUAUUUUUAUCCCGAAAUUUCUAGUCAGAUUAAAUAUAAGUUUGUAUUACGUAAAAAUCUAACGAAACAUUGCGCGCGCAACAAUUAAAAAUUAAGAUUUUCAAAAUCCAUAAAUAAUAUUUUAUAAACUAAUUAUGUGCUUGGUGCAUUUUUAUAGUUACUACCCAGUUUUUAUAAUUACAUCCCAUUUAUUAUUUUUUAAAGCCCAUUUUCCUGUUAAGCCUAAUGCAUCCCUCCUAGGAAAGAUUUGCAGCCCAGCGGGGCGGAGAAUAACAAGUUGACCUUGCCUGGGUAUUCCUAAAAAAACGUAUAGCUAGGCUAGCCAUUUUCAUCUUGAAAAAUUUUAAUAUCUGGGCUGGAUAUCUGCCCUGGGCUAGACGGGCCACAGCCCGCCCAGUUAAUACCCUGCUCUCCUCUGAACAAAAACGAAAACAUCGCCAAGAAAAACUCUGCAGUGCUCACGCCUCAAAAACACAAAUACUGCUCGAGCUGCUUGGUCCCAGCUGUCGGCCGCACCUUGUGCAAUUCUCUCGUUUAUUGACUACAUAGGUUGACUAUGGUGUGGGACCGUGAUGUCAGGAAACCAGGAGGAAGCAAAAAAAAAUAUAGUUGUACAUAAUAAGGAGGCACUUGCUUACGUACGGCUAUGUCCCUAGUGGGUCCCUACUGUCAACCAGUCAAAAUAAAGUCAUCUCCUGAAUCCUCAUGUUCAUUGACCAUGUUAACAAUGCUCGGUGCCACGGCGAGCGCAACAACUCGAAGGAUGACGGAGAGGGCCUCGCGGGCCCUACGGAUGGUCUGAUACAGCGCCCGCUGCUCAUUCAGGAAGCCAGGAUCAUCGGACACCUAUGAGCACCUUCGAGAGACUGAGACGGGAUGAAACGGUAAGGCCACGCUUGGGAGCUCUGGUUUAUUUCACAACUGUAUUAAGAUACAAGUGUAAUUUACUCGUCAUCGGAAACAACGCGUAAAAUACAGGCGUAAUGAAACCGAGGGCCCGAGGUCUGUAAGUAAAACCGGCGGGUUACACGUGUAAUUUGAGAGACCGGUGUAUAUUUUACUAGUCAAAAUCGACCAACCAAGCGCUUCGCCCGAGACCAUCUGCUUUUAUUUACAAGCGUCAGUUUUACAAGCGGUUUUGGUUGGAAAACGACGAUCCAAUCACGGCCUAAGGUGAUGAGUUGGUCGGAAGAUCAUAUGGUUUCACAUCUAACCUACCCGACUUGUCGUAUAGGCUAUGAAUGAAACAUAAGACGAUGAACUUAUUAAGCACGGAAACAACAGAAGAGGAUGAUCUUCCUAACAAGCAAAUCACUGGCAUUAGAUCGACAUGCAAAACAAUACGAAGCAUUAUUCUCAGGAGGCACGGUGAACAGCUCGUGAUGCCGCAUGCCACAACAUUCCAAGCUCAACUUUGCAAUCAAACACAAGGCCUGGCAUUACAUAGACAAUAUUCAGAACAAACUCUUAAAAUAUCUUACAUAAGUCAACAUUCAUGUGACUAUGCAUCUCAGUAGAGUAAAUAUUUACUUCUGAACUGAAGACAGGAAUAGGAAAAAAACGAUCGACGUUGCUCACAGCAAAGGGCGUCCCACUCAAAAAUAUCAAAUGCAUGUCUUCUGGCUAACAUCAAUCAGCAAAAAUUGACAUGGUUUUCCAAUUCCAAUAUAUUAAACUAAUGUCAACUUUGACAAGCUUUUCCCAUUCAAAAUAUGUAAUGCCUAUGAUUGUGGAACGGUCAGGGUUUGUCAUCUGAUAGUCCGGUGGCUCAAGGUGACGACGAAUGAUUAGAGAACCAUUCAGUGUAUUGUGCAUGAUGAAGUAUUAUUAUGGAGGACACGAACCAUUUGAAUAUUUUGUGCAGUUCCACUAAAAUCAAGCUGAGCAUCCCUGUGGAUUUCAUAUUUAUAUGCUGCCAGAAAACAAAGACACAUCAGCACACACAUGAAUAUUGGCCCCAGUGUCAACCCACCAAUCGGUGGACUAACAAACUAAAAGUAUGGUAAACAGAUUACCAUACCCAGAUGCCCCAUCAUUGUUGCUUAGAGUGACAUUGACAGACUUGGAGUCAUGUCCUGGCUUCUUGGUACUUGUUUGGCACUUGUUUGCCCAGUGUUCCUCCGAACCACAAGUAAAGCAGCCAUCUCUGCAGACUAGGCAUGUCACCAGCGUCUACUAAUACUCUGUGAAGCUUAUCGAUCAUUCCUUGUGUAAUGUAGCGCAAACAGUGACUCCUUCUUUCUGCAAAGUGGUAAGACCAAUUGGACCCACUAAUGCAACAGUUUGCCUUAGACACAUUGGCUCCUUUUGUGCAGUUCAACUAAAAUCAAAGUCGGAAUAAAACUGAGCUUUAAUUUUAAUAUCCCUGUAAGCAACAAAAGGUAUAAGGGAAAUAAUUACUGAGAAAUAACGGUUGAUGACUUGUACUCCCAGAAGAAAAACAUCUACUGAACUACCUUAUCUUAAUGGGAAACAAAGCAGGAGAGUAGCAAUUCUCAAUCAGUGUGAUUCAUUCAUAUUAACUGAGACAUUAUCUUAACAAUGCCUUGUUUCAACAUGUAUAAAGAACGACAAAGCAGAAAAGUAUCAUUACUAAAACAAUGCGACUGAUUCAUUUUAACAGAGACAUUAUCUUAACAAUACCUUGGUUAAACAUGUAGAAAGAACUACAAAGCAGGAUAGUACCAUUUGUAAAACACUGUAACUGAUAUAUAAUAACAGAGACAUUAUCUGAACAAUACAUUUCUUAAACAUGUACUCCGGCCGAUCCCUAACAGAAAUGGUACUCCCGCAGAUCCCUAACAAGUGUUGCAGUUUUGAACUAAGAUUCAGUAGUUAAUUCUGAGGAAAGUCGGUACUGACCUUUCAAGACCAAGAUUUGAAAUAACUCGUGAGGAAGACCUCAGAGAGAUCUCAACACAUAUAUGGAAAUUCGGUCUCAUUUUGUGCAGUUCCACCAAAAUUAAGCGAAGCAAAAUGUCGCAAUAGCAACAAGUUGAAUAGAUAUCCCUGUUUUAGCAGAGGCAAAAAAGGAAUCAAUUACUGGCCAAUAAAGGAGGAUGAAACAUGCGGCCACAAAAAUGGUAAUCCCGCCAAUCCCUAACAAGUGUUGAAGUUUUGAAAUAAGAUUCAGUAGUUAAUUCUGAGAGUAGGCUUAAUUUUACCAGCGGCUUAGAUUAACAAAAAGCAUAAACAGUUCCAGGGGAGAGUGGGCGCAACAACAACAUGUGCUUCCAUCUACUUAUAAAGGGGGUGAUGCAGAGUUUGUUGUAACAAAGCAACAAGCAUAAUGUCUGGGUUGGUCCCAUUUUUGUUCACUACUUAAUGGGAAAAGACAACAAUACAAUAGCUUCAAUUCAACAUUUAUUUAAAACAGUACCAAUACAAGUAGCACAACAUCUCAAAACACACUGCACGAUCAUGUGGAUGAAGGCAAGUACCAACCUGUCAUGACGCACACAAGAUCACGUACAAAUCUGCCAACAUGAAUAGGAAAUCCAAUCUCGUUUUGUGCAGUUACUCUGAAAUCAAGUAAAGUCGCCGGUGAGACAUUUAAGUUUGCUAUAGCAACAAGUUGAAUAGAUAUCCCUGAUUAAACAGAGGCAAAAAAGGAAACAAUUACUGCCAAUAAAGGAGGAUGAAACAUGCGGCCACAAAAAGAAGCAUCUACCUUAUCUUGAUGGAAAACAAAGUAUAGGACAGUAGCAUUUCUAAAAUGGUUGCAUUGAUUUGUAUUAACAGAGAAAUUCUCUUAAAAUUGUUCAGUAGUUAAUUCUGAGAGUGGCAUUGCUUAAAAUACAAUAGCUUCAAUUCAACAUUUAUUUAAAACAGUACCAAUACAAGUAGCACAACAUCUCAAAACACACUGCACGAUCAUGUGGAUGGGACAUGAGACAUGCCAGCACCAUGCGCGUCCACGCGUAUAAAUGGGUGAUGCAGAGUAUGUAGCCAAGCAGCAUAUUUGCGUUGGUCCCAUAUUUGUUCUCUUUGAAACUUUUUCCGAUGUGAGGGCAACAAAUCGAGUCCUNNNNNNNNNNNNNNNNNNNNNNNNNNNNNNNNNNNNNNNNNNNNNNNNNNNNNNNNNNNNNNNNNNNNNNNNNNNNNNNNNNNNNNNNNNNNNNNNNNNNNNNNNNNNNNNNNNNNNNNNNNNNNNNNNNNNNNNNNNNNNNNNNNNNNNNNNNNNNNNNNNNNNNNNNNNNNNNNNNNNNNNNNNNNNNNNNNNNNNNNNNNNNNNNNNNNNNNNNNNNNNNNNNNNNNNNNNNNNNNNNNNNNNNNNNNNNNNNNNNNNNNNNNNNNNNNNNNNNNNNNNNNNNNNNNNNNNNNNNNNNNNNNNNNNNNNNNNNNNNAAGAGUUGGGUUCCUUACAGAUGUGUGUACUGGGUUACCCCCUUUUUCCCUUUUCGACCAACAAAGCGGCUGGAUAGCUAGUCUAUACUACUUUCCCUCCCUCCUUUCCUCAUUGAACCACGUCCUAGAUUCAUGCUCCACCCCACUGCACCCUUCUUUCCUCUUUGAACCAAGACCUAGAUUCGACUACAGAAUCAAAAAAGAUCAGCAUGCAGCUAGAGCAAUGACGGUUUCAAAGAAACUUAUACCUUAGGGUCGUCGGGAUGUGGCAAGGCGUGCGGCGGGAGGUUGGAUCUGCUCACACUACGUACGACAGCGAGGAAGAAGGGGUCGGUGGCCCUCCUGCACAGGCGCUGGGUGAAAGAGAAAAGCGCAGCUGGCAGUGGAUUGCCUCCCUCGCCGAAGGCGAUAGAGUGAACGCUACACCUCCUCCCCUUCCCGAUGCGACGGGAUCCGGACGCCUCCUUCGCCAGCUGUCUGUGAGGGGGGUGAGAGAGACAGAGGCCACAACGCAGUCUUGUUUAGAUCUCGUGAAGAGGGUGAGAGACAGUGAAUAUAGCAAACCCUAGCAAAGGAACGCCGAGCCUCCAGCAUGUAUAUAUAUAUAUAUGUGUGCAAACCCUAGCGAACAAGCGCUGAGGCUCCAACUUAUAUAUAUACUGUAGUACGGACUGAGCUCCGGUGCCUUAACUGCACCUGCUUUUGGCUAUAUGACAGGUGGGCCAGCCACAUUUUGGGCCCACCUGUCAUAAACCCAAAGGCAGGUGCACUAGAGUCAAUGAAGCUGCGUCCAUAUAGUACUCGUGUAUACGACUAAUAUAUAGUGGAGUGGUUUUCUUAUUCUCUCCAUAACAAUCAUUUUAAAUUGUGUAAGUACGAAACGAAACUCUUUAUUUAACGUACCAGUGAAGAAAACUACUACUCCCUCUGUUCCUAAAUAUUUGUCUUUCUAGAGAUUUCAACAAAUGACUACAUAUGGAGCAAAAUGAGUGAAUCUACACUGUAAAAAAUGUCUAUAUACAUCCGUAUGUGGUAGUCCAUUGCAAACCACUUGAAAGACAAAUAUUUAGGAACGGAGGGAGUACUUCCGAUGAACUAACGAUCCACGCGUCUUGGCCACACUUCCUGGCCUUCACGUGCGGUACACUACCCUCCCUUAAGUGAACAACCACACAUGCGCCAAAUUAUCGGAAAUGUGUGAGAGUGUGUACAAAUAAAGAAUUUUAAUUUCAAUUAUUGGAAAGGUUUGAGAGUAUGUACAGUUUGCCCUCUCUAAUAAUUAUGGUUUGUUGUGUUCGGCCUAAACUUGGUCAAACUUUACAAAGUUUGACUUCAGUCAAAUCUAAUAUGCGGAGUAAAUAAAACUGGAGGGCUACUACGUCCAUCCGGGUUUUUAGUCCACACCAUUUUUUAAUCAAAGUUAAUAGCUGGACAAAGAAAAUUACAGGGGAGCUGGAGACAAAGUUGUGAGAAGGCUUAGAAAUCAAUACAAAACUUAUGCUCUUAGUACCAACUUCGAUCCUUCUUCGAGGAAACAUUUGGUUCAUAGCCAAUUGUGUGAUAAAAUUGCACCAACGUGAAAGACGACUGCGUCUCCAACGCAACCAAGGUGAACUGACGAAGGAUAUCAUCUUUGUGGGUAACAGGCAAAGAGCACUGAUGGAAGACAACUAGUUUUUCAUUGAAAAUCGAUCAGCUUCACCAGCCGACGCAACCAUGAGGCGCAACCAUGAGCAUCGAUACGUCAUCAUGGUGAUGCAUCAUCCAUUUGGCAUCAAGUUUGGGUGAGGCACCUAUGAAGUUCGACAAAUCCUCACUAUGGUCUGUUUCUUCUCAGUAGUGAAGCUCGAGGAAGGAAGAACCACGUGGCAGAGGACAGUGAGGUGGAACAACAAUGGCCAUCCAAUUUUGUGCAGUUCCACUAAAAUUGAGGAAGACAUGCCCGGGUAUGGAGAUACGCAUCGCUGUUUCCAAAAAUAUAAAAAAGGGAUAUAGUGUUGUUACUUUGUUUUACAAGAUUAAAAACGACAUCUCAAUUGUCAAUAAGAAUUAUGAAAAGUACACCAACAAACAGAAGCAUCAUGAUUAUCUUGAUGGGAACUAAACCAGGAUACCCGAGAAAAAAAAGCAUUUCUUCAUUUAACCAGUGAUAGUAUUAGAUUAGCAGCAGCAAUAUGAGCAUAUGGACAAUGACCGCACAACCACCAUGUACUUUUUGUCGAAACAAAAUGUAUACCUCCACCGAGGCAUAAAUCAGGACAACUUUUCGAGUGGCAUUUCCUCUAUAAUAGUAGGUGAUGUUGGACCAGCUGACGAACCUAGCUACUAUACAUGGGGAGCUGGGGAGUAGUCGCAUAGAAGAAAACCCGCAUGCAGCGACCUGGGGAGCUAGACCAGUACAAGAAGUUAUACCUCAGGUGGGCGAGAUGUUGCUUAGGCGGGCGGGCGGGAUCUGCCCACACGACGACAGCGAACAAGGGCGCGGAGGACCUUCGUCCGUGCCAGCGCCGGCUCUGAGAGGACGGUGCGCAUCGGCUUCCUCCAUCGUUGACGGCGACAACGUCAACACUGCACCUCCUCACCUCCCGCAGCGGAUGGGAUUCGGCCGGAUCUGUGACCACCGGUGAGGAGAGAGAUAGUGUGGACACUGUCAUCUUGUUUUGAUAUGGAGAGGGUGAGAGAUCGAGACGCGAGAAACUCUAUCAAACAAGAGGCUAUAAUGGAGUAAAACAAUCUCUCCAUAGCAGUGGUUUUAAAUAGAAUACGCGCGUUCCCGAAAAAAAGAAACGAAAACUGGCGGACAAUUUUUUAACGUACCAAGAAAGAAAACUCGAUCAAAAACACGCCCCUGCUUCCAGGUCGUGAGAGUCGUCGCGCACACACACAUAGACAUAGACAUGCUUAUCCGUGUUUACGUAAAAUUCCAUUUCCAUCUCCAUCUCCAAUCAUAUUUGUCCAACUGGCACAUUAUUUACGUUGUUAAUUAUAUACACGGCAAUAUUAACGUACAUCAUCUCUUGUUUGCGGGCGUCCGGACCGCUGCCACGGCCGCUCCUGACCAACCCGAACCCUCUUCAUCACCCGUGCGUGCUUCCCACCCGAAACGGUCAGUGCCGCAUUCAUGCCCGGCCAGAGCGAACGCGACCUCUCACUGGCACCGGUAUUGAAGCGGCGCGCCGGCCGAGAGAGCGUCGCCCGCGCCGCUUCCUGGUGCAAGCGACUGCUCCGCGUUCAAAGGUCGCAAUAGCCGGCCACAACAUGCAUGUAAAAAGUUCUUGGGAGUCCAUGCUAGAGCUAGUUGUCCUCCCCAACUCGUCAAUCUCUUCCAGUAGUACUAGUACUCCAUGGCGCGAUCCAUCGACAAGCAGGCGGGGAAGUUAUCGUAUACUCGGUUUGCGGUGAGUGGCAUGCUGAGCGACCGUGUGGGGUCGAGCCGUGGAGGAGGGUGAGACACGAAUGUGACAGACGUGAUUUAAACGUUGGUUUUGCUCGAUGGCGCGAUCCAACAAAACAAAACGUUGGUUUCUCUCCGUUUCCAAUUUUUCUCCGGAAAAACGAAACUUUCCACUCCAUUUUCAUUCCUACUCCAAGGUUGCCCCAUUACAACAUUCCAUCAAAUACAAAGGAAAACUAACACGCAUGCUGAUGCAUCUCAAUGAUUCACAGAUCAUAGCCAAUAUUUACUUCACAACUAAAGACAAAAGUUGUGAGAGCGUGUACGAAAGAAAAACUACUGAUGGGGUCACUACGACUCAAACCCUAAACCCUAAACAGGAUUUAAUUUCCUGGCCAGGUAGAACCUGUCGAAGGAAAGACGGCUGGCGCCCUCGGAUCAUACGGUGCUUUUGUGCAGUUCCACUAAAAUCGAGCUGAGCAUCCCUGAUGGCAAAGAUAUUGAAGAAGUGUGAUUAUAAUAAUAGUACUGGCACUAGUUCAUGAGACAUACACUCAUCACAAGUAGAAGCCGAUAGAAGUAGAGAAAGAUCGACAUGGAGAUGGAGCUACGUGGGGAGCUGCGGUAGUAGAGCAAGCCGGCUCCAAAAGGAAGAUGGACUACCUGGGACGUCGGGCUGUAACUAGAAGGGCGGUUGGGAUGCGACAUCGGCCCAUACCGCGGUGACCCCCGAUUGGGAUGCACCGACUGUGGAUUUUCUCCCUCGCCGAUGUCGAUCACAUCUACGCAGAACAUUGUUCCCUUCCCCCAGCUGCGGGAUCAGGCCGGAUAUGUGACCAGCGGUGUGGCCACCGUCGUUCGAUGCUUGUGAAGAGAGCAACCCAAGCAAGCAGGCUUGUAGCUUAGGCUCCUGCUAGUGUAUAUAUAGUGGUUUUCUUUUUCUCUCCAUAUCAACCAUUUUAUAUUGCGUACGUGUCAUUGAAGAGUGAAAUGAUGGUUGCUUCUUCCGACUAACUUACUGUGUGAUUUGACUGCUCCCUUAGUGGCCCCUACACGUACUCCCCCUACGUUUAUGCAACAGUCACACGUACACAUGGACGCAAAAACGUGCACGAUGCCCUAAUGCAUUCAUGUCCGAGCACACGAUGGAACACACACGUUCACGCUCAAGUGCUCAACCUACACGUGCAUGCACACACAUACUCAGCCAGGGUGAGCUAGUGACCGUAUAAACACCAGAAAAUGUAUAUAUUGAGCGCAAUGAGCGUAUUAUGAAGUCCACUGACCGUAUUUUUACAAAUAUACAGUGACAGACAGUGUAUUUAUCUCGUUUGAAAUUAAGCCAUAUUAACCGGAGAGGAGGCAGUAUGGACUAGCAUUACUUUGCUGUGUCCCAUCAACUUGCCGAACGAGGAGAAGCUUGCAGGACGGGAGAAGCUUGCACGCGGUGGCUCGCAGGACAAGGAGAAACUUUUGACUAAUGCAAGCUGUCCUUCGCUCAGGCGGUGGACGUGCCACAGUUAAUUCUGUGUCAGAUUGCCACAAGCAUACACUAUACUAGUACUAUUAUUGUUGCACUUCCCGAAGAGGUGAACAGCCAAGCGCAAAGUUUACUAGUACUACUACUAUAGUCUAUAGAGGUACUAUACUAGUACUAGGAACCGGAUGGAGGAGCGUCUGCACUCUUAUUAUAUUUUUAAAAUGUGAUAAAGCAAUCUUCAACACAUUUGGUUCUCUUCGAGGGUUCUCGCAUGUGAUAAUGGAAGUCGAUUGCAUGGAACACUCGCCACAAUUCUCGCUUAAUUCUGGCUCAUAUCCUGUUACAAAUAGGAGCGCUCGGUAAUAUUUCCUUUCUUUUUUGUAAUUCAGCAUGUAAACAGGCCAGCAAACCUUGCGGCACAUCUUUGUGCGAACCGUGCUUGCUGCACUUUGAAUGUGGCCAAGAGCUGGCUUGAUGAAACACCUCGCUUCCUACUUCUUUUUUGGCGGGGUACCUCACUUCCUAGUGACCAGUGUCUUGGCUGAUCGUCCUAAGAAUGCUUAUAUAUGAAUAAAGCUCUCUCAUUUACCCACAAAAAAGACUAAGCCAUAUUAACCGGAAAGGAGGGAGUAUGGACUAGCACUACUUGUUGGUGUGUCCCGUCAACUCGCAGAACGAGGAGAAGCUUGCAGGACAAGGUGAAGCUCGCUUACGCCUUUUGACUAAUGCAAUGUACCUCGCCCAGGCGGUGGACAUGCAUCAGUUCAUUCGGUGUCAGAUUGCCAGAGGCAUACACUGUAGUACCGAACAUGCGGAGUACCAUCAUUGUUCGACUUCACGAAGAGGCGAAGAGCCAAGCGCAAGGUUUAGUAAUACAAGUAGUACUACUACUAGAACCGCAUGGUGGAGCCUCUGUACUCUUAGUUUUCUUAAUCUUUGAUAAAGUACACAUUUAUUCCGGAGAAGGGCGGAAAACGGCAGCCCAACAUGUAAUGAUGAUAUCAAUCAACCAUGCUCGAAUAUAUCUUGGCCUCCGUGCGAGCCCGUCUGUGUGUUCUCGCUCCUCGUCUCUCUCAAGGAACGGCGGGUUGGCCAUUUUGCCAUCAAUUGAGAUCGGUUUGCUCACACUCCGGUCCCACAUGUCAGUGAUAUGCCAAGACGAGGUGCGUUGACCGACUAGCCAUACGCGUACUUGGUUUUGCACCUUCAUACUACUCCUCCCUCCGUCACAGUUUACAGGGCGCGCUUCAUUAUGAUGCAUUUCUCUCAAUGCAUUUCGACCACCAGAGAGACUUUAGACGCGUUUGGUUUAAUGCUCAAUUAAUUAGGGCGUGGUAACCGCAAUUUUCUCUCGAUGUAGUACUACGGAGUGGACUACCGAUCGGCUCUAUUACAUAAGCGGAUUCCUAAAUUUUGCCCCAUAUCAUGGGAUAAGUAAGCAGUUUUUUUAGUUGUAUCGACCCAGUCGCUCACUAAUUGAUCUUUACGGUGCUUUCUCUAUCAAUUUGAGAAACUUUAUCCAUAGAGUAGUAGUAUAGGCCAUACUUUCUUCGUUUUUUGAUUCUCGUGAAGUGUCCUUCCUUCCUACAGCUGAUAGGGAAAAAUCGUUGUUUUUAUGAUCCCUAUGUAGAAAGCCCUUUUUUCUAGUAUUUACUAGAAAAUUUGAUCCUCUUUUUUUUUCUUUCUAUAGUGGAGAUAGUGCAUGCAUGUGUCUACCCGGGGUGGAAGCACUGCAUGCAUGUGUGUACGCAUUAUUUCCUCUAGUAAUAGACACCGUGCUAUAACUACCAAUUCUAUUUUUCAGGCCGACCGCUAGUCGCCUUGGUCCCAGAGAUUUUCUCUUUUUCUGAAGCGCGCUCUAUAAACAGUGACGGAUGGAGUAGUAUGAGCGGAUUCAAAGAAGAGCGUAUUGAUGGUUGCUUCUUCCGAGCAACUUACAGUGGGAAAGGUGGGGCUUAUGAUUUGACUGCUCAUUACUCACUAUUAAUGCGGCGCAACGACCAGCCUGAGUCUCCCAUGCGGCUGUGCACUACCCCCUCGGUUCUUAAAUAUACUCCGGAGUAUUUGUCUUUCUAGAGAUUUCAACGAGUGACUACUCAAAUAUUUGUCUUUUUAGAGAUUCAAAUGGGCUAAUACAUACGGAUGUAUAUAGACAUAUUUUAGAGUGUAGAUUCCCUCAUUUUGCUCCGUAUGUAGUCACUUGUUGAAAUCUCUCGAAAGACAAAUAUGUAGGAGCGGAGGGAGUACACAUACGAAGCAAAAUGAGUGAAUCUACACUCUAAAAUAUGCCCAUUUGAAAUUUGUAAAAAGAAAAAUAUUUAGGAACGAAGGAGUAUAAUUUUGUGCAUGGCAGAUGGACCCAGAUGCCGAAGAGGCUUCUGGCAAUGCUCUCAAGCUUCCAGCAUUUGUUUACAUAAUUGACGUACUAUGCAAAUAAUUUUCCAGCGACAUGAAAUUGUACAAUGGUGUGAGCUUUCAGCUUUUGUUUCGUGUGUCUUGCCAUCGAUGCUCUUUCGGAAACAAUAAAAAACUUACUUCCUUGCUAAUCAGAGCUAAUAUUUACAUCACAACUGAAGACAAAGUUGUGAGAAGGUGUUAAAUUAAAAUUUAUCCAUGCUUUCAUUGGCAACAACGUCCCCCCAGCUCUGUCUAAAUCAACAAGGCAUGUUGGGAAAAAAGUAGCUGUCUGGAGCAUGCAACAUUCCGAUCAUUUUGUGCAGUUUCACUAAAAUAGAGCUGAGCGUCCCUGUUCCAAAGAUAUUAAGUGUGAUUACGAUAAUAGAGGACUGCUGAUGAAACAAUAAACACACAAAUAGAAGCCAGUCACCUUUGGAGUCUCUCUUAAGACUAACUAGUUGGAGAAGAUUAGGCUUGGAGUUGGAUGAGGAGGAUAGAGCAAAACCAAUCUCCCUUUGUGCAAUCGCAAUGAAAUGUAGAGACGCUGCCCGUGUGACAUUUUGGAAGAACUGCACAAAACACUCUUAAGAAAAAAGUGAUUUGUGCAGUUCACCAAAAGGUCGCAAUAGCAACGAGGUGAAAUGGAUAGCCCUGUUUGCAAAAAAGAGGUAGAAAGGAAACAAUUACUGGCCAAUAACAGUUGAUGACACAUGCGACGACAAAAAAGAAGCAUAUUCCUUGUCCUAAGGGAAGAUAACAACACGGUUGUGUUUGUCUAAAACGGUGUGAGGACGAGAUUGCAAUAUGGAAAGUACGCCGGACGAGCUACGUUUUGGGCAAAGAACUAUGGAAGAUCCACAUGCAGCAACGUGGGAAGACGGGCAGUGGAGCAAGGCCGGAGGGGAUACCUGGAGGUCGUCGGGAUGUAACUAGGUGAGCGGCGGCGGGCGGAAUCUGCCCAUACUGCGGCAGCGAGCAGGUGGCGUAGGCCCUACCACGCCGGAGCUUGGUUAGAGAGAACGGCGUGUGCUGCAGAUCGGGACGUGCUGCCUCGGCGCCGUCGAACGGAGAAACGAUGCACGUCCUCCCUUUCCGCCGGUGGACGGGAUGCGGCCGGAUCAGUGACCAACGGUGAGAGAGAGAGAGAGGCCACCGCAGCCUUGUGUGAGAUACUCUGAAGAGAGACAAACCAGGCAGGCAGGCUCCAUUGUAUAUAGUGGAGCGGACUACCUUUUUCUCCAUAAAAAUCGUUUUAUAUUCUGUGUACGUGCCAUUGAGCGAUAUGACUUUAUUUAAAAAUAACGCGCCAACGCAUCAAGUCGAACUUUGUUUCGUGCACGCGUGGUACACGACCUCCGUAGGUAAACAACCGCUACACGUGUUCAAAUUAGCACGUGGGCUGCCAUUUCGUACAGAAAUGAGCUCCACCCUAUACCCGCGCGGGUGUGGCUGGGCACGAAGCGUGAGUACAUGCACGGUGCACCUAUUCUCUUCUUGUAUACAUACACCACCUACGUGGGGUUGUGUGAGAGAGAUACAAACGAAGAGAGAUAUAGUGUGUGGGUUCGUGAGAGUUUUUUGGGGGGGAGGGGAGGGUGGGGUCAAUCAAAAAAUGUAACAUAUGCAAUGUGUGUGAAAUAGAGUCCUGGAUAUAUCAUAUAUAUAGAGGGGGCGAUCCACGAGAAGAGAGUGGAGGUAUCAUCGGCUUGAGGUGUCCAUAGAAUCGAAGAGAGGGAUGAUGUGUGUGUGUGUGUGCGCGCGCGAUCGAUAAAGAGUGCCAUCGAAUUUGUGUGUGCCCACGUCAAAGAUAUAGAGUGGCUGGCCUACUGGAACGUGAGAGGGGACAUGUGGAGUUUGUCUCUGUGGCAUGGAUACCUACUUACAAUGCUCGACUAUCGGUGUAUGGUGGGGGGGAGGGAGGCCUAAUUAACUAUAGAGGUACAAUGGCUGGUAUAUGUGUGGAGGAGGAGAGAGGCCUACCUCAUGUAUUAAGGGAGAUCGAUGUACCUCAUGUAUUAAGGGAUAUCGAUCGUCAUCCAUGCAUAUGUGUAGGAGAGGAAUAAGGUUGGGAGAGAGAUAGAGCUAGAGUGUUGGAGGGGGUGGUAGUGGAGUUGCUUCUAACAAAUGGUGGGAUAGGCUUGCUAGACAACCGGAGGGCACGCCUGCAAUAUCAAUAAGAGAGGGGAUGGCUGCCUGUCUGUGCACGUGCGUGUGAGAGACGGGUCAGGAGGCAUGCACGAAUGAUGGGGGCGAUAUGGAUGUGGUAAGCAGACAUAACUACAUAGGAAGAUCAAUCGUCCUUUGUCAGAGAAAGGAGAGACAUAACUUGUGAGGUACGUCGAUCGAUGGGGGGGGGAAUAGUUAAAGUCGACCUAGGUAUAUGUUGGGAGAUCGAUCGGUAUACAUGCAUGUGUGUGUUAGAAGCAAAUGAGGCACGGGGAGAAGGAUAGAGAGAGAGAGAGGGAUGCAUCUAGGAGGUGGUGCGAGAGUCAUACUAUAUCGAGGGGGAGAAGUGUGCGAGUACGAGAUCGAUGAAAAGAGUGGUGGGAGUGAGGCAUGGACGGUGAUAAGAGAAGAGGGGAAGCUUGUGUUUUGUGCUAGGCACACCUGGCUAGAGAGGCAUAUCGAUCGAUGUGUGCCGUAAAGAAGGAGGUGGGGGGCCUACACACACCGUGGGUGAACGACCUAAAGUGAAAAGACGAAUUUGCGCGAUGGAGCUAGAGAAUGUUGAGGGAGGGUUAGAGGGAUGCGGGCGUCUGCAUGCACGAGAGAAAGUUAGUGCUACCUAGCUACAAAGAUAAGAGGAUUGUGUGGGUGUAAAAGACGAAUAGAGAUCAUACUUCAUUAUAAAAAGCGAAUUCAGAUAUUUGAAGAAUUUAUAAUAGUGUUUUAAACCGACACAUGUGUGAAUAUAUAUAACGGUGAUACACAUGCUGUGGUUAAGAACAUGUUAUACUACAUAUAAUAUAUUUUAUCUCUACUCUUAUAAAAAUGGAGUUGUUGAUGAUGGUGCCAUCCUGCAAUAUAGGCCAUCCGAUUUAUAUCUGACGGAUAGGAAGGAAACUAUGGCAAUUUUGAAAAAAGAUACCUACACCCCUCUCCAUAUUUGCAAAUUAGGCCUCCCCUUGAUCAUGUUGAUGUUCUGUGGAACGCAUGGGCAUCUUGCUAUUACUACGUAUAACAUAUAGAACAUUGAUCAUAAUUUGGGCUAAUGUGUGGCUUUUGUAGCUCAGGUCUAAAUACUUGUCAUAAUGUAGGGGCGGGGCACUAUACUAUGUGUGAUAAACACGGUGUACACGUAUGGAACAUGGUUUAGAUUAUGAAUAUAUAGUUAGUACAUCAAAUAUACUAUUAUUUGGAAUCAACAUCAAGUGUAUUCAAAAAAUAGAAUUGGAGUUCAUGUAGUACACAUAGUUCAUAUCUAUCUCUAUAGUAAUAACGUGCUGUGUUAUUAAGGUAAUACACGAAUGAUGGUUGAAGUUGGCAACAAUCAUGAUUGUAGAUUUGUUAUUGAAAUAGAGAAACGAAUUCAAAUUCAGUUCGAAUUGCAGCGGUAGUAUAGACAUUUGGAAUGCACUAAAAUGUUGGUAUGAGUAGGUUACAUGCAUUAUACAGCAAGCGAAAAAAUUUAAUUGGACAUAACAUGGAUUCAUACUACCGAAUAGCAUUUAAUUGCACUAAAUUGUUGGUAUGAGUAGCUUUAAAUAGCAUUUUUAUAGUAAAACGGGGCAAGACUCUCUCUUUGUGUGGUGUGAAUAGUUUUAAUUUUUUCGUUUUCUUUUUUGUUGAGGGAAGUGCGAAUUGAUUUGGUACAUACAAGUACAAUAUUACACGUUAGGCUUGUCCCUAAAAUUCAACCCGCGCCUUGUUAUAUCCCGAAAUUCAGAUAUCGUGCUCCCAAAACUGGCGCCUUCACAACCCGCGCCUUGCUAUCUCGAAAUUACAACGCGCGCGAAAACUCCCUCCAGCUGCCAAAUCCCGACACCCGAAAUCCCCCUUCUAACCCUGAGCCGAAAGGGCCGCUAGUUCAAAUCGGUGCGGGGUACUUUUGUAACACACCCUACAUUUUGGACAAGCACGUCCCUAAGUCAUGGUUCACCCCCUCCCAUCGCCUCCUUUUUGCCAUUCGAAAUCCCAGGCCGCCAUAACCUCUCCGCUCCAGCCGCGAAACCCCACCCUCCUCCGUCCGCCACUGUCAGGACCCCGAUUCCAAGUCACACCGAUCUAGCCUGUAACACCUCAUAUCACUUUGCGGCCUCACGCACGGUACUCCCACGGGUGUCGCCUUACCAUGGCCCGGGACCGUUUGCGCCUUUUGGCUCACGUAUAUGACAAUGUCGCUAGCAUCCAUAUGACAGAGAACCCGGGCCGACAUGGCUAGUCGUGAACCCAAAGCGGCACUAACGUAUGGGGACAGGCAUACAUGAAUCAACAUUGAACGUGUCGGUCAGCAGCGUGCGAAUCCGGGCUGUAGCACUGGGCUAACAGGACUCCGGAUGUCACCGCGUGACAUUUCCCUGAAGGGACAGACACAGGAACGAUAUGAAACACAUGCCGGCCAGUCAAGUGUCCAGAGCAGUAGUGCUGGGCUAGCAGGACUCCGGUGAACCGGGCUAUAGCGGACUACUAUGGCUCAAGGAGGCACUAGACUACAUUUCCCCAUAAGAGAGGCUGCUAAGGAUAGACAACUAGAUUGUCGGAUCCCACACAUACCAAGCCUUUCAGUCAUACACACAAUAUGCUCGAUAUGUGCAAAUACAACAUGGCAUCACAACAAGACUCUACGACUCAGAGUAUUUAUUCAUUAGGCUCCGAAGAGCGAGAUAUUACAAACAUGGGUCUCAUGACCCAACAUUCAGAGCAUACAAGUCAAAGCACAUGCGGAAGCUUAACAUGUCUGAGUACAGACAUCUACAAAUGAAAAGGGCUGAGAAGCCUGACUAUCUACCAGAUCCUGCCGAGGGCACAAGAUCGUAGCUAAGGUAUCAAGCUAAACGUCGAAGUCCACACGGGACUACUAGCGAGACUGACGUCUCUCUGCAAAACAUAAAAUAAGCAAACGUGAGUACAAAUGUACCCAGCAAGACUUACAUCAGAACUAUCUACAUAUGCAUCGGUAUCAACAAAAGGGGUGGUGGAGUUUAACUGCAGCAAGCCAGCUUUGACUCAGUGGCUAACCUAAACUACGACUGCAAGCAACUCUUUUGGGGUGGCGCACACGAGUCCACAUAUUCACCAUAUCAAUACACCACUAUGGAUCCGCUCCCGUCUCCCUACGAGAACGCCAUCCAUAGCACUCACGCUUAUCUUGCGUAUUUUAGAGUAUCCACUUUCACUUGUCUAUGAACUGUUAUAGGCAACCCAGAAGUCCUUUACCGCAGACACGGCUAUUCGAAUAGAUCAUAUUAACCCUGCAGGGGUGUACUUCGUCACACACGCUCUCGCCACUUACCACCAUGUACACCUCGUGUACCUCGGCAACCUUCAAGCGGAAGCCUGGCGAGGGAGUCGGCCACGACCUGACUAACCACACAAGUCUCUAGCCCAGGUUUAUCGCCUAUUCGGGUUCCAUCCGCAAGGAGAUCCGGCCGGGGUGUCGCUCACGGCCCCAAACGAUGUGUGCAGGGUUCCCGAGCCCACCAUCCGGGUGCCACUCGGUACACCAGGCCACGUGUGCCUAGUCUGUCCCAAGCCCACCUGUACCGGGUGCCACUUGGUAGACUACUAACACUACCUACAAACACCAGAAACUAGUUGAACUCCUGGACAGAGAUCAGGUUGAUUAAUAAGUCGAGAGGGGCACUUAAGCAUUCCAAUGCGUGGUAGUAACUGUUCAUGGAUCACAAACACAGAACUCAGUUCCUGAGGACGGCUUCAAUGAGACAACCCACCAUGUACUCCUACAUGGCCUCUCACCGCUACCUUUACCAAAUCGUGUUCACACACUUAGCUCUCAACAGUAGGACAUGUUCACCACAUUCCAAUUCAUCCCCGAUGAAUCAGACUCGACUCAACUCUAAGCAGUAGCAGGCAUGACAUUCAAGCAUGAAUGAGUAGGCACAUCAGGGCUCAAACAACUCCUACUCAUGCUAGUGGGUUUCAUCUAUUUACUGUGGCAAUGACAGGUCAUGCAGAGGAUAAGGGGUUCAGCUACCGCAACAAGUAACAGAUGAAUCGUUGUUGUCCUAAUGCAGUAAAAGAGAGCAGGAGCGAGAGAGUGGGAUUGUAUCGGAAUGAACAAGGGGGUUUGCUUGCCUGACACUUCCGAAGAUAGUAUAGCUCUUCAUCGGUGUCAUCGAUCGCAUCGUCGAAGCAACGUCUACUGAGGGGGGACAAUACCGUCAAACAGAGAAGAAACACGAUCAAUGCAAUGCACAAUAUGAUGCAUGCUAUGACAUGGCAAUAUGAAUGUGUUUUGAGCUAAUGCAACUAGCAACAUAUUAAAUGGAGUUGGUUUGAACCUUAGGUUCAAAUUCAAACUCCAUAUAAGACAUUUCAAAUGCCAUUUAUUCAAAUUGUCAUAUACAGUGGCUGUAAGUUGUUCAAACAUGCAUGGGGAUGCCAUAAACAGAUUCUUUGGAUUUUUCUGAUAAUUUUUCAUAUAUAAAUCAUUUCAUUUGGAGUUAUAGAUUAAUUUCUAUGGAUUUUUUAAGUUUAAACAUUUUCUGGAAUUUUCAGAUUUAUUACUAAAUAAGAAAAUCCCAGCAAAUGUAUUUAUGACGUCAGCAGUGUGUCAUAGCGAUGUCAGCAGUCAACCACGGUCAAACCUGACGGUGGGACCCGCAUGUCAUUGAGACAGUGUUGAACUCCGGUUAAUCCCGCGUUGACUCAGCUUUGACCUGUCGUGGGGCCCGGUGUCAGUGUCACUGGGUUAAACUAACCACGGGGUUAGUGGCUAACCUAAUCUGCCACGUCACCUAGCCGGCGUUUAGCCGCCGGUGCUAAUCAGGACGCGGCGGCGCUCCUCGUCUGGCCAUCUCCGGCGAUGAGAGCUCGCGUGGCUGGGCGCGUUGGAACCGGAGCAAGGAGGCGCGUAGGUUGGUGGCCUCAGGCGAUGCUAGGGUGGCCGGGAACGUCGACGGCGUCGAGUUCCGCGGUGGCGCAGCUGCGGCUUGCACGGGUGCGAGGGCCACGGUGCACGAGCGGGCGACCUAAGGCGCGCUACGGGUUCCUGGAGAAACCUGGAGCACGACUCCAUGCUUGGGUUGGUCGGGCGGGGCAGCUAGCAGCAGCGAGCUUCGCGGCGGCGGCGGCGAGUGCUCGGCCAUGGCGGGGAUGCGGUUAGAGAGCGGGAACAGAGGGGGUGAGCACGGGGGAAGGUGUAGGAGCUCACAAAGAUGCGGUAGAGAAGGUCAGCGGCCUCGGGGACGGACGGAAACCGACGAAUCGACGGAGACGAUCUCCGGGCGCCGGCGGUGAAGACGAGGACGUUGGCGACGAAGCAAAGUCCUCCGGCUCGUUUCCUUCGGCUUGGGGAUGUGGUGCCCGAUUGCGGAGCUGCUGGGCACGAUCACGGGACAAGGGGUGGCCGGUGGUCAUGGCUACGGCGAGCGGCGCUCUCAGGUGCGUUCGGUGACGAGAGGAAGGGAGAGCAGAGGAGGGGGAGGGGUCCAGAGAGAGAGAGCGAGGGGGUCGAGCGGGCGACGUGGGCGUCGUCCGGAUCCUCCAGAGGCGCGGGCGACAAGCAGGUGACGACGUGGCGCGCGCGGCGGCGUCGCGGUGUCCCUCCUCUGCCUACUGGCAGAGGUAGGCGAUGACUGGCACCAGGCCAAUGGGCUGGGCCGUGCUGGGCCAGGCCAGGUAAGCGCCAGGUAAGACUCCUUUCUCUCUCUGUCUUUUAUUCAUGUUUUCUAUUUUCUGUCUUUGUUUUUUGGAUUUAGUAAAAUACUAAACCACUUCCAAAACUCCUGAAAAUAUUUGUGGGCACCUUUUGAAUUAUUUCCAACAGCCCUCAAAUCAUUUCAGAAUAAUCUGAGCAUUUAGAAUAAUUAUAGUAUUUAAAUGCCCAAAUUCAAAUACAAUAUGAGUUAAUUCAAAAAUCCAUAAAUGGCCAAGAAAUAUGCUCAUCAUUUUUGGCAGAGGUUUUCACCUUUAUCAAAAAUCAUGAACAUUUCCAAAGGGCAUUUUGGGUUCAUUGAAAACAUUUGAAUUUGACCCUAGUUGAGUUCAUUUGGUGCUAGGGUUUGUUCAUCCCCAUUUCAAAUUUAAAUAAAAUUUAAACAUGCUGCAACAGACAUGUGCUAGCCUAGUGCAAGGUAAGGCUAGGGAUUGACAACUCACCCCCACUAAAACAAGAAUCUCGUCCCGAGAUUCAAGCGUAGGGUAAGGUGAAAGGGGAACGCAAACUAACAUAAUCUUCACGAUCCAAUUGUUCUUCUGCAAGAUGUUGUUUCAUUGCAUCAUUUUGAUCUUGACAUCAUUUCUUUCGAGAGCUUCAUCCAACUAUGAUGACGGAAGAGAGGGAAAUUCUACAGGAUUGAUCUUCUCGAAGAUCGAGCUAUACAAGAUCAACUCGCGGAAUGAGAUGUUGAAACAUCUCGAGUUGAGACACAAAACACAUCGAGAGGGAUGGAAGAACAAACGAUGAGAUUUGACUUGGUGGGCAACAAUCCCACGCUUGAGGAGAUGGUGAAUGGUUUCAAGAUAGCGAUGAAAUAAUUGCCAUGAUUCCAUAAACGGGCACCUUAGGGAAGGUGGCUCGUAGAAAUAUUCCCUUAAGUGGCAAAAAGAAUUACUUUUGAUUCAGAGAUCAUUGAAACUCUUUAUACCAGCCUAAGGCAAUCACAAACGAUCGUUUGAAAGAAUUCAAAAGAAUGGCACACUCAAUUUGGAAAGGAAACUAUGGUUAUAGAACAACUCGGCAAAUGGAAGGCACAUUCCAGUUGAUACCAAGGAUUUAACCUAGUGACUGAGCGUGCUUUCAAGAACUUGAGCAUUUCCAUAUUCAUCAAGGUUUUACCAACAUCCGUGCUGAGGAUCCUUGCAACACAUCAUACCACCAUGAUGAACGGUGAUGGAGGAUGCAGGUGCCAAGGGGGACAUCACUUUCUCAGUUUUUUGCUUAGUAAUGCCAAAGAAGCAAAUCUGGAUGAUCGACCGAGAGACAUUUAGCACUCCGCUUCUAAUGUUCUCCUUGAUGUGCUAGCGUAAUCCAUUCAUAGAUAUGGUUUGAUAUCUAGAACAUCAGGUAAAGGUCGGACUUCGGAAAUAUAAAAAUCCAUAAGGAACAACUAGGGAGCAAAUCCUACGAAAUCCUUAUGGGGAGGUGGCCAACUUCCUCAAUCAAGUUACUACAAUAAUAGGUCUUCCGGCUGGGUGUGUUGGCCACGACAUCCACUUACCGGUAACAGAGAGACCAUUAGUAUAGUUCUUGGGAAACGUUCAACCAUCACAUCUGCCUGAGAUUCAGAUCUGGUUGGUGUCGGGAUAUUCCAGACUCAUCAAGCCUAGAAAGAAAAAUGAAAGUUUGCAACGCAAUUCGACGAGAUGACGUUGCGAGAUUCUCGGGGCAUGAGCUACAAUAGCAAGCUCCAAAACAUGAGCUGGUUCUGCUACAAACCUGUGAACACGCUAUCGAAGACAAGCAUGACCACGUGGUAGUCUUAUAAUAAAACACUACCGAGUUCAGGUGGGGAACCAUCAUCGCGGAUAUUGGAGUCUUGUGCAUGAUCUAGAAUUAGCACAACAACUCCUUUUCCUUGAACAAAUCAAUCAGUGGCUUGGUGUGCUAGGAACACAUAUAGAAUGAAGGUUGCAAGUCUCCAGACCAUAGAAUACUUCGCACAUAUGCAUGACUGACUUGGGAUGAUUCCAAAAGAAGCAAAAACAAGCUUUCUCGAGUUCACGGCGGCAACUUGCAUCGAUUGCACAUAAACCAGAGGAAGUCACUUCUUCCAUCAAAACGUAUACCUCAUGAGCGGAACAUGAGGGCAAUGCUUACAAAGUUUCCAAUACUAGCUGGAUGUUCAACACGAAUCAUGGAGAAGGUAGCAGUGUUGCUGAUGGGCUCAACAACAAUUCAUCCAGGUUUCCAUGGAGAUGGAAUUCCAUAAUUAUGUGAACAAGUGAUAGCAUUGGUCCGACCCAAAAGAUAUAAUGGUGCAUGCUCGAGGGAUCAACCACGAGUAAGACAACAUUAUGAUCAUCGUUGGUUCUGAUUUGAUUGAUAAUAGCCCAUACUCAAAUCAAAGUUUGGUUAAGAUGAUAGGUCCAUUAAUUGAUCACGAGGACCAAUCGAUGAAGAAAUCAUCUUUCUACAACAAACACACACACAAGAGAUAUCCUUUGGAGAGAACUAAGUCAGGCAAGCUUUUAUCUUCCAACUCUCCAAGUUGUUGUUUAGCUUAACCAACCAGCUCAAGGGUAUCCAACACAGAUUCUUGGAGAAAGAGUGGUUUAUAGGAAAACCAUUUGAUCACGAGCUCAACAUAGCGGUCAGGUGUCAACCUGGUAACACUUCCGAGAAGAUAUUCGAGAAAUCACGAACCACCGAUAUGUUACUAAGCUCGAGAACAAACUUGCUUUUCAGGGCAAGACGAUGUGAUCAAAAAGAGCGAGGAAUUGAUACAAUCCUAACUCGUUGACCAAAGAGUGCACCAGGAAAAAUGGACUAGGUAACACGAUCAAUCUCAGGAUGAUGAUUGAAUAACCAACACGCUAAGAAUGAGAUUGUUGUCCAUUAACUACCAAGCAACGGGGUUGCUAGGUCCGGAUCCUCCAGAGGCGCGGGCGGCAAGCAGGUGACGCCGUGGCGCGCGCGGCGGCGUCGCGGUGUCCCUCCUCUGCCUACUGGCAGAGGUAGGCGAUGACUGGCACCAGGCCCGUGGGCUAGGCCGUGUUGGGCCAGGCCAGGUAAGCCCCAGGUAAGACUCCUUUCUCUCUCUGUCUUUUAUUCAUGUUUUCUAUUUUCUGUCUUUGUUUUUUGGAUUUAGUAAAAUACUAAACCACUUCCAAAACUCCUGAAAAUAUUUGUGGGCUCCUUUUGAAUUAUUUCCAACAGCCCUCAAAUCAUUUCAGAAUAAUCUGAGCAUUUAGAAUAAUUAUAGUAUUUAAAUGCCCAAAUUCAAAUACAAUAUGAGUUAAUUCAAAAAUCCAUAAAUGGCCAAGAAAUAUGCUCAUCAUUUUUGGCAGAGGUUUUCACCUUUAUCAAAAAUCAUGAACAUUUCCAAAGGGCAUUUUGGGUUCAUUGAAAACAUUUGAAUUUGACCCUAGUUGAGUUCAUUUGGUGCUAGGGUUUGUUCAUCCCCAUUUCAAAUUUAAAUAAAAUUUAAACAUGCUGCAACAGACAUGUGCUAGCCUAGUGCAAGGUAAGGCUAGGGAUGUGACAGCCACCUCACCCCUGCCCAGUCGGAGCCUCUUCCCCAACGACGUUGUCCACCGCAACAGCUCGACGUCCCUCGUCCACCUCCCCGGAUGAGGAUCCGUCGUCAAUCUCGUCGUCCCGCCGGUUCAGCCGCCCCGUCCUCCACCUCCAAGGAGCUGCUCCGACGAUCGCCUUGUCUAUCGCGGCUGCUCCAUCCCCACAGCGCCGCCUUAACCUGCUCCACCGGAACCGCAACAUCCUCACCAACUCCUCGGACGAAGCCGAGGCCUACUCGGCGCCACCAAAGAGGCUGUACACUCAUCGCAUCGCACCUUCUCCUUAGCUCAACCUCCCGGCGCCGACGGUGCUCCAUCCCGCACCUCCAUGGAGCGGCUACCUUGAAGCCGGCGCCGCGGGCGACAUCUCCACGGCGGCUCUCCCCCAGUGCGAGGCCCCUUCGGCGGCGGCGGCCAUACCAGCCAGAUCUGCUGUUGCUGCUCCAGCUCUCGCUCGAUCACUCGCUCGCCCAGCUGCUGCUGCUCCGGCUCUCGCUCGCUCGCUCGCGCUGCUGCUGCUGCUCCGGCUCUUGCUCGAUCCCUCGCUCGCCCAGCUGCUGCUGCUCCGGCUCUCGCUUGCUUGCUCGUGCUGCUGCUGCUGCUGCUCUCCCCCUCGCUCGUGCUGCUGCUCUGCUCCAAUUUAGCUACACUUCAGUCGACUGAAUCGACUUUUGGGUCAGUCGAUUUUCAGGGGGUGGGGGGGCUCGCCGGAGUUACGGAAGAACCACCCGCAGCGGGGACGGGGGCUUGCUGGAGAGGUUCCCCACUAUCUAUAUUAGGGUUCAGGGUGGGGGCAGGGGGGCCUAUAGGGCUGGCCGGGGCAGCGGCGGAUCGGCGGUGGGGAGUUGUUUCGGGGCGGCGAGGCGGCGCUGGGGCCGGCGGUUCGGCCGGUGGUGGCUGGCGGCUCAGGGGGGUGUAGGUUGAAGAUGAACUGCAGGCCCUCCCUAAACUACAUGUCAAGUGCCUCUCUGCUACCAUUGCGUUCAGUUUCGACAGUAACAUUCAGAUUCCACAGUAAAUUUCAGUUUCAACAGUUAAGUUCAGAGUCAACAGUUUUUACCUCAUCUGUUGUAGUCAGGUGGUUUUUGGUGAUGUAAAUUUUACAUCUAUUUUACAUCAUCUAUUGGAGAUGCUAUUAGAAUCCCACUUGAGAUUGACGAUGUCUGUCUUGUGUUGCUUCAGCCUUGACGUCUUACGGCUCACCGGGGCUGCUCCAACAACAGAACGAUCCAUCACAACAGAGCAGUGCCCUGGACGCCGUCUACAGAUUCCUCAGAUCUUCCUCCACACCUCCGACAGCCACCUCUGCCUCAACUGCUUCAGCGACCAACCCAAUGAUGCUGAGGUCGACAUGGCUACGGCAAAGAGGUUGUACACUUGUUGCAUCACUUAUUACUAUACAUUCAUGUCGAUCCAUUAGGGCUAUUUUGGUUCAACGGAAAAACAUAGCAAUAGGGAAUUCUCCAAUGGCACUCUACUAUUCAAUUAUUCAUGCAUUUUGUUGAAAGGAAUGAAGCAAAACAUCCACCUGGACCUACUUUUCAAAAUCCUAUGCAUGAAAACAAGACCAAGUGCAUUAGUGGCAGAAUAACAUUCUAACUGUACACGCUUUCAUAUGGUUUCAUUUUAUUUUGGCCAUGUUUCUUUGCAUUCCUCUGCUCUUCCAAUUCCUGUAAACCAAACAUCAAGUUGACAGAAAUCCUGUGUUUACAAAUGCUCUGUUUACCAUGUGCAUUCCUAUCCUAUUCCGGUGUUUUUCCUAUCCCUGCGUUUUUAGAAUUGUGCAAGCCAAAUGAGCCCUUACAGAAUUACUUCAGUUACAGGUAGGUGUCGAAGGGAACUUUGUGUGGUUUGUCCUGCUCCUGCCGCGACGUCGUCCACCUCAACUGAGCUGCUCCAUCGAUAGAAACAUCCACCAAACCAGACAUCACGACUCUUGACCGUCUUUCGCCGCCUCAGAUCUCCUUCCCUGCCGCCGGCACCCACCACAACGGCAUCACCAUCAUCGACUCAGCAGAUGAACCUAGGAGUACACAGGUCCACAAGAGAGGUCGCACUCUUUUGUUUCUGCUUAUGUUAUGCAUUGCUUAAAAUUACCUGCUUCUUUAUCGUCCUGUUCACCUCUUGGACUCCAAGUCAGGUCCAAAUUAAUGUUCAAACUUGAGUUCUAAAUUAGUUGUGGGGCACAUAUCGAGGAAGCAAUGAAUAGUAUCUCUGCCUAAUAUCUGGUUCACCUAGGGUAUGCCUAUGUUGUUCAUCUUGGGUGGGAAACAAAUAGUAAAGCAAUCAUCAUCUGUAUUUUUAUUAAAUUAAAGCAACCAUCAGCCUGCUAUCAUUAUUUUUGGAUCCAUCCACUGGUUGUUACCAUCACUCUAAAUUUCUGCAUGCUCUCCUUACAUAAUCUCACCAUAUUUUUUUGUAUGUAUGCCAGAUAUUGUACACAGUCAUGCUGAACAUGUAGAGAAAAAGAGAAGAGUUUUGCGCGGCAAUACAAUGUCAUGCAGACAUCGCUCCAUGGUGGGUUCAAUGGAAAACCCUCCCCACCCCUCUCCAGAUUGUAAUCCAGAGGAAGAUAUCUGUUCUGAGGCGGAUUCAGACGCCGCUAACCACUCCUAUUUACCCCCCAAGGUGUUUGCUCUACCUUGGCAUGAUGAUUUUAGUCAUAUCAUGCAUAUGUUGCCUUGCAGUGCCUACUUUUGACAUCAUAUAUGUCAUCUGCUUAGUUUAGACAUGUUCUGUAAUGCCACCUGUUUAGUUUCUAUAUCAUAAAUGUGAAUUGUGCAGUCUCAUGUCUUUUAGCCAGCCAUAAUAUACGUGAAAUGUGCAAUGCCAUCCUGUUUAACCAGGCAUCAUAUAUUUGAAUGAUAUCUUUCCCAUCCUUUUCUUCAUUACAUUUCCAUUUGUUGACAAUGUUUGUACAUUAAACUACUCUUCCUGUGAAUCAGCCAUUUGGGUGGGAGAUUGAAAAAUCUGGAGUGAAAACAAGGCCUUCAGCGCAGACAGUGCUACCUGUCGAAUCAGAUCUCUUGUUGGGUCCCGAUAGCUCCUCAGAGAUGGAUUCAGAGACAGAUGACCAGUCCUAUUCCCCCACCGAGGUGUAUGCUCUAACUUGGCACGGUUAUACUGCUCAUAUCAUGCAUAUGGUGUCUUGCAUUGCAUAGAUUAGACAUCAUAUACACAAUAUUCAACACCAUGUUCUUAGUUCAGACAUCAUAUCUAAUGCCCUCUGUUUAGCAUAUAAAUUACAUAUGUGAAUUAAAUGAUGCGAUCCUGAUUACUUAGAUAACAUGUUGGUGAAUUAUGUCAUGCGAUCCUGUUUAGUUAUUCAUCAUAUCUUUGAAUUAUGUUAUGCUAUGCUAUCCAGUUUAGAUAGACAUCAUAUAUGUGAAAUUAAGUCAUGCUAUCCGUUUUAGUUAAACAAUAUACAUGUCAACUAUUUCAUGCCCUCUUUUUUCCACACUAUCUAUUGCAUCUGUCUCUCAUACAAUGUCUGUACAUUCAACUAUGUUUCCUGUUUAUCAGCCAUUUGAAUUGGAGCGGGUGAUGCCAGCAUCUAGCAGACUAAAAACACGGUCUUCAAAUAAAACAGUGCUACCUCUUGGUGGAGAUAGCACCCCGGUUGUACAUGCACGAGAACCAGCCCUACCACACAUAACCCAAACUCUUGCAGAUUGUACCCCUACUGCGAUGGAUAGAGAACCAGCUUCACCCAAUCUAACCCCAACCCCAGCAGAUAGUAACCCAGUUCCUGUUGACACAGCACCAUCUCCACCACAGAGCUCCCAAACAAGAGCAAUUAGUAAGGCAGCUCUAGUGCCUAAAGGGCUAGUACUACCACGGCGAACCCCAACUCCACCAGUUAGUACGCCUAUUCCUGUGGAGGAAGCACAACCAGCUAGUCGUAGUUUAGCAUCUAUCGCAUUUGAUGUUGUUAAAUCGUAUGUGCGUAUCUUCCCAUCUUGGAAAUAUUAUACUGAAGAUGAAGGAAAAUGCCAGUUGCGGGUGUUUGUCCAGGAGUUAUGUGUAAGUAAUGUUAUUCAUGGCAAUUACUUUGCUUUGUCCCAUACAUCCUACCUCCAUGAUGGUUAUAAUACAGCAAAUUUUCCCAUUUUUCUCUAUAGAGAAGGACCAAUUUGGAAACUCAGGAUGAGGUAACCUGUGCUAAUACCUCUGCUAUCUUCAAGAAUGCUUGGUGGCAGUAUCGGAAUUACCUGAAGAAAACGUACUUCACUAGCAAAGAAACUCAUCAAAUUCCCUUACGUUCUCCUGAGACACAUUUACUGGACGAUGACUGGGAACGCCUUGUUCUGUACUGGUCCCGAACCAAGAAUGUGGUAAGGUCUAUGAGAUCAUUUUCUAUUUAAGUACUAUAUUCUUGCGUCUUACUGUACUCUGUUCAUGUAGAACAAGUGCCUAAACCUGAAGAACAACUGUUCUAAUUUAAGAUUCCAUUGCUAUCAUAGUUCAAAAAAGCGCUAGGCGUUAAUUGUGCGGUUUGCCACCGCCUUGCACUUUACUGACCAAAGCGCACGCUUAUGCGCAGUUAUGCACAGAUUAAGCGUAGUUAUGCGCAAUGUGUUUCGCCAACGCCUAGAGCCUAGGCGCUUUUAAGCGCUCGCUUAGGCGCGCCUUCUUUAACUAUGAUUGCUAUCAUGCAUACUGCUUUGCUCUUGUAUCAUUGUAUUUACUCAUACAAACUUAUUUUUAAAUUGAAGGAUCCAAUCGAAACUUCAAUGGCACUGCAGGUAUGUUCACGCAUGUUUCUUUAACAUGCUUGCUCUUAUCAAUAGCUCUGUUGAUUUCAAUUUCAAUUGUGUAUACAGUUGACUUCUCAUAUCAUGCACAUUACUAGCAUCACAACAGAGCCAAUAGUGUUGUUGUACAUGUAGACCCGUGGUACCCAUCUGAAAUCUUGUUGUGCCGUGUAGUUUCCCACGCUUUGUAUUCUUUCACUGCUGCUUUGUCUUGAACUGAUAUGAUUUGAACCGUGUCUCUAUUUUGAUUUGGCAAGACAAUGCAGUGACCAUAGGACAUAGACAUAUGUUUGUUUGAUGCUUUUAUUAUGUACUAGUACUUGGCAAUAGAAGACUUGGUAGUUUAAUCUUGUCCACCUUACUAAUGAACUGGUUCACCGAAAUGAUUUUCAUAUACUAGUAAAUGCUAAACGGUUAUGUGUCUGCUUGUUUCUUCUUUUAGAAUGCUGACAGAAUAUUGGGGAAGAGUGCCUUAUUAAGCAAUGGUAAAGGAAGUAAUGCAGAUAAGAUUCAGGAUAGUGACACAUCCUUGUUGGUCUCCAACAAAGCUGAUAAAACAGCUAAGGAAGACUAUCUCGAAGACAGUGAGACAACCCCAAAGUCCUAUCUUGGUUUAGUGUUGGAGUUACUGGCCACUACUGCUUGCACAAGCUAUUCAAACUCACUGUCUAAAUCAGUUCGGUUUCUUGAGUCUCAACUACAAGCUGAAAGACAUCGAUCAGCUGUGCUGCGACAAGAAGCGGAAGGACUGCGGAAGUCCCUGGAGCAUUCAGAUGCAUAAUUUCUGGUGCAACAGCAAGCGUUGGAGGAUUUUAGCGCCAAACAAGACAAAGCUAAUAAGCUUGCUAAGCUUAUUGCCAGCAUGGUGGAUACCACGUUUCUUAUGCUCUUAUGAAGUUGUUUCAGUUAUGCUCUUGUUUUGCUGCGGCGUUUAUUUGCAUUGGUGGCUAAUUUUGACGGCCAGUGUAUGCAAUAUGCUGCUUUGUUCCCUAUAUUUGCACUGGUGGCGAACUUUGAUGCCCAGUGGAUGUAAUAUGUGUAAUAGCAGUAAUUGGCUAGCGUUAAUUGCUUGCUUAUUUAUUUCCUUAUUGUCUUGUUUAGUUGUUUGCUUAUAGUCACUGCAGCUCUUUUUCUGUGUUUUUCUAGUGGCCACAAUAACCUAUUUUUGGAAACUAGGCCAAAAUAAUAAUGGCAACACACGGACUGUUGUAACCAUGGGCCUCCUGCGGGCCGUAUGACCCAUGGGCCUUCUAUGGGCCGUAGGAUCCAUUGGCCUUCUAUACGGGCCGUAGGAUCCAUGGGCCUUCUAUGGGUCGCACGAUCCAUGGGCCUUUUACGGGCCGUAGGAUCCAUGGGCCUUCUACGGGGCGUAUCAUCAUUUCGCCAAUCAUGGGCCGCACUAUUCGUGGACAAUAACGGGCCGUUUAUUGGCCGUAUUUGAUAACUCUAUGAAAACAGCCGAACGGGUUUUUUCGACUUGAAAACGGCCCAACGUAUUAACGGUCCGCAAACGGGCCGACUGUAACCACGGGCUGAAUUUGGCUCACAAGCAGAAAAUGACAGUAACGGGCCGUAAGUAACCGAAUGCUGGAAAUGAGCCCAAGAAUAAAUGGGCCCUGAGAAGGCCGAAAGAUAUCAUGGUGUGGAAACGGCCCAACGGAAUAAUGGGCCGUUAAUGGGUAUAAAGUGAUACACUGUUCAUUACGGGCCAGUUUUACCACGGGUCGUUAAGGGGCCGAGGGUUACUAAGGGCCUCAUAUGGGCCGAAAGACGUCAUGGGCCAUACAUGGGCCAGAAGUUAAAACGGGCUGGAAUUAUAUUGGACGGCCCAGAUGACGCUAUUGGGCCUAAUUCGGAUAGGCCGUAAACGGGCCCUAGGAUAGUGGGCUGUAAAUGGGCUAUAUGUGAACAGGCCGUUAACAGGCUUGCCGCGGGCUGACCCGCCACCUUUUGACCAAGUCAAACGGGCCGGCCUUUUCACACGAAUGGGCCUCUGUUGGGCCGUGCCACGUGUCGGCGUAUCAUAGGCGCUUUGGGUCCAAUGAGUGGAUGACAUCUGUCCCAACGGUGAGCCGACACGUGUUUCCUCCAGCCAAUGAUGAUUUUACAUGUGGAAAAUCCCCAUUGGUCGGUGCUGUUAACGGGUUAUCGGAUCCAAAACCAGACCCGAUAGCUUAACGGCGUUCCGUUACGGUGGAUGCCACGUGUCGGUCACCCUUGACGAAAGCACUUCGGUGACGCACGAUUUAUCGUCAUGGAAGUGGACACUUCCGUGAUGAUAAUUUUGGUAAUGUCAUGGAACACUUCUACGACAGCACAGGUAUGACUAUCUUGAUUCUGUCAUAAGUUUGUCAUGGAUGUACAUGCAUGACAGAAAACGUGACCUUCUGUGACAAACACGUAUCAUCACGGAAGUGUAUUUUUUUGUAGUGUGGGUAGCUUUGCUUAUUUCUUACUUGGCUUACACUUGGUCUCAAUUGAGACAUGUAUGUUCUAACUAUUUUUGUUUCAGAAAUUUAAAGCCAAGGUUAAAAUCUUCUGAGCAAACCGAUGCCAGUAUAAUUUCUUAUCCAAAGACCUCGGAGAUAGAGUGCAAAACACAAUGCAUAGCCGAAUGGGGUGAUGCAAAAUCUGAACCAUUCGUUUGCUUAACUCCAAAGCCGUUCUCACAACAAGAUCGGCUAGAGAAUAAAAGUUUACCUUCAAUUCAAGCAUGUGUGAUCAAAUAUUUGAUUUGUUGUUGAGAAAUAAUUAUAUUAGAAUUCUUGAUCACCAUGUUGAGCUAUCUGUCCAGGGACGAAUGUAUUGUAAGCUGCAUGAUUCGUCCAAGCGUAAUUUUGAGGAUUGCAACAUGUUUCGUCAAAUAGUUAAAUCGGCCAUUGAUAAAGGACGAUUGAAAUUUGUUGAGACACCAAGAGAUGAGCAGUCUAUUCCGAUUGGGCCCGAUGGAAGAAAGUUUUUAAAUUGGUUGCUUCAAGCCGAUCCAUUUAAAGAGAAGGUAAAAACUGCAGGUGAUGAGAUCAAGCUUUCAAGUAAAGAAGUUGUUGAAGAGCAUAAUGAACAUAAUCUUGAGGGCGAGAAUUCCAUCGAAGCUACAAUGGAGAUGCCAAGGACUGGGGGGCAGCAAGCAAAUCCAAUGAUCGAUGAAAGCAAACCAAAAGAAAACAAAGGCCGAAAUAAGCGCAAGUGUAAGAGAUCAAAAAUCACCUUCGCUGAACUAUUGGAUAAAUAUCAAAAGAAAAGUGAAGAGAAGAAUGCUUAUCGGCCAAAUCAUGCAAAGAAACCAAGAUCACCCCCAAGGCGCAAAUAUGAGGAUCGGUAUUGGCAAAGUGAGAAUUUUAAUGCAACAUAUUCAUAUCCUUAUUUUGGGCCGCCAAUGUCAAUACCGUGGAUGCCUCCCUAUUCUCAUAUAGAUCCAUAUCCAUCAUGGGACAGGUAUGAUACAAGGGCACAUUCUCCAUCUUAUUUUAGACCAUCUCACCAAUAUUAUGCAGCUCCGAGAAGAUCAACAUUUGAACAAUCACAUGUUAAAGACCGUUUCAAUCAUAAGGAGUCGGUCCAGAACUCAAGGAAGAAGAAAGAGGUGGUCAAGCAAGUUUACGGUGUUAAAAGAGAUGGUCGUAAGAGUGCAACUUCAGAUUUGAUCUCAAAUGAAAAAUACCCAAUUAAAGUGUUGACAUUGGCUACUAAAGGCAAUGAGACGAAGCAACCAAUUAUUGAGAAUCAAAGUGCCAAAUCUGAAGAAAAUAAGUUGAGAGUGCACAAGGCCAAAAAGGAAUUGCCAUUGGUCAAAACAAAAUCACAGCCGAGAUGCCCACUCGGCUUAUCGUAUUGGCAAAAGAGGGAAUUACAAAAACUUAGUGCAUAAGAACUUGAAGAAAGGAACAUGACAUGGGUUCCCAAGGGAAGUGCUCAAAAUAAUAAUUAUGUGCAAGCUUCCAUUACAAGAAGUGUGGCAAAGGUGAAGAAGGAAAAGAGUGAAAACUAUGAAGGACCAAGAUUAAGGUUUCAGCAUCUUCGGUCUACACAUUGUCCAUAUUCUUCAACUAUGCCAUUAACGCCUAUGCCAUGGAAUUCGUCAUCAAGUAUGAUUGGUAACCCUCAAUGGGCUUAUUUUAAUCAAUGGAUGCAAUAUAAUUUCUUACAUCAUGAAAGGGUAUUACCAAGUCACUAUACAUUUGAUUAGCUACAAGUUUGUUGCUGAUCCAAAGGGCCGAAAUACUUGAUUUGUCAUUUCAUUUGUUUAUUUCGGCUAUAUGUGCUUUGAAUGAAGUUUACAUGGUAAUGGCCGAUAUUUAUCUAUCGUCCUAAGAGUAUGUCAAUGCAUGGCCGGUGCAAUAUUCUAACAUCGUCCUUAAUUUGAUUGGAGAGCGAGACAAGGUACGUGCUCAUGGAAAUUUAUAUUUAUAUUUGAAUGGAGUUAAGACAUCAUGACCAAUGUCAUUGAAUACAUGAUGCAUAGACCAAUUCAUUUACAGAAUUGGCUAGGGGGCUUAUACUUUGUUUGGAUAUGAUUUGGCUUAUGCAUCUUUGAGAUCUAUAAGAGGCCAAAUCAUAGCUGAUUUUAUUACUGAACAUCGGAUUAGUGACAUGCAUAAUAUUGAUAUUAUCCUUGUCUCUCCAGUACUAUGAAGAUUAUGUUUUGAUGGUUCAAUUCGUAGCAAUGGCCAAAGUGUUGGUGUUGUAUAUAUAUCUCCUUAUGGUACUAUUUGUGAAGCCUCAUGCCUCUUAGAAUAUUUUUAUGCACGAUUAAUCAAAGCCGAAUAUGCAUCGUUAUUCGGAUUGAAUCUUUUACUUGCUAUAGGUGCUAUACAUUUUGAGGCUUUUAGUGAUUCGUUAUGAGUAGUGCAACAAAUAUCCAAGGGUUAUCAAUGUUUUGACGAAUCACUUGUAGUUUAUAUUGGGGUAUGUAUAGAUGCAAAAUUUACCUUGAGUUGCUUUUAAAUUGUUCAUAUAUUUAGACAUGACAAUUUAAAAGAGUUGGAACAGCAAGCAUCCGGCUACUAUGUUAAUCAUGGUGUAUUGCAUUUCUCUCAAUAGCCGAUGCUGGUCUUGUCAACAUAGGUAAGGCCGAACUGAAGUCCACAGCUUCGGCCACUAAUGAAAUUUUUAUGCUGGCGGAAGUAAGGAUCGGAGAAAGUUUAUUGUUGAUUAUCUACAAAAUCCUAGCAAAAGGGUGAACAAUAUGGUUCGGAGGAUGACCUUGAGAUACAUAUCCAUGGAACUUUAUCAUCGGAUUGUUAAUCAAGUUGAGAAGAUUUCGCCUAAGUUUGCAUCAAGCAUUCAAAAAUGAUAAUGGCCGAUAUAUAAUUAUUUCCCUAAGAAUAUAAAUGGCCGAUGGAGUGUUGACAUCGCGCUUAGAACAAACUUCGUGCAAGCUAUUUUUCGGCACACAAGUCUUGCCGAAAAACAGGGGGGCAUGUGUUGACACCAGAUUUUGGCAUGGUCAAAAACAUAAUUAAGAAGGCCUCAAAUGGAAAAGUGCUCAAAGUGAGGAAUUCCGCAUCGUCAAAAGGAGAAACUUUGAUAUUUGGGCCAAAGCCAUCCGGUCUCAUCUCUAAGGCCGAAGUUGUGUUUGAAGUACUGUGAUUUUGUAUCCAAAACACUAUUCGGCUGAUUACACCCCCAAGAUGGGCCCAUAUGAGAAAAGUUUCUACACUAAUUGUCUUCGUCUUGUCGAAAAGAUCGAUUUUGAUAUAAAAAUCAUCUCAAUCCGAGAUGGUAUGCAAAAGUUAGAGCCAUUCGAAUGUAGCCCUGCCAGGAGGCUACAUAUGGCGCGCCCCACAAGACAUGAUGUCUGAUGGGUAGCGCCACCACUCGGCUGUCUUGCGCGAGCGAUUCAGCCCCGAAGAUGGCCUCAAAGCAAAAAACGUUCAACAUGAAAAUUGUUCAUCUCGUCGAAACGAUUAAAUUUGCUUUUGGGCGCAUUUUAUCCGAGGUAGUUUACUAUCACAAAAAAGACCCGCAAGGUACAACCAGUUUAAACCGAAUAGUUUUGAAAAGUUCGGACAAAACCAAUCCGAAUUUGACUAGGGUUUUGGGCAUGAAUCCAAACAUUUUCCUUGCACGGGAGGUCCAGCUGCCUCUUAUAUAUCUAAAGGGUGAUGGCCGAUUGAACAACACACAAUCGAUCUGUCAAUAUACCACUUUUUACCUUUACUUUUAUCCUCUCCCUUGUUCUUCUUCUUCCUCGUUCUUCGUUCGUUCUUCUUCAUUGCAGGGCGGCGAACCUCGAGGCCCUAGGGGCGGUCAGGUCGACCUAGGGCAGCCCAUAGCCGUCGCGUGCCCUGACGGGGUCCCUCCCGGGCGUGUGGGGUUUCGGGUCAUCAAAAGCGCCCGCCGGAUUACUUGUGUACCGCGCUUCCGGACGGGUCUCCUUCGACGUGAGCUGCGGUGCAUCACCCUCGGCGCUGGAGAUACACGGUGACGUGUUCAUGUGCGAACAGUUUACAUCCACCGGACCUCAACUAAUCAACCACCGUGUACAUUACAGAGUUUAUGGUAUGAGUGAACCAAAUCUUCUAUUCUACCCCUAAUAAUAAAGAGGCUAGUGCUUCUGGUGGUUCGUCAUUAAAAUCGCCCCUAAAGUUGUAAAAUAUUACCCACCAAUGCCACCAGUAAGUGACAAAAAAACGUUUUGCAGGGUUCCCCUUACUGGGCCGGCCCAAGUAUAGGGACCCCUAUACUGCGCUCCGCAUGCUGGACAAACACACAACACGCCUGUUUGGGCCAGCUCAUGUGCAGGCGCCUGUUUUAAAAGCUUUUAAUCUUAUUUUUCUGUUCCAUUUUCGUUUUUUUCCUACUUUAAAUAAUUUGGAACUUCAAAAAAAUGAAAUUUCAAAAACUGUUAAUCUUUAAAUAAAGUGUUCAAGAAAACAUAAAAUAUUUGUGAAUUCAUAAAAUUCCCGGGUUUUUUCUAAAAAUGUUCGCAUAUUCAGAAAAAUGUCCUAAAAUUUUGAAAACAGUUCUUGUAUUAUAAAAGAGUUUAUUUAUUCAUAAACUGUUUACUAAGUCUGAAAAUGUUCAUGUAUUUUAAAUAAUGUUCAUGAAUUAUUGAAAAAAAUGUUCAUCUAUUCUAGAAUUGUUCGCCGACUCAAAAUAAAAUGCUUAAACCCGUUGACAAUAUAAAAAACGUUCACAAUUUUAGAAAAAUGUUUGUAAAUAGUAAGAAAUGUUCACGAUUUUUAAAAAUGUUCCCAAGUUUGUAAAAAAUGCUCACGAAUGAUCGAAGGUGUGUAGUUAAACAGUAAUACUUGUGAGUCUUUGCGGCUAUAUACCCACGUGAAUAUUGAAGUAUGUUUAAAAAAAGGUAUCUUUAAAUUCAGAAUAAUUGUUUGAAUUACCAAGUUUUUCUACAACCAUGAUAUUUUUUCAAAAAUGUAAACAUUGCUUCAAUUUGUGAAUAAAUUUAAAAAAGAAACACUUUCUUGCAUUUGUGAAGAAAUUUUCAAAAUCAUGCGAUGAGAUGUGGCCAAAAUGUGGUCGUCGCCAUGAUUUUUUUCCUCCCGUUGAAACACACGGGCCCAUUUGCUAGUAAUGCAAAACAAAACUGACUUGCCCCUUCCUAAUUGAUGGAUAGGUACCGGAUGCAACUCUACGUAAUAAUCUUAAUUUCCCCACCCACAAAUACUAGCUAGCUAGCUAGAUUUUGGGAAGAAGAGGAAUCUAUCUACGGAGCAAACUGAUCCCAAAAAGUAGCCCUUCUGUAAUAAUAAUAAUAAUAAUAAUAAUAAUAAUAAUAAUAAUAAUAAUAAUAAUAAUAAUAAUAAGUGUUUUUGGCGUACUCACCGAUACUACCUAUAAGUGACAAAAAAAAACGUUUCACACAGGGGAUCCUCCGCCUGGGCCGGCCUAUGCUGUAAGGACCUCCUAUACUGCGCUCUGCGCGCUGGGAUAACACGCAGCACGCCCGUUUGGGCCGGCUCAUGUGCCGGCGGCCUGUCGUUAAGUUUCGUUUUUCUAUUUUUCUUUUUUCUUUUCAUUUUUGUUUUUCUCCUUUAAAUUAUUUGAUACUUCAAAAAAGUUUCAAUUUCUUUUAGAAAAGCAUAUAAAAUAUUUACUAAAUCUUAAAAUGUUUUUGGAUCCAAAUAAUGUUCGUAAAUUUGUAAAAAAAUGUUCGCUUAUUAAAAAAAGUUUGAAAUUUUGAAAACAAAUGUUUGGGAAAUAAAAAAUGUUCAUUAUUUAAAAAAAUUCAUGUAUUAAAAAAUGUGAAUGAAAUUGAACAAUAUGUUCGCCAAAAUAUUAUCGAUGAUGCAACAAAAGGUUGUCAUGGCCAUUGAAGAUUAUGAUUUUUUUCUGCCGCUGCAACGCACGGGCCCUUUUGCUAGUACUAGUGAAUAUACUUACAAGCUAGAAUGGUAGCCAUUGUGGAAUUCUAAAAUAAAGUAAGUCCCUUUUUUAAGUACAUGCCAAUCUAGUUAUCCACCUCUCCCCAUAUCCAUGCUUUUCUUUUAUCGUAAUUUCACUUGGGUAGGCCAAGAUAGUCAGGUUAUACUCUAUAUCAGAGCAAAUUUCCUUCUUUUAUUCAAGAUGUUUUAAUUUAAUACUUUGAAAAAUUAAAGCAUGAUUCCCCAUAGAGAUAUGUACAUAAAGGGGAUCUUUGGAUAAUAAUGUUGUUCGGACCUAAAGUUUACCUAUACACGGAUUAAGCAUAAAGCCAUAAUAUUUUAUUAUGCCAUUGAAGGGGGGGGGAGAUAAUACCGAUUUAAGAGUAGUUCACUACUGCAAUAAAAAAAGAGAAUUCUAGUUAACGGUUCCAAUUUAUUCUGAAUUUUGCAGCCUGUGGAUAGAAAUCCACUUUUUCUUCUUUUUCAUCUCAAUAGAAAGAAAUGGGAAGUUUUAUUGUGUUAACAAUGUAUGUUUUAAGAUAGAAUCUAUUGAGGAGAAUAAUAGAAACUGGAUCAAAAAAAGCAGGAAUAGAUUUUUUGAAAAAGAUUGGAAAAAAGUAAGUAGAAUUAUAUUGAAAAUAAAAGGGGCUUUUCGUAAGAAAACGUGGAUGAAUACUUGUUGUUUUCUAGAUUUUUGAUCGGAUUUUUUGGCGGCAUGGCCAAGCGGUAAGGCAGGGGACUGCAAAUCCUUUAUCCCCAGUUCAAAUCUGGGUGCCGCCUGAUCAAUAAAAUACUUAGGUUUUUUUAUAGUGCUGAUCGAAUUCGAUAAAUUUUUACUUCGCAUAAGUUCGGGCAAGAGAGUAACUUGGCCUGCCGAUACUGGGUUUAGAGAAACCAUACCAUAGUUCUAUCCUCAAACUAGGGUUAGGGUUUGUUUUGACGGUAGUGGCCAAAAUGGUUAUCAGUAGGGGUGAGGUAGUGUUUCCUUAUUCUUUUAUUAUAUGAAUUUGAAUUGGUUCUUAAUUGAGAUUCGAUUUGAUAAUUUUCAAAUACGAGGAUAAGAUGUCAGAAAUCUUGGUAUCCAAAGAAAGGUCCCUAAGGGGCAUUCUUUUUUUUUCAAUCUAAGAUUCAAGAAGGGACUCCACAAAAGAAUAUCAAGACUUACUAAUUAUUAUACAUUUUUUUAUCGUACAUCUUGUGUUACCUACAUACACUAAAGUAAGGACUACUUAAUUCUAACGAGAAUCGGAUUAAAUAGGUCGAUCAAAAAUCAAUUUAGGAGUUGUGUUAUGGAUAAAAUCUCUUCAUUCUUUCAUAGAAUGAUACAAAGCAAGGCUGCAGGGUUUAGGUCAAAAAUAAACAUUAGGUAAGGUAGGUAUCCAAUAAAUAUUUAUCUAUCGAUAAUUUUAUGGUAUAUUCGUGCGUCCUUUGCUUAAAAAAAGAGUAACAAAAGGAAUAAAAAAUCUUCCUAUUCCCGCUUCUUCUAUUCAGGACAUCAUUCCCGUACUCUUUCUUUUUUAAGGAAAAAAGGGCUAUAGUAUCGUUUUUAAUGCUCUCUAAUUCUACCAGAAUUCCUAUAAGAAUUUGUUAGGAAUAAAUUCCUUGAACUGAUUGAUCCAUGGCCUUAGGGCGGAAUCCCUUUUUGACUCUGUACCCUUGAUUCCACUAUGAUUAUUGAUCAAUAGUAGAAUAAUCCCUUCAUAGAAAUAGGAGACAUAAUUUAGAUGGAUAUAGUAAGUCUCGCUUGGGCUGCUUUAAUGGUAGUCUUUACAUUUUCUCUUUCACUAGUAGUAUGGGGAAGGAGUGGACUCUAGGGAUACUACUAAUUGAUUAACUAAUCAAAUUGUUGUAUCAAUUCUUUUCUUUAAUGGAUCAUUUUGCAUUAAUCAUUUUGUCAAACGUUAUUCUUUAAUCUUUUUCUUUAGUUUUGUUUCACUCCUCUAAGAAACUCUUGUAUUGUAAGUUGUAAUGUAAGAAAGAGCCAUUAUACCAAUUCAGAAUUUCUACUAGAAAUGACGAAUGGUUAAAAAAGUUCUAUACAUAAGAAAAUUAGACUUUCUUCCACGGAACUAUUCAUGGCAUAUCACACAUUUUCCAUUUCCUUUUACUUGUUGCUAUAGUCUAUUCUUAAUAUUAUUUUUCUUUCCUUCCAUGGAUUCUUUGGUCAAGAAUUGUCUUAGAUUUUUUUAUUUUGACCUGAUUGAAAUUAAGUGGAUGCAAUGAAAAAAGAAAUUGAAUUAGACUACUUAACUAUUUCAAUCUACUAAUCUAUUCUAUGUAGAUUCAAAGAUAAUAUAAUAGAAAGAAUCUAAAGUGUCGUAGAAAAAACUAUAUGUAGUUCUUUCUACCACACUUUAAGAUUCCAACCACAUCCUUUCAUUUAAGACUUGGAUUUCUUUAUUUAAUCCCUUUUUAAUUUCUUCAAUGAUUAAUUAACUUCUUUCAUGUCUAAAUGUCUCCAGUACCAAGACCAAACAAGGCCCUCGAAAUUAACUUCUUUCAUGUCUAAAUGUCUCCAGUACAAAGACAGGUUGAAUACAAACGGUAGUAUGCAUCACAAGAACAUUGUUGCAACCGCUGCUUCACCUAGACGUGCUACCCCUUCUAAAGACGCUAGGAUGGUGUCCUAGACUAGGAGAUACUCAUUGUGUCCUCUCCCAGCCAGGAGGGCCGGGCCGAGGACCCCCUUGGUGGUUAAUUACUUGGCCUCUUCAGGAAACCCAUGUCGUAUGCAAGGAAGAUUCCACAAGACUUGGCGCAGAAGACGAGGACUCUUCUAAAUCCUAGACCUUUGGUGCAUUAUAUAAACAGAGGCUAGGCUGGUCGGUAGAACAUAUUCUAAGAUUCAUUCACACAUACGAUCUCGAGAUAAAUCAACAUGUACUGUGUACCCCAUCCACAAUCAAUACAAUACAAGUUUGAUGUAGGGUUUAUCUUUUUGAGAGGGCCCCAACCUAGUUAAAUACCGUGUCUCUUAUUCGUCCUAUGACCAUCUAACCAAGAUCACCAGCUCGGGAACCCCUACACGAGUUUGACAUAUUUAGCUCUAUCAUUGGUGGCCCAUCCAGAUCCCUCUGGUAGUCGCCGCGGUGUGAUGAGAAUUCAGAUCGGCUCCGAUGCGAUCUACGUGCCGGAACGGAUCUUCGUCGCCACCUCGACUGUCCGCCUCAGCCAGGCUGAGCAUUACACUCAUGUUGGAUCAGUGAGAGGUCAGUGGGUGCCUCCAUCAACAUCAAUUUCGAUCUCUACCGAGAUCAUGGAAAAAAUCGUCUAUGGAGCUCGAGGGCUCAACGUCAGCAUUGCCCUUGCGUGACCAUGCAGAAUUUUCUGGACAAAGGAUACUCCGCUUCACACGUAGAUCCCGCCACGACGCUCUGCUUGGAACUGCACCAACUGACAGCUCCACCAUUCAAUAUAAAUACGUAUCCAGUUUGUGACAUAGAGUCAUCCGGAUCAGUGUCAAAGCUAGCAUCGACAUAACCAUUUACGACGAGCUCUUUGUCACCUCCAUAAACGAGAAACAUAUCCUUGGUCCUUUUCAGGUACUUCAGGAUGUUCUUGACCGUUGUCCAGUGAUCCACUACUGGAUUACUUUGGUACCUCCCUGCCAGACUUAUGGCAAGGCACACAUCAGGUCUGGUACACAGCAUAGCAUACAUGAUAGAACUUAUGGCUGAGGCAUAGGGAAUGACUUUCAUUUUCUCUCUAUCUUCUGCAGUGGUCGGGCUUUGAGUCUGACUCAACUUCACACCUUGUAACAUAGGCAAGAACCCUUUCUUGGACUGAUCCAUUUUGAACUUCUUCAAAACUUUGUCAAGGUAUGUGCUUUGUGAAAGUCCUAUUAAGCGUCUUGAUCUAUCUCUAUAGAUCUUGAUGCCCAAUAUAUAAGCAGCUUCACCGAGGUCUUUCAUUGAAAAACUCUUAUUCAAGUAUCCUUUUAUGCUAUCCAAAAAUUCUAUAUCAUUUCCAAUCAACAAUAUGUCAUCUAUAUAUAAUAUCAGAAAUGCUACAGAGCUCCCACUCACUUUCUUGUAAAUACAGGCUUCACCGAAAGUCUGUAUAAAACCAUAUGCUUUGAUCACCUCAUCAAAGCAUAUAUUCUAACUCUGAGAUGCUUGCAUCAGUCCAUAGAUGGAUCGCUAGAGUUUGCACACUUUGUUAGCACCUUUAGGAUCGACAAAACCUUCUGGUUGCAUCAUAUACAACUCUUCUUUAAGAAAUCCAUUAAGGAAUGCAAUUUUGACGUCCAUUUGCCAGAUUUCAUAAUCAUAAAAUGCGGCAAUUGCUAACAUGAUUCGGACGGACUUAAGCAUUGCUACGAGUGAGAAAGUCUCAUCGUAGUCAACCCUUGAACUUAUCGAAAAUCUUUUGCGACAAGUCGAGAUUUGUAGAUAGUAACAUUACCAUCAGUGUCAAUCUUCUUCUUGAAGAUCCACUUAUUCUCUAUGGCUUGCCGAUCAUCGGGCAAGUCCACCAAAGUCCACACUUUGUUCUCAUACAUGGAUCCUAUCUCAGAUUUCAUGGCCUCAAGCCAUCUGUCGGAACCUGGGCUCAUCAUAGCUUCUUCAUAGUUCGUAAGCUCGCCUUGGUCUAGUAACAUGACCUCCAGGAUAGGAUUACCGUACCACUCUGGUGCAGAUCAUGCUCGGGUUGACCUACGAGGUUCAGUAGCAACUUGAUCUGAAGUUUCAUGAUCAUUAUCAUUAUCUUCCUCUCUAGUUAGUGUAGGCAUCACAUGAAUGGUUUUCUGUGAUGUGCUACUUUCCAAUUUGAGAGAAGGUACAAUUACCUCAUCAAGUUCUACUUGCCUCCCACUCACUUCUUUCGAGAGAAACUCCUUCUCUAGAAAGGUUCCAUUCUUGGCAACAAAGAUCUUGCCUUCGGAUCUGUGGUAAAAGGUGUACCCAAUUGUUUCCUUAGGGUAUCCUAUGAAGACACACUUCUCUGAUUUGGGUUCGAGCUUAUCAGGCUGAAGCUUUUUGACAUAAGUGUCGCAACCCCAAACUUUAAGAAACGAUAGCUUAGGUUUCUUGCCAAACCAGAGUUCAUACGGUGUCAUCUCAAUGGAUUUAGACGGUGCCCUAUUUAACGUGAAUGCAGCUGUCUCUAAUGCAUAACCCCAAAAUGAUAGUGGUAAAUCGGUAAGAGACAUCAUAGAUCGCACCAUAUCUAAUAAAGUACGGUUACGACAUUCGGACACACCAUUACGCUGUGGUGUUCCAGGUGGCGUGAGUUGUGAAACAAUUCCACAUUGUUUUAAAUGAAGCCCAAACUCGUAACUCAAAUAUUCGCCUCCGCGGUCAAAUCGUAGAAACAUUAUUUUCUUGUUACGAUGAUUCUCCAUUUCACUCUGAAAUUCUUUGAACUUUUCAAAUGUUUCAGACUUGUGUUUCAUUAAGUAGAUAUACCCAUAUCUGCUUAAAUCACCUAUGAAGGUCAGAAAAUAACGAUACCUGCCACGUGCCUCAAUACUCAUCAGACCGCAUACAUCGGUAUGUAUUAUUUCCAAUAAGUCAUUAGCUCGCUCCAUUGUUCCAGAGAACGGAGUUUUAGUCAUCUUGCCCAUGAGGCAUGGUUCGCAAGUAUCAAAUGAUUCAGAAUCAAGUGAUUCCAAAAGUCCAUCUGUAUGGAGUUUCUUCAUGCGCUUUACACCAAUAUGACCUAAACGACAUUGUCACAAAUAUGUUGCACUAUCAUUACCAACUUUGCAUCUUUUGGCAUCAAUAUUAUGAAUAUGUGUAUCACUACAAUCGGGAUUCGACAAGAAUAUACCACUCUUCAAUGGUGCAUGACCAUAAAAGAUAUUACUCAUAUAAAUAGAACAACCAUUAUUCUCUGGUUUAAAUGAAUAACUGUCUCGCACUAAACAAGAUCCAGAUAUAAUGUUCAUGCUCAACGCUAGCACCAAAUAACAAUUAUUCAGGUCUAAAUUAACCAUAAGGUAGAUGUAGAGGCAGUGUGCUGACGGUGAUCACAUCGACCUUGGAACCAUUCCCGACGCGCAUCGUCACCUCGUCCUUAGCCAAUCUUCGUUUAAUCCAUAGCUCCUGUUUCGAGUUACAAAUAUGAGCAAUCGAACCAGUAUCAAAUACCCAGGCGCUACUACGAGCAUUAGUAAGGCACACAUCAAUAACAUGUAUAUCAAAUAUACCUUUGUUCACUUUGUCAUCCUUCUUAUCCGCCAAGUAUUUGGGGUAGUUCCGCUUCCAGUGACCAGUCCCUUUGCAGUAGAAGCACUCAGUUUUAGGCUUGGGUCCAGCUUUGGGCUUCUUCCCGGGAGUGGCAACUCGCUUGCCAUUCUUAUUGAAGUUCCCUUUCUUUCCCUUGCCCUUUUUCUUGAAACUAGUGGUCUUGUUAACCAUCAACACUUGAUGCUCCUUUUUGAUUUCUACCUCCGUGGCCUUAAGCAUUGCGAAGAGCUCAGGAAUUGUUUUGUUCAUCCCUUGCAUAUUAUAGUUCAUCACGAAGCCUUUGUAGCUUGGUGGCAGUGAUUGAAGAACUCUAUCAAUGACACAAUCAACUGGAAGAUCAACUCCUAGCUGAGUCAAGUGAUUAUAAUACCCCAGACAUUUUGAGUAUGUGUUCACUGACAGAACUGUUCUCCUCCAUCUUGCAGCUAUAGAACUUGUUGGAGACUUCAUAUCUCUCAACCCGGGCAUUUGCUUAAAAUAUUAACUUCAACUCUUGGAACAUCUCAUAUGCUCCAUGAAGUUUGAAACGUCUUUGAAGUCCCGGUUCUAAGCCGUAAAGCAUGGCACACUGAACUAUCGAGUAGUCAUCAGAUCGAGCUUGCCAGACGUUCAAAACAUCAGCUUCUGCUCCUGCAGCAAGCCUUUCACCUAGCGGUGCAUCAAGGACAUAAUUCUUCUGUGCAGCAAUGAGGAUAAUCCUCAAGUUACGGACCCUGUAGUUGCUAGCAUCAUCUUUCAACUUAGCUUUCUCUAGGAACGGAUUAAAAUUCAGGGGAACGGUAGCUCGGGCCAUUGAUCUACAACAUAGAUAUGCAAAACUAUAAGAGUAAGUUCAUGAUAAAUUAAGUUCAAUUAAUCAAAUUACUUAAUAACUCCCACUUAAAUAGACAUCCCUCAAGUCAUCUAAGUGAUACGUGAUCCAAAUCAACUAACCCAUGUCCGAUCAUCACGUGAGAUGGGGUAGUCAUCAAUGGUGAACAUCUCUAUGUUGAUCAUAUCUACUAUAUGAUUCACGUUCGACCUUUCGGUCUCCAGUGUUCCGAGGCCAUGUCUGUACAUGCUAGGCUCGUCAAGUUUAACCCAAGUAUUCUGCAUGUGUAAAACCGUCUUACACCCGUUGUAUGUGAACGUAGAGUCUAUCACACCCGAUCAUCGCGUGGUGUCUCGAAACGAUGAACUGUAGCAACGACGCAUACUCAGGGAGAACACUUUUACCUUGAAAUUUAGUGAAGGUAUCAUCUUAUAAUGCUACCGUUGUUCUAAGCAAAAUAAGAUGCAUAUAAGAUAAACAUCACAUGCAAUCAAAAUAUGUGACAUGAUAUGGCCAUCAUCAUCUUGUGCUUUCGAUCUCCAUAUCCAAAGCAUCGUCAUGAUCUCCAUCGUUGCGUCGUGCUUGUCUCGCCAACUAUUGCUUCUACAACUAUUGCUAACUCAUAGCGAUAAAGUAAAGCAACUACAUGGCGUUUGCAUUUCAUACAAUAAAGAGACAACCAUAAGGCUCCUGCCGGUUGCCUGAUAUCUUACAAAAAGUGAUCAUCUCAUACAAUAAUGUAUAUCACAUCAUGUCUUGACCAUAUCAGAUCACAACAUACCCUGCAAAAACAAGUUAGACGUCCUCUACUUUGUUGUUGCAAGUUUUACGUGGAUUCUAUGGGUUUCUAGCAAGAACCGUUCUUACCUACGGCAAAAACCACAACGGUGAUUCGUCAAGUUUGCUGUUUUAACCUUCUUCAAGGACCGGCCGUAGUCAAAUUCGAUUCAACUAAAGUAGGAGAAACAGACACCCUCCAGCCACCUGUAAGCAAAACUAGUCGCAUGUCAGUCGGUGGAACCGGUCUCAUGUGCGUGGACAUGUAAGGUUGGUCUGGGCCACUUCAUCCCACGGUACCGCCGAAUCAAAAUAAUAUGUUGGUGGUAAGCAGUAUGACUAUCACUGCCCACAACUCUUUGUGUUCUACUCGUGCAUAUCAUCUACGCAUAGACCUGGCUCAUGAUGCCACUGUUGGGAAUCGUUGCAUGGAAAACAAAAAAUUUCUAAGCACACGCAAUGAUCUAUCCAUGGAGAAGCAUAGCAACGAGGGGGAGAGUAUGUCUACGUACCCUCGUAGACCGUAACCGGAAGCGUUUUACAACGCGGUUGAUGUAGUCGAACUUUCUUCGCGCUCCAACCGAUCUAGUACCGAACGCACGGCACCUCCGUGUCUGCACACGUUCAGCUCGGUGACGUCCUCCAUCUUCUUGAUCCAGCAAGACGGUGAGGUAGUAGAUGAGUUCCGACAGCACGAUGGCAUGGUGCCGGUGAUGGUGAUGUGAUCUCCGUAGGGCUUCACCUAAGCACUACAAAAAUAUCCGAGGGAGUAAACGAUGGACGGGGGUGCCGCACACGACUAAGACAAUGUUGUGUCCUUGUGUGGCGCCUCCUCCCCACAUAUAUAUAGGUGGGAGGGGGAGGAGGCAGCCUAGGGCAGCCAGGGCGCGCCCCAAGGGGCUGGCCGCCGGCCCUAGGGCUCCUACCCUCCUGCGCCCCCCCCUUGUAUGAAGAAGGGGGAAGGAAAGAAGGGGGAGUCCUACUCCACACUUUCCUUUCCCUCCCCUCUUUCCUUCUCCUCCUCAUAGGGCCGGCCUCUAUAGGGGCGCACCGGCCCCUUGUGGGCUGGUGUGUUCCCUAUCUUGGCCCAUAAGGCCCAUAUCUUUGCCGGGGUUGCCCGAAACUCCUUUCCGGUGACCCGAUAAGUACCUGGUACCCUCCGAAACACUUCCGGUGUCUGAAUACCAUCGUCCUAUAUAUCAAACAUUACCUCUCGACCAUUUCGAGACUCCUCGUCAUGUUUGUGAUCUCAUCCGGGACUCUAAACAACAUUCGGUCACCAAAUCACAUAACUCAUAUAAUACUAUAUCGUCAACGAACGUUAAGCGUGCGGACCCUACAGGUUUGAGAACUAUGUAGACAUGACCGAGACACCUCUCCGGUCAGUAACAAAUAGCGGAACCUGGAUGCCCAUAUUGGCUCAUACAUAUUUGAUGUCUACUACACAACCUUCUUCUUGUAGACAUUGUUGGGCCUCCAAGUGCAGAGGUUUGUAGGACAGUAGCAAAUUUCCCUCAAGUGGAUGACCUAAGGUUUAUCAAUCCGUGGGAGGCGUAGGAUGAAGAUGGUCUCUCUCAAACAACCUUGCAGCCAAAUAACAAAGAGUCUCUUGUGUCCCCAACCACCCAAUACAAUGGUAAAUUGUAUAGGUGCACUAGUUCGGCGAAGAGAUGGUGAUACAAGUGCAAUAUGGAUGGUAGAUAUAGGUUUUGUAAUCUGAAAAUAUAAAAACAGCAAGGUAACCAAUGAUAAAAGUGAGCGUAAACGGUAUUGCAAUGCUAGGAAACAAGGCCUAGGGUUCAUACUUUCAAUGUCACCUCAAGUAUCCGUGGGUAUCCGUGGGUACUCCAAUGUCACCUCAAGUAUCCGUGGGUAUGAUUAUACGAUAUGCAUCACACAAUCUCAAAUUCAUCUAUUCAACCAACACAAAGAACUUCAAAGAGUGCCCCAAGUUUCUACCGGAGAGUCAAGACGAAAACGUGUGCCGACCCCUAUGCAUAGGUUCAUGGGCGGAACCCGCAAGUUGAUCACCAAAACAUACAUCAAGUGGAUCACGUGAUAUCCCAUUGUCACCACAGAUAAGCACGGCAAGACAUACAUCAAAUGUUCUCAAAUCAUUAAAGACUCAAUGCGAUAAGAUAACUUCAAAGGGAAAACUCAAUCCAUUACAAGAGAGUAGAUGGGGAGAAACAUCAUAAGAUCCAACUACAAUAGCAAAGCUCGUGAUACAUCAAGAUCGUGCCAAAUCAAGAACACGAGAGAGAAAGGUCAAACACAUAGCUACUGGUACAUACCCUCAGCCCCGAGGGUGAACUACUCCCUCCUCGUCAUGGAGAGCGCCGGGAUGAUGAAGAUGGCCACCGGUGAGGGAUCCCCCCUCCGGCAGGGUGCCGGAACAGGGUCCCGAUUAGUUUUUGGUGGCUACAGAGGCUUGCGGUGGCGGAACUCCCGAUCUCUUCUAUUCUCCGAAGGUUUUAGGGUAUAUGGGUAUAUAUAUAUAGGAGGAAGAAAUACACCAGGGGAGCCACGAGGGGCCCACGAGGGUGGAGGGCGCGCCCAGGGGGGUGGGCGUGCCCCCUGCCUCGUGCCUCCCUCGUUGCUUUCCUGACGUGCACUCCAAGUCCCCCGGAUUGCUUUCUUUCCAAAAAUAACUUCUCCAGAAGGUUUCAUUCCGUUUCGACUCUGUUUGAUAUUCCUUUUCUUCAAAACACUGAAACAAGGGAAAAAACACGAACUGGCACUGGGCUCUGGGUUAAUAGGUUAGUCCCAAAAAUAAUAUAAAAGUGUUUAAUAAAGCCCAUAAACAUCCAAAACAGAUAAUAUAAUAGCAUGGAACAAUAAAAAAUUAUAGAUACGUUGGAGACGUAUCGGCAUCCCCAAGCUUAAUUCCUGCUCGUCCUCGAGUAGGUAAAUGAUAAAAACAAUUUUUUUGAUGUGGAAUGCUACUUGGCAUAAUUUCAAUGUAAUUCUUCUUAAUUGUGGUAUGAAUAUUCAGAUCCGAAAGAUUCAAGAUAAAAGUUCAUAUUGACAUAAAAGUAAUAAUACUUCAAGCAUACUAACUAAGCAAUUAUGUCCUCUCAAAAUAACAUGGCCAAAGAAAGUUCAUCCCUACAAAAUCAUAUAGUUUAGUCAUGCUCCAUUUUCGUCACACAAGAAUGCUCUCAUCAUGCACAACCCCGAUGACAAGCCAAGCAAUUGUUUCAUACUUUAGUAAUCUCAAACUUUUCAACCUUCACGCAAUACAUGAGCGUGAGCCAUGGAUAUAGCACUAUGGGUGGAAUAGAAUAUAAUGAUGGGGGUUAUGUGGAGAAGACAAAAAAGGAGAAAGUCUCACAUCAACGCGGCUAAUCAAUGAGCUAUGGAGAUGCCCAUCGAUUGAUGUUAAUGCAAGGAGUAGGGAUUGCCAUGCAACGGAUGCACUAGAGCUAUAAAUAUAUGAAAGCCCAACAAAAGAAACUAAGUGGGUGUGCAUCCAACUUGCUUGCUCACGAAGACCUAGGGCACUUAAGGAGGCCCAUUGUUGGAAUAUACAAGCCAAGUUCUAUAAUGAAAAAUUCCCACUAGUAUAUGAAAGUGACAAAACAAGAGACUCUCUAUCAUGAAGAUUAUGGUGCUACUUUGAAGCACAAGUGUGGUAAAAGGAUAGUAACAUUGUCCCUUCUCUCUUUUUCUCUCAUUUUUUUGGGCCUUCUCUUUUUUUAUGGACUUUCUCUUUUUUUAUUCCUCACUUGGGACAAUGCUCUAGAAAAUGACGAUCAUCACACUUCUAUUUAUUUACAACUCAAUGAUUACAACUCGAUACUAGAACAAAGUAUGACUCUAUAUGAAUGCCUCCGGCGGUGUACCGGGAUAUGCAAUGAACCAAGAGUGACAUGUAUGAAAGAAUUAUGAAUGGUGGCUUUGCCACAAAUACUAUGUCAACUACAUGAUCAUGCAAAGCAAUAUGACAAUGAUCAACGUGUCAUGAUAAACGGAACGGUGGAAAGUUGCAUGGCAAUAUAUCUCGGAAUGGCUAUGGAAAUGCCAUAAUAGGUAGGUAUGGUGGCUGUUUUGAGGAAGAUAUAAGGAGGUUUAUGUGUAAAAGAGCGUAUCAUAUCACGGGGUUUGGAUGCACCGGCGAAGUUUGCACCAACUCUCAAUGUGAGAAAGAGCAAUGCAUGGUACCGAAGAGGCUAGCAAUGAUGGAAAGGUGAGAGUGCGUAUAAUCCAUGGACUCAACAUUAGUCAUAAAGAACUCACAUACUUAUUGCAAAAAUCUACAAGUCAUCAAAACCAAGCACUACUCGCAUGCUCCUAGGGGGAUAGAUUGGUAGGAAAAGACCAUCGCUCGUCCCCGACCGCCACUCAUAAGGAGGACAAUCAAAGAACGCCUCAUGUUUCAAAUUUGUUACAUAACGUUUACCAUACGUGCAUGCUACGGGACUUGCAAACUUCAACACAAGCAUUUCUCAAAUUCACAACUACUCAACUAGCACGAUUUUAAUAUCAUUACCUCCAUGCCUCAAAACAAUCAUCAAGCAUCAAACUUCUCUUAGUAUUCAACACACUCAUAAGAAAGUUUUUACUAGUCUUGAAUACCUAGCAUAUUAGGAUUAAGCAAAUUACCAUGCUGUUUAAGACUCUCAAAAUAAUAUAAGUGAAGCAUGAGAGUUCAUCUAUUUCUUCAAAAUAAAACCACCAUUGUGCUCUAAAAGAUAUAAGUGAAGCACUAGAGCAAACAACAAACUACUCCAAAAGAUAUGAGUGAAGAUCAAUGAGUAGUUGUAUAAUUAUGUAACUAUGUGAAGACUCUCUAACAUUUAAGAAUUUCAAAUCUUGGUAUUUUAUUCAAACAGCAAGCAAAACAAAAGAAAAUAAAAUGACGCUCCAAGCAAAACACAUAUCAUGUGGUGAAUAAAAAUAUAGCUCCAAGUAAAGUUACCGAUGAACGAAGACGAAAGAGGGGAUGCCAUCCAGGGCAUCCCCAAGCUUAGGCUCUUGCCACUCCUUAUUCCAUAGUCCAUCGAAUCUUUACCCAAAACUUGAAAACUUCACAACACAAAACUUAACAGAAAACUCGUAAGCUCCGUUAGCGGAAGAAAACAAAACACCACUUCAAGGUACUUUAAUGAACUCAUUAUUUAUUUAUAUUGGUGUUAAACCUACUGUAUUCCAACUUCUCUAUGAUUUAUAAACUAUUUUACUAGCCAUAGAGUCAUCAAAAUAAGCAAACAACACACGAAAAACAGAAUCUGUCAAAAACAGAACAGUCUGUAGUAAUCUGUAACUAACGCAAACUUCUGGAACUCCAAAAAUUCUAAAAUAAAUUGGUGGACCUGAGUAAUUUGUCUAGUAAUCAUCUGCAAAAAGAAUCAACUAAAUAGUACUCUCCAGUAAAAUGUUUUAGCUAAUCUCGUGAGCGCUAAAGUUUCUGUUUUUUACAGCAUGAUCAUAAAGACUUCACCCAAGUCUUCCCAAAGGUUCUACUUGGCACAAACACUAAUUAAAACAUAAAACCACAUCUAAACAGAAGCUAGAUGGAUUAUUUAUUACUAAACAGAACCAAAAAGCAAUAAACUAAAAUAAAAUUGGGUUGCCUCCCAACAAGCGCUAUCGUUUAACGCCCCUAGCUAGGCAUUAUGAUUUCAAUGAUGCUCACAUAAAACAUAAGAACUGAAACAUAAAGAGAGCAUCAUGAAGAAUAUUAUUAGCACAUUUAAGUCUAACCCACUUCCUAUGCAUAGGUAUUUUGUGAGCAAACAACUUAUGGGAACAAAAAUCAACUUGCAUAGGAAGGUAAAACAAGCAUAACUUUAAAACUUUAAGCACAUAGAGAGGAAACUUGAUAUUAUUGCAAUUCCUACAAGCAUACAUUCCUCCCUCAUAAUAAUUUUCAGUAGCAUCAUGAAUGAACUCAAAAAUAUAACCAGCACCUAAAGCAUUCUUUUCAUGAUCUACUUGCAUAGAAAUUUUACUACUCUCCACAUAAGCAAAAUUCUUCUCAUUCGGAAUAGUGGGAGUAUAAUAAGAGACUUGAAUACUAUAAAUUGUUUCCACAUUAAAAGAGUAAUGUUCAGAAAAAGCGUAAUCAUAAUCAUGACAAGUUUUAUAAAUAUAAUCAUCACUACUCUUUAUAGCAUAAGUUUUAUUACAAUAAUCAUCAUAAGUAGCAACUUUGUUCUCAUCAUAAUCGAUUGAAACCUCUUCCAAGAUAGUGGACUCAUCACUAAAUAAAGUCAUGACCUAUCCAAAUCCACUUUCAUAAAUAUUAUAAGAUUCAACAUCCUCCAAAAUAGUGGGAUCAUUACUUCCUAAAGUUGACACUCUUCCAAACCCACUUUCAUCAAUAUAAUCAUCAUAAGUAGGAGGCAUGCUAUCAUCAUUAUAAAUUUGCAUAUCAAAACUUGGGAGACUAAAAAUAUCAUCUUCAUUAAACAUAGCAUCCCCAAGCUUGGGACAAACAUUAAUUUCAGCAAAUAUAUUCUCAAAUAUGUCAUCAAACAUAGCUUCCCCAAGCUUGGGCCUUUUCAUAUCAUAAGCAUAAUCACUCUCAUCAUUAAUAGUAUGGAUAGCACCAAUAGUAUAGCAAUUAUCAUAUUCUUCCAAGCAAGUGCCAAAAAGAUUUUCAAGAUCAUAAGAAGUAUUAUUAUCUUCCCAAUCAUAAUCAUCACAACAAGCAAUAGGCAUAACGAGAUCAUCAUCAAGUGCAUCAUCUUCCACAAUUAUUUUUGAUUCAUUUUCACGAGGCACAACAAUAAUAGGAGCAACAUUAUUUGGGAGAGAUAUCUUUUUACCUCUCUUCCUUUUUCUUUUCUUCUUCUUCACCCCAUCAUGUGUGGAUUCAAUCCUCCUUUUGGAGCUCCUUAUUAAUGAGAUUGGUUGAAUAGAAGGCUCCUCCUCGUUACCUGAUUCAUCAUGAGAAAUAAUAGGAGGAUAUUGGGAAGUCUCUUCCCUUUCAUUAGUAUUUUCUUCAUCUUCUAUUUGUUUUAUUUUCUUUAUGUAGUUGGCAAUAUAUUGAUUUUCAAUGCAAUUCACCGCGCAAUACAUAUAAAUUUACUAGAUCAAUAUCGAGGAAUUUCUCGAGGUUAUAUUCUGGAAUAAUCUUAGUUUGACGUUUCAUUUCUUCAUAACCCAAAAGCAAACUAAGUUCAUUAUAAUGUGCAAGGGAAAUCAGGUCAUCACAAUAUUUGUACACGAUUAUCAUGAAACAAUUUGCAUUUGAUAUUUAAAUGACCAUGUUCAUUGCAAAGUUCACAAGUACGGCUAAGAUAUUUUAAAUUUUCAGCACUAACAUUUAGCCUUUCUUGCAACCAUUUAGUUUCUAAGUGUUUAUGCCUCUUGCAAUACCUAUCUUCCCUAUUUGGUGUAUACUUACAAACCCAAUACACUCCACAAAAAUCGACAUGCUUAUAAGAGAUAUUUUCAUCAUGACUAGUGCAAUCAUCAUUAGUACUAUGGAUAUUCAAGGAGUUCAUACUAACAACAUUGCAAUCAUGCUCAUCAUUCAAAGAUUCGGUGCCAAACAUUUUAAUGCAUUCUUCUUCUAACACUUUGGCACAAUUUUCCUUUCCAUCAUACUCACGAAAGAUAUUAAAAAGAUGAAGCGAAUGAGACAAACUCAAUUCCAUUUUUUUGGUAGUUUUCUUUUAUAAACUAAACUAGUGCUAAAACAAGAAACAAAAAGAUUCGAUUGCAAGAUCUAAAGAUAUACCUUCAAGCACUCACCUCCCCGGCAACGGCGCCAGAAACUGCUUGAUGUCUACUACACAACCUUCUUCUUGUAGACGUUGUUGGGCCUCCAAGUGCAGAGGUUUAUAGGACAGUAGCAAAUUUCCCUCAAGUGGAUGACCUAAGGUUUAUCAAUCCGUGGGAGGCGUAGGAUGAAGAUGGUCUCUCUCAAACAACCCUGCAACCAAAUAACAAAGAGUCUCUUGUGUCCCCAACCACCCAAUACAAUGGUAAAUUGUAUAGGUGCACUAGUUCGGGGAAGAGAUGGUGAUACAAGUGCAAUAUGGAUGGUAGAUAUAGGUUUUUGUAAUCUGAAAAUAUAAAAACAGCGAGAUAACCAAUGAUAAAAGUGAGCGUAAAUGGUAUUGCAAUGCUAGGAAACAAGGCCUAGGGUUCAUACUUUCACUAGUGCAAGUUCUCUCAAAUAUAAUAACAUAAUUGGAUCACAUAACUAUCCCUCAACAUGCAACAAAGAGUCACUCCAAAGUCACUAAUAGCGGAGAACAAACGAAGAGAUUAUGGUAGGGUACGAAACCACCUCAAAGUUAUUCUUUCCGAUCAAUCCAUUGGGCUAUUCCUAUAAGUGUCACAAACAGCCCUAGAGUUCGUAGUAAAAUAACACCUUAAGACACACAUCAACCAAAACCCUAAUGUCACCUAGAUACUCCAAUGUCACCUCAAGUAUCCGUGGGUAUGAUUAUAUGAUAUGCAUCACACGAUCUCAAAUUCAUCUAUUCAACCAACACAAAGAACUUCAAGGAGUGCCCCAAAGUUUCUACCGGAGAGUCAAGACAAAAACGUGUGCCAACCCCUAUGCAUAGGUUCAUGGGCGGAACCCGCAAGUUGAUCACCAAAACAUACAUCAAGUGGAUCACGUGAUAUCCCAUUGUCACCACAGAUAAGCAUGGCAAGACAUACAUCAGGUGUUCUCAAAUCAUUAAAGACUCAAUCCGAUAAGAUAACUUCAAAGGGAAAACUCAAUCCAUUACAAGAGAGUAGAGGGGGAGAAACAUCAUAAGAUCCAACUACAAUAGCAAAGCUCGCGAUACAUCAAGAUUGUGCCAAAUCAAGAACACGAGAGAGAGAGAGAGGUCAAACACAUAGCUACUGGUACAUACCCUCAGCCCCGAGGGUGAACUACUCCCUCCUCGUCAUGGAGAGCGCCGGGAUGAUGAAGAUGGCCACCGGUGAGGGAUCCCCCCCUUCGGCAGGGUGCCGGAAUCGGGUCCCGAUUAGUUUUUGGUGGCUACAGAGGCUUGCGACAGCGGAACUCCCGAUCUCUUCUGUUCUCCGAAGGUUUUAGGGUAUAUGGGUAUAUAUAGGAGGAAGAAAUACAUCAGGGGAGCCACAAGGGGCCCACGAGGGUGGAGGGCGCACCCCUUGCCUCGUGCCUCCCUCGUUGCUUUCCUGACGUGCACUCCAAGUCCCCCGGAUUGCUUUCUUUCCAAAAAUAACUUCUCCAGAAGGUUUCAUUCUGUUUCGACUGCGAUUGAUAUUCCUUUUCUUCAAAACACUGAAACAAGGGAAAAAUAGGAACUGGCACUGGGCUCUGGGUUAAUAGGUUUGUCCCAAAAAUAAUAUAAAAGUGUUUAAUAAAGCCCAUAAACAUCCAAAACAGAUAAUAUAAUAGCAUGGAACAAUCAAAAAUUAUAGAUACGUUGGAGACGUAUCAAUAUUCUACGAAGAUCUUUAUCGGUCGAACCGUUAUGACAACAUACGUAAUUCCCUUUGUCCAUCGGUAUGUUACUUGCCCGAGAUUCGAUCGUCGGUAUCUCUAUACCUAGUUCAAUCUCAUUACCGGCAAGUCUCUUUACUCGUUCCGUAAUACAUGACCUCGUUAACGGCAAGUCGUGAACUAGGUAUGGAGAUACCGGCGAUCGAAUCUAGGGCAAGUAACAUAUCGCCGGACAAAGGGAAUUGCAUACGGGAUUAACUGAAUACUUGACAUCGUGGUUCAACCGAUAAAAGAUCUUCGUGGAAUAUGUAGGAAUCAAUAUGGGCAUCCAGGUCCGGCUAUUGGUUAUUGACCGGAGAGGUGUCUCGGUUAUGACUACAUGAUUCCCGAACCCGCAGGGUCGCAUGCUUAACGUUCGUUGACGCUAGAGUAGUAUUGGGAUAUUUGAUGAUUGGUAAUAGAAUGUUGUUCGGAGUCCCGGAUGAGAUCCCGGACGUCACGAGGAGUCUCGGAAUGGUCGAGAGGUAAAGAUUAUAUAUGGGAAGUCAUAUUUUGGGUUUCGAAAAAAGAUGCAGUUUUUUCGGUAUUGUACCAUGAAGCUUCUAGAAGGUUCCGGAGGACUCUGGAGGGGUCUGGAAGUCCACAAGUGGGUCCACCAUGACCCAAGGGCUGGCAUGGGCUGAGGGGAGGCGCCCUGGCCUUAUUGGGCUAGGCGCACCAAGUCCUUAAAAGCCCAUGUGGCUAGGGAAGGGGAAAAGGGGGAGUCCUAGUAGGAAUAGGAUUGGACUUGGAGUCCAAGUCCUCUCCCCCUUGGCUGCGCCCUAGGGCUUGGAUGGGCUGUUCCCCAUGCCCACCACCUAUAUAUAGAGGGGAGGGGGCACCCCAAGAGGACACACCAAGCCCUUGGUGCCCCUCUCUCUCUCGUUACUCCGUAGUUCCUCCGUCCCCGUUCUAGUAGCGCUUGGCGAAGCCCUGCUGAACUAGCUACACCAUCACCACCACACCGUCGUGCUGGUUGUGAUUCCAUCUGCUUCUCCGCCUUCUCUUGUUGGACCAAGGAGGAGGAGACGUCAUCGAGCCGCACGUGUGCUAAACUCAGAGGUGCCGUCUGUUCGGCAGUAGAUCGGUUGGAUCGUGAUCGGAUCGCGGAGAGUACAACUACAUCAACCGCAUUAUAUAUGCUUCCGCUUUCAGUCUAUGUGGGUACGUAGACACACUCUCCCCUCUUGUUGCUAUGCUUCUCCUAUAUAGAUCUUGGGUGUUCGUAGGAUUUUUUUUUUAUUUUCAUGCUUCGUUCCCCAUCAAUUUUAAGACCGUUUUAGGGGCUACUGAUGGUGUCCUGGACUAGGGGUACUCACCAUGUCGUCUCCUGGCCAGGAGGGCCUGGCCGUGGACCCAUGUGGCUGUUAAUUACUAUGCCUCUUUGAGCAUCCCAUGACGUAUACAAGGAAGAUUCCACAUGACUUGGCACACAAGACGAGGAUUCUUCUUAAUCCUAGACCUCUCGUGCAUUAUAUAAACCGAGGUUAGGCUAGUCGAUAGAGCAUAUUCUAAGAUUCACUCACACAUGUGAUCUCGAGGUAUAUCAACAUAUACUUUGUACCCCAUCCAUAGUCAAUACAAUAUAAGCAGGACGUAGGGUUUUACCUCUUCGAGAGGGCCUGAACCUGGGUAAAUAAUGUGUCUCUUCUUCGUCCGGUUACCAUCUAGCCAAAAUCACCAGUUCAGGACCCCCUACCCGAGAUCUGCCUAAUUUAGCUCCGCCAGGCUACCCACCUCGCUCUCCACUGCCCUGUUGCUUCACGUGUUUGGAUCGAUCCGGGCCUUCAACCUACUCCAGACUUGCAACAGAUUUGGGAGUCCACCACGCCACCGGGUUUGGAUCCAAACAUUUGGCCUUCAGUUGCUCUAUUCAUCCUCUGGAAAAUGUGAGACUCAUGAAAUGCGCUCAUUUUCCAUGAUGAUUUCCAUACUUCCAACAUCACCAUCAGAAAAUACCGCGUUUGACUUAUCACUAUGGAUCUUCAGAUUCAAAGAUAUUACUCUUUGUGACACCGCUAGAUCAUGGAUAUUUUAUCUCUGUUCGAAGCUUCAGGCUCUUUCCUGAUGUAAUAACUGACUAUCGUGCUUGGUAAUAUGGCUGGAUCUUUUUGUGGUGGAUCGAUGUGAUGUCUUGCCUGGUGCUACUUCUUGAGCUUGCGUUGGUUUUUCCCUUGAAGAGGAAAGGGUGAUGCAGCAAAGUACAGAUAAAUAUUUCCCUCAGUUUGACAACCAAGGUAUCAAUCCAGUAGGAGGAACACACAAGUCACCAAUGGUUGCACCUACACAAACAAACAAAUACUUGCAACCAAUGCGAUAAAGGGGUUGUCAAUCCCUUCGCGGUUAUUUGCAAGGAUGAGAUCUGACAGAGAUAGGUAUAAAAGAUAAAUAAAAGUGCAAAAUAAGGUAAAGGUAAAUAAAUUGCAGCAAGGUAUUUUUUUGGUUUUGGGUUUUAUAGAUCUAAAAAUAAUAUGAUAAAAAUAGACCCGGGGGCCAUAGUUUUCACUAGAGGCUUCUCUCUUGAAAGAACACAUACGGUGGGUAAACAAAUUAUUGUUAAGAAUUGAUAGAAAAGCGGAAAGUUAUGACGAUAUCUAAGGCAAUGAUCAUGAAUAUAGGCAUCACGUCCGUGACAAGUAGACCGACUCCUGCCUGCAUCUACUAUUAUUACUCAACGCAUCGGCCGCUAUCCAGCAUGCAUCUAGUGUAUUAAGUUAACAAGAACGGAGUAAAGCCUUAAGCAAGAUGACAUGGUGUACAGGGAUAUGUCCAAUCAAUAUGAACUAAACCCCACCUUUUUAUCCUUAAUGGCAACAAUACAAAUAUGUGCCUCGCUACCCCUUUUGUCACUAGGUGAGGACACCACUAGAUUGAACCCAUUACAAAGCACCUCUCCCAUUACAAGAAAAAUCAAUCUAGUUGGCCAAACCAAAUCAAUAGAUCGGAGAGAAAUACAAAGCUAUCUUAAUCAUGCAUAAAAGAGUUUAGAGAAGACUCAAAUAAUAUUCAUAGAUAAUGUGAUCAUAAAUCCACAAUUCAUCGGAUCUCAACAAACGCACCGCAAAAUAAGAUUACAUCGAAAAGAUCUCCAAGAACAUCAAGGAGAACAUUGUAUUGAAGAUCAAAGAGAGAGAAGAAGCCAUCUAGCUACUAGCUAUGGACUCGUAGGUAUGUGGUAAACUACUCACACAUCAUCGGAAGGGCAGCAAGGUUGAUGUAGAGGCCCUCCGUGAUCGAAUCCCCCUCCGGCGGAGUACCGAAAUGGGUCUUCAGAUGGGAUCACGCAAGGAGAGAAACUUGCGGCAGUGGAAAAGUAUUUUUGGUGUGCCCUCUGGUAUACGGGGAAUAUUUGGUUAUUUAUGGAGCUAAGACUAGGGUUGGAGGAGCCACAGGGCGCCCACAAGCCUGCGGGGCGCCCCCCUAGGGCGCGACCUCCGAGCUUGUCGUGGCCUCAUGGCUCUUCUGGCAUCCUCUCGAAGCUUCCUAGGUGUCUUCUGGUCUAGGAAAAAUCGCCAAAAAGUUUUGUUCCAUUUGGACUUCGUUUGGUAUUGUUUCUAUAAAAGACCAAAACAAGGGAAAAAAUAGCAACUGGCACUGGGCACUAGGUUAAUAGGAUUGUCCCAAAAAAUGAUAUAAAAUAGCAUAAUAAUGCAUAUAAAACAUCCAAGAUGGAUCAUAUAAUAGCAUGGAACAAUAAAAAAAUUAUAGAUAUGUUGGAGACGUAUCACCUGGUUGCACCAUCGAAGGAGCCACGAGCGUCAAUUAGAAUCCGAAAACGGACGAUGCGGCCGCCAAUAGCUUACACACUAAGAGAAUCUCUAACCAAUCCCCUAUUCAAUGUUAGAGGAGGAUAAAUUUCGUUAUCCUCCUCUAACCGUCACCUAACCAAACCCCUAUCGCCAUUGGAGGAGGAAAUUUUAUCCUCCUCGAAUGCCCCAACUCCUAAAUAUGCUUGUCUGCCCUUCUGCAGAGUAGAAGAUUUGGCCUCUUCCCCCACACCCGUGUCGUCGCCGGUCUUGCUUCCAACGACUACCCAGCGCCUCCGCCAACACCCCAUUGCCUCCACCGCCCUCGCAGCCCACCCACCCCACUCUGAGCCGGUCACCGGCCGUUGCUGUCACUAGAAACAAGCUCCAUCACUGUCUCCACCACAUGGAUUUCGUUCUCGGAAGGACGAACCGGAUCUUCUUCCUCUGAGACUCUCCGUCCACUGUCGGACAUCUCUAAGCCUGACCAACCACUAGCGACCGCUCAAUAUCAUCAACUGGCCGUGAAAACUCCUCUGCCCUUCAACGGUUGGCCUAGGUGAGUUUUCUUUGUGCUUUUUUCAUCUCAUUGUUCUUUUGUCAAUUCAGAUGAACCGUGUCAUUUAUAGUCAAGAUGAAGUGGUUGAGAGAGAUGAUCUUUGAGGACUCUUUGUUAUCGGAGGAGUAAGAAGACGAUGGUGACUUUGAAAUGGACAUUGCCAUGAUUUUCCAUGAAGAUUCUUGGUGGCCGAGGAGAGGUCACAAUUUGGCCAUAUACACCUCAACUGAGAUAGAGAGGAGGUCAUGCCAAGAUCAUGAGAUUAUUUUGACCCCGGUCCAACCUACCCGAAUAAGUAUUUUUGCUGGCGAUUUCAAAUGCACACAAGUCUUUUUCCCCAUUGCAAAAUCCAGGGAGAAGCAUGAUGAUUGGUUCAAACUCAGGAGAAGUCAUCCGGAGAGAUAAGUGUGAGCCCUUUGAUGAAGUGUAUCGCGGUUGUGCGAGUGCUCGCCUAUGAGUGUUUGGCCAAUGUCAUUGACGACUAUGUCUGUGUUGGAGAAAAUACAAUCUUGGAGGCUAUUUGAAGGUACGCAAAAGCCAUGAUUGGGAUUUUUGGGCCGGGGUACUUGAGUGCACCCACCGAUGAAGACACCGAGAGGCUGUUGGCUUUGAGUGAAGAAUGAGGAUGGCCUGGGGUGCCUUAAUCAACUGACUGCAUGCACUGGACAUGGAAGAGUUUUCCUGCAUGAUGAAAAGGUCAGUACAAAGGCCAUUGCAAAUCCAGCAAACAUUCUUGAGGCUGUUGCAUCAGAGGAUCUAUGAAUUUUGUAUUCAUUCUUUGAAUUACCUGGCUCUCACAAUGACCUGAAUGUGUUGUCGAGAUCACCACUGUUCGCUAGGCUACUUGCCGAAGAUGCUCCUCCUUGCAACCAUGUUGUCAAUGUUCAUGAGUACACGAUGGGUUACUACCUUGCAGAUGGCAUCCAUCCUCCAUGCGACACAUUUUUCAAGACAAUCGCACGUCCGAAAGGUAACAAGAGGUCUUAUCUUGCAAUACUCAAGAUUCGAUAUGGAAGGAUGCCGAGAGAGCUUUUGGCGUGCUUCAAAAGCGCUUUGGCAUCAUUCAUGGCCUUGCCGAGUAUUGGAACCCAAGGUCCUAUGGCAAAUCAUGACAUGUUGCAUCAUCUUGCAUAACAUGAUUAUUGAAGAGGAGAGAGGCAUGCUUCAGAACUUUCAGCGCAUCUUCAAUGGGGAUCCUGUUGUGCCGAAGCAUGAUGCAAACAUGAUACAAAGAUUUCUCGUAGCACAUUGCAACAUUGAGAACCGAGAAGUUCAUACCCGACUCCAAGAUGAUCUUGUUGAGCAUUAGUGACAUCUCCAUAGCACUUCAUAAUUGUGCUUUUAUCAUGCCCUUUACUUCAUUUGAACCCUUCCCUGUGUUUGAAUUUGAAUAAUAUGAUUUGUAAACUUUGAAUUUGUAAUAUUUGUGAAUUAUGUGAACAUUAAUUAUUAUGUUUGUACUUAAUUUGUGUGCAAAUUAGUAGUUGAAAUGUAGUGUGUACACUGAAACUAGAAAGAUUUGGUAAGAAUUUUUUUUAAGGAGUUAAGUAUUGGGGAUCGGUUAGAAAUGAAUUUUUGUAGAGGAGCAAAUAUGCUCCUCUAAAGUAUACUUGGUUGUAUCCUUCUUUAAAUUAGAUUCCUUUUUUCCUUGCAAAAAAGUAUCCUUCUUCAAAUUAUAGGGGGUCGGUUAGAUAUGCUCUAAAAAAUGAUAUUAACGGCAAUACACUCACACUAUAGCAAGAGAGAGGCUAGCAAGCAGAGCAGGUAGAGAAUGGAGAGGCUAGGGAAUUAACGAAAGAUCGGACAUCAGAGAGAGACAGAGACAGGCAGAGAGAGAGAGAGAGAGAGGGGAUAAGAGUGGCUAGCGAGAGAGCGAGACAAACAUGGUGGCACGGUACAUCAUCGCCGUGACUGCCAUGGCGUGUCGUGCGACGGUGCUGCUCCUCGUUGUCUUCACAACCACAUGUAUAGGCAUCAGAGGCGACUAUGGCUUCAGCGCGUUUAUGUAAGUAUUCACCGAUUUCUGCUGAAAACAAAUGGAUCAACAAGCUAGGAGUGGGUGGGGGGGCAAUUGUCCCCUCUUUUCUUAAAUAAUUAUUUACACUGGACUAUUGGCACAUGUAUUGCAUAAUAUAGAACUAUAGCUAAUACUGUGGACAUCCCCAAAGUAUCUGGAUUAAAAGUUUGUUUUCGCUACAAGUACAGUGUAUUUAUCCCCUUAACCCCUUAUAAAAAAUUGAUGUGCACCUAGUACCAAAUAAAUGGUUCGUAGAAACCAGCCAUCAAAGUUGGCCAUAAGUAUGUGUGGAUCAACAACACAUGCCGAGUAUUCUAUAACUAUUAACAAAGUAAGAGGACCACAUGACAUAUAUGGCAAGCAAUUCAAAGUAAUUCAAAAAAGUAAGAGGCUUUUUUUACCGCUGUAAUUUCGUCCGUUUUUGUCCAUCCACCUCACAUGUCCUGUUUCGUAUGUCAUACUCAUCUUCGAAAGUCGCAUGUCCAGAAUUUGUAUAUCUAUUAUGGGCUGGUAAAAAAAUUGCUCUUUUAUGCAUGUGCUAUUUUUUAAAAUUUCCUUUUGCAAUUGAUAGUCCCACCUUACUGCAUUAAAAUAAAUCCUAACAACUUAUAUAUGUUCGUGGGUUGUAAGAAUCAAGCAAGAUAAGACACCAACCAAAAUAGGAUGAGAUAUAUGGAUCAUCUUUACACUUGAGAAAUAAAGAAGAAUGAGAACGGGGCGUCUCUCCAUUGGAUUGGCGCCUAAGUUGGCUGCCAGCUUGCCCGCGUUUCAGCCUCGGCUCUAGCGCGAGGUUCUCGCGGAGGUUUCUUCUAUAAAAGAAAGCCAGCAAGGGUUAGCCCUAGAUUGGUCGCAAUUAUCACUACUGCAGGAUGGUCCAAACGUGAUAGUAUGAUCAGAGACCCUUCGACGAAACUGUGUGCGAUGCCAUAAUCGCAAAAGGUGGUGUAAAAAACCGUCAAAAAAGGUGCAAAACGUUUGCGAUGACGGAUGCAUCAAACACGGUUCAGAUUUUAGUUGCGCGUGCGAUGCAGGGCAUACAGUUCAGUUUAACUGUUUGGGAUGAGGAGGAACAAAAGAAACGGGCAGCCAGAUGAAGGUGUGUGUGAUAUACAGCAUACGGUUUACUAGGAUGAACUGUGUGUGAUUAGGCAACACAAUGGAAACGGUUCAACUGAACAAGAUGUGUGUGAUACGCGGCAAACAGGUCCGUAAUCAGAAAUGUGUGCGAAGACCAAUAAUAACACAAACGAUUGCUGCUAAUAAGCCGUGUGAUUUGCUCUGUCUACAGAAGAAUAACAUGUAUAUAUAACUGAAAUAAACAUCCAAUUACAUAAGUGACUAUACAGAUCAUUCACACACACCUCAAUAAACAAUUGCAUGCAUUCUAAAGUAGGAGAAACGAUCGUCUAGUCAUCUACUUCUUGUGACGCUCCCGCCACUCCUCUGUGGCUCGAUCCCUCGUCUGGGGCAGGAAGAAGACACUUCCUCAUGUCAACGAUCUGCCUGUACAUCUCGUAGCUUGUGUACGCGUCCUUGGCAGCGUACUUGACAUGUUGUUCAUCCAGUCUCUCAUGCCACACACUGUGCCACGCGUUCUUGUCCUUGCUCUCAUUCUUCAUCUUCAUGUAGUAGGGGUCGAUGAUGGCCGAGGCGAGGUCAACUAGGGAGUUCAGUUUGUUUUUGUCGCUGCCCCAAACCUUGUAGUGGUGCUGGAUGUUGACAAGAUUCGAGCGUUUCAAGCCCGAAACCUUGAGCGCUUUUAGAUCGUUGGUGGUGUCCACCGUAGCGAAACUAUAGUCGGAGCUAUUGAUAAACCUGGAGAAACGCUCACAAGGCCUUGUGGCAAGGUGGUAGUGGUAGACGAGGAUGUCAUGUCGCACGCACAACUGGGUGACGGCAACCUUCUGAUCGUGCCCGGCAUGACCGAUGGUGUACUUGAGGUCGAAGCCGACCACUUGGUACUUGUCCUCGGCAAGGAACUGCUCCAUAGUUUGGAUGGAGCUCUCCACCGAGACCGGACGUUCGUGUACACCACAGAGAGGGCCUUCCCCCUCACGUGGGUGUCCACUACGUGUUGCGUGGUGAACUGCCCGCCGUUGUCGUCGUCGAACGCUGGGAGCGCCAUUGGAGCCACGGGGAUCGCCAUUGGAACCGCUGCAUGUCCUCUCUGUAUGUGUCGUCGUGGGUGUGCUUAUUGUGUCGUGUGACGCGAGAGAUGAAGGUAAAUGGCCGCAGGAAUAAAUGGGGGCCGGGCGGCCUGGAUUCUCUGCGCGUCCGCAUGGUAGUUUUUGCAGCGGGUAACUGCACACACGAACGUGCGUGAUCGUGCGCCGGCCCCAAACACUGGCAGCGCGUGUGGAGGGAUGAGGGCAGAGCACACGGAGGGACGCGAGAGUGCUCGGCGACCAGCCCAUCAAUGCUACAGGGAUGGUCGCUGGCGCAGGCACAGGGAUGGGAGCUGGGACAGAGCGGGGGCAGCAACCGCCGCAGCCAGCUCGUUUUAGGCCAUGUCCAUGAGGCCCAAUUCCUCCUUAUUUUCUAUCUCCUCCGGCUCGGAGUUGACUUCACCAAACUUGAAGACUAGUGGCAAAUGAUCCUUCUGCGCCAUGGCGUUGGUGGAGGUCUACGGGAGGGAGGGGAAUGGGAGGCGAACAGUAAGGCCGCCCGUAUUAAGCAGCGGCUCGGGUGCUAUUAAUGGAGAGGAAGGCGGGCGGCCAUGGAAGUCAAAGGGCUCGCUUCCCAGUGAGCCUGCGCAGUGUACAGCUCGCACGCUUCCCGGUGAGCCUGCGCAUUGGAGGACACUUGCACGCCUCUCGGUCAGCCUGCGCACCGGACUGCGCUCGCACGCCUCCCGUUCAGUCAAGGUCAAGCAGCUGUCCGCACGGCACCUCCUAUACCAAUUAAAACUAAGACACAUGGCAUCACGUGAAUGGUUAACAGAAUGUACACGGUUUGAAUUAUACAAACGUUUGAGAUAUUAAAGUGGCAGCUAUUUUUUCAAAAUGUCUUUGUUGGCUGUUACUCGAGUGCGCCUUCUCUCAAAAUGGACAUGAAAAUACCACAGCAUGUCGGGUGCCAUUCCAUGAUAGCAUGCCAAGUUUCAUGAAUUUCAGACGAGUUUUGUAUUUACUAUAAUUUAAAAACAAAGUAUCUCAACGUUUUGCCGGCAAUCAACGGUGCCUUGUUGUUUGAAAUUCAUUCCCAUUUUUUGCAAGGGACCUAAGCAUGCACCCAAAGACACAUAUUUGAUUUUUCAACCAAUUUAUAUGCACUGGAGCAUGUGCAUGUAGUUCAAGUUUGAAUUAUGCACAUAAAUGCAUUGAAAACUCAGUUAAUGCAUAAAAAUGUCCACACGAACCCUGAAAAAUCACAACAAUUGACACAACACUCCUGUUGUUCUAUGUUGACAUGAGAAAAAUUUGGAAAGCAAUAAGAGGCAAUGGAUAUCAUUUCGUCCCCAAAGGUGGGGCGUUCCCUACCGAAACAAUCAUGCUUGUUGUGAGAAGCUCUGGUUUGUGAGAAGCAUAUACCCAAACCUGCCCCAAUUGGGACAAAAAUUUUACCACGGCAUGUUGCUGCCGCUCCAUGAUAGCAUGCCAAGUUUCAUGAAUUUCAUACGAGUUUUGGAUUUACUAGAAUUUAAAAACCAGGUAUCUCAAUGUUUGCGGCCGAGUGACGGUGGCAGGGUGUUUGACAUUCAUUCCCAUUUCUUGCAUGGGACCUAAGCAUGCAACCAAUAACACAUAUUUGAAUUUUCAACCAAUUUAUAUGCAUUAGAGCAUGUGCAUGUAGUUCAAAUUUCAAUUAUGCACAUGAAUGCAUUGAAAACUCAAUUAAUGCAUACAAAUGUCCAAACAAACCCUGAAAAAUCACAAAAAUUGACACAACACUCAUGUUGUUCUACGUUGACAUGAGAAAUUUUUUGAAAGCAAUAAGAGGCAAUGGAUAUCAUUUCGUCUCCAAAGGUGGGGCGUUCCCUACCGAAACCAUCAUGCUUGUCGUGAGAAGCUCUGGUUUGUAAGAAGCAUAUACCCAAACCUGCCCCAAAUGGGACAAAAAAAUUACCACGGUAUGUUGUUGCCGCUCCAUGAUAGCAUGCCAAGUUUCAUGAAUUUCAGACGAGUUUUGGAUUUACUAGAAUUUAAAAACAAGGUAUCUCAAUGUUUGCGGCCGAGUGACGGUGGCAGGGUGUUUGACAUUCAUUCCCAUUUCUUGCAUGGGACCUAAGCAUGCAACCAAGGACACAGAUUUAAAUUUUCAACCAAUUUAUAUGCAGUAGAGCAUGUGCAUCUAGUUAAUGCAUAAAAAAAUUGACACAAUUAAUGCAUUGAAAACUCAAUUAAUGCAUAAAAAUGUCCAAGCGAACCCCGAAAAAUCCCAAAAAUUGACACAACACUCCUGUUGUUCUAUGUUGACACUAGGAAGAAAAUUGAAAUCGAGAAGAGGCAAUGGAUAUCGUUUCAUCCAGAAAGGUGAGACAUUCCCUACCAAAACCAUCAGACUUCUGGUGAGAAGCAUAUCCCCAAACCUGCCCCAAAUGGGACAAAAAAAUUACCACGGCAUGUUGAUGCCGCUCCAUGACAGCAUGCCAAGUUUCAUAAAUUUCAGACGAGCUUUGGAUUUACUAGAAUUUAAAAACCAGGUAUCUCAAUGUUUGCGGCCGAGUGACGGUGGCAGGGUGUUUGACAUUCAUUCGCAUUUCUUGCAUGGGACCUAAGCAUGCAACCAAGGACAGAGAUUUGAAUUUUCAACCAAUUUAUAUGCAUUAGAGCAUAUGCAUGUAGUUCAAAUUUGCAUUAUGCACAUGAAUGCGUAGAAAACUCAGUUAAUGUAUAAAAAUGUCCAAGCGAACCCCGAAAAAUCCCAAGAAUUGACACAACACUCCUGUUGUUCUAUGUUGACACUAGGAAAAAAUUUGAAAUCCAGAAGAGGCAAUGGAUAUUGUUUUGUCCAGAAAGGUGAAAUGUUCCCUGUCGAAACCAUCACACUUGUUGUGAGAAGCUCUGGUUUAUGAGAAGCUUAUACCCAAACCUGCCCCAAAUGGGACAAAAAUUUUACCACGGCAUGUUGAUGCCGCUCCAUGAUAGCAUGCCAAGUUUCAUGAAUUUCGGACGAAUUUUGGAUUUACUAGAAUUACAAAAGCAAGUACAUCGAUGUUUGCCGGAGAGCCACGGUGCCGUGGUGUUUGAAUUUCAUCCCCAUUUCUUGCAUGGGACAUAAGCAUAAACCCAUGGACACAUAUAUGAUUUUACAACCCAUGUUGGUGCACCGGAGCAUGUGCAUGUAGUUUAAUUUUGAAUUGUGCACCUGAAAUGGCUAGAAAACCAAUUUAAUGUAUAAAAUUUUCAAAUGAACCCUGAAUAAUUCUAAUUCUUUUACGACACACAUAUAGUUGCAUGUUCACUGUAGAUAAAAGGUCUAGCAAUUCAAACACCGUCCAUUGCCGCUGUGACCCCAUUAUUUAAUUCAAAUCAAGAUGAAAAAUCAAGUAAAUCCCACACAAUUUAUUAUCACCAACCGUGUGAGAUGCAGCACAAAAUAUCCUGGAGCACCGUCGGUGCAUAGAACGCCUAUGGCUUACGCGAGAAGGUGUGUCGGCUACAGUCCACAGUCGGCGUCUCAAGCACACUAGCUCGCUCCCUAAAUAUCAUUUCACUGUUCAAUCAUCGCCGGUGAAAGAUGGGCACGUGGACUCGCGUCGUGAGGGCAACUUCGGUGGCCCACUCUGGGGAGAGCGUGGCCGCAGCCGCCAUGCGCAUGCUAACAAGGUGCAUGAGCGCGGCCGCAAUCUGCGACCGGGUGGCCAAGGCAGCCCAAACGGCUCCUGUUGCUUCUCAGGUGGCGGCAGCAACAUCUGCCUCGGGGAUAGCAACUGGCGAGAGCAGCACAGCAGCUGUCCGUUCCACAGCGACGGCCUUAGCCCUGAUGGAGGCCGCCCACGCCCAGCUCAUGGCGGUCACCGCACAAAUUGAAUGAAGCUUCUCCGACAACGGUCGGCAACCCACGGCCGAAGUGUUGGCAAUCGCCGAGAGCGUUCGAGCAGCCGUCCGUUCCUCCGCCGCAUACCUUGCAACGACGGAGCCCGUCCAAGCCCAGAUCACGGCCGCCCACGCCCAGCUUGUGGCGGCCUUUUCCAAAGAGAUUGCGGAUGCGGAUGGCGAGAUGCUUGCCGAGUAUGGUGUUAUGGAUGCCAUGGAGCCCGUUCCCCAGGAGACCGUCGGGCACGAGCUGGACAUGGAGGCGGCGGCGGAGAUCGGCGAGCACCAGCCAUAGUAGUACUCUUUGUUUUGUUUAAUUAAGAGCGCCGGUCUUUAAUUUGUUAGAGUAAUGUUUAGGUCAGCUAGCUCUGUUUAAUUGCUGAACUUGCUCGAUUAAGAAGUGUGCGUAUGCCAUAGUCUCCUUUGUGUACCCAAAUUGUGCAAUGACGUGGAUGACCAGUGUAACCUGGGACAUUCGAACCAAAAAUUUUGACGUUCAAACUCAUCACACACGAGUUAAGCUAUCUGAAUUGUUUGUGAUGUUCACAUAUCGUACACAGUUCUAAAUAAGGGACCGUGUCUGAUGACACUUUGCGCGCCAGUUUUUUCGCUGAAGUGAUUCCAAAUUUUCGGCUUCCGCGGAAAUAUCUACCUCCCCCCCUUACCAAAAGCCACAUUUCCCAUGUUUCCUCCUUCCUUUCCAAGUUGAAACCUUCACUCCUUGCUUGCAGCACCGCCUCCUCGCCGGCGACCCUCCUUCACGUUGCUCGGCCUCGUCUAUCUAGGCAGGUAAUCCACACCCGACCGCCAUCCUCCUCCUCCUUCCACAUCCCACAUGCCCCGACCGCCGGCGCGACACCUUCCACCCAAAUCACCGACCCCUCCACCAAAUAAGUGCCGCCCUAAGCCAUGGUGCACGCAGUAUAGCUAGGAUCUCAAGGAGCAUUUGGCAGCGGAGAAGCAAAUCACGGCCGCACGCGCGGAUGAGGUCGCGAUGGCUGCCAUUCGUGCCGACCCCUAGAUCUUGGAGGAGCACCUUGCCAUUUGCUAGCUACGCCGGUUAAGCAUGCUCGGUUUACCCGUUGCGUGUGCUGCUCCUACCUUUCCUUCACAAAUUCUAGUGAACUGUGCUAUCUAAUUUUACCAUGCAAUCUGUUACUCUAGUGUAUUUGUUCUAUAUGUCGUGCAGUGUGGUGCUCACUUAUUAACUAUUUUGUUAAUUAGUUGUCGUCUUCAGUUAACUAUUUGGUUCAAUUCUGCAAAUGUGAUGUUCAAUUCUUCAGGCUACAAUUUUGUAUUGUCUUCCAUGUGAAAAAUAAAUCGAAUUUAUCUUUACAAAAUACAUGAGAAACGAAUACAAUUGCUAUAUUUCCAAGUUGUCAAGCAUGCUUGGUUUGGUUAUACAUUGUGCAAUGUGGUGCUCAGUUAACGUUUGGUUCAUUUGUGUUGUGGUGUUUAGUUAACUGUUUGGUUCAGUUCUGCAAUGCGAUGUUCAAUAGUUGUGGGUGCAUUCUGUUAUUGUAUACCAUGUGAGGAAUAAAUUGAAUUUGGCUAUAGUAAAUACAUGAGAAAUAAAUACAAUUGCUAUAUUUCCAAGUUGUUAAGCAUGCUUAGUUUGGUUAACUGUCUGAUCUUCUAUUAGGAGUAUGUUAUAUUGUGCAAUGUGGUGCUUAGUUAAUGUUUGGUUCAUUUGUUGUGGUGUUUAGUUAACUGCUUAGUUCAAUUCUGCAAUGCGAUGUCCAAUUGUCGUGGGUAGAAUUUUGUAUUGUUGUGCAUUUGAGGAAUAAAUCGAAUUUGGUUGCACUUAAUACAUGAGAAACAUAUACAAGUGCUAUAUUUCCUAGUUCUUAAUCAUGCUUGGUUUGGAUAAAUGGGUUUUCCAUGUGGCUUGAAUUAAUCUGAUGAAUCUGCAAUGUGAUUAUUUUUCAUCAACAUAUUUUACUAAUAUCACACGGACCCUUACUUAACCUGAUGACUAACUACCUUAUAUGUGUUGUAGGGAAACAAUGGGAAACUGAGGUUUACAAUCGAGGUUAGCACGUGCAUGGUCUGUUGUCUAAUAUCACAUUAUUGUGCAAUUGCAGCAACCAUUCUAAUAUUUAGGUUUCUAACAAUUUGGUCUUGCACAUGUAGGUCCUGCUGUCAGAGGUUUUGACCCACUGUUCGAACUUUUUUGCAUAUGGGGAAAUGAGUUGUCCAUGAAUAUCAAUCAAAUCAAGAAACUUAGAAAGAUUGUUAGGAUAAAGAAAUUAGCGACAAAAAACAACAAGAUCUUUGUCUGCACAAUGAAGAAGACAUCAGUUCACUACAACAUGGUACUAACUAUUAUACCUUGUCUUUUUUAUUCCUUUGCCCCAUUUCCAAUAUAGAGAAGAUAUUUAUGCACAUCCUUGUUUUCAGGCCUUUCCAAAGCUGUUCACUAAUGAUUACCUCUCAAACCACCUCUAUGGUUAGGAGGCGAGGAAGGUUUUCAUACAACACCCACGGUUCAAUAUUGAAGUGUUCCUGAAGAGGACGAAGGACGGAUGGUCAAUCAUCCAUAGGCACUGGCCUAAAGUUGCAAAGACCUUCAACAUUAAUGAAGGCUCAAUAUUCGCCUUCCGCUUCAGCAGUUUUCCAGAUGAGAUGCAUCUGUCUAUAUACCGUCUAUGAUGCUAAUUUUGAAAGGUUCUAUAUGUUGCAUGUGAAACUUGGUGCUGGUGCAGUUGUGUAAUGGGGUAGCUGAGUGCUGAAGCUAUAUCAUGGUGCACUCUGAUGUAUUUCAAUUAUGAAAUCCUGCUUCCUUAAUAUGGAAAUGAAAUAUAUUAUGUGCUUAAUAUGAAUGUCAGUUAGAUUAAUAAAUGGAUUAUUAAUAAUAGGGCAAUUAUCCUACUAAUGGCAAAUUAACCUGCUAAUUGGGUUUCGCUAUUGCAAACGGUUAUUGAGAAAAUACCAUGGGCGAUGACCUCAAGCAACGCACACAGUUUCUAGGAAUAAACCUUGUUGGAUCAAUGAACAAUCACACACGACCUUCUCUUGAAAACUGUUUGUGUUAGGCCACCUUGCGCAAACGUUUACCACAUAAAAACUGUGUGUGAUGGACAUCCUUUGCCACAAAGUUUCUUCUAUGCACCGUGUGUGAUGCAUUCAAUAACGCAAACGAUAAAAUUGUUAAUAUCAUGUGCAAUGGCAACGCUAUCACAAACGAUUUAACGGGGAAAAUUGUGUGUGAUGUACCUGUGAACGAAAACGUUUUCCUUGAAGCGACUGUGUGAGAUGUACAUACGAACGGAAACGUUUAGCGGGGACUGACUGUGUGGGAUGUACUUGCCACCGGAAACAAUUUUGCCUGUAUAAUUGUAUUUUUUUUAGCUCUAUUGUACAUAUUACCGUAUUUGAGCGCUCGCCGGUCGCACACGAUAUCAUUUUGACGAGCAUGUGUGCCAGGAGGGCAUAUCCCCGACGGUUUCUGGGUCAUGUGGGAAGGACCCCCUAUCGCCGUCAUCACUAGGCGACGGUUCCAAAUGCCGUCGCGGAAAGGGGUUAAAAACCAUUUGUAUAGCACCGACGCGUACCAGUGUAUAAAUAAAGAAGAAUAAAAAAGCAGCACGCGUGCAUGCCUAGCUCGAGAGCAGAAAAGACACGAGAGGUGUUCGAUUACCUGCAUUAGGCCCAGCCAGGCCUGCGCGGGCAGUUUUCAGUCUGUUUGGUUGCUCGGGUCGCAUCUAAAAGUUGGUCCGCAUGAAACUUAAAGCACCUCUGGGCCUACAUCUAGAGGAACGCUCAAAUCGGUUGUUUUUUUAGGGCCAGGCCUGAGCGGUCCUACCCUAGGCACGUGAGAGUCUGCGGUUGCACGCGUGGAUGCGGUCCAGAGACAUCACAUUAUUUCUCGAAUCUGCGUCGUAAAUUACGCUCACCCCCUUUCCUCGCCGCUCUCUCCCCUCUUCCCCACUCACAUCAGUGGCAGCGACCACCAGAGUGAAUUCAAGACGAUACAAGACGGCGGCGAGCACCAGAUUGACUAGCGGAUCGGCCAUGGCAGUAAGCCCUUACCCUGUCUCUCGAUUUACUGCUUCCGGGUCACGGUAGAUUUGAUUUGUGGACAGGGUUGGAACACAUCGCGGGUCAGGGAUUGGGGUACAAACUUGUUUAGAAGCACCUAAUCCUAGUCGUGACGACCCUGGAGUCACAUCGAGCGGCAGCCGGGAGGGGGGAGGGGCGUAGCCAUCUUCUUUUCUUCCACCACCGCAGCAGCUGCAGUCUCGUCCUCAUAGUCUUCAUCAAGAAUGAUGUAUAUUGCACGGUCGCCUGCCGCCGGCGCCCUGUCCACCAUCUGCACCGCGUCGUUGGCUUCCUGCGGUGACACCAACGUCCUAGUCCAGUAUGUUGUGGCACGCUGGUCUUGAGGCGCCUUGUACUCCCUGUACUUGGCCCAUCUUGUCCUCUAUCCAGUGUCGCCCGAGUCUGCCUGAUUCAUGGCCCAACACAGGAUGUACACUGACAUUGCGCCCUUGUCUGGGCCAGAAAUCAGUGUCUUCAGCUCGUCCAAUGUAGCCUUCUUAAUCACAGCAUCGGCUUCCUUGUGCAUGUCUUUGAUGCUGCUGAAGUUCGAGCACACUUCCAUGGUGUUCUCUAACUUCACGGGGGCACCUAGCGAGCACUUGAGGAAGAAGGCCCUCCAUCCAAUGCCCCAGGGGAAAGGGUUGGGGUUGGAGUUCAUGGUGAGGGAGAGGUGUAAGAGGAGAGGAGGUGAAACAAAGAGAUCCAAGACGAGAGGUGGUGAAACAAAGAGGGUUUGACUGUGGUGCUAGGUAAGUAGUGUGGGUAAAUAUAGGACUAUUGGGCCGAUGGGAAUGAAUGCUGACCUUUGAACUGCGUCAUGUUCGUAAUGCAGAUCGACAAGGGCAAGGAGGUCAUGCCACCAUUGCAAAGGGCAAGCAAGUCGUGCCGCCAUUGGUCAACGUGCCAGUGCAGGAUCACCCAAGCGCCAAGCCGAGGAACUAUGGGCACUACCAUGAGGAGUCAGGACCAAGCCACUUUUGCAAGGUUAUCCUUGCUUCGAAGCUGGAGAGUCUGUCAUUACCUCUGGAGCUCACGAAGCACUUCCCCGCCAUCCCUACAGAGUUCAAGCUGAAGACAAACACCGGCUAUGCAUGGAGGGUCAUGGUGAGGGUGGUCGACGAUAGGGUCACCCUUGAUCAGGGUUGGGCCACCUUCGCCGUCGUUCACCAGAUCAUUAUCGGGUACAUGGUGACAUUCAAGUUGCUGACCCACGACACCAUGAAGGUGAUCUUGUUCAACGACGACGGCGUGGAGGUGGUCACCAAGUGCAAUAAACACGACAAGGCCUUCGCUGUGACCUCCUAAAUGAGCUCCCAUUGCUCGUUCUGUGUUAGUUGUUGGUUUUAGACUAUAUUAUGUGUUGAGUUUCUGUUUAAAACUUAUCGUACUAUGUUAAACUUCUAUGCAUGGUUAAGACUUUGAUGUGUGCAUAAGUUUGUUCUGGUUGCUCUAGUUUUGUUGUUAGCUAUCCGUGUGUGUCUAUGGUAACCCACUACUGCAGGAUGCUGCUAACGCAACACUACGAUCAGAAACCCUUCGACAAAACUGUGUGCGAUGCAAUAAUCGCAAAUGGUAAUGUAAAAAAACCAUCAAAAAAGAUACAAAACAUUUGCGAUGACGAAUGCAUCAGACACAGUUCAGAAGUUAGUCGUGUGUGCGAUGUGGGGCAUACGGUUCAGUUCAAUGAACUAUUUGCGAUGAGGCAAAAGAACAGAAACGGGCAGCCAGAUGAAGGUGUGUGCGAUAUACAGCAUACGGUUCACUUGGAUGAACUAUUUGUGAUUAUGCAACACAAAAGAAACGGUCAGCCAGAUCAAGGUGUGUGCGAUAUACGGCAUACGGUUCACUCGGAUGAACUAUUUGCGUUGAGCCAAGAGAACAGAAACGGUUCAAUUUAACAAUAUGUGUGUGAUACGCGGCAAACAGGUCUAUAAUCAGAAAUGUGUGCGAAGACCGAUAAUAACACAGACGAUUGCUGCUAAUAAGACGUGUGUGUUGUGUGUUGGGAUUGCAUACAGAACAACAACAUAUAUAUACACACACUUAUAAGGACACGGUUGCAUAACCAAAUUAAACAUCCAAUUAAAUAGGUGGCUACUACACACAUGACAUUUGCACACACCAAAGUAAACUAUUACCUGCAUAAUUACAUAGGUGGCUACUACACACAUGACAUUUCCACACACCAAAGUAAACUAUAUAUUACAUGAAUGAUUAACUAGGAUAAACGAUCAUCUGAUCAUCAUCUACUUCUUGUGACGCUUGCUCUGCUUGUGGGUAACGAGGCACUUCCUCAUGUCAACGAUCCGCCUAUGCAUCUCGUAGCAUGUGUACACGCUCUUGGUCGCAAACAUGAGGUGAGUUUCGUCCAGUUGUGGCAUCCAGGCCCCAUGUCAGGAUACGAGACAUGUUCUGUUGGCAUCCUACUUCAUCUUUUCGUAGUAUGGGUCGAUGAUGGCCGAGGCGAGUUCAACCAGGGAGUCCUUCUUCGUGCUGCCCCAGACCCUGUAGUGCUCACGGAUUUCGACAAGGUUCUCGCAGGCCAAGCCCGUAACCCUAAGCGCCUUACAUCGUCGGUGGUUUCCACCGUAGCGAACAUGUAGUCGGUGUUGUUGACAAACCUGGUGAAAUGGUCGCAAGGCUAUGUGGCCAUGCAGUAGUGGUAGAUGAGGACAUGAUGGCACGCACAACUGGGCGACGGCAACCUUCUGAUCUAUGUUGGGAUGACCGGCGGUGUACUGGAGGUCGAUGUCGACCACCUUGUACUUGUCUCGAGCAAGCAAUGUAGUCGUCCACCACGGCCGGGUCAAUGGUGUACACCACCGAGAGAUCCAUCUCCCUCGCGUGGGUCUCCACUUUAUGCUUGCCGAACUCCAUUGGAGCGCCGCUAGACAUCCCCUCUCUAUGUGUGGUCGUGGGUAUGCUCGUUGUAUUGUGGGGCGCGAUCGAAAGGUUGAAGAGACUAAGGUUAUAAUGGCCGCGGGAAUUAAAGGGGAAGCCGGACGGCCUGGAAUAUCGGCACGCCCUGAUGGCAGUUCUAAUUUGCAGCGCGUAACUCCAUCGUGCCGCACGUAACUGCAUCGCGUGGCAACGCGCGCGACGCAACCACAUGCAUAUGGGGCCAGCAACGUGAUCGUGCGCAGGCCCAACAGCUGGCAAAGCGCGCGCGGAGGGAGGCGAGCAGAGCACUCCGCGGUCACCUCAACGGCGAGCAACCAUAUAUAUGCAUAUAGUAGUUGAACACGCAAGGAAAAUUUGUCCACAAGCCGAGCGCGCCGACGAACGCGAGCAGAGCGCCCCGAUGGAAGCGAGCAGAGCGCGCCGCGGCGCCUAACGGUGAGCACAGCGCGCUGCGGUGCCUAACGGCGAGCAGAGCUUGCCGAGGGACGCGACCAGAGGCCGACACAGUGAUACGUUGCAAAUAAGACGAACUGUGCGAGCGAUGUCGGAGACAUCAAGCAUGAAUCAGAUUAGAGUUGCGUGUGCGAUACGUGGCAUACAGUUGAUCCAUCCGAGCUGUUUGUGAUGGAAUAAGCCGUGUGUGUUGUCGGCAAACUCUUGCUGGUAUAUAACCGUUUGCGAUUGAUGAAUUCAUCGCUGACGGGUUACCUAGUGCGGUCCGUGUGCGAUGUGAUAUGCUCUGUCUGCAGAACAUCUAUGCUCUCUGUACAGAAGAACAACAUAUAUAUACUUGUAACAUGACAUGGUUGCAAUACCAAAUUAAACAUCCAAUUAUGUUAUAUAACAAAUACCAUAAAUAUUGCAAGGUUCAAAUUCAAAUAUUACAAUGCCCAAAUUCAAACAUUGGAAACCUCGUCAUUUCUGCAAAGGGAUCAGUCACUGACAAGUCAUGUAUGGGUUUGACACAAUGACUUCCAAUUACUCUGUCAUAUGCUCUUCCAAUAUGAAGUUUAGCUUUUUUGGAGCCUCUUCCAUUCUGCAGUAGCUACCGGCUCUGGUCAACAUACCAUUCAUCUUUCCUAAUUAAAUGUGUGUUCAACCUCAGUACCCUCAGCACCCUUGCUUUGGCAAGAAAGAACCUGGUGAGUGUUAUCUCCGGUAAGGUCCCUCGGUAGGAGUUCAAAGUAAUAUUUGAGAGAUGCAGAUCUAGGCAUUCGAUGUGAUUUUCGUUAUAAACAUUAUCCACCUCCGGGCCUAUUAUUAUCUGCAAAAGAAGAGAACGUGUUAGUGCCUACAUGCAGUUUUGAACACUACUACACGCCUAUUUGGUUUGCAGGAUUUGUGAAAUGCACCAACGUGCCAUCUUCGAUCUGACAUGAUUAACAUGGGCAUUUGAUUACAAUCUAGAAAAAUGUAGCCCUCUUCUUAAGAGGAUGGAUUGGAUGAAAAAUUCCCUAAGAAAACUAGUACAGAUGAAUCCAAAGGAGAAAUGCUUAUGGAUUGUAACCAUAUGAAUCAAGCAACCAAUAUAGGGUGGGGGUGUAUGUCCUGAAAUCCUCCAAAAUUCCUUCAGAAAUCGUAGUACAUUGUCAUUGUAAACUUGGGAAAAGGUGCAAAAAAUUGAACUCCCUUAUGGUUAACAUUUAACAGGAAAGGAACAUCACCUCGAUAUCCAGCUUCUUCAGGCACGGAAAGCGUCUCAGGCAACUGAGAACUUGGUCCAGGUUGGGGCUGACAGAUUCUAUUGCCAAGACCUUCACUCUGCCCAGAAUUUGGGUGAAGCUUUGCUGGAUGACAGAUGAACAUACAUCUUCAAAACUAGAAAUAAUGUUGAUAUCAAGGAGAGGUAUAAGGCGACUAUUGUACCUGAAAGUAGUAGUAUUUGACAGACGAGUAGCUCGCCGCUGUCAAUUUCGGCGCAGAAAUGACAUUGAUUCUUGUUGGACCUUGUCUACUACAAGUAAUCUCUCAAGUGAAGGUGUGUCCUCAAUGACCAUAUUGUGCUCCACCUUUUGUGAUCUCUCGUUGCAGCACCAGCAACACACAUAAAUAGUCCGGAGAGUCCUGGAGUGAUGUGGAAGGUACUCGACCAAUUCAUCGCCUGAAGACGAAGGAACUCAAGUGCAGUACAGCCGCGGAGCAGGCGCUCCAUGUCAUCCUUUGGGAUGCAGAUGGCGACGAGCUCGAGGUGCUUCAGUCAUGGUAGAAAAAGAGCGGGCGCAUCAUUAAGGGGGGGUGGCAGUUCAUGAACUUGGCGAGGCGCAGCGUGGGCACGAAGCGGAGCACGGACGUUGGCAGCGAGCGCAUAUGCCCAUCAUUAAAACUGAGCUCCUCGAGCUGAUCUAUGGCGGGGGAUCGGAACCACUCGUCAAGCUUGGCUCGGUCCUUCCCAUUGGAACAGAACUUGCCCGUGAUAAGGCCUCUGAUUGGGCCAUGGUGAAUGCCGAGGAUCUGGGAGAACGCAUCCAAGAUUUUGCGAUAACCAUGGCAGAGCUCGUGGGCGUCGAGGAGGUCGAUAGGGGUGAGAUGCCAUAGGGGGUGCCACCGCCGGGAAAGGGCGGUUGUCCUCGCCCCAUAUUUGAUUGGGAGGAGGGAUAUGAUGACUGUCAACAUAUCAUCGGGAAGGUUGCUGAUGAAGUCUAGGCCUGCUGGAGUCGCUUGCGGUUCUUUCUGGACCCGCCUCUGCUUGUUGGCAGCCUCAUUCUCCACCUCGUCGGCGGCGAUGGAAACCUCUGUCUCCAUAUUCACGCCGUGCUCCGGUGCUUCAGUAGCCCCGGCGUCGCCACUCCCUCCGAUGGGGCGCUUCGGCGGCAUCCUCAUACACUGACGGCUUUGAGGACUGAGAGCGGCGUCGAGGAUGUGGGCGGAGAGAGAGGAUUGUGUGUGUGGCGAGGAUGGGGGGUGCGGCCGCCCGGGCGCGCCAUUAAUACAGACCAGUGGGAGCGAGGCGGGCGGCGGUCAAAGGCUGUCUCGCUUCCGGUGAGAACGACUGCUUAAUCUAUGAAUGAAAUCUAUGCUUAAUUACUAAAUUUUAGUUGCAAAAAUUAGAUAGUGCUAGUGAUUUUUAGCUGCAUAUUUUGACAAAUCGCAGUGUUACAAGGUUGACAAAUGGCAAUGUUACUACAUCAACAAAUGUCAAUCUUUCCAGUUUGACAAAUGGCAAUAUACCCAAUAUGACAGAUGCAAAUCUUACCAAUGUACGUGGUUGCACACGAGUCAUCCAAAACAACCAUUUGCGUUGAAGGGAUGUACAAAUCCUGCUCGGCAUAUUUUCUCUUGGCUUAGCGCCGAAGUCUGGCUUUGCAUACAGUAUUCAAUCUAAACGGUUUGCGUUGAAGAGAUGCACAAAUCCUGCAUUGAACAGCUUGCACGCUUCCCGGUGAGCCUGCGCAUUGAAUUUUCAGACGAGUUCCGGAUUUACUAGAAUUUAAAAACAAAGUAUCUCAACGUUUUGCCGGCAAUUAACAGUGCCCUGGUGUUUGAAAUUCAUUCCCAUUUCUUGCAUGGGACCUAAGCAUGCAUAGGGGACCCAAGGACACAAAUUUGUUUUUUCAACCAAUUUAUAUGAACUGGAGCAUGUCCAUGUAGUUCAAAUUUGAAUUAUCCACAUAAAAUGCCUAGAAAACCCAGUUAAUGUAUAAAAAUGUCCAAAUGAACCCCGAAAAAAAUCCAAAAUUUAACAUAACACUCCUGCUGUUCUAUGUUGACACUAGAAAUUUUUUGAAAGCAAUAAGAGGCAACGGAUAUCGUCUCGCCCCAAAGGUGAAUCGUUCCCUACCAAAACCAUCAUGCUUGUUGUGAGAAGCUCUGGUUUGUGAGAAGCUUAUAACCAAACCUGCCCCAAAUGGGACAAAAAAUUUACCACGGCAUGUUGAUGCCGCUCCAUGAUAGCAUGCCAAGUUUCAUGAAUUUCAGACGAGUUUUGGAUUUACUAGAAUUUAAAAACCGGGUGUUUGCGGCCGAGUGAUGGUGGCAGGGUGUUUGACAUUCAUUCCCAUUUCUUGCAUGGGACCUAAGCAUGCACCCAAGGACACAAAUUUGAAUUAGAGCAUGUGCCUGUAGUUCAAAUUUGAAUUAUGCACAUAAAUGCAUUGAAAACUCAAUUAAUGUAUAAAAAUUUCCAAACGAACCCCGAAAAAUUCCAAAAUUUAACACAACACUCCUGUUGUUCUAUGUUGUACACUAGAGAAAAAAUUGAAAUCAAGAAGAGGCAAUGGAUAUCGUUUCGUCCAGAAAGGUGAAACGUUCCCUACCGAAACCAUCAGGCUUGUUGUGAGAAGCUCUGGUUUGUGAGAAGCUUAUACCCAAUCUUACCCCAAAUGGGACAAAAAAUUUACCACGGCAUGUUGAUGCCGCUCCAUGAUAGCAUGCCAAGUUUCAUGAAUUUCAGACGAGUUUUGGAUUUACUAGAAUUUAAAAACCAUGUAUCUCAAUGUUUGCGGCCGAGUGACGGUGGCAGGGUGUUUGAUAUUCAUUCCCAUUUCUUGCAUGGACCUAAGCAUGCAACCAAGGACACAUAUUUGAAUUUUCAACCAAUUUAUAUGCACUAGAGCAUGUGUCUGUAGUUCAAAUUUGAAUUAUGCACAUAAAUGCAUAGAAAACUCAGUUAAUGUAUAAAAAUGUCCAAACGAGCCCUGAAAAAUUCCUAAAAUUAACACAACACUCAUGUUGUUCUAUGUUGAUACUAGAAAAAAAUUGAAAUCAAGAAGAGGCAACGGAUAUCGUUUCGCCUAGAAAGGUGAAACGUUCCCUACCGUAACCAUGAGGCUUGUUGUGAGAAGCUUAUAUACCCCAACCUGCCCCAAAUGGGACAAUAUUUUUACCACUACAUGUUGAUGCCGUUCCAUGCUAGCAUGUCAAGUUUCAUAAAUUUCAGACGUGUUUUUGAUUUACUAGAAUUUAAAAACCAUGUAUCUCAAUGUUAGCGGCCGAGCGACGGUGGCAAGGUGUUUGACAUUCAUUCUCAUUUCUUGCAUGGGACUUAAGCAUGUAACCAAGGACACACAUUCCAAUUUUGAACCAAUUUAUAUGCACUGAAGCAUGUGCAUGUAGUUCAAAUUUGAAUUAUGCACAUGAAUGCAUAGAAAACUCAGUUAAUGUAUAAAAAUGUCCAAGCGAACCCCGAAAAAAUCCCAUAAAUUGACACAACACUCAUGUUGUUCUAUGUUGACAUGAGAAACUUUUUGAAAGUAAGAAGAGACAGCAUAUAUCGUUUCAUCCCCCAAGGUGGCACGUUCCCUACCGAAACCAUCAGGCUUGUUGUGAGAGAAGCUGUGGUUUGCGAGAAGAUUAUACCCAACCUGUCCCAAAUGGGACAAUAUUUUUACCAUGACAUGUCGAUGCCGUUCCAUUAUAUCAUGUCAAGUUUCAUGAAUUUCAGACGAGUUUUCGAUUUACUAGAAUUUUGAAACCAUGUAUCUCAAUGUUAGCGGCCGAGCGACAGUGUCAAGGUGUUUGACAUUCAUUCUCAUUUCUUGCAUGUGACCUAAGCUUGCAACCAAGGACAAACAUUUGAUUUUUCAACCCGUUUUUAUGUACUGGAGCAUGUGCAUGUAGUUCCAAUUUUGAAUUAUGCACAUAAAUGCCUAAAAAACUCAGUUAACGUAUAAAAAUGUCCAAACGAUCCCCAAACAAUCCAAAAUUUGAACAACACUCCUAUUGUUCUAUGUUGACACGAGGAAAAUUUUAAAAGUAAGAAGAGGCAACAUAUAUUGUUUCGUCCCCCAAGGUGGCAUGUAGUUUAAUUUUGAAUUGUGCACCUGAAAUGCCUAGAAAACCAAGUUAAUGUAUAAAAAUGUCCAAACAAACCCUGAAUAAUUCCAAUUUUUUAACGACACACCUAUAGUUGCAUGUUUAUUGCGGAAAAAAGUUCUAGCAAUUCAAACACCGUCCAUUGCAGUUGUGACCCCAUUAUGUAAUUCAAAUCAAGACGAAAAAUCAAGUAGAUCGCACACAGUUUAUUAUCACAAACCGUGUGAGAUGAAGUACAAAAUAUCCUGGAGCAUCGUCGGUGUAUAGUACGCCUAUGGCUUACGCGAGAGGGUGCGUCGGUUACAGUCCACAGCCGGCAUGUCAAGCACACUAGCUCGCUCCCCAAAUACUCCCGCCUCUGCAUCCCUCGCAAUCUCAAAAAUAUCUGCUCGCCCUUGAUCCAAAUUUUUAGUAGCCCCGCCUUGUUACUCCCGCCUAGUAAAAAUUUUAGUUUCCGCGGUAUUUUCUCAAACAACACCUUGCCCCCCUCCACACACAACACACACUCCCCAAAACCUCCGCUCACACAGACACACACCACCCCCGAAACCAUUGGUAGGUCACCGCCAUCGCCGCUGCCUCCAUCCACAACCUCUGCCUGUGUGCCGGGGAGCUCGAGGAGCCAAUGGCCAAAAAGAAGUUUAUCGCGGCCUCUUCGCCCGAUGCCGGCGAGGUGGCCGCCGAGGUGUCCCCGUCGUCCUCCACGGGCUCUUUACAGAUCCGCCAUCACCGGUCCCCCGAUCCACCCGCCGCCACGCCCCUACGCCGGUUCGAGGACUUCCUCGUCCUCCCUCGGACCCGGCAGCCGACGAGGCCCUACCUUGGGGUCCGGCAGCAGCGGUGGGGGACAUGGGUCACCGAGAUUACAGAUCGGGAGACCCACACCUGCCGGUGGCUCGGUAGCUUCCACACGGCCGAGCUCGCGGCCAUGGAGUACGACCGCUGGCAGGUCCGCUGCCACGGCGCGGCGGCUAGGCUCAAUUUCCCCUUCGGCACACGUCUGGUCGACCUCGUUCUGCCGGAGCCAGGGUGGUGAGCUCGGCUAUGGCGCAGGAGGACCGCGAGGCGUGGGAGUGCUGUAGGUGUCAAAACCGGCGGAUCUCGGGUAGGGGGUCCCGAACUGUGCGUCUAAGGAUGAUGGUAACAGGAGACGGGGGACACAAUGUUUACCCAGGUUCGGGCCCUCUCUAUGGAGGUAAUACCCUACUUCCUGCUUGAUUGAUCUUGAUGAAUAUGAGUAUUAUAAGAGUUGAUCUACCACAAGAUCAUAAUGGCUAAACCCUAGAAGUCUAUCCUGUAUGACUAUGGUAAUGAGUCUAUCUAUCCUCCGGACUAAGUCCUCCGGUUUAUAUAGACACCGGGAGGAUCUAGGGUUACAUCAGGUCAGUUACAGAGAAAGGAAUCUACAUAUUUGUUCGUGAAGCUUGCCUUCCACGCCAAGGAGAGUCCCAUCCGGACACGGGUAGAGUCUUCGGUCUUUGUAUCUUCACAGCCCAUCAGUCCGGCCAUGGCUAACUGGCCGGACGCCUAAGGACCCCUUAGUCCAGGACUCCCUCAGUAGCCCCUGAACCUAGCUUCAAUGACGAGGUGUCCGGCGCGCAGAUUUAUCUUCGGCAUUGCAGGGCGGGUUCCUCCUUCCGAACUCCAAGAUAGUCUCCGGACGCAAUGAUCGUGUCCGGACCUGUAACACACAUACCACACACAACCGCAGAGAGUAUAAUAUUCCAUGAGUCCAAUCCGCUGACAUCUUUUUGCAACAUGACAUCACGUCUGCUCGGUCAUUAUUUCGAACCGUUUUUCGUCUGCCGCUCCAUGUUUCGAGAUGCGGUUGCCAUUGGCACGUCUUGUCGAAGCAGAGAUUGUGUCCCCUUAUCGCGGGAUUCUCAUCAAUACGGGCGUGGGUAAUCCAACCGUGCCGUUUACAUUGCCCUUGGGAACGGGCGAGUUUUAAGGCGAGUGGGGAGGCGCUCGACAUUCACUGCCUCUAUAAAGAGAUAAGGAUUCCCUUUAUUCACCCACGCCUUCUCUCUCCCUCUAUGCACUUCCAUUCUCGAGCUCCAGCGCCCAAGUUCUCAUCUUCUCCACCCCAAGGAAGCAUUCAAUCAUGUCCGGAUCCGGAGGUCAAGGCAAAUGGAUGGUCUCCUCCGUCAAGGAGAAGGACAUCGCCGAGCUUCAGGAGGCCAGGUAUCUGUCGAAGAAAAUCGCCCACCGGCUUCCGGCCAAAGGGCAAGUCGUCCCUACCCCAAAGCCCAACGAGAGGGUGGUGUUCCUCCCUCAUUCCGUUCGCGGGCUAGGGUUUCCACUCCACCUUUUCGUCCGCGGACUGAUGUUCUAUUACGGGCUAGAUUUCCAUGAUCUAGCCCCGAACUCCUUCCUCAAUACCUCAGCAUUUAUUGUCGUGUGUGAGGCCUUCGUCCGCAUCCAGCCCCACUUCGGAUUAUGGCUCAGAGUCUUCAACCUGAAGCCAAAGGUGGUGGAUGGUCAACACGCGGAGUGCGGAGGCGCCAUGGUGAGCAAGAUGCCCAACGUCACCUGGCCUAAGGGCACUUUCAUGGAGACUGUCAAAGAAUGGCAGAAGCAGUGGUUCUACAUCACAGAGCCACAUGGAGCCACUUGGGCGGCGGUUCCCGAAUUUAAGGUCGGGGCUCCGAUGCGGCUCACCUCCUGGAUGGAGAAGGGCCCCAACUGGUCUUCGUCAGACGAGCUGAUAGCACUGCAAACGCGCAUUCAGAGCAUGGUGGAUAAAAACAUCAAGCUCGUCGACGUGAUCCAGGUUAUGUUGGUUCGCCGGAUUCUCGCCUGCCAAAGCCGAAGCUUCCCUGUAUGGGAAUUUGAUCCGGAGAAGCACCAGACCCUGGAGGGGCUCUUCAGAACUACUCACGAAGAUGCCUGGAAGUUGCUCUUCAAGGGCAAUGAGAAGCCACCGGUCAUAGAUUCGGACCGCGGGCACGAUCAUACCCAUCCCGCUAACACGGUAAGUCCAUACCCUUUUGCGGCGCACCUUCUACUUGUUUGUUCAAGGAGGAUGCCUAAUCUUUACUAUAUAUUUUUCAGGUAUGGACGGAGAGAGCGGAGCAGAUCCAGUGUUCGGCUCCGCUGCCUGAAGAGCCAGUCAUCCUGCUCCUGGCGAAGAUGCUGGUUCCGGCGCCCUAUCAGCCGCCGGAGAAGAAGGCCAAGAAGAAGGCUAAGGGGGCUAAAGGUGGCCCCCGUCGCAAGGGUACUUCAGACGUGACGUCCGAAGACGAAGAGACCCAUUCCUCCGCCGCUGAGGACAACGACGAGGAGGAGGAGGAGGAAAACAACCCUCCCCUGAUGGGGGAAAGAAGAAGAGGGCGGCCUCCACAAGUCUGGAGGCGGGGACGUCCAAGAAGGGGAAGGGCUCCCUUGUGGAUACCUCCUCGUGGGAUGUCGGCAGCAGUCCGAAGCGACGCCCCCGGACCAAGCCCCUGGCCGCAUCGUAAGUACCAAAAGAUUUGUACAUGUCCCCAUACCCAGCGCUUCUUCUUUCAUCAUGUCAAUUCAUGCUGUUGCAGUCCGGCCCACGACAGCUCCCAGCGAUCCUUAUCAGGAGGUUCGUUGGAUUCGAAGGAGAUGGCUAGCGAGUCACUGCCGGCCGCUCACUCUCCCCUGGCCAAGGGCGACGAGGAGGUGGUGUCCCAUAGGACCUUCCUAGGCCAAGAAGAGGCUCAGGAGGCCGUCAGGGUGGCGCCGAAGGAUGACUCCUCGGCCGCCGGACACAUGGGGGGAGAGGCCCCCAUGGAGACUGGCGCUGGGGGCCAUAUCCAAUUCGGUCCCCAGCCGAAUACCAUUCCGGAGACCUACACGACUCUGGAGUCAAGCGAGCAACCUUCCCCGAAAGGAGGAGGUGUGCCUGUCCCGCCGGUGACCUCUAUCCAACCAGAGGCACCGGAUAAUCUGCUGGAAGCGCUACGAGGCGCUUCCAUCAUGGAUGAACAUUGUAUCCUUAUGGGUACGGUGAUUGAGAAGGUUCAGUCCAUCAAGAGCGGACUGACCGAAGCUUGCAGCAAUCUGCUGACCGGCUUUGAGGUAAGUGAUGCGAAAGAAAAAGUCCCAAUAUAGAUAGUAGCCCCUGAGACACUGUCCGGUGUUUGGAAACAAAAAUCCGGACAGAGGAUCAAUUAAAUCUCGUAGGAAACUAACUAAAUAUGUCUUAUGUGACUAAGCAGGUGUCGUUGCUAGCCGCGACCUCACACACUGUCGAAGUUUGCAGACUAAAGCACUUGAGCGGGUCGAGGAGGAGCUCGGCCAAGCGAGGAAGCAGCUGGAAGAUCAGCAAGGUAUGUAAUGACUUGCUAUACAUUCGGAAAGAAUAAUUGAGUUGUAUUGACCGUAACGUCAUGAUGUGUGCAGGAGCGAUGACUGAGGUCGAGGCCCUUAAAAAGGCCUUGGCCGAAGCCGAGGGGGAAGCUGUUAAGGAGCAAGCUGCCCGUAAGAAGCUCAAGGCCAGGCUUAACGAGGUUCAGCAGGAGCUCCAGGAUGCUGUUAAAAAAUGCGAGACCUUGGAGGGUGAUGUUUCGGCUCGAGACACUGAACUCGCCAAGGCUCGCCAAGUCACAGAAGAGGCCCGGGUUGAAGCCCAGGGCACCCUCCAGGAGAUCCAGGAGGCCAGGAAGAUUGCAGCGGGUAAGGCGUUUAGUAUGCAAAGCAAGUAUGUGAAGAAGAGGUAUUUCUUACUAACCCGAAUUCGGAGUUCCCCAGGGGCGUUUGCGGACCUGCCGCGCAGCGUGUCAGACGCUGCGGUGUUCUUCCGAGCCAAAGAAGGGAGCUCGACGGAGAAGCUGUUCUGGUCACAGUACCUUGCGCCAGAACAUCCAGUGCCCUUCACCGAUCAGCUCAAACAGUUGGUCGAGCUGCAUAGGGUGGCCGAACUGGCCAUGAAGGAUUUGAUAAUCCGGCUGUGGCCUACCAAAGCUAUACCCAGCAGCUACUUCGGCCUCGUGAAGCGGCUGGUGAAUGCAUGUCCUCGGCGGGACGUCGUCAAGCGGUCGGUCUGCAUCGAGGGCGCGCGUCUGGCCUUCGCCUACGUCAAGGUCUGGUGGGCGAAGAUGGACGUCAUCAAGCUUGUGACCGAGGGGCCGCCUGAGGGCAAGGAGCACCGCAAGCCCGAGCUGUAUUUUGAUAGUGUCCUGGAGGGAUCUUGCAUUGUGGCGACGCAAUGUGCGCAAGACAUGAUCUUUGAAUGAAAUAUGUUCAUGUUGUCUCUGCCUUGUAUGAUGGAACAAAGUUGUUAUGUAAUAUAAAUUUUGUUAUGUUUGAAAAUUUUACCUCUUGUGCGGCCGUGUUGUAUGAAAUCUGAGAGUUGGCCAGUCGUCGGCUUCUGCCCCCACGUAGGUAGUACGGCGGUGUUCGGGGUGGAAUCUAAACACUCUUGAUCCAAUUGUAUGGUCCUUGAAGGAGGUGUUUAGCGCAACGAACCAGGCAAUCGGACUAUGCGGCUUGAACACCCUCACUUAGCCAUAGGAGUUUGACAAUAAAAAUUGGGCGCAGCCCCUAGUAUUCGAACUAGGAUGAUGUAAACACCUGAUUGGGUAAGUACCGAUCCCUCGCGUAAUGCAGAAAAAUCUCUAACGAUUUGAGACCUCCGAAGAGCUGACCGGCUCUCGCCGCAUCAUGACAGUCAGUUUUCGGCUUUCUCUACUAAGUUGCUCCUUUGGGUAAACCAGGGCACAAUCACAGUAGUUCUCCCUUUACUACCUUAGCCGAUAUAGCAGAACGUAAGAUAGCAAGCACAGGAGCCGGGCAACCCAACUAUUGACCAAAGACAUGAUUCGGAGCCAAUGCAUAUAAUGCUAAAUUUGAGGUGCCGAACUAUACUGUAAAAAAGUGUUCGGACUUUGUUGCCGCAGUGCAGGGCGCUAUGAAGCCCCUAGCAAAUUGAGACAUACCAAAGUGUACGAGUGCUAUUUGACAAUGUUAGCAAUAAGGAGGAGGAAAAUAGAAAAGUAUCAAGGGUAAUAAACUGGGGCCCUAAAAAUUAGGCCGCGAACUGUUUCCAUUAUAAUUUGAUUAAAACGUUGAAGCGCAUUGAUACAAUUGGUGCGAUAAGAAAGAGGCUAUUUGACAUGCCACAACCAUGGGAGAGCUCCGUGUGGGUCCUGAAAACAGGUAGAGUGAUCGUUAAAGAAAACACCUAGAAAUUCCCCUAUACACUUGUGCUUCUUGUCGUCUUGGUGUAUUUGUCCUUCGAAAGGACCGGUGAUCAGGCCAUCAGGGGAGGUCUAUGGAAAAGAAACCUGAAAAGGAGAAAAAGGAAAUAGUGAAAGUAUAUGUGUCCGGGAGCGGUCGAGCCGUAUUGUGGAUCACGAGCUAGUUAUGCCCCCGUCUAUGCCCAUGGUAUUUUGAGUGCGUAAUUAUGUACGCGCGGUACUAGUGCCGCCACUUGAUCGGGACUGGGACGGAGGCCGGAUUGCUAAUCAAGCUCUCGACAAGCCAAGCUGUCCAGGUGCAGAAUAGUCCGGACUCUUUUGACAGUGUCCGAGAGUUUGGCCGCUGAAUUGAGGUUCUGCUUGAGAAGGCCGCUCUGUACUUCUGGUGCUAAGGCAGCGGUGUGCUCCUCGGUACGGAGGGAGCGUUCCGUGUUACCAUUAACUGUUAUGACGCCGCGUGGACCGGGCAUCUUGAGCUUGAGAUAAGCAUAGUGUGGCACCGCGUUGAAUCGAGCAAAUGCGGUCCGUCCGAGCAGUGCGUGAUAGCCGCUGCGAAAGGGGACGAUAUCGAAGAUUAACUCCUCGCUUCGGAAGUUGUCCGGAGAUCCGAAGACAACCUCUAGUGUGAUUGAGCCCGUACAACGGCCCUCUACACCUGGUAUGACUCCUUUGAAGGUAGUCUUUGUGGGUUUGAUCCAUGAUGGAUUAACGCCCAUUUUGUGCACUGUGUCACGACCGGUUUUCCAAUAAAACAUUUAUUGAGAAACCGAUCCCUUUAACGGACCAGUAGAGAAGAAUCCUUCUUACUGGUAGACAAAUUCUUGAUUACAAAAAUAUCCAGGAGUACUAAAUAUAAUACACGGUUGAGCGGAGGCUGCUCAACAAUUUAUUACAAGCACUCCGAUAUUAUACAUAAAGGCGGAUAUGACACAAUGGGUAUGGUGGCAUAACUACUGACUCGUAAAAAAAGUGGUGGUGGAUAUGUCACAGUGAAGUGGGUGACAUGACUCCUAAAUCUUACAGCUCAUCGAGCGUCGGGGCGAGGCUCGAAGACUCUUAUUUGGGUGGCGGAAGCGUAUAUAAUACAAGUGACCAAAUCCAGGAUCGCACGGGACUGACUGGGACUCCUCUAGGCGUCGGACUCGCUAUCAAACUCAUCAUCCAUGAGAUCGCCUUCGUCAACAUCUGGCCAAAUCAACAAGCCAGGUGAGUACUAUGAAAGUACUCGCAAGACAGUUUGGACAUAAGAUAUAACAAAUGCAAACAUGAUGCACAUGAGCAGAUUAAUAAUGCGCACUCCGAUAAUAACAUUUGCACUGCAUGAGAAAUAAAAAGGAAGUCGGGCGGUAGUCCUCCCGAAAUCCCAAUGUAAUACUGAAGGUCAAUCGAGUGUCUGAAAUGACUCCUCGAAAGGGUAUAAAUAAAUUAACAAUGCCGCAGUCGGGCGUCAGGGCGACACCACAUAAAGGGCUUAUAAUGGAAUAUAAACGACAGUGCGUGCCACAGUCGGACGUCUGAGCGACAUCACGUAAAGGGCUUAUAUCAAAAGUAAAUAACAAGAGUGCCACAGUCGGACGUCUGAGCGACAUCACAUAAAGGGCUUAUAUCAAAAGUAAAUAACAAGAGUGCCACAGUCGGACGUCUGAGCGACAUCACAUAAAGGGCUUAUAUUUCAUAACUCGAUAUUCCAGUAGCUCAUGAAGUUAAAUCAUCUCAAGGAAAUGCUCAGGUACGAAAUAAUAAAGUGGUUAGUCCAUCCACAGGAAUAACAUUCAACCGGGUUUACCACUCAAGCUUGUUCGCCGGGGAUUUCCACGGAGACUGACACAGGGACUGACACUGAGACUGAUAUGGAUACUGUUUGGAUACAUUGACCCAGGUCCUUGACCAUGGACACGAUGACUCGGAAGGUUUUGACUCUGCAGAGUUUGUACUCUUAACCACAGCGAACGGAUUUCAGUAGUCACAAGGGGCUAGUUCCGUUUACGGUAUUUUAGGAGAAACACAUCUAACCAGUACACACCCAUUCCACAUUCCGAUGCCAGGAAUCACCCUAGGCAACAUUCAAGAAAAACCUUGAGACGGGGAGGCUACAACCUCGCGUAGCAUGGGAUCAAAUUUAUAUCGCGCGCUCUAAGGGGUGCCCCCCUCUCGGUCCCAACCGGAAACACCCAUGCCCCCUGACCGGAUGACUGGCUUUAAUCCAGGGCCAUGGAACCCUCAUCCCGGCCCCUCUAUUUGGUGUGUACAAGGAAAGAGGUUUGCAACUUACUAAACUGUAUUCUUUGCAGAAAACAUGUGGCAGCACGGAAGGGGACGAAUGGUAACGUGGCUCGGUCCACGUUAACGUCGGAGUUUAAUGGUUGACAUAAGACUGGCAUGCUACAACAAUACCAUCUUACUACCUCUCAUGUCACCACAUGAUCAGGUCAUCUCCCAUCAAAAGAUCACAUCAAACUUCGAAGCACACGGGUAGUUGCCUUGCAUGCAACGUGACACUCACCGAUGCCCAUAUGCCAUGCACAAACUAUUCAAGCAAACAUGCAAAACACUCAUCAUAUCAAAGGUUCAAACAUGCUUGCCUGGUUCGGAGAAGUCGGAGUCUAGCUCGGCGAAGUUCGCGGCUCCGUCACCUCCUCCGGAAUCUACGGUAUAAAGAAACCGUAUACUAACGUGAAUACCGUUGCGUGUAUAAAAAUUAUUCCAAAAAAUUUCCAAAUAAAUACUAUAAAAAACUAUACAAAAAUAUAAGACUGACAAAAAAAGAAUCAAUCAAAAAGCAUCUUUUGUUUAAAAGAUAUAAGGGUUUUAGUCCCAGGACUAAUCUGUGAUGAAACAGAAAAGAUCCAGGGGCUUGUUUGAAAAAGCAGAAAACGCUUCAGUACGAAAUACGCCAGCCCAGAAGGAAAACACACUUUGCCCGAAGGCGCCUUCAGAAAACGGUUCGAAGGAAAAGAAAGAGAGGCUGACGGGGGGGUCCCACCCGUCAGGUUCAAACUCCGAACAGGGCUCGCCCGCGCCCAAAGGCUGCGGUGGUCGCCGGCGUUGAUCCACGGCGAGGUAGGGGGAUCGGAGGGUACCUACGGGUUCAGGGUGUCCUUCCACGUCGGUGGGUGGUGGACUUGACCGUCGGCGAGCACCACGGCGACGGCGGCCUUAUCUCCGGCGGACGGUGGUUCGGGCGAGGGUGGAACUCUCCGGUGGGUGCUGUAAACUCCAAAUUGGUGCGCGGGUUAGAGAGGUGGAUGCACUAGGAGGCUACUGGCAUGAGUUGAGAGGCGGGGGUGCACGCACUGGAGCGAAUCUUGCUGGAUCCCGAAGCGGGUCGAGGCGGCCGGAGUUGGGGAAGAAGACUUCCUCGAAGCCUUCCCAGUGGCUUGGCGUGGUUCUUGCGGGGUGGAGGGAUGGUGCAUGGUCGAGUUCGAGCUCGGGACCUCCUUUUAUAGGCAAUCCGAGGAGGUGGCCGUGAACGGGAUAACGCUAGCGAGCAAUAACGGCAAGGCAGAGGUUGGGCAGGAGGUUUAGGUGGUUGGGCAUCACCGUGAUGGUCCAUUGGCACCGUUUCUCCGCUAAAACCUCGGUCGGGUUGGGGUAAUGCUCCGGUCCUCGACGGAACGGCCGUACGGGCACGACGGCGGCAGGGAGCGCGCUCCGUGCCUCCCAGUUCACGACGACGGCUCUGCAGCAUGCACAGAGGAGGGGACGGCCACGCGGUGGCCUCUGGUGGCUUGGGCGGUGCUGGAUGGCGCCGUCCCACGCUGCGCCUCUCUGGCAGCCGCAGCGGGCGCUGCUGCCGCCGCGCAUGGGGCGAUGCACCUCGGCCAGCUCGCCGCCGACGCCCGCAAGCGUCCAGGUGACCAUGCGGCGCGGUGGAUAAGAAGGAGGAACAGGGCGCAAGGUGCCACUGCAGUCACUGGCGAGAUCGAAGAGAGUCUCUGAAGAAAAUGACAGCGGCUACUGAACCUGUUCUCUGAACUCUGAAAUUUGGCAGUAACAGUGCCCUCCAGGUGUUCGACGAUAGGUUUUGGGCACGAGGAAAAUUUUUCUGGAGCUGUGACUUGGUGAGGUGACCUCUUGAUGCAUCUAGAGGCUGCCUGAAUUUUCUCAGAUUUUUAGGACGAGAAAACAAAUGAAUUUCACCAAAUUUUGCAAAUAUGGCCCAAACUUGCAGCAAGCACAUUUUGAAAAUUUUGAACUGGAGUCUAGUGGAUCUUCAUCGAUCUUGGUUGAGGGUUCUAAGGACUAGCCAGGGAAACUUGUUUGGAGGCAAAACUCAAAGGAAAACUAGUGGUUCCUUUGUAAAUCUCCAAGGGCCAAAAAUAGGAGGCAGAAAAGAUUUUUGAUUAAAAAAAUGGAGAUGAAAUCAUGGGGAAGUUCAUCUUGCUGGGUUGGAAGUUUGACUUGACACAAAGUGCGGAGAUGGCCUUUGGGAGGAGUUUUCAACUUAGGUUGUGGCAAGAGAUAAAUUUUGAGAGGGAAAGGAUCACCCCAUAAGCCAUAGAGCUAUUUAUAGAAGAAAAGAUUUUCAAAAACUUUCCCAAUGAAAAACAUUUGUGUUGAGUCAACACAAGAUGAAAAACCUCCAAGACCAAAGAUCAAGUUUUGGAUGAACUCAAGGGAAAUACUUGUCAUAAAAGAAAAUUUUUGAGAAGGAGAGUCCUUUAGAAGAAAAUUUUAAAUAACCUCCUUCAAAUCAAAUAAAGAAUUUGAUAAAACCAAACAAAAAUUUUUGCAUGUCACACUGUGUCCUAAUAGAGCAGAUUGAGGUUGCUACCAUCGUCCAUGAGGACGCGCGUCAGGUGAAAUCCAUCGAUGAUUGGGUCGAGGACCAGUGCGGCUGAACCGCCAUGACGGAUACUGGUCGGAUGAUCCCGACGAUCAAAGGUGAUCGGGCAGGACGACCAUGGAUUGAAUUUUGGGGCGACUGGCUCUAUCGCAUAGACGUCCCUGAGUGCGCGCUUGCGCUCCCUUUUGGGGAUGUGUGUGGCAUAUAUCAUGUUCACCAUUUUGACUUGAGGGGGAAACUUCUUCUGUCCCCCAAUGUACGGUUGCCGGGGCUCCUCGUCAUUGUCCUCGCUUUGCGAUCCCUUUUCCUUGUUUUCGACAUUUAACUUGCCGGCCUGUUUGAAAACCCAGCAAUCUCUGUUGGUAUGGUUGGCUGGUUUGUCUGGGGUACCGUGGAUUUGGCACGGACGGUCGAGUAUGCGGUCCAAGCUGGAUCGUCCCUGAUUGUUUAUUUUAUACGCAUCUUCCGCUGACCGGACUUGGAGCCACUGAAUCCGGCGUUGACAGUAGUGUCAUCGGUAUUGUCACCAUUGCUUUGGCAUUUGUGUCUGCUGCGUCGGAGCUUGUUGUUGCUGUUUUUAACCUCAGAGGGGCAUGCAUCGCUGACCGUAUUUUUACUACGAGCCAGCCAACUAUCCUCACCCGCACAAAAGCGGGUCACGAGUGCCGUGAGGGCUGCCAUGGAUUUCGGCUUUUCCUGGCCGAGGUGGCGGGCGAGCCAUUCGUCACGAAUGCUAUGUUUAAAGGCCGCUAGGGCUUCGGCAUCCGGACAGUCGACGAUCUGGUUCUUUUUGUUAGGAACCUGGUCCAGAAUUUCCUGGCUGACUCCCCAGGUUGUUGAACUAUGUGACUUAAGUCAUCGGCAUCUGGUGGCCGGACAUAUGUACCUUGGAAGUUGUCAAGAAAGGCUUCUUCCAAGUCCUCCCAGCUGCCAAUAGAAUUUUCAGGCAGACUAUUUAACUAGUGUCGAGCUGGCCCUUUGAGUUUGAGUGGGAGGUAUUUGACGGCGUGAAGGUCAUCCCCGCGGGCCAUAUGGAUGUGGAGAAUAAAAUCCUCGAUCCACACCGCGGGAUCAGGUGUUCCAUCGUAUGAUUCAAUAUUUACGGGUUUAAACCCUUCUGGAAAUUCAUGAUCCAUUACUUCAUCAGUGAAGCAAAGAGGAUGUGCGGCGCCUCUAUAUCGGGUCGCGUCGCGACGUAGCUCCGAUGGAGUCCGUCUGCAGUUUUCGGCCUGGGCGUGACUAGGUUUGUCACAUCCGAAUAGGUAAUUGUCGUCGCGUGUCGAGGCACGUCCUCGCGAUCCGUAGAUCGAUCUUGUAUGCCAUGCCCUACUGUCCAGGUCUUGCCGAAGGUCAUAUGUGUAACCCCGAGCUGUUUUAUCCUUGCCUUUACGGCGAGGUGGGGCAGUCUGGUGUUUGGCUUGAUUUGCCGUUUUAUCCCGACCGCGUGGUGGUCGGUCAGCCGCAUUGCGCGAUGAUGGUACGGGCUCCAGCGCCUCGUCAUCGAACUGGGGCAGCAAUUUGCGCUUUGGGUAACUUUUGGCUGGGCGCUUAAGGCCGUAUUCUUCGGCUGCUAGGACAUCAGUCCAUCUGUCAUUGAGCAGAUCUUGAUCAGCUUGAAGCUACUGCUGCUUCUUUUUCAGGCUCCUUGCAGUGGCUAUUAGCUGGCGCUUGAAGCGCUCCUGGUCGAGAGGUUCCUCCGGAACGAUAAAAUCCUCGUUGCUGAGGCUCACCUCCUCCUCGGAGAGCGGAUGAUAACUACUGUUCUCUGAAUCUUCGUCUAUGGCCUGUUCAUUAGGGCUAACUUGCCCAUCUUCCCGAUUGUCUUGUUCGGCAGUUUGCUCAUCGGGGUCUUCUGUGUCUUCGGCACCAUCCGGAGUGUUAUCGUCUUCUGUGCCGGUGUUGUUGUCUUUGCUGCGGCAUGACUUAGAGUGGCGCCGCUGACGCCGGCGCUUUGGUUGUGUCUUAGGAGGGUCAUCCUUCGCUGGGUUCUCCUUGUCGUCGCCGCUAUUAUCUUUUGGUGCAUCCACCGUGUAUACGUCAUAUGAGGAAGUGGCCGUCCAUCGUCCGGUGAACGGCGGGUUUUGGGCCUCCUCUUCUCCGGCAUCGUCGUCCAUACUGUCGAUGUCUUUGGAGUCGUAGUCAAGCGUGUCGGUUAGGUCCUCGACAGUGGCUAUGAAGUGGGUGGUGGGUGGGAAACGAAAUUCCCCGUCAUCAGCCUCCAGUUCGAAUCGGAUAUAAUUCGGCUGAGAAUCCCCUGCUAGGGAUAGAUUUUUCAAUGAGUUGAUCAUGUCGCCUAAAGGCAAGUGCCGGAAGAUGUCCGCCGCGUUGAAUUCGGCGAUCGAUAACCGAUCCUGCUCGACAUACGCGGACGCACACUGUUCGGAACUUAUAGCCGGAAGCGAGUCCGAGGUUCCGGAGACACAGACAUCACGCGAGGUUAGAUCCGUGUGCAGCUCCAAUGCCGUAGAGUCUGCGGCUUCCGUGGCGAGGUUGAGCUUCCUGUCCUUGGAUGGCGCGAUCUGCUCCGGAUCUAAGGCCAGAGCGGUUAUAGGUGCAGUUUCCUGGGCAUGGCCCGAUGAUAGAUCCAAGUCAUGUUCAUCGUGGCGAUGGGGAGCGACUGUCGUGGUCUCGAAUCCGUCGAAGAUCAAGUCUCCGUGGACAUCCUCGAUGUAGUUCAAGCUCCCAAAUCUGACAUGAUGGCCAGGGGCGUAGCUAUCGAUCUGCUCCAGAUGGCCAAGCGAGUUGGCCCGCAGUGCGAAGCCGCCGAACACGAAGAUCUGUCCGGGGAGGAAGGUCUCCCCUUGGACAGCGUUGUUGUGGACGAUUGAAGGAGCCAUCAAACCUUUUGGGGACGGCACAGGGGAACUCUCAAUGAAAGCACCAAUGUCGGUGUCAAAACCGGUGGAUCUCAGGUAGGGGAUCCCGAACUAUGCGUCUAAGGAUGAUGGUAACAGGAGACGGGGGACACAAUGUUUACCCAGGUUCGGGCCCUCUCUAUGGAGGUAAUACCCUACUUCCUGCUUGAUUGAUCUUGAUGAAUAUGAGUAUUACAAGAGUUGAUCUACCACGAGAUCGUAAUGGCUAAACCCUAGAAGUCUAGCCUGUAUGACUAUGGUAAUGAGUCUAUCUAUCCUCCGGACUAAGUCCUCUGGUUUAUAUAGACACCGGGAGGAUCUAGGGUUACAUUAGGUCGGUUAUAGAGAAAGGAAUCUACAUAUUUGUUCGCCAAGCUUGCCUUCCACGCCAAGGAGAGUCCCAUCCGGACACGGGUAGAGUCUUCGGUCUUUGUAUCUUCACAGCCCAUCAGUCCGGCCCGUGGCUAACAGGUCGGACGCCCGAGGACCCCUUAGUCUAGGACUCCCUCAAGCGCCUUGAGGCGAAGGCAGCCGACGAGGCCUACAUGCAAGAGCUCCGCUGGCAGCACCCGGAGCUCGUGGAGGCGGAGCGGGCGAUCUUUGCCGACGCGGAGGGCGGCGAGGUUAUCGCACUCUCCUUUGAUGACGAGGUCGAAGGCGGCGAGGACGGCGGGGCGGAGGGCAUCGAGGUGGGCGGCGAGGACGAGGAGAUCGACGUCGACGAGUGGAGGAGUGUCUUCGCCAACGACCUGAUGACCCACAAGUAUAAGGGAUCUAUCAUAGUCCUUUCAAUAAGUAAGAGUGUUGAACCCAACGAGGAGCAGAAGGAAAUGAUAAGCGAUUUUCGGCAAGGUAUUCUCUGCAAGCACUGAAAUUAUCGGUAACAGAUAGUUUUGUGAUAAGGUAAUUUGUAACGGGUAGCAAGUAACAAGUGUACACAAAGUGCAGCAAGGUGGCCCAAUCCUUUUUGUAGCAAAGGACAAGCCUGGACAAUUUCUUAUAUGAAGGAGAACGCUCCCGAUGACAAAUGGGAAUUAUCGUCAAGCUAGUUUUCAUCACGUUCAUAUGAUUCGCGUUCGUUACUUUGAUAAUUUGAUAUGUGGGUGGACCGGUGCUUGGGUGUUGUCCUUACUUGGACAAGCAUCCCACUUAUGAUUAACCCCUAUUGCAAGCAUCCGCAACUACAAAAGAAGUAUUAAGGUAGACCUAACCAUAGCAUGAAACAUACGGAUCCAAAUCAGCCCCUUACGAAGCAACGCAUAAACUAGGGUUUAAGCUUCUGUCACUCUAGCAACCCAUCAUCUACUUAUUACUUCCCAAUGCCUUCCUCUAGGCCCAAAUAAUGGUGAAGUGUCAUGUAGUCUACGUUCACAUAACACCACUAGAGGAAAGACAACAUACAUCUCAUCAAAAUAUCGAAUGAAUACCAAAUUCACAUGACUACUAAUAGCAAGACUUCUCCCAUGUCCUCAGGAACAAACGUAACUACUCACAAAUCAUAUUCAUGUUCAUAAUAAGAAGAGUAUUAAUAUGCAUAAUGGAUCUGAACAUAUGAUCUUCCACCAAAUAAACCAACUAGCAUCAACUACAAGGAGUAAUCAACACUACUAGCAACCCACAGGUAGCAAUCUGAGGCUUUGGGACAAAGAUUGGAUACAAGAGAUGAACUAGGGUUUUAGAGGAGAUGGUGCUGGUGAAGAUGUUGAUGGAGAUUGACCCCCUCCCGACGAGAGGAUCGUUGGUGAUGACGAUGGCGAUGAUUUCCCCCUCCCGGAGGGAAGUUUCCCCGGCAGAACAGCUCUGCCGGAGCCCUAGAUUGGUUCUGCCAAGGUUCCGCCUCGUGGCGGCGGAGUUUCUUCCUGAAAGCUUGCUUAUGAUUUUUUUCUCGGACGAAAGACUUCAUAUAGCAGAAGAUGGGCACCGGAGGCCUGCCAGGUGGCCCACGAGGCAGGGGGUGCGCCCAGGGGGGUAGGGCGCGCCUCCCACCCUCGUGGCCAGGGUGUGGCCCCCCUCUGGUAGUUUCUUUCGCCAAUAUUUUUUAUUAAUUCCAAAAAUAACUUCCGUGAAGUUUCAGGACUUUUGGAGCUGUGCAGAAAAGGUCUCUAAUAUUUGCUCAUUUUCCAGCCCAGAAUUCCAGCUGCCGGCACUCUCCCUCUUCAUGUAAACCUUGUAAAAUAAGAGAGAAUAGGCAUAAGUAUUAUGACAUAAUGUGUAAUAACAGCCCAUAAUGCAAUAAAUAUCGAUAUAAAAGCAUGAUGCAAAAUGGACGUAUCAUGACCCCGACGACGGCACCGGCCCGGACCCGACUCGCGGCACACCGUACCUGACGAGGAAGGAUUGGCUCGACCUCCACUUCGACCGAAAGUAUUUUAGCUUAGUUUAAAUUUAUGUUUUAUGUUCGGUUAUGCAAAACUAUCUAUGUUUAUGUUUGAAUGCAUGCUACUUUCGGUUGAACCUGCUUUGAACUUGGUCAAAUUGAAGUUUACAAUGUUAAGUUUAGGGGAUCAACUGGAAACGGACAAAAAUUGCUGGAGUAUAUAUAUAUCCACUAAGGGUUUUAGUCCUUUAACUUUUAAAGGAUCGGCUAGAGAUGGCCUUAUGCCUUGUUUAUUUCAGUUCUUCACAAUGUGAUGCUCUAUAUGUGCAACUAUUUGCCGUGCAGUUCAAUUUCAUCAAUAAAAGUUUCAACAAUACCACUAUGAAUUGCGAUAUUUGGUUGCUGUUAAGGAUAUUGCAGUUAACAUGCCUUUUCGUUUUUUAAUAAUAACUAGUGUACUUUAGACCUGCACAAUACCAGAUUGAAUGACUAUUUGCUUGUUUUUAAAUGUUAUGCCUGAUGAAGUUAACACACCUUUCCACUUCUUGUUUUGCUUAACUAGCGUGCUUAAGCCUGCACACUGAAGCUAUGAUUUGUAGAUUAUGUUGUCUACCAUGGAUAUAUUUGGUUGAUGUUUAGCCUAUUAUGCUUAACAUGCCUUUAUAUGUACUCAUACAAGACAAUAUUGAGAACAGUCUUGUUUUCCAUCGAGGUUAGUUUCAUCGCAUCGCUUAUAUGUACUCACUGUUCAGGAUAUCGGUAGCUAGUACCAUAUAGCUUGGGGGCUGAUAAGGGAUUAAUCGUCGAAUCGGACAUUUCACUGAAUAUAUCUGUAAUCCAUUUAUCAGUAGGUUAAACACGGCCAUAUUUAAUAUAUCUGAGGCUACAUAGCAACAUGCAUUGUACUGAAUGACUAAAUAUGCAAUCCCAGGCUACAUAGCAACAAGGAAGAGUGUUACCUUAAUAUUCUGAUGAUGUCUAGAAAUACAUGUAAUAAAAUCUUAUAUAAUGGGAUGGAGGGAGUGUUGUACUACGUCAUUUUGCAAUUGUUGUUUAUCUUCUAAUAUUAACUUGGUGCUUUUAGGUACAUAUGUCAUUGCCAAAGAUCCACACUUCGACGCUUUCUGUGUAUGGGGCAAUGAGAUAUUCAUGAACCAGCAUCAAGUGAGGAAACUGAUAAAGAUUGUUACUAAAAUGGGUCAAAAGAUGUCAAUCGAACUAUUUGUUUACACUUUAUGCAAGACAACAGUGAACUGCAGGAUGGUAAGUAAGAACCCUGUAGCCUUCUUUUUACUGCCUGUAAUGAGUUGUGUUAGAUGAAAAUGUCUGAUUUUUUUCCUUUGCAGUGGAUCCUGAAGCAGUUUACUCAAAAUUACCUCUCAAACUACAUGAUUGGCGGCGGUCAUCACAAGGGGUUGGACUAGAGUCGUGUGUGCCUUCUGCAUCCAGGAGAGCACAAUAGGGCCAUUCCGCUUCACCUUGUUCACCAACCAGAAUGUCUGUCGCCUAUUUCUUUACCAUCUGUAAUAGUACAAGUAUAGACCAUGGUUCAUCAUUCUUUAUUUGGUGCUUAUGUAAUUCUUAAACAUAUGUACCUGUAAAUCGAAUAAUGCAUUGGUUGUUUGAACCUGAUGGAUAUGAAUAAAGCUAUAUAGCCUACUUUCAAGUUUAAAUUAGGUACAAUCUUAAAUAGCAGCAAUUAAAUUAGGGUGAAAUUACGGUGUGCAUGUCAUUACGGCGCACACGGUUAAUAAAGCACAGUGUGUGCGAUAUACAUCAUAAUCCGACACAGUUCACGGAGAGGAAACGUGUGUAACAAUGCACACAUUUGCCGUUUGCAAAGCGCGUGUGAUGACAGACACUAUCAUAUACGGUGCGGGAAAAUUAAAUGUGUGUGAUUGUCUAACCUAUCGUACACGAUUUAUAAUCAUGAACUGUUGUGAUGUGCCAGGCAUCGUAAACAUAGAGCCAGUUUAGUACGUGCCUGGAAAACUCCCGUGCUUGGAAUCUGCCUGGUUUUAGGUAAAACCACAAAACUCUACUGUGAUGGCAAUGCGAACACAAACGAGUAGCAAGGAUGAAGCGUUUGGGAUAUUCGAGAUAUCGAAAACGGUUAUAUAGGGACAAAUGUAUGCAUCAAGACUGUCUAUCCCCGACGGUUUCUGGGUCGUGUGGGAAGGAUCCCCUAUCGCCCACACUCACUUGGCGACGGUUCGAAAUGUCGUCGCGGAAAGGGGUUAAAAACCGUUUGUAUAGCACCGACGCGUACCAGUGACCUCACCACAUCAAGGAGGAGGUUACCACACAAUUGUCCUGGAUGUAACCAAACAACCGGACUUGUGUUUCCCUUGAUAAGUCCGCAACCAAACAGCCUGCCUUCCGUUUCGGCACAUUCAAAUUAGAGGGAAUGCAGGCAACCAAUCAACAUGCAGAUGUUGAUUUUUUGUCUGCAUUUACUUAAUCAGGCCUAACUGGAACAAGUAUGCAAAUGGGAAAAAACGAGGGAAACAACCAAACGCAUCCACAAAGACCCAGCUGGUACCAGCGAGGAAGGAAACAAAAAGAGAGGCACCAGCGGCCAAUCGAACCAUCAAUGCCCGCCUGAAGACUUGUGACACCAGCGGCAUAGGUGGCCUGCACGCGGGUUCCUAUAUGGCGCAUAGGGCGCUCCCGAGCGACCAGGCGCGCACCCCCCCCCCCUUGCGCGCUGCGCGCUCGUAUGGGCCGGCCCAUAUCCCAUUNNNNNNNNNNNNNNNNNNNNNNNNNNNNNNNNNNNNNNNNNNNNNNNNNNNNNNNNNNNNNNNNNNNNNNNNNNNNNNNNNNNNNNNNNNNNNNNNNNNNNNNNNNNNNNNNNNNNNNNNNNNNNNNNNNNNNNNNNNNNNNNNNNNNNNNNNNNNNNNNNNNNNNNNNNNNNNNNNNNNNNNNNNNNNNNNNNNNNNNNNNNNNNNNNNNNNNNNNNNNNNNNNNNNNNNNNNNNNNNNNNNNNNNNNNNNNNNNNNNNNNNNNNNNNNNNNNNNNNNNGUGUAAAAAUGAUCAACGAUUCAAAAAAUGUUCAUAAAAUUCCUUUUUUGUUCAUCGGAUUGAAAAAAUGUUCAUCAAAAUUCAAAAUUUGUUCAUCGAAUUGACAAAAUGUUCACCAAAUUCCAAAAUUGUUCAUCAAUUCAAAAUUUGUUCCCCAAAUUUAAAAUUUGUUCGUCGAUUUCAAAAUUUGUUCAUCAAAUAAAAAAUUUGUUCGUUUUAUUUUUUUUCUUUUCUUACAAAAUUUGUGAACAUUUUUUGUAUCAAAUUCAAAAAAUGUUUAUCAAUGUUUAAAGAUGUUCAUAAAAUUCGUUUUUUGUUCAUCGGAUUGAAAAAUUUGUUCAUCGAAUUCAGAAAAUGUUCAUAAAAUUCGAAAUUUGUUCAUCGAUUACAAAAAAAUUUCACCAAAUUCAAAAUUUGUUCGUCAUCGAUUUCAAAAAUUGUUCACCAAACUCAAAAUUUGUUCGUCGAUUUCAAAUUUUGUUCAAUGAAUUCAAAAUUUGUUCAUCCAUUUUUCAAAAACGUAUUCUUAAAUACAAAUUUUGUUCAUCAAGUUUAGAAAAUGUUCAUCGUAUUCAAAUUUUGUUCAUCAAAUAUAAAAAAUGUUCAUCACUAUUAGAAAAAUGCUCAUAUAAAUUUGUUCGUCUAAAUAAAUAAAUUUCAUUAAAAUUCAAAAAAACUUCAUUGUUUUGAAAUCACGAGCAUUGUUUUACAAAAUUUAAUUUUCUAAAUUACGAAUUAUUUUGAAGAAAAACGAAAUACAAAAAUAGUAAAAAAACGAAUUAAAAAAACUGGGGGGUUCAGCCGCGCUCGUGGGCCGGCCCACUAGGGGUGCACGGGAGCGGACGGGUGUGUGCUGGCUUGUUCGCCAGCGCGUCACGCACCGUAUAGGAGCUCCCGGCCUGCACAGCAGGGCAGAGAGAUGGACGACGGCUUCGCGGGCAAGCUGGGCUGAGCCAGCUGCGUGGCCCACGCAGCGGAUGAACGCAUGCGAGGAAGGAGGCGGCAAAUCCGGCUGCUCCGGGGUGGAAUCGGUGGCGGGGCAGAGGAUCUCCUCUCCCGACGCGGUUGGAGGAGGCAGGGGACAGGCAGCGCGGAGCAGUGAUAGAGUUAGGAGAUGACAUUGCUUGUGGAGAUAGGUUGACCCUAAAAGCAAAGCUGCGUAGUGUACGCGGACUGUACUUUGUUGUCUGAACCUAUGCACAUGUUGCCGGAUUCGAUGCUAGAGUAUCUUCGACGCUACCCGUGCACGGGACAUCGCAUCCGUUCACAGACCAGUCUGAACCGGUGUCCGGACACAUACGGAAGACGGUCAUCCGAUGCUAGUAACAAAUGCCCGGCUCUAUUGACUUAAAAUAAUAGCCUUUCACCAAACAUCGUAGCCUUUCGUCAAACGCCUAAAUUAAUAUGCUAAAAUAUACACCCUCCGUCCCAUAAUAUAAAAGCGUUUUUUUAUACCAGUGUAGUGUGAAAAACGUUCUUAUAUUAUAUUAUGGGACGGAGGGAAUACUUACCUUCCGCGAAGUGAAGCACUCAAUUAAGUGCCUUCUUCCAAAUGAAGCACUUAAUUAAGUGUCUUCCGCCAAAUGAAGCAAGCCAUUUAGCACUCCCUCCAAGUCCUUUGUUCUCUGCGUAUUAGAUUUUGAUCAAGUCAAAUUUGUUUGAUCAAAUUUAUAUUAAAAAAUAUCAACAUCUACAAUACAAAAUAUGUGUACCAUGAAAUUAUAUUUCAUAAUAAAUCUAACAAUAUUGAUUUGACAUUAUGAAUGUUGAUACUUUUUUCUAUAAGUUUGGUCAAAGUGGAGAUAUUUUGACUUUGGAUAAAACUAAUAUGUGGACUAAAAAGGACCGGAGGGAGUAGCUUCCGCCAAACAGGUUACGGACAUACACAACUUUUAGCAGCCUUCCACCAUCCGGACGAGAGGAGGAAUAGAUGGUGGUUUUUGAUUGGGCGGGCGGAUGUUCGGACUCCCACAAAGCCCUUGUUUGGUUCCGGUUUGCGGGAAAACGGCCGUCCAGACGCGUCGGCAGGCCGAUGCGGUACUACAUUGGAUGGUUGCGUCCGGACAACGUGGUCCAGACGCUUGCGAAAGUUUUUAGGGUUUGCUUUCAAGAUGCCCUUAGGCCAACUCCAACGCGCAGCUACAAACAGACGUCCGAUUUGUCUGGAUUAUGUUGGUUUGUGUUGGAAAAAUGGGCGUUGUCCGGCCUCUUUUGUGGAUGUGGUUCUAUUGCACCCAAGACUCAUUUGGCCAGCCGGCCUCUUAUGUGGAUGCGGUUCCACUGCGUCCAACAGGCCGGCGGCCAAUUUUUUAACUCAAAAGAAACAUUGCAUAUAGUUUACAACCAAAUAAAUCACAUAUUACCAUAAUAAUAAAUAGUUUCACAACCACGCACGGAUGACCAAUAAAGAAAAACAGAAAAAGCUGGAAAAAAAAAGCGUCGUGAAGCCUACCAGCAAAACUAAAGAAUUGAAGAUUCAACUCAGUUGCAGAAAAAUUAGAGGUAAAGUAGAGUAGAUAGGUGUAGAUUUAUUCGUCUACGCGAGUCGAAAUGAAAAAUAAUACAACGUGAAAGUUGUGAGGGAUAAUGAUAUGAAACUAGUGGUCAAAGAAAAUUUUAAACGAGCAACCUUGUGUGAUGAAUUUGCCGAAUUCCGUCCAGACACAUACACCACAUGAAAGUACAUUACAAUAGGAAGAUACCCGUUUAGGCGUCUGCGGCCGCUGAAACCAAAAACAUACAACAUCAAAGUAGUGUGAAACAGAGAGAUGCAGCUAUUGGUCAAAGAAAAAGAGAGAAAAGACCAAAUUUCAACCCCAAACUAACCACUCGGUUUGACUUACAACCCUCAUCUUCGAAACCGGAGGAGUUGUGCUGCGGGCAAGUAGGAGCUAGGUUGCGGGGCGGCCAGGGAACUUCUGGCAACAUCUUCCUUGUUUCCAGAACCCGGUAACCGGCCCGUGCGGCGCCUGCAUCGGCGUACUCCGGCGCUUGCGCUGGACGAGCUCUCUCGCCUGGGCCCAGAUACGGUGCUCACGUGCGCACCUCCCCUGUCGAGCGGCACCAACUAUGUGGCGGCGACCCGAGUGAAAAAUCACAAAACUGGCCCUUUGGCCAAAGUUCAACACAAAAUGGCCCUCUUUUGAAAAUAUUUUAUAAAAUGGCCCUACACGCAUGACGCCCGCACUCGGGGCGCCAUGCUAGAUAUCAUAACGCCAUGGUCAAGGGCGCCAUACUGGUCAGCGGUGACUUGCCAUGAUGGCAGGGCAUGGCACCAUGGCGCCCCAGGACAGGGCGCCGUGCUCAUGGUCAUGACGCCCCUGCCCGGGGCGCCAUGCCCCUUGUGCCAACUGUCGGUGUCAAAACUGGCGGAUCUCGGGUAGGGGGUCCCGAACUGUGCGUCUAAGGUCGAUGGUUGCAGGAGACGGGGGACACGAUGUUUACCCAGGUUCGGGCCCUCUCUAUGGAGGUAAUACCCUACUUCCUGCUUGAUUGAUCUUGAUGAAUAUGAGUAUUACAAGAGUUGAUCUACCACGAGAUCGUAAUGGCUAAACCCUAGAAGCCUAGCCUGUAUGACUAUGGUAAUGAGUAUAUCUUUUCCGUACUACAUCCUCCGGUUUAUAUAGAUACCGGAGAGAUCUAGGGUUACAUAGAGUCGGUUACAUAAGAAGGAAUCUUCAUAGUUGGUCGCCAAGCUUGCCUUCCACGUCAAGGAGAGUCCAAUCCGGACACGGGUACGGUCUUCGGCCUUCACGUCUUCACAGCCCACCAGUCUGGCCCAUUGAUAGUAGACCGGACGCCCAAGGACCCCUUAGUCCAGGACUCCCUCAGUAGCCCCUGAACCUGGCUUCAAUGACGAGGAGUCCGGCGCGUGGAUUGUCUUCGGCAUUGCAAGGCGGGUUCCCCUUUUUCCGAACUCCAAGAUGGUCUUCAGAUGUAAUGAUUGCAUCCGAACUUGUAUACACAACUGCAGAGGAUAUAAUAUUUCACGAGUCCAAUCCGCUAACAACUUUUUGGUAACAUGACAUCAUGCCUGCUCGACCAUUAUUUUCGAACCGUUAGCUAGCUCGUCGUCCCACGUCUCGAGACAUGGUUUUAUUGGCAUGUCUUAUCCAAGCGGAGAUCGUGUCUCCCCUUUUUUAAGGGAUUCUUAUCAACCCGGACGUGGGUAACCCAACCGUCGCUUGGGUACAACUCCUUGGGAAUAGGCAAGUUUUGAGGCCCAGGAGGAGACGUUCGAUAUUCGCGGCCUUUAUAUAGGGGUACAAACCCGUCUUUUUCUUUCACGCUUGCUUCUUCCUCAACCCCUGUAACCCCGAGUUACAACACCCGGGUUUCAGUCGCCACAAGUUCCAAUCAUGUCCGGAUCCAGCUGUCAAGGCCGGUGGGUGGCUUCUUCCGUCACGGAGGGAGAUAUCGCAAAGCUUCGGGCAGCGAGGUAUCUGACCGCAGAAAUCCUUCAUCGACUUCCUGCCGAGGGGCAGGUCAUUCCCACCCCCAGAUCCGGCGAGAGGGUCGUGUUCGUGUCCCACUUCCUCCGCGGGUUAGGGUUUGCACUUAAUCCCUUUGUCUGAGGGCUCAUGUUCUAUUAUGGGCUAGAUUUUCACGAUCUGGCCCCGGACUCUAUUCUUCUUAUCUCUGCGUUUAUCAUCACGUGCGAAGCCUUCCUCCGAACUCCUCCGCACUUUGGCCUGUGGCUCAAGACCUUCAAUGUGAAGCCACAAGUGAUAGAGGGGGAGCAGGCAGAAAGCUUGCUAGUGCUGUUUGGCUGAAAGGAUCAUUUGCCAAAUCUUCCGACUUAUGGCAGCAUGGGUGGUUCUAUAUCACCGAGCCCCGUGGCUCCAAGUGGGCAGCUGCGCCCGCAUUUCGAUCCAGCCCCCCAAUUCAGCUUGCAUCGUGGAUUAAUAAGGGGUUGGACUAGGGAUCAACGGACGAGGUGCGGACUUUGCAAAGUCGCAUCUGAAGCCUCAUUGAGAGGGACAUCAAUAUCGUCAACGUUGUUCAAGUAAUGCUAGUCCGCCGGACCCUGCCGUGCCAGCGACGGCCUCCCCGCAUGUGGGAGUUCAAUCCCGAAGGGCCGCGGACUCUUCAGCACUUCUUCGGCACUACGCACGAAGGAAUGUGGAGAUUAUUUUUUUGGGAAAGGAAAGCAAUGGCCGGACACCACCGAAGAUAUCGGCCUAGACUAUAACCAUCCGGACACCCCGGUAAGUACCCGUUCGCCGAACACCUCAUGAUCAGACACCCAGUGAUAAGACACUGACCGAAUCGUCCUUUUUCAGGGUUGGAUAAAGAAAGUGGAACGGAUUAGGUGUCCGGCUCCCCUUCCCGAAGACUUAGCUAAUCUUGUGUUAACAAGGAUGCUGGCCUCGGCGCCAUACCCGGCGCUGGCAAGGGAGGGUAAAGAGGAGAGUGAGAAGGCCCGAGAUGACCUUUGUUUCGAGGGUAAGUCGGAUACUGAGUCCGGAGAAAUCGACCUUUCCUCGCCUGAAGACAAAGGCGAAAGAGGGCCCAGCAUCCCUUCUCCGAGCAGGAGGAAAAGGCCCGCCUCCGAAGGUUGGGAGGGGAGGUCUCCCAAGAGGGGCAAGAUGCCACCGUCGAGCGGCUUGGGUUUGGAAAGCGACGCCGUUGAACAGCUCCAACAUGAGGACAAGCCCUCGACCAAACCGUAAGUGAAUCCGGGGUACUUUGAUAGCAUCUCGCUCAUUUGCCAUUACCGAAGAUAUACGUAACGUGUUCGUGCAUUUUUAUAGGUCGGCACAGAGUUUUUCUGGGCAAUCCUGUUCUUCGGGAGGUCUCCUCCCAGAGAUGAUGGAGAGCGAGACGCCUCCCCCAACCUCCUCGCCCAAUAAGGCGGACGACUCUGAAGUGUCAUCACGGAGGGUUUUUCUUGAUCAACAAGCUACGGAGGGGAUAAAAGAGGCAGUACCCGAAGGUGGAUCUCCGACCGUCCGGGAUUCUGGGGCUGAUAAUAAAGGCCCCGGACUGUCUGGCUCGCAGCCGACGGUGAUUCUAGAGACGGGUGAACGGAUUCCUUCAAAGGAUGGUUGUGCUCCUAGAGCGGCUUCCGGAGACCCGGAGGCUCCGGAUAUAUUGCGAGACAUGUUGCGAAAAGCAUCUGUCUCGGGGGAACAGCGUACCUUGAUGGGUACAGUAGUUGAGAAGAUUUUGCCCGCGAAGAGCGGAUUGAAUGAAGCAUUCAUGAGCCUGCUAAAAGGCUUCGAGGUUUGUGAUAUAAUGUUUUCAGCUAUGUUUUAUUUGCAAAGAUGCACAUGUGUAUAGAUAGUAGCCCCUGAGACUCGGGUCGGCUUCCACUGGGAAGCGAACGGAGGAUCAAACAGAAUUACUCAAGGACUUAAUCUGAUGAACUUGAACACAGGCUGCUUCCCCCUUGGCUACUUCCCGGACUAUGGAUAUUGCCGAACUGCAACGAAAGCUUGAUGUGGCAGGGGAUGACCUUGCAUUAAUCAAUAUGCGUCUUGACGAGUCGCAAGGUAUAUAUUCGGGGCAAUCCCCAUACAUUUGUGUGGUAUAAGCAUGAUGCUAAGAUUUAUAUGCUGGAAUAUGCGUGGCUGCAGAUGGUGUUGCCGCUGUUGAAGUUCUCCGAGCGGAGCUGGCCCGGGCCAAGGAGCAGGCCCGGUGUAGCAAUGCAGCUGCCGAAAAGGCAUCGGCUGAGUUAAAAGCCGAACAAGUUGCACGGCGCCAAGACGAGGAGAAGAUAUCCACGAUGACGCUAGAACUGAAAAAUGAUACUAGCCGCUGUGAAUUUCUGGAGAAGGAGAAUGAAGCCAAAAAGGCUGAACUGGACAAGGCCUUACAAGAGGCGAGAGAAGCGCGGUCGAAAUCCAGAGCCGCCCGUGAGGAGAUCCGGCAAGCUGGGGAGAUUGCGGCUGGUAAACCCUUUCUGCUACAGAAUAAGUUCGGCGAUCCGAACUAUGCUCAGCUUGACCGAGUGUGGAGUUCUCCGGACGAGUUUUUAGACUUGCCGAAGAGUUCUUCCGAUGCGGCACAAUAUUAUCAAGCCCGAGAGGGGCACGCAAUGGAGAAGCUUUUCUGGUCACAGUUUGGCGCAUCAAAGCGCCCUCUGUUGCUGAAUGAACAGAUGUCCCAAUGGGCCGAGCUUCAUAGGAUAUCCAGCGCUGCCAUGAAGAAUGUCAUAAUCCGGUUGUGGCCAACCGAGCCUAUUCUGAAUAGCUACUUCGGUUUGGUGCAAAGGCUUAUUGACGCGGUGCCGCGUAUCGACGCUGUGAAGCGGUCGACGUGCAUUGAGGGUGCACAGAUGGCUUUUGCCCGAGUCAAGACAUUCUGGGGGAAAAUGAAGGCCAUCGAUGUUGCGACGAAGAGUCCACCCAAGGGCAAGGACCGUCCUGAACCGGAGUAUUAUUUUGAAGACGUCCUAGAGGCCACCCUCUUGAUAGAGGGUCAGUGCUCGAAAGACAUAAUGUUCGAGUGAGGUGUAUGAGAAUUGUAAAAGACAAUUUUGUAGUUAAUCUAUUUUUAUGUUUUGCUCGAAAGCUUGUAUUCCUCCUGUGCGGCCGUUUUAAUAUAAUCUGAAAGUUUUCCAGUCGUCGGCUUCAGCCCCCUCGUAGGAAGUACGGGGGUGUUCAGAAAAGCAUUUAAUCACUCUUUAUCCAACGUCUUGGUCCAUAAAGGAGGUGAUAAUGCGGCGAACCAGGCAAUCGGACUAUAGGGCGUUAACACUUUCACUUAGCCAUAGGAGUUUUAUGGUGGGACUACGACAUAGCCCCUGGUAUGUAUGCGGCGUAUUAGAAUAUGGUGCCUUACAUAUUUGAUCUGGAAAAGAUCCCUCGUGUGACAUGGAGAAUCGCUAAAGAUUCCAAUAAGUCGUCAAGUGGUUGACCAGCUCUCGCCGCAUCAUGACAGUCAGUUUUCGGCUUUCUCUAUUGAGGUGCUUGACCAGAUGAACCGGAAGCACAAUCGCAGUAGUUCUCCCUUUACUACCCUAGCCGAUGGAGCGGAACGUAGGGUAGCAAGAACAGGAGCCGGACAACCCAACUAUUGACCCAAGACAAUGAUCCGGAGCUGAUGCAUAUAAGGCCAAACUUGCGACGCCGAAGUACGCUAUAGAGAUGUUCGGACUUUUGCUGGCAACUCAUUUGUUCCCAUACCGAGCCCCUGGCAGGUUAUGCCAGGGUAUAUCUAUGAAACAACCAUAGGAUCCAUAUUCAUUGGCGAAACAACAUGGAUGAUUAAUUCGGAUACUGUUUACUGGACCUGAGCAAUAUGCCAAUGAUUACUUUAUAUAUAUAAAGACCACAACCCCGGCUAUUUGACAUGCUCGGGGUCGGAGGCGGAGGAAGAGGCAUAGUACAGGCUCGAAAUAAAGAGUUCGGUCUACAAAAAGUUAUUUGGGACCUCCUGUCGCACGUCUGCGCCGCCUGUCCUCGGUGAGGGAAUCCUUGAUGGAAGUAGCCCCUUAAGUGAGUGUACGGAUCCGAACUCCGAUAGAGUCAGUUUUAGAUGUUUUCCCUGUUCGUCACCUGUUUUUAAGAGAUAGUGAAGGAAUAAAUAAAAAGAAAAUAGAUAAAAAGUAUUACGGUAAUGCUUGCAGGCUUGUGCGUAGUGUGCUUCCGCCAAUGCCCAUGGUAUCUUGAGUGCGUAGUGAUGUAUGCGCCGGUACACAUUUUGCAGGUGUACGAGGUGGGCGGCGGAAGCCGGACUGCUAUUUCCGCUCCGGGAGUAGUCGAUCCUCGGGUCGAAAUUGCUGCUGACCCCCGGUAUUUCGUUGGUGAACCUCUCCGUCGUCCCUGUCGCCUGGCGGCCUCCUCCCCUUGUGUUCGGCGUUGAUCUUGUCGGCCUGCUUAAAGACCCAGCAGUUUCUGUUGGUAUGAUUAGCUGGUUUAUCGGGGUGUCCGUGAAUCUGGCAGGGUCGGUCCAAUAUCCUGUCUAGGUUGGAUGGUUCAUCUCGGUUCGCCUUGAAUGGCUUCUUCCGGUGACCGGGCUUGCGAUUGCUGAAUCCGGCGUUGACCGCUGUGUCGCGUGAUCUUUCAUUAUCAUUGCGACUGUUGUGUUUGCUUCGUCGUGGCUUGCCGUUGCCGUCUCGGAUUUCGAAAGUGCCCGGGUCGCUGGCGCUGUUGCUUCUACGAGCGAGCCAGCUGUCUUCUCUCGCGCAAAAGUGGGUCAUUAGAGCAGUAAGGGCUGUCAUGGCUUUAGGUCCUUCUUGACCGAGGUGGCGUGCAAGCCAUUUGUCCCAGACGCUGUGUCUGAAAGCUGCGAGGGCUUCCGCGUCCGGACAGUCGACGAUUUGGUUCUUUUUAACUAAGAACCGAGUCCAGAGCUUCCUGGCUGACUCUCUGGGCUGCUGGACAAUGUGACUUAGGUCAUCGGCAUCUGGUGGCCAGACAUAUGUUCCUUGGAAGUUGUCAAGGAAGGCUUCUUCCAAGUCUUCCCAGCUGCCUAUGGAGUUUUCAGGCAGGCUAUUUAACCAGUGCCGAGCUGGCCCUUUAGGCUUUAGUGGGAGGUAUUUAAUGGCGUGGAGGUCGUCUCCACGGGCCAUAUGGAUGUGGAGGAUAAAAUCUUCUAUCCAUACCGCGGGAUCGGUUGUUCCGUCGUAUGAUUCAAUAUUGACGGCUUUGAAUCCUUCGGGGAAUUCAUGAUCCAUUACUUCAUCAGUGAAGCAAAGAGGGUGUGCGGCGCCUCUGUGUUGGGCCACACUACGACGUAACUCCGAAGGAGUCCGUUUGCGGUUUUCGGCACGGGCGUGGCUAGGUUUGUCACGUCCGAAUAGGUAGCCAUCGUCGCGUGUCGAGGCAUGCCCUUGCGAUCCGUAGAUCGGUCUUGCGUGUCCUGCUCUACUGUCCAAGUUCCGUCGAAGGUCGUCUGUACAACCAUGAGCUGUAUUAUUCUUGCCUUUACGGCUAGGUGGGGCGGUCUGGUGUUCGGCUUGAGUUGCCUCUUUAUCCGGACAGAGUUGUCGAUGACCUGCCGCAUUGUGUGAUGAUGGUACGGGCUCCAACGCCUCGUCAUCGAACUGAGGUAGCAAUCUAUGCUUCGGGUAGCUUUUGGCUGGGCCACUAAGGCCGUAUUCUUCGGCGGCCAGGACAUCGGUCCAUCUAUCGUUUAAUAGGUCUUGGUCAGCUUGAAGCUGCUGUUGCUUCUUUUUCAGGUUCCUUGCAGUAGCUAUUAGCCUGCGCUUGAAGCGCUCUUGCUCAAGGGGUUCUUCGGGUACGACGAAGUCUUCGUCGCCGAGGCUUACCUCAUCUUCGGAGAGCGGAAGGUAGUUGUCGUCCUCCGAAUUGUCGCUGGGCAGGGCCUGUUCAUCGGGGCUGGCUUGCCCGUUUUCUUGUUCCUCCUGUUCGGAUCUUGCUCCAACAGGGUCUUCGUUGUUUUCGGCGGCGUCCGGAGUACUAUUUUCUCCGGUGCCAGCGUUGCUGCGAUGUGGCUUAGAGCGGCGUUGCUGUGUCUCAGGAGGUUUGUUCUCAACUGGAUCUUGUUUGUCAUCGUCGCUAGCUUUUUUAGGUGUAUUAACCAUGUACACGUCGUACGGAGAGAUGGUCGUCUCACGUCCCGUGAAUAGCGGGUCUUGGCCUUGCUCCUUGUCGGCAUCGUCGUCUAUACCGUCGAUGUCUUCGGAGCCAUAAUCAAGCGUGUCGGUUAAGUCCUCGACAGUGGCUAUGAAAUGGGUGGCGGGUGGGAAGCAAAAUUCUCCAUUAUCAGCUUCUAGCUCGAACCGGACAUAGUUCGGCUGUGAGUCCUCCGCCAAGGACAGGCUUUUUAAUGAAUUUAGAACGUCGCCCAAGGGCGAGUGUUGGAAGAUAUCUGCGGCGCUGAACUUGAAGAUCGAUAACCGAUCCAGCUCUGCGCCCGCAGGCGUGCGUGGUUCGGAACUUAUAGCCGGAGACGAGUCCGGAAUUCCGUUGACGCAGACAUUGCAAGGUGCUGAGUCCGUGUGCGGCUCCAACGCCACGGAUUCUGCGGUUUCGGAUGGCGCAAUCUGCUCCGGAUCUAAGGUCGUAGCAGUUACAGGAACCAUCUCCUGAAUAUGGUCCGAUGACAGAUUAAGUCAUGUUCAUCGGAGCGAGGGGGAGCGAUCGCCAUGGUCUCAAAUCCGUUGAAGACCAGGUCUCCACGGAUAUCCGCGACGUAGUUCAAGCUUCCAAAUCCGACCUGGUGGCUAGGGGCGUAGCUAUCGAUCUGCUCCAGAUGGCCGAGCGAGUUGGCCCGCAGUACGAAGCCGCCGAAUACGAAAAUCUGUCCGGGGAGGAAGGUUUCUCCUUGGAUAGCGUCACUAUAGACGAUCGAAGGGGCCAUCGAACCUUUCGUCGACGGCACAGUGGAACUCUCAAUGAAAGCACCAAUGUCGGUGUCAGAACCGGCGGAUCUCGGGUAGGGGGUCCCGAACUGUGCGUCUAAGGUCGAUGGUUGCAGGAAACGGGGGACACGAUGUUUACCCAGGUUCGGGCCCUCUCUAUGGAGGUAAUACCCUACUUCCUGCUUGAUUGAUCUUGAUGAAUAUGAGUAUUACAAGAGUUGAUAUACCACGAGAUCGUAAUGACUAAACCCUAGAAGCCUAGCCUGUAUGACUAUGGUAAUGAGUAUAUCUUUUCCGGACUACAUCCUCCGGUUUAUAUAGACACCGAAGAGAUCUAGGGUUACAUAGAGUCGGUUACAUAAGAAGGAAUCUUCAUAGUUGGUCGCCAAGCUUGCCUUCCACGCCAAGGAGAGUCCAAUCCGGACACGGGUACGGUCUUCGGCCUUCACGUCUUCAUAGCCCACCAGUCCGGCCCAUUGAUAGUAGACCGGACGCCCGAGGACCCCUUAGUCCAGGACUCCCUCACCAACAAAACAGAGUCUCCCUUGCUUUCCCCUCCACAAACCCUCACUUCUCCCCUUCUCCACCCCAGCCGCCCCACUCAAGCCCCUACCUAAUGCCCACAAAAUUUCGUGGAUCGGAGCUCCAAAUCAGUGAUUUAUCCUUCCCUUCGACCCCUCAAGGUAUUCUCCAUCAUUCCUCCUCUUUUUGUUGGUUGAAAUCUCCACAUUUUGGGGAUUUGGGGAAACCCUAGGUCAUCCAAUUUUGCUAUUUUUUGUUGAUGCAUUUUGGUGUUUAUGAUUCUAGAUGGCGAGGAUCGUCAUCAUGUGGACUUUGUCUCCUUUGAGAAGGGAGACGCGGAGUAUGGUGACCCGAAGAAGAAGCCGGUAGUGAUGGUUUUUCCCACAAGUCCUAGCCUUGAGGAGGUUUUGGUUGAGCUUCGAAGAAGGUUGAAUUGGAUGGAAGAAAGCGAUGGAGUAGACUUAAUCGGAAGGUAUAAUGUUGGGUAUGGGCAACAUAUUCGUUGGAAGAUAAUGCCUCUUGACUCCGAGUUUCACUGGGAAGCAUAUAAAGAGAGUGUGUUGGCCUCACAAGAUAAAUCAUUUGAGUUAUUUUCCACAAAGGUUGUUCGUGCUCGGUUGCACAUUGAUUUGAAUCGGUGUGCAUCUUCAUAUGAUGCUAGAAGCCCGGUUCGAGAUCAACACAUGUCACUCCGGAUGUGCAUGACACAACAAUGAGCCAACCUCCAAUGACCCAAUGUUUGAGCCCCGUCGGGAAUGACCAAGUUGAUAAUGAAUACUUGCACAUGGAUGGUGGUGAGUUUGAGGGUGAUGAAUCGGAGGCUUAUCUUCAUGAUCAUUAUGUUGGUGAUGUUGAGGCAAAUUGCAUGGAAGAGGACAUGGACCAUGAGAUAGCAUACAAUAGGUCCUAUGCGUGGGACUCGGAGGAUGAAGGCCCGGAUGAAGAAAUAGAUGAGGAUGGUUUGACGGCUAAAGAAGCCAAUGCUUUCAAGAAGGUAAUAGGUCGUAGUCACAAGACAUCAUUGUUUCGUGAUCUAAGCCUAGCCGAUAAGGCGAUUGUUGAUGGUGGCACAAGUAAAAUUCUUGCACCAAGGUUAACUUCAAAGCGAGAUACGAAAGCAAGUGUGUAUGGUGUUAGUGAAGGAACAAUCUUUGAAAGCUUGGCAGAACUUCAAAUAUGGGCCAAGGACUACGCGGUUAAGUUUCAUCGGCCAUUCUUUGUGGAGAAGUCAAACUCGAAAGUGCGUUAUGUGGUCAAAUGUGAGGAACACAAGAAUCAUUCCCCUUGGGUUAUCCGUGCAAGAUGUGUCAAAGGCAGGCCACAAUGGAAGAUUACAAGUUCUGUGUUUCACCAUCGAUGUAGUGGCAAGGAUAUUGAUGAUGCCAAUGUAAAUGAUGAUCACCGUCAAUUGACCUCCAAAUUCAUUGCAUAUCGAUUUUCAGCCUCCAUAAAGAUACUCCCAACAUAUCCCAUUCGGGCAUUGAUGGAGAUGGUGAAGGAGGUUUUUGGGUACGAGGUGAAGUAUGGGAAGGCAUGCAAGGCCAAGCAAGCUGCCUUUGAGAUAUUGUAUGGUGGUUGGGAAGAAUCAUACAACCACCUUGCGAUGGUGGCAGAAAAUCCUGGCAUGUACUAUAUGGUGGAGCCAGAUGGUGUGAGAACAAGGAUAUUUAACGAUGCAACCAUUCGAAUAUUUGGACGUGCAUUCUGGACUUUUGAGCCAUGCAUUAGGGCCUUCAAGCAUUGUAGGCCGGUUAUGUCCAUGGAUGGCACAUUUCUGACUGGCCAGUUCAAGGGCACAUUGUUGAUCGCCGUUGCUAAUGAUGGUGGUGACAAAUUGGUUCCAUUGGCGUUCGCUUUGGUGUCGGCGGAGAACAAUGACAACUGGGAGUGAUUAGUCUAGUGAGGACCAAGGUAAUUGGACCUGAAAGAGAGGUUUGCAUCAUCUCGGACCGCCGCCCAGGGAUACUCAAUGCAGUGGAGAUUGACAUUCCAGGACAUCCUCGCGUGCACCAUAGGUGGUGCAUGAGGCAUUUUGUUUCUAAGUGUGCUUCCUGUAGACACUUUGGGUUAAGUCUGAAAGUAAUAAAACCAGCUCCCCUACCAAUAUUGCCCUCCGUUCCGUACGGUUCCCAGGUAACCUAUAAACAAAGAUUAAGAAAAAACUACACUGUUAGUAUGAUUUUUGGAAAACCGAAGAAACCGAAGAAACAAAGCAAGAAGCUACUAAAGAUAACCUGCUCCGGGGUCAUGAUGUCAAGCUCGUUGCAGUAGUGCAAAUACAUGGUCUUUGAAUUGCCAACAAAACCUUCAACCUUGUCCCACUUGUACGCCCAUGUAGGCAUACGGUCCGGGUCAUCAUGAUCAUCCCACGGGCCGUAACCCUUUGGUGUCGGCCGCCCCACUGGCAAGUGCUCCCAACUCUAGAUCGAUAAUAGAAGCAUCGGACCACCGAUGUUGGCUUCCUUUGACUCUACGACAUUUCUUGGAUUCGCGCCCCUACGGCACGCCUCGUCCAGCUACACACAAACAAGAAAUAUCUCAUUACAAACUAGAGAAAACUUCUACAUGGUGAACACACUAUUAUAAGCAAAACUACUUACCUAACGAUACAAAUAAGCCAACGCCGCCGUACCCCAACUGAGUCCAUGCUCCCACCCAGCAAACAGCUUAAGCCACAUAAAGGAAGCAUUCACGCCAGUGCCGUCAGAGAAAAGAGUCCGGCUGACUACAUACCACAAGUAUGCCCUGGUAUACUGCUGCACUGUUUCAUCGUCCGCAUCAGCCGGGCAUUCCCAAAGUGUUUAGCAAUCCAAUGAUAACUUGCACCGGUGGAUUUCCCUUGUACCCCUGGCUCCCUCCCUAUGAGUCCAACCAUAAUCUCACACCAUCCAUCAGAAUCUGUGCUAAAACAAAUAGGCUCUCCUUUGAUGGGAAGUCCAGUGAUCAGAGAAACAUCCUGCGAAGUGACCGUCAUCUCCCCAGCAUAGAAGUGAAAAGUAUGUGUCUCAGGGCGCCAUCGGUCAACGAGUGCCGUGAUUGCACAAGGGUUCAUCUUCGGCAUCGAACGAGACACGAGUGAGAUGAAAAGGAGAAGCCCGGUCUUCCGGAUAUACUCCGUGUAUCGCUCGUCAUACUCCAUCUUGUCAUGAACCUAACCGGACCUCAGGUGAAGCUGAUCAAAAACCCUUCCUUCAUCUUCCAUGAACCGUCCACGAUGCAAUUGAUCGUACGAAGGAUUGAUAAGAGAAGCCAUCCUGCAAAUUACAAAUGUUUAUCGUAAGUCCUAUUGCCAAACAUAUGCAAGAACAUACAUACAUACAUACAAGUGCAAAUGUCCAUAUCCAUACAAUAAUUUCUUUUACACCAAAUUGGCACAUACAUGUGUAAGCAUUCAUCAAUAAAGUGUCUAUCCAACAAAUACAAGUUCUAGUUCAUACCUAAAAUUUCACUAAACAUACUAAUCCUAUCAUGUCCCCAACCAUGCCAUAAACAAAAUCCCUAGUCAUACCUACAAAUUUCCUCACCAUACAAAUGCUAACAAACCCCUAUCCAUACACCAUCAAAUACCUCACAUAUCCCCAUCCAUACAUCAUUUUAAUCUAACAAAUCCCUAAAAAGAGCAUGAAGUAGGGUUUCUCAAUGCGAGGAUUUAGACCAAUAAAAUAAGAGGAGAGGGAGAGGAAUACCUUGAGGAUGGGAAGGGGAAUAAGAUCCACCCUUUUCCCCCUUGGAUCCAACACUUGAGCCCUUGGAUCUGAGAGGAGGGAUAGAGGGGUGACGGGGCGGGGGGCGGGGGGAGGGAGAACAGAACAAGAACAGGCAAGAACAGAGAAGAAAAGGGAGGGGCGACGCGGAUAAGAACAAAGGGACAUGGCGCCCUGGAUCAAGGCGCCAUACAAGUAAGCAUAGCGCCCCGCGGCAGGGCGUUAUGCUCCACCAACUGGGCCAGCUAGCAGUCGACAUGGCAGGUCAAAGUGAUCCAUAUGGCGCCUUUGACCAGGGCGUCGUGCUGUUUAGCAUGGCGCACCGGCUGCGGACGUCAUGCGGGUAGGGCCAUUUUGUGAAAUAUUUUGAAAACGGGAUCAUUUUGUGCUGAACUUUGGCCAAAGGGCCAGUUUUAUGAUUUUUCACGCGACCCGAUGCAGAGCAGGCGCAAAGACAGUGGGCAGUUCUCCCGACUCCAACGAAACGACAGCUAAGAACAUACAUGCAUGUGUGCCGUGUGUGCUGCAUGGUGCUCUGCUUGCGGUGAAUUUGACAAAACUAGUUUAAAAUAGCUCUAAACAUGAACACUUACAACCAACGAAACUCCAAACCAAUCGCCUGACAAGAGCGUCGAGCGUGUAUAUUUUUCGUGUACAACUUAUGUCGAAUUGAAGCGUGAUUAUAUAGAUUAGAAGGGACUACGUGAAGUGGAUUAAGAAGUGUGAGAAAAACUGAACAUGUGCUUUAAACAUCGUGCAGAGCCGAGAUUUUGGUGUAAGGCAGGCAACCAAACAUGUCAAAACUACAUAGCACGGGCCUGUUUGAACCUUAUGCAUUGCAGGCUACCAAACGCGUCAUUGUUGAAUUAGUCUAACAAGUUUGUAUAUGUGGUUUGGAUAGCUAAAGAAUAAACUCUUCCUGAUGUCGCAGUUAAGUGUCGAAAUCCAGUUUUUGUAAAAAGUCAAGGUGCAGUUUCUUCUUCGUGAUCACAAAGCCAAAAGAAAAAAAAACAUGCUAGAAAUGCACGCAAACAAUACAAAAAAUUAAACAGAUCUUUUAUUCUCCUAAUCAAAACGAGUAAUAAUCACAAAAUGGAUCAGCGUCUCAUCGAAUGAUUCUUGUACCAGCAAAAUUGUCCAAAAAAAGAAGAAACAGCAUGAUUACAGGGACACUUGAUACAAACUUCCUGCUCAAGGAAGUAUCGAUUUUCUUUACAACAGUCUAAUUUAUCAAAAUUCAAAAGAAAUAACUACAUAGAAAGAUGUCAAGUCGGCAGUGUGUCCAGUUCAUCGACAAAGGAAAUAAAAACGCCGAGCAAAAUGGGGGGAACGAUGGCGUGUUUACCACCUCUCUGAUCUUCCCAAGCUCCUUUGCAAUGACAAAGCAAGCUGAAACAAGGUCACCAUGAUGGCAGUUGGACAUUCGGAAGACCUUUAAAGUUCCAUGGCAAUGCGAACCCUUGCAAUACCAUGGCACCGGUGCAGCCGUGCAGGGUGGCAGAAACAAAGAGGUACUAGGAACCAUGAAAUAGAUCAGAAAGCAACUAAUUCUCUAACGAGAAAACCAGCAUCUCCUCCUUUCAGCAAAAACAGCAGCGUGUCAGUUUGCAUUAGCAUGCUUUUAUUGCCCGUAAGGAGGGCUCAUCUGUGUAUGAAUAAAACUUCCUGUAACUCCCUGAGAGGCUGAGAAGACCACCUUUUCUCAGCUCGCAACCUGAACGGCCUCGACUUCUCCAUCACUGUAAUCAGCCCAGGACUUCGGCUUUUCAGUCACGCUUGAAUCAUCUUGAGCAUCUUUUGGGGCUGAAGCAUCAUCUUGAGCAUCUAUCGAGGCCGUUGCAUCAACUUCAGCACCUCCAGAAACUAUAGUUUCAUCAGGCUUCACUUCACUGUCCUCACAUUCCACAUGGUUGUUCUUCUCCUCCGUGUUCUUGCUCUCAAUCUCAGCUUCAACAUCAAUUCCACCAGAUGUAUCAUUUCCUUCAGGACUAGUCUCACUAGUUUCAGACACUUGUGGGGAAGCAGUCUUGGGUGACUCGACAGUACUAUCUGGAGAUGAUGGAAGCCCCUCCUGUGAUGCUUGAAUACCAGCUGGCGAUGCCAGAGGUUCAUUAGGAGAUGAUGGAUGGCCAUCAGGACUCCGAGAUUGACCCGGCACAAACUCCGCUGCAUGAGGAUUCAUCACUUUAGGGGAUGUGGCUGCCUCUGGAAGAACUUCCCCACUCGGCAACACAGGCUUGUUACGAGGCACCCGGUGCCCUGAUCUGUUGAACCCUCCGGCUAGACGUGGACCAUAAGGGACCCUUGCGGUUGCAGACUGGUGAGGGUGCUUACGGAGAGGGAUGGCCAGCAUUGGGGGCACAUUGGCUGGCGAUGGCAAUAGUCCUCCGUGUUCUCUGAAACCUGGUACGGCCAUUGAACCAAAAGCUGGCACGGUGGCUGGACUGAAUGGAGCAGCGGCAGCAUUAAGUUUACUGGCUGUCUCUUUCGCUCCUUCUACUGGUGAAUCAUUCUUUUCACUUCCAGAUGGUGAAGAUUUCUCAUUUUCGGCCCCACUAGACAGCUGUUCUUGAUUAUCCUCUCCUGGACCUCUUUCAUCAUCAUUGGAGGAAGAAUCAUUUGCCUCAGUCAAAGUUGCUGCUUCUUCAUUUGGGACGUCCGCUAGUGCUGCUGGUGAUUGGUUCUUCUCUGUAGAUGUCUCUGCUGAAUCUGAGGCCUUCUCAGCUUGAUUUGAUCCUACCGAACCAUUGGCUUGUUCAGUAUCAGAACUGGGAGAUUUGUGCUCAUCUGUUGCUUUUGACACUUGCAAAUUAUUAUCCUUUGGUGACACUUGUAUUGCCCCAUUUUUCUCUUCAGAAGGGCGAACAUUGCUUUCUUUGGGAGCCUUGGCACUUUCAAGAUUUACAGCUGGAUCAGUUGCAUCCUUUUGCUCUGUAUGCACAUUAUUCAACGCUUUCGCAAGAGUUCCUGGUGCAGCUAUAGCCACUUCCUUGUAUGACAGUGACUUCCUUACUGUUUGACUGACAAUUGGUGCUGCAGAUGGCAUCACCUUGGCAGCUGCAGGGGUGGUGGCUAAGCUUGCUGCCAUGGAUUUAGGUUUGGGUGAAUUCUCCCCACUGUUUGAUGAGAUAGCGGGAUUACCUGCUUUGGAAUUGAAGCUCGAACUCUUCGCCAAUUUCUUUGCAAGAGGGCUGGAAGCAACAGAAGCUGCAGUCUCAUUAGGUGAAACUCGAGGGGAAGAGUUGGAUGGAACUCUGCCUUUGUAUCUUCCAUUCUCACUAUUAUUAAUGGCAUUUGUACUGAUCUUUGACAGGUUUGGCCUCCUCACACUUGCACCAGUUUUGCGAUUCCCCGUGGUACGUCCCUUUGGAACAGCCUCUUGCCACCCCUCCUCAGAUAUGUUCUCUUCAGUAUAAUCAUCUUGAGGCAUGUGGACCACAGUGUUACUUGGUUUCUCCUCUUCCAGUUUCACUUUCACAUGCUCAACAACGGUUCCAUUCUCUUUGACUUGAGAAUUUUUCUUCUCAGUUAAUUUCUCUUUGACUUCAGGGUUUUCCUUCUCGGUUGAUGAACGAUCACUGUUAGGUGGAGGGCUCCUUUGAUCUUCAUCAUCGGCUAAUUCAGAUGGGUUUUGCCCGGU
This 253361-nucleotide long non-coding RNA is filed under the name Triticum aestivum (bread wheat). RNAcentral's name for it is "long non-coding RNA (TAES_LNC013711)". The stretch from base 173594 to 173664 matches the Rfam family "tRNA". Lineage: Eukaryota; Viridiplantae; Streptophyta; Magnoliopsida; Poales; Poaceae. The record is from RNAcentral.